Molecule: long non-coding RNA, 231349 nt
Filed under: Triticum aestivum (bread wheat)
Lineage: Eukaryota; Viridiplantae; Streptophyta; Magnoliopsida; Poales; Poaceae
Description: long non-coding RNA (TAES_LNC007803)
Rfam family: MIR1120/MIR1122 microRNA precursor family (bases 225842-225977)
Source: RNAcentral
GAUCCUAACCUGCCCUACUGUUUGGUGUUGGAGAAUUUGAAAGAUAUGAGAUUCCUGAGUAUCCUAACACAAACUGGCAACAGACUCAACAAUAUGGCUCCAAUACACAAAGCUUGUGAAAUGUGUAUUGCUAAUUUUGUGUUAUUGGCAGAACUGCAGACAGCAGAAUUACAUGCACAAGAUAGUUUGUGUGCUAACUAGUUACACAGGGUACCCUGCAUUUGGCUCUGAAUUGGUCCCUUUGUCUCAAAAUUGCCUUGUGAGCAAACAAAGGCACUGUUGCCACAGCCAACAAUCACAUUAAUCCUGUAUCUAGUUGUCUUCAAAUGGUUUCAAAAGUGUUGCCUCAUUACUAAAUUCACGUCUAAUUUUGUUAAUUUGGUAUCUACCAAAACUAUACUGAAAUAGUUUGGUGUAUACCGAAACCAAACCGUAUUUUAAUUUCACACCAUACUUACUGAAAUAUUGAUAUUGCACAAACCAAAAAAAAUCUUAUUUACCGAACCAAAUAAACCGAAUGCACAGAGUUAGCGACUAGCACUUCUGAAUAUAAGAGAUUGAAGAAACACUCACUGAGCAUCAACACACUAUCUCUUGCAUGCACUUGGUUCUCUGACGUCCAGUCUGUUCUUUCCAUGCCUAAUUUCAUAUCCAAUUUCCCGACUACAGAUUGUAGUCAUACACUUCUUCCAGUGAGUCAAAUCUGCUGCCGACAUCAGGUACUACAAUAGUUUGAGUCUUCUUCUUUGCAUAUCCCGUGAUUGUUUUCUCGAGAGUGCACACUCUGCUAGCAUAGGGGGGCCGUUCUGCAAGUACCCGUCCAACAUGACCCCUGUGUCAAGUAGAUCAUUGCAGUCACACAUGCCUCAUCGAUUUUAACUUUGAGGAACUACUACUCCCAACACAUAAGUACGUACUUACGUACGUAUCAGAAUUCAGAGGUACGUUUAAUUCACUAAUAUGUCCUCAUACGCAGUUGCAGCAUCACAGGAUCAACUGCAGUACAGACAUGCCAACAAUACAGUCGGGCAUAGUUCACGCAUGAUUUACCUCUUGUCUAACCCGACGUCUGUGCCCUUUAACUGUUCUGAGUCCGGCGCCGUCAAGCUAAUGGACGCACAAACGCCCUUCAGGUCUAGCUGCAGCGCCGGUGGCGCAUCCCCCACCUCACCAAUGCCGGACUCAGCUACCCUGCUCAGCAGAUCUGCCACGGCGUGCGCGCCGGCGUGUACUCGUCACCCCCAAUCACCGGCAAGGGGAACCUGGCCGAAGAAGGCAAUGUCCCUGAGAUGUACUCACACCAAAAGAGUGAAUAAUCCCGAAAAUCAAGCGAGGGUAAAUCCAGAAUACCUGCCCACUCGGAUCUGAUCGGAACUAGAAUCAUGACGUAUUUCCACUGCACUAAAUGUGACCACCACGAACGCGCUAUUCUAUGCGUCCACGAAGCAGGAGCGCGCGAGCUCGUCCGCCAUAUCGCCGUUCUCGCGAAUGUGCCCUCACUAGCACUUUACCACGACACCUUCCAUGUAUGAAAGUGAGAAGAAAAAAGAGUGAUGAUGUCUACCGUUAGAAAAUACGGAAAUAGAUCACUGCAAAAAAAGUAGACGGUUCAAAAAAGUAGACGACGCACGUGAUGUUUUGUUAAUGAGGUUUACCAUCAUGACGGACGCAUCUCCCAUGUACCAGUCACAUGAUACAGGUUGAUGAUAAGCCUUUUAAGGCUACCAGACAACGCUCUGAUAAUUGUGUCACGGUCGGUCCAACCAUCCUUACCAUUGGACGCGCGAACCGUCCCUCUAAUGAUUUAAUCUAUUUCAGCUAUCCGCGGAGACCCUAUAAAAUAAUUUUAGAUUACGCGUGUCUGAGUCAAACACCUAACUCUGCGGCUAGGGUUGAGGGUUUACCGGAUCAACUGGUGGGUUGCCCGCUACCCCGCAUCGUCGGUGCCGUUGUCGUGCUCUCCUGUGAGAUCGCACAACCCGGUCGUCCUCGUGGCGCCCACCUGCAAGGAAGGCUGUUGCCGCCACCCACCUCAGGAGGCUUCUACUCAGUCUCAGUGCCGCCCCCGCCAUUCAUGGAAUACCCAUGACUUGAACCCUGAUAGGCUGAGGAUACUACUAUCGUCCUAAUCACGCAGUCAUAGGUUGGUUCGCAAUUAAUCCGACAUUUGAACAGUGUGCUCCUGCUAGUUCUAGCCAAACUGGCUGACGUGUCCAAACCGACAGCAUGUAAGAACUCCUGGCACAUAUUUGCAAAAGAAAAGAAAAAACAUCCUCGCACCUAUUAUCCAGUUGUACAAUCCGACAUUUGAACUUUCUUUUAGCAAAAAAAGAGGGGCCUUCCUGGCCCAAAUCCCUUUGUUGCACCCGAAAAACAAUGUCUCGUGUCCAUGAGUGCCGCUCCGUCGUGAUUAGGCACCCUACCGUCGUUGUCGGCUACACGAGCUUCGCCCGACCACAUCCUCUAGCAAAGGCGGCGAGGAGGAAAGGGGGAUGGGUGUUGAAGCGACUAGUUCUUGUAUGGAGCAGCGACUAGGUUUUUUGCCUGCAUGAACCAUUCCAUAACCAGUAGGAAGUUCUCACUUGAAGAUGAAAGGCCAAGAAAACAAAGUUAGCUUGAGGCUAGUCAUAGCGGGAGUAACUUGGCCAGAAACAUAAUGCAUCUCAAGACAAUUUUGCUUAUGUGUCACGUAGUUAAUGAGAAGAGAGAUGUUUAGAGUAACAUAUAGCUUUCCAGAAAAAGAUGAGUCUACAAGCUAAAUUUUUUUAGAACGAAGACGCUAGGGGCGUCCGGCUUCAAAUUAAUAAAGCCCACAUCAUAGGCAGUGUACCACAGAGGUCAGACAUACAUGAGCACGGAGGCUCGGGCCUUAACUGUCACGGAGAGAAAAGGUUUUUCGGCCAAAAGAGCAAGCGCAGGGAAAUACAUGACACGAGGCCAAAUCAUUGAGCACGCAGGCUCGCAAACACAUCCAAAAGGUCCACUUCAAGACGAGGAAGUGGCAGUUGGCUUCCUAGCCAAAACGUACACCUGGCGCAGACGGUCUUGAGCAUGCUUCAUCUUAUCACAAUCCUUGCGCCUCGCCAACGGAUUCCACUGCUGCAAGAAGAGGUUGCAUUUAUAGAUUAUGUUAGCCGGAUGAGUCGGGAAGAUCCCCUCGAUCACUAAUUUGUUCCUAGUAAGCCAGAGAGCCCAGAACAGUGCCCCAACACAGCUCCAUAGCACACGCUUAUUACUCCCCUGGACGGAGUCGAGGAUGGACCUAAGAUCGUUAGCCGAUCUAGGGUCCCAAGAGACGCCAGCCGCAUUACGGACCACGCUCCAAGCAGAACGGGCCAACGGGCACCUAAAGAAGACGUGGUUCGCGUCCUCGGUAACGUUACAGAUCGCACAUGUGUCGGUCGCCGGGCCGUGGCGCUUGGCCACAUUUUCAGAAGUGGGCAGUCUGUUCCUGAACAGCUGCCAGAAAAACACCUUGAUUUUAAGAGGAAGGCGUGCAUGCACAACCCUUUGGGACCUGAAAGGGCGAGGCUUGGCAAAGUUUUCGGUAAGGUACUUGACCGAGAACUUGCCAGACGCGGUGAGAGCCCAGUUCACCGAGUCCGCGGACGUGGACAACUCCACUGGGCUGAUUAACUGGAGUAGUGUCGCUAGGUUCGCUUGUUCCUGCCCGUUGAGCUCGCGGCGGGAGUGGAUNNNNNNNNNNNNNNNNNNNNNNNNNNNNNNNNNNNNNNNNNNNNNNNNNNNNNNNNNNNNNNNNNNNNNNNNNNNNNNNNNNNNNNNNNNNNNNNNNNNNNNNNNNNNNNNNNNNNNNNNNNNNNNNNNNNNNNNNNNNNNNNNNNNNNNNNNNNNNNNNNNNNNNNNNNNNNNNNNNNNNNNNNNNNNNNNNNNNNNNNNNNNNNNNNNNNNNNNNNNNNNNNNNNNNNNNNNNNNNNNNNNNNNNNNNNNNNNNNNNNNNNNNNNNNNNNNNNNNNNNNNNNNNNNNNNNNNNNNNNNNNNNNNNNNNNNNNNNGGCCACGGAUUGGUUCGGGGAGACGACCAAAGAGUACAUGUCCUGGACAUCCAACCAUAGAGGCCAACCCAAUAGUCAAGCCAAAAUCUGGCCGAACAGCCAUCCCCGAUGAUGAACUUGGCCCCCAUGGCGAAAGCCAGACGGAUCGCUUGGAGGUCAUUCCAAAAAGGUGAGCCCCUUGCUGCACCUUCGAAAAAGUUCCCGUUCGGAAAGUAUUUGGCCCGCAACAGAUCGACCCAAAGUCCGGUCUCCCCUUGCCCCUUGGGAUAUCUUCCAAAUCCAAUUGCACAUUAGUGCAAUGUUGAGGAUUCGCGUGUUUGUGAUCCCAAGGCCCCCCAAGUCCUUGGGGCGACACACCGCGGCCCACUUAACCAUGUGGUAUUUGCACUUUGGCCCCGAACCUUCCCAAAAGAAACGUGACCGCGGCGUGUCCAUCUUGGCGUGAACACCUUCAGCCAAGAGGAAAAGACCCAUCGCGAACUGGGGCAGCGAGGAUAGGCUCGAGUUCGUGAGAACCAACCUGCUGCAGAGGAGAGAAAUUUCCCCCUCCAUGGGCAGACCCGCCCGCCCACCUUGGUCCAAAGCGAAGCCGAGCCAUCGAUCGUGAUGUGCUUGGCGUAUAAAGGGAGACCCAGGUAGGUAAACGGAAGCUUGCCAACUUUGCAGUUGAGCAAGUCCGUGAUAUGCCUGCCCUCCUCUGCUUCUAGGCCCAUGGGUAGUACUUCGCACUUGUGGAAAUUGAUUUUGAGCCCUCACAUGAGCUCGAAGAUAAGAAGAAGGGCUUUGACCGUGGCCACGCUGUGGAUGUCAGGCUGGAACAAUAGUAGCGUGUCAUCCGCGUACUGCAAGUGGGAUAUCCCCCUGGGAUUAGGUGUCCCAACACUCCUUUGAUAUGUCCAGCCUUGGUGGCUCUCUGUAACAUUGCAGCCAGCGCAUCAAUGACAAAAUUGAACAAAAUCGGGGACAUGGGGUCACCCUGAUGCAAUCCACAUUUGUUCCGGAAGAAGUGCCCUACUUCUCCGUUAACCGAGAUUGCAGUUUGGCCCCCGAGACCAACUGCAUAACUCGGUGAACCCAAACAGACGAGAAACCUCGGCUGAUGAGAACUUGUCGUAAAAAGUCCCAGUUGACGCGGUCGUACGCUUUUUAGAAAUCUAGUUUGAGGAGAAUGGCCGGUUCCUUCGUACGUUUUAUCUCGUGAAGGGUUUCUUGCAAGGCAAGCGGGCCCUCCAGAAUGUGAUGGCCGCGAAUGAAGGCUGACUGCGUACGACUAAUGGUACGAUGAGCGAUCGGGGUGAGACGCGUGGUGCAAGCUUUAGCACAGAUCUUCAAAGGAAAAUUAAUAAGCGCGAUGGGUCCGUACUGAUGGAUGGUGUCCGCUCCAGCUACUUUGGGGAUGAGCGAGAGCACGCCGAAGUUAAGCCUAGCAAUAUCCACUAAGCCACACAUAAAGCCGUUGCACACCGCGAAAAUGGGUUCGUGCAACAAAGGCCAAAAUUAGUGCUUGAACAUCGCCACCGGCCAUCCGUCUGGGCCCGGUGCCGUGUCAGUUUUCAUGCAGAGAACACGAGCCCCAACUCAUCGUUUUCACAGUCGAGGACCCGUUGGGAGGGCAACCAAAUGUCCGCGCGCAGGCCCGCAUGUUGUUCUUCCCUGGAACGCAUCAGGUUGAUGUAAAAAUCGUAGACGUGGUGCGAAAUCUCGGACUGGCGCAGCAGGAUCCCCUGUUCCGAUUGCAACCAAAGGAUCGCACAUUUCCUGCGCCUACCAUUCGCGUAAGCGUGGAAAUACUUAGUGUUGGCGUCCCCCUUGAGGGUCCACUUGAGGCCGCCCCUGCGCCUCCAAUAUUCCUCCUCAGAGCGAAGCAGCGCUUCAACUUGCCCUUCCAGGGCGUAUCGGUGAGCCCAUUCCUGCUCAGAGAAAGGUGUCGCGUCUGCCUGGGCAUCAAGGAGCGCAAUUUCAUUGACGAGACUCGCCCUGAGUAGCUUGUCGUAGCGCCCUUGAUUCGCGCCCCACCCUUUGAGUCACGCAUGGAGACGGCCCCCAACCGCAUUCCAGAAUUCCAAUGGGCCACGUUGUUGGCCUGUGAGUUGUACGCAUCUGAACCAUUUCUCCCUGAAUAUGGUGUCGAAGCUUGGUACCUCAAACCAGGCUAUUUCAAAAAAGAAAUGGGGGUUGUGACGGAUCCUAUCUUCCCCUGAGGAUAGGAUUAAGGUAAUGUGGUCCGACCCGGUCCUCGUUUCGGCGAGGAGCACGCAUAGCGGGAAUACCACUUCCUAGUCCGGAGACAUGAACACGCGGUCUAGAACAGAGCGCACCGGAGCGAGCUGUUUAUUAGUCCAGGUGUAUCUAGCCCCGGUUCUGGCCACUUCCCUAAGUGACAUUGUCACGCCCAAUAUGCGACCCUAUCCAAAAGGAACUUGAAGGUCCCACCAAGGAUAGACCCGCAUAUUGAAACGCUUUUGCAAGGUGGAUAUCAUUACAUCAACAUUACAUAAUAGAAUGGGGAUACAUACAUAAGGCAUACAAUGCCACACGAAUACAACAUCACAAUACAUAAGGGCAACAUCCGACUACGGAUGAAACAUAAACAGAAACUCAAACGACAUCCACCCUGCUAGCCCAGGCUGCCGACCUGGAACCUAUCCCCUGAUCGAAGAAGCAGAAGAAGAACUCAACGCAAGCAAGCAUCGCUCUCGCGUCAUGAUCAUCGCAUAACCUGUACCUGCAACUGUUGUUGUACUAAUCUGUGAGCCACGAGGACUCAGCAAUCCCAUUACCAUGGGUAUCAAGACUAAGCUUAAUAGGAAAGGAAGGGGUAAAGUGGUGAGGCUGCAGCAGCGGCUAAGCAUAUAUGGUGGCUAACAUACGCAAAUAAGAGCGAGGAGAGAGCAAAAUGAACGGUCGUGAAGCUAGCAAUGAUCAAGAAGUGAUCCUGAACUCCUACUUACGUCAAACAUAACCCAGAAACCGUGUUCACUUCCCGGACUCCGCCGAAAAGAGACCAUCACGGCUACACACGCGGUUGAUGCGUUUUAAUUCGGAUCUGGUGUCAAGUUAUGUACAACCGGACAUUAACAAAUUCCCAUCUGCCUAUAACCGCAGGCACGGCUUUCGAAAGAUUAUACCCUGCAGGGGUGUCCCAACUUAGCCCAUGAUAAGCUCUCGCGAUCAACAAAGUAUAUACCUUCUCCCAGGAAGACCCGAUCAGACUCGGAAUCCCGGUUUACAAGACAUUUCGACGAUGGUAAAACAAGACCAGCAAAGCCGCCCGAUGCGCCGACAAUCCCGAUAGGAGCUGCACAUAUCUCGUUCUCAGGGCAACACCGGAUGAGACAUCCUACGAGUAAAACCAAACCUCGAGUUUCCCCGAGGGGGCCCCGCAGUCUACUCAGUUCGGACCAACACUUAGACAAGCACUGGCCCGGGGGGGCUAAAAUAAAGAUGACCCUCGGGCUCCGGAAACCCAAGGGAAAAAGGGGUAGGUGAGGCAAAUGGUAAAACCAAGGUUGGGCCUUGCUGGAGGAGUUUUAUUCAAAGCGAACUGUCAAGGGGGUCCCAUAAAUCACCCGACCACGUAAGGAACGCAAAAUCCGGAAACAUAACACCGGUAUGACGGAAACUAGGGCGGCAAGAGUGGAACAAAACACCAAGCAUAAGGCCGAGUCUUCCACCCUUUACCAAGUAUAUAGAUGCAUUAAUAAUAUAAGAGAUAUUGUGAUAUCCCAACCAAAAUCCUGUCCACCAUGGAGAAAUCUUCAACUUCACCUGCAACUAACAAUGCUAUAAGAGGGCUGAGCAAAGCGGUAACAUAGCCAAACAACGGUUUGCUAGGAAGGGUGAAAAGGUUAGAGGCUGACAUGGCAAUUUGGGAGGCUUGAAGAGUAAAUGAUAGGUAGCGCAGCAUAGCGAUAGAACGAAGCAACUAGCAUAGCAAUGAUAGUAGUGAGAUCCAGGGUAGCGGUCAUCUUGCCUGAAAUCCCGCAAGGAAGGAGAACGAGUCCAUGAAGAAGACGAACGGAAGUAGUCGAACGAAACCUCACAAUCGUAACGUUACCGAAACUAAGAAGCAACACCGGAAAGAAACAAACAACAUGGUAAAUGCACAAGCAUAAACAUGGCAUGAUGCACAAACAAGUAUGAUGCAUGUCCGGUUUAAUGAGGCAUGGCAUGGCAAGCGCAGCAAACAAUACUACAAGUUAAGUGGGGAUCAAUAUGCAACGAGUUGCAUAUUGACAAAACACCACAUGCAAUUAUUUAGUUUGAUCUCGUUAUAAGCUACCAAACAAUUUUAAAUGUUGUUAAACAUGGCAAGAGGUGAAGCAUAUGAAAAACUACCUAUCUAGACAAGUUUAAAUGAGGCCGGAAUAACAAACAACAAGUCCGGAAAAUCCCCAUAUGCAUAUUUUAGUUUUGGUACUGUUUUGCCUAUUACAUAAUUUUAGACUUGUUAAACAAGAAAAUAAACUGCACCAUGUUAAACUAGGCAUUUUUCACCCCAUUUACAUAUAAAGUUUAUUUAAAACCGAGCUACGGUUAUUUAGUUAUGAAAUAAAUCAUUUUAACAUGGCAUAUAGCAAAUUAAAUGCAAACAACAUUUUAAACAUUUUAAAUAUGGAUGAGAGUGGCAAAAUAUUAAACUAGACAAAAUUCUAAGCAUUUUACAUGUUUAAAUCAUUUAAAUCCGAUGCACGGUUAUUUACUUGUGAGCAAUUUAAAAUAAUGGCAUCCUCCUGUAAUUAUGCAUGCACUGGAUAAAAGACAAAUUCACAGAUCUGAAAAAAAAGGUACACGGGCCGAAUUCUGCUAGCCCAACAGUGCACAGGAGAGGCGCGGGUGCUGCUCACCCUGGGCCAAGGCCCGGUUGGAGCUGCGGGUUGGGGAGGCCGGCCGGACAGGGCGCUCUGGAUCCUGGGCCGCGGCAAGCGAGGCAGCGGCUCGGGCGGAGUCAACGGGCGCGCAGAGGCGCAGCGCCGCGAUGUAGAGGAUGCAGGCACGCGCUUGUCUUCGAAGCAGAGGCGAGGACGGGACGCCGGCGGUCGGACGAAACCCGAGGCGUCAGAUCACCGCGGAGACGAGGUGGCCGGAGUUGGAGCUCCGUGGCGGCAGUGGUUCUGCAGAAACGGCGACGUCGCAACACAAAUCAGAGAGAGAGAUUGGAGAAAAGAGAGAGCAGCGGGAGGGAGGAAGGAGAGAUGGGGCGGCGCGGGGCUGGCCUGGAGGCCCUCGAGGGUGAGGACGACGCUCGGGGACGAACACCUAGUUCGGGCACUGCGGGAUGGAUGCGAGAGCUUGAGGACGACGAGCUCCUCACCUCUGGAUUGAGCAAAGCAGAGGCGCGGGGACGAUGGGGGUACGGCCUCGAUCCCUUCCGGAUCGAGUAGGAGGACUGCGGUCAGUGGGUGGAUCAGCGGAUGGUUGGAUCGGAGGGAUCCGGUGGGGGUUGGUCGGUUGGGGAAAUCGAGGGAGGUGAGUGGAAGGAUCGGACAGAUCCCGAGGAAGAGGGAGACCAGGUGGAGAAGUCAGAGGAUGGCGGCGCGAGGAGGAUUGAAUGGAUUGGACGGGCUAGGGCUAGGGUUAGACUGUUUAUAAAGCAAAGUGGGUUUUGGUUAGGGGUUAACUUGGUCCGUCCGAUCGUAAUCGGGCGGUCGAGAAUAAAUAGGUAGGGAGUCCAAAUAAGAAAACGGAGAUGUUUUAUAGACGUUUGGGGAUGAUCCGGACCCAACGGUGAUGACAGUCCGGUUCGGGUUUGGGAAGUCUCGGACACGCGCGAGGGGUCUGUGCAUUGAGCAAAGAGAUUAAGCGGCCAGACAAGAGGGACUCGAAAAACCCGGUUGGUCUCGGAACGGUCAACGAGGCAAGGGGGAGCACGGCAACUACGAACGGAUGCAAGUUUUGAAAAAUGACGGCAACGAAGUGCCGAUGCAAUGCGGAUGAUGCAAUGAUGAAAUGCAUGACAUGAAGAAAAAGCAAAACAAAAAAAACAAAAAACCCAACCACGGAGGAAAAAAAUAUAACACAUCUCCGGAAAAGUAAGAGUUGGAGUUAUGAAUAUGGAAAGUUGUAUCCGAGGCGUUAUAGACAUAGACGCAAUUGCAUUGUUGAACAUGGCCACCCUUGACCAAUUGAUGUAGUCAUUGUUCUUAUCAGCGCCCGAGCGAAUCAGGUUGAAAUCGUCCCCUACCAUGAGAGGAGUCUGGGCUGCUGAAACCUCGAGCACCUUGGCUUGGAGUUCUCCCAAGAACUCAGCUGAGCGUGAGUGAUCCGCUGGUCCGUAGACUUGCAUGAUCACCAGCUCGCGAAGUGACACGCGAGCACGAAUGCUAGCGGCGAUGAAAAAGGUUCCAACCUCCCAGGUCAGUACCUCGAACGUGGAUUGGCAGAAACCAAGCAACAUACCACCCGAGUGGCCUGUCGCUGGGCUAUGGUUCCACACAAAUCGCUCAAGGGGAUCAACUGAAAGAAUAUCCUGGUGUCGAAACUCGGCCUUGAUCGUUUACUGGAGCCCUACAAUACCGACAGCCUCUUUCCUGAUGUAUUCUCUCAGUUGGGUGCGACGCCCCACGUGGCCAAAACCACGGAUUUUCCAGAAUAGAGCCUGCAUCUAAAUAACGCGGUUUCGCAAACGAACACCCCUAGAGGUGAUCGCCUUGGCCACGCGCCUCACCCUGCCACGGCUUGGUGAGGGGGGGACAACAACCCCUGUUCCUGUGUCGCCAUCGGGCUACAAGCUAAUAAAUGAAGCAAUCUAUGACACUACAACUAAGCUACACUAUUGAGGUAGUAACCUAGACUGGUGUCAUAUGUAUGACACUAGUAUAAGUUACUCCCCACUAUGACCAGCCUAAUAUCAUCAAGCUCUUGAUGCAUUGACGACAUCGUUGAGGUCUUGGGCAACAUUGAUGGGGAUGCUAUUAGAUAAGCCAAGUUGACUUUCUAAGUCAUUCACAACCUCUCUCAUCCAUUUACCAACAAGAUUUAGUAUCAAAAACUUCCGAAGGAUUGAGUCCAUCUCUAGUUGGUUCUCUGGCCUUAUGACAUCCCGUAUGAGGCGAAUAUCUAAUCCAUAUAGUGCCAAUCUGAAAAUCCAUAAUGUAAGCAUAAUCAUAAAUGUGAAAAUCAAGAUCCACAUCUUGUAAAGUUUAAGAACCUGUUGAAUCAGAAUUAUUUCUGCAGUGCACUAACAAAAGCUUCACUUCUUAUUAUGAAAUUAUGAAAUAAAUCUAGUGAGAGCGUUGCUUCAUGUCCGACAGAAAAAGUCCGCUUUUCGUACGAUUGCGUUGAUUGCAUCUCUACAAAGCAUCCUUGCCAUUCGUUGUCUCGUCGUAUAGAAGUCGGAGAGGCUUGGGUCGUACAUGAAGUAAUUUCCAGCUAAGAAACACUAUAGUCCAAGGUUUAUGCUCACCCAUUCAAAAUAAUCAAAUAGUAUGACUCGUGCAUAGCAUAGGUUUUUGCAUUAUUUAUUUGUUCUUUAUUUUGUUGAUUUUGUUUCUAUUUUCAAUUUGUUUUGUUCUUUUGGUUAUUAUUCUACAUUUUUUGUAUUUGUGAACAACAUAUUUCUAGUACACAUCUAACAUGUUUCCACUACAAAUUAUACAUUUUGUAAUACAUGGUCAAAAAAAAUUCUAUACAUGGUUAUACCAUUUUCGAAUACAUGGUCAACAUUUCUCCUAUAUAUUUUUUACAUUUUUUAAAUGCUUGAUUAAAAAAUUUCAAAUAAAAAUAUUUAACUUUUUUAAUACAUGGUCAAUAUUUUUUCUAUACACAUUAACAUUUACCAAAGGAUUGAUUGACAUUUUUCAAAAACUUGUUCAACAUUUUUUCAAAUUCCUGAUUAAAAUUUUAUAUACAUGAUCAAAUUUAGUCAUCAUUUUUUAAUACAUUGUCAACAUUUUUUCUAUGCAUAUUUAACAAUUUUCAAAUGCUUGAUUAACAUUUUUGAAAAUACUUGUUCAACAUUUUUCAAUGCUUGAUUAACAUUUUUAUAUACAAUGACCAAACAAUUUCAUCAUUUUCUAACACAUGGUCAACAUUUUUUCUAUACACAUUUGACAUUUCCCAAAUGCUUGAUUAUCAUUUUUCAAAUACUUGUUCAACAUUUUUUUUCUAAAUGCUUGAUUAACAUUUUUUGUAUACAUGAUGAAACCAAUUCAUCAUUUUUUAAUACAUGAACAAUAUUUUGUAUACACAUUUAACAUUAUAUCAAAUGCUUGAUUAACAUUUUUCAAACACUUGUUCAAUAUUUUUUUCAAAUGCUUGAUUAACAUGGCGACAGUCAAAGCCCUUGCGUGUUGGGAAGCAUGGCUUUAAGUGAUGUUGUAAUUAUGUCAGAUUGCCAAGGGGUGGUCAAUGAUAUAAAACAUGGUAAUAGAGGUGCAUACUCGAGCAUCAUCAAGGAGAUAAAGGCCACGAUGGAUCAGUUUUAUCAUUAUUCCUUCAUCUUCAAAGGGAGAGAUACCAACAUAGAGGCACGUAGCCUUGCUAAAUACACUUCUGGUUUAGUUUUAGGUCGCCAUCUUUGGCUCCUUAAUCCCCCUCAUCUUCAUAGUAUUCCUAUGAACAUUGCUGAAUAAUAAAGAGGUGUGUUUAGACUAAAAAACCAUGACGUGUGCAAAUUAACCCGGCAUUUUUUAACACGGUACAGACGUAGACGUUCAUAUAUAUGCGCACUCACUCAUCCAUAUGAACACACACGCACACCCUACCUUUUUGAGCACCUUCGAGAGACUAAGCUGACAUAUCAUUUUGAGAUUGACGAAGUCACCGAGGGCUCCUCGUAGUCGACGGGGACGAUCGAAAUCUGACAGAAGUCCAGGAAUAAAUGCAAGCACUAGGACUUGAACCCUAAUAGGCUGAAGAUACCACUAUCCUCUUAACCAUGCAAGCAUAGGUUGGUUCGCAAUUCAUCGGACAUUUGAACGGUGUGCUCCCACCGGUUCUAGCCAUACUGGCUGACGUGUCCAAACUGACAACAUGUAAGAACUCCUGGCACCUAUUGCAUGAGGGAAAAAAUAAGAAGAAAAAAACCCUGGCACGUGUUAUCCAGUUGUACAAUCCGACAUUUGAAAACGACCUUCAAGAACCAACCUAAAAGAGAACUAAAAAGAACAGACUUCAAGACCUUUGAACUCUUACAUCUCUACAACAAAUGCUGGUUCAAACGAUUGAUCGUUUAAAUAUAUACGGAAAUGUUAACGCCCACACGUGUGGGCGUUAGCCAACUCGCCCACAAGCCUCCAUCACCGUCCAGCGCCUUUUUGCACAAAUCUUGGCAUAAAAAAUCUGAUUUUGUGUGUCACGUAAGACAACUCGUGUGUGUGGCAUGUGGGGGAGUUCGCCCACACGCCUGUUUUCUCUCAGCGGCCAACGUUCGCCAGUCGGGGCGUGCGAUGGAAAUGCUGUCGCGCCCGCACGCCACGCACCACUCCUGUUCCCCAUCUCCCACGACUGCCAUUCUCCCACUCUCCCACACCCAAGCUGUCAUUUGCCAUGUUUUUGAAGGGUACAUGGCAACUGCCCUAUUUGUGACUGUAAGCAUAUGGCAACUCUCUUUUUACAUGAACAUGUUAUUGUGCCACGUCUGUUUUGUAGCGUUACAUGGCAACUGUCUAGUGUUAGUAGGUGGCAACUCCUAAAGAUACAUACCACCGUCACCCACAUGCCCGUCUCCUCUCCCACACACCAAAAGUCAUGAGUUGCCAUGUGUUUCGCAGGAUACAUGACAACUGCCCUAGCGUGCUUGCAAGCAGAUGGCAACUCUUUUUUUUACCCGUAACAUAUUUUUUUGCCAUGUUUUUAGUGCUACAUGGCAACUGUCCAGUGUUAGUAGGUGGCAACUCUUAAAGGUUUCCAAAUCAUGGUAACUGUAGUUGUCCGACAUGGCAACACCUGCAGUUGCCCAAAAAUGGCAUCCGGCACUUGACCUAAGAUGGCAACUGCAGUUGAGCAAACAUGGCAACUGUAGUUCAGCAACAUGGCAACUACAGUUCAGCAACAUGGCAACUGGAGAGGGUCCGAACCAUGGCAAUCGCGGCGGGACGCGUGGUUACUAACACGCGGGGCGUGUGGCUCGCAGGCAGGGAGGGGUGACGGCCGAGACGGGUCAUGCAGGCCGCGUGCUCACUCGCCCGGACGUGCUCGUGCGGGGCGAUCGCGCUGCACCGGACGUCCGGGAUGUGGCUGCGCGCGCCCGGACGCGGUCGUGUGGGCGGGGUCGUCUCCGUGCCACACAGGGCGUGCGGUACAACCACCCGAUGCACCACACGUGUGGCAGUUAUCGGGACCCAAUAUAUAUCGAGACGGUUAUGUAGUCCAAAUUCGACUUGAGACACUGAUCGCUAACUAAGCUCAUAUAUACGUACGUUCGUUCGCCCAACACAUCGGCACGAUAUUAGGGCCCAGUGCCGUACGUGCAAACGUCACUGAUAGAAAAAGAGGCUUCCGUCCAGCCCCAUUAGUCGCGAAACUGUAGGAACCGCGACUAAUGAAGUCUUUAGUCGCGGUUCGGCAGAUGAACCGCGACCAAAUGCCUGGGCCCAGGGCGCUCGCGGGCUUUAGUCGCGGUUGGCCAGGCCAACCGCGACUAAAGGUGCCCAAAGGCCUUUAGUCGCGGUUGGCCAGGCCAACCGCGACUAAAGCUCCUCCCUUUUAGUCCCGGUUUGUGGCACGAACCGGAACUAAUGGGGUUGAGACCUUUAGUCCCGGUUCGUGCCACGAACCGGUACUAAAGGUCCCAUUUUCAAACUCUAACCCCCCCCUCCCCGGGAUCGCCUUUUCAGUUUUAAAAAAAAUAAAAGAAAAUAAUGGAAAUGUCAAAAAAAUAAAAGAAAAUAAGUUUCUCAUGUGAUAUGUGGUCUAGUUGUUGGGAAAAUUUGCAAAUGUGAAUAUUGACUUUAUUUGCAAAAUCUCUCUGAAAUUUGUAAAAAUGGGCAUAACUUUUGCAUACUAACUCGGAUGAAAAAGUUUUUUAUAUGAAAAAUCAUCUACUCGAAAAGUUACAUCCAAAUUUAACGGGAGGAACCCCGUUAAACAUUUUCAAAAUCCUCAAAAACCUAAUAGAAAAAAAGUUACGGGGCUUGUAAGAUCUAGAGUGGAAAAAAUUGAAAAAUAUUCAAACAGUGGGCAAACUAUGGUCAAACAAUGGUCAAACUAAUUAUUCUAGAAUAUUAGUGUUACUAAAUAAUUAUUUUAAUUAUUUCAAUUUUGGUCAAAUCUGGUCAAACUGUGGUCAACUGUGGUCAAACUGUGGUCAAACAAUGGUCAAACUAAUUAUUCAAGAAAUAUUAGUGUUACUAAAUAAUUAUUGUUUUUUAAAACAAUAGUUUCAAACUCAAACAGUGAAAUGUGUCACUUCAUGCUCAAGCAAAGUUCCUGAAGGUUAAUAGGAUUGACAUCUUAUUAUUGUCAGGAAAACAACAAGUGCAGACUUGGAGCGUGGGAGAAUAGAACCCGGAAGUUAAGCGUGCUUGGGCUGGAGUAGUGAGAGGGAUGGGUGACCGGUUGGGAAGUUAGAUGAUUUGGAAUGAUGAGGGGUGAUAAAAGAAUAAAUUGAGAAGUGAUGAGGGGUGGUGAUUAGAGACUAGAGGUUAAAAUAAUUCAGAAAUUUGAAAAAAAAAAUUCAAUUUUUUUUUCAAAAACCUGUGGCGGCCUUUAGUCGCGGUUAGCCACAAGAACCGCGACUAAAGGUCCUCCGCCCCGAAGGCCACCUGGCGCCCACGUGGACGGGCCUUUAGUCGCGGUUCUUAAGCAACCGCGACUAAAGGGGGGGCCUUUAGUCGCGCCCGUUCGGUCGCGGUUGCGCAACCGCGACUAAUAGCAGUUGCGAACCGCGACCAAAGGCCCUUUUUCCACCAGUGCGUACGAUGGCAACCUCGCCGACAAAUUCCAGGAUCAGGUCGUCGCACGGCGAACCGCCUCCGUCGCUGAACCAAGAGCUGAUCGUCGACGAGAUCCUCACGCGCCUGCCGGUAGCCGCAGUCGUGCGCUGCAGAUCAGUCUGCCGGGCGUGGAAUGCGGCCCUCGCCUCCGACCACUUCGUCGCCGCCCACGCCGCCAGAGCAGCAGCCGCGCGCCACCCCGAGAUCGUCUUCUUCUCGCCGACAGAGAGGGGCGUCGCCACGUCCUUCUACGCGUGCUCGCUUCCCGUGGACGGAGACGCGCCGCCCGCCGAGGCCCGCAAGCUGCUCAGGGUGGGCAACCUCGCCGGCGAGCACCUCCUGCUGUCCGGGAAUAAGCCGUGCAACGGCCUGACGCUCCUCUUCGACGUCCGGUUGGCGGAGUACCACCUCUUCAACCUCUCCACCGGCCAGCACAUCGCCCUGCCGCCGUGCGAGACGGCGGAGGAGAUAACACCGCUUGUCCCGAAGCCGAUGCGGCUCAAACGGUUUCCUAUGGAGCUCUCCAGCACCGGCCUCGGCUUCGACCCGGCCACCGGCCAGCACAAGGUGGUCAGGCUCUUCAGGAACAUUUUCGGGCAGCAGAAGUGCGAGGUGUGCUCGCUUACAGCAUCCGGCGAGUGGCGGUGGCGGCGACGCGCCGCCAAGAUUCGCGUGCCACGUCGACGGUAUGCCGCCGGUGGCCCUCGACGGGUAUCUCUACUGGCUACUGCACCAGCAGAGCUGCGCCGACGACGGCAGCGCUAGGGACCGGGAGCACGACGCGCCCAUCCUGUCGCUUUCCGUCGGCGCCGAGCGCUUCGGGUGGGUGAGCACGCCGCCGAAGCUGGCGUCACGCAUCCGCCACCUCACCAACCUCGACGGCUCCCUCUGCGCCGUCGUCCAUGACGGCCUCAUAAUUGACAAUGUGCUCCUGCUCAUGACGUGGAGUCGGUCGUCGCCGUCGUGGUCGGCACGUUGCCAAGUCGACAUGGGCAGCCUACCCCGGCCGAUCCGCGACGAGCUCAGGGGGCGGAACAUCGUCCCGCUCUGCAGCAUGGGCGGCGCGGAAAAGAUCCUGCUUGCGACGAGCCGGCACAAGGUGUACAUCUACGACACGGAGAGCGGCGACGUCGAAGAGGUGUUUGACAUGAAUGCCUUCGUUGACAUCCCGUGCAGCAACAGCGAGGCCCAGCUGUUCGUUAACAUUGGCCUCCACGAGGAGCGCAUCGCCGGCGUCGGGCGGACGUUGGCCGGUGACAAACGGCUGCAGGUGAAGCGGGGUGGAGAUACGGUGGUCGGCAAGCGGGAGGUGUCGCCGGAGGUGUACCAACGAUAUAGGGACAAGGACGAGCAUUUUCGCAGCAUGAGAGGAAUGAUCAUGCAGUUUGCAUGACCAAUGCAAGGGAACUACUAGCUAGCUCCAAAUCCUCAUCCCUCUUUUAUCUAGUUUGUUUUUAACAUCACGAGAUACACACAUAAGGCCAAUUCUAGCCGAUCCCCUACAAAAAUAAAAUAGAGGAGGAUCCAGCCAAAUAAGGCCAGAAAUAUAAAGGUUAUAUUAUGCCUAUUCAAACAAUUGUUAGGUUUGAAGAUUGGUUUUAACAAAAGUGAAUUGUUCUGCUUUGGAAAAGCCAUGGAAGAACAAGAAGGUUAUCGACAAUUGUUCGGAUGUGAACUUGAUACCCCGCCGUUUAGUUAUUUGGUAUACUAAUUCACCAUCGCAGGCUUUCUAAUAAGGAAUGAAAGUGUAUUGAAGGUCGAUUUGGAACAACAAAAAAACUAAAUUGCUGAAAGGGUAAACUUAUGUCUUAUAGAGCUCGGUUGAUACUGAUAAACCCAGUACUCAUGAAUAUGCUGAUGUUCUUUCUAUCUUUCUUUGAGGUACAUGUAGGGGUACCGAAAAUGUUAGUUUUUUAUUGAUCACGAUUUUUUGGCAAAGCAAUGAGAAAUAAAGAGAAAAUACAUGCUUACUAAAUGGGAUACCAUUUGUAGACCAAAGAACCCGGGGGCUAGGCAUUGAGAAUUUAGAGGUAAAAGACAGUUUCUUGCUCAGUAAAUGGUUAUACAAUCUUUCUGUUAAGACUCAAGGCAUGUGGGUACAGUUACUGCAUAACAAAUCUUUCGGUCUAAAACAUUGACCCAGGUUACCGUUAGACCCAAUGAUUCACCUUUCUAGAAGGGGUUGAUGAGACGAAAACGGCCUGCUUCCAUAGGACAAAAUUCAUCAUUGGAAACAGUAAUUCUACUAGAUUCUGGUAGGAUACUUGGUUAGGGGAGACGCCUCUGGUCACACAAUAUUCGUCCUUGUAUAAUAUUGUACAACAUAAGAACGCAUAUGUUGCUACAGUAUUACAGUCUUCACCUCUAAAUAUUCAGUUCUGGAGGUCUUUAGUAGGAGAUGAGGGAACGCUUGGCUACAUCUCGUACGAAGGUUGAUGGACAUUCCACUCUCUGAUGAGCCAGAUACGAUUCAUUAGAGACUAUCAAUGAACGAUGUGUUUUCAGUGAAAUCUAUGUAUGUAGACCUAUUACAUCUGGUCCAAUUCCAAAAACCGAUGCAUAUUUGGAAAAUAAAAAUACCCUUAAGAAUCAAAGUCUUCAUGUGGUUUGUUCACGAGGAGGUGAUUCUGACUAAGGAUAAUUUGGCAAAGCGAAGUUGGGAGGGCACUCAACGAUGCUGCUUUUGUGAUCAAGAUGACUCGAUUGAACACCUCUUUCUCAAAUGUCCGAUGCCUAGAUUAUUAUGGCGCUCAAUCCAUUUAGCAUUUAAAAUAGUAUACACAUGUUAUUUGGGACCACUAGUGCAGAACCGGGCAAUAGCACCGGUUCGUAAGGCCCUUUAGUGCCGGUUCCAUAACCGGCACUAAAGUGUGGGCACUAAAGCCCCCCCCCCCUUUAGUACCGGUUCAGCACGAACCGGUGGUAAAGGGCAACCACGUGGCACGAGCCAGCUCCGGGGGGCUGGAGCCCUUUAGUACCGGUUGAUAAUACCAACCGGUAUUAUAAGGUUUGGGUGGUUUUUAGUUUUAUGAUUUCUUUUUCAUUUAAUUUUGUGUUUCCAUUUUAAUUCUUUUUCGUUUGCUGGUAUUUUACGAUACUACACAUUGUACACGUUAUACAUAUAUAUAUAUAUAUAUAUAUAUAAAUAGAAUUUCUAGUAGAACCAAUCAUGCAUAUAUAUAUCAUCAAUGUCUCACAAACCACCAUAUUAAUUAAUUCACACAUACACAAAUGUAUAGCUAGCUAUAUACAAUUUCUCCUACAUAUGCAUGUUGCCUUCGGAGCCAGUGGCAUUAGCCUAAUUGGUUCCUUCGGAGCACGAUGACAAUUGGAAGUGGUUUUCAUGGGGGCGGUAGCGGCUAAUAGUAUUCUUCCUUCGAAUUUAUGACCUGAUCGAGCAAAAAUCCCGCUAUUUCCUCUUGAAGUGCUUCUACGCGCUCCGUUUCUAGGAGCUUCUCCCGCACCUCUCUGAACUGUUAAGAAGGAGAUCAAUAUGCAUGUGUAUUAGUUGUGUGACUAGAUAUCGAUAAUGGUGUAAAAAUUAUGAAUAGUGUUCUGACAAGCGUACCCAUUCCUGUCUUUGAGAUCUGCUCCUUUCGGACGUCAUCAUGCGAAUGUUCUCGCAAACGCAGAAUGCACACAGAUCAGUCCCCUGCGCCUGCUUCAGGGCCUUUACGAGAAUGGAAUUUGAUCAGAUAAUAAUUAAUCAAGCAUGAUAAUUAAAGAGAUGGCAGCUAGCUAGCUAGCUAGUACUACUUAAUUACUUACCUUGGAUCGAAACCAUUGAAGCUUUUUUUUCCAUUCGCCAUCCGUGACGCUGAUGAACCUUGCCCAAGCCCUGCCCGCUGACAAAGAAAAUGAAUAAAGGGGUUAUUAAAUAGUUCAUAUCAUUAAAUGACGAACUAAAUAGGCCGAGAUAUAUAGUUAAUAAUGAUUGAAAUUACCUGUUGACUAUCCCAAACAAGAUGUUAUAGUCAGUUUUAACUUUGAGUAGUGAGUCCAGUAUUUCAACUGUUCCGUCGUCAACUUUAAUGAUACACAAGACCCAGUAAAAUCUGCAUGCACACACGUUUGCAUGUUUUAAUUAAGCGGACAUAUGUAAGCAAAAACAUGUAGCUAGCUAGUAGGCAAAAACAGAGAAUUUGUAGUACAAGACUGUGUGACUCACUGGAAGUUGUAAGGAAGUAAUAUAUCUUUAUUGUAUUUGAGGCGCUUCAAGAACUCUAACAUGUUGUCCUCUAUGUCCUUUUGAUGAUGUGGAUUUAUACGCCAUGUGUAUUCAUUAACGGUGUUUGGAUCAAUGAACCCAAUGCCAUAGCGUCCACCUUUUCUCAUUUCAUACAUCUUCAUCCUGCAUAAUACCACAGAAAAGAAUAUAGUGAGGAUAAUUACAGGUAAUGAUUGAUCAAAAGGAUCACUACAGCUAGCUUGAGACUUAAAUUACAGAAAGAAAUCACUUACAGAUAAUAGCAACUGACGAUAGAUUUGUCGAGUGCGUCUUGAUUGUAUAACUGAAACAGUUCAGAAUACUCAACGGACAGAGCUUUCUCAUGGAAGUAAUGAUCCUCCUUGACAUUCACCAUGAGGGACAAUCGAUCUGAAAUCUUGGUAAUGUUCAUGUACCAUUGAUGCAAUUCAUACAUUCUCGUUGGGAGGUUCUUGACCUUGUCUGGCUCGACCAAAGGUUGGCCCCGGACAUAUUUCCAUUCAUCCUCUCUAAGCACAGGCAUGGGCUCGAUCUCGAGGAGUUGUCCAACAGUGAUUUUGAGAACUUCAACCUGCAUUAUAUGCUCCUCCGUUAUUACCACAUUGCCCACCUCAGGAAUGUAAACUGUUUGCCCACAAUAAUAUUGGGCGCGUGUACUGUCACGUGUUGUUGGCACAACAAGCGAGGGGAUCGAUUGCGCCGCCUGCUCUCCCAGCUGGGGAAUGCUUUUCCCGCAUUUUUUGACAGCUGCUUCUUGUUUGCUCGAUCCCGAGCUCGCCUCCUUACGUAGACGUGCUCGAUUUAACUUCCUGAUGUGGCGCUCAUAGUCUGUGUCAACAGGCUUGGGAGCUGGUGGUUGAGCCAUACGAAUGAAGUGGUCAAUCGUUUCCUCAGGCACUUUCUCCCUUGGCGGCGGUGGUGGUUUCGGUGCAAAAUGGGCUUCCACCUCGACCUUCGAUAUGGCUGCGAUUUCCUCCUCGGACCUGUCAUAAGCCCUCUGUGGAAGAGGCGUGAGGCUUGGACCAUAUUUAUAUCGCUUGCCUCCGCCUGUACUUCCUGUACUACCUCGACUCGUACCGCUACGCACCAUAGCUGCGGGGUGUCUCUUCUGCGAUUGCUGAGGCGGCGGAGACGGCUGACGGGGCUGAGUUGGACGAGGAGGAGUGGCCGCCUGAAGUUGUGCCGGACUUGGAGGAGGAGUGGCCUGAGGUUGUGCCGGACUUGGAGGAGGAGUGGACAUCUGACGCUGUGGCGGACUUGGAGGAGGAGGAGUGGCCUGACACUUUGCCGGACUUGGAGGAGGAGUGGCCUGACACUUUGCCGGACUUGGUGGACUUGCAGGAGCGGGAGACUGCUGACUCGGUGGCGGACUUCGGCGAGGAGUCGGCUGACGCGGUGUCGGUGGCCUUCGAAAGAUGAUGCAAUCCUUUUUCCAUAGGAUGAUACGAUGUUUGGCCUCUUCGAGAAAGCGCUCGUCGUCACCUCCAGGAAUGUCAAGUUGUAGCUCCGAAUAUGGUGGGUCCACCACCUCAUCAACCAAGACACGAGCAUAGCCCGCUGGAAUCGGGUUGCAAUGGAAGGUUGCCUCGGGGGGAUUUGUAAAAGCAACGCCGUCCGCCACCUUCAUGGAUAUGUUCGUUAUUUUGACGUGUAGCUCGCAGUUAGUGUUCUCCGUGAUGUCAUCCACGGGGUAUCUACCCAGCAUUGCGUCAUCCGGGGCGGCCGAACCCACGCUGCUUCUCGGCAUGGAUGGGUCGGUGCUAUCCAAUGCUGGAUCAUCCGCUAGCUGCUGCAGCUGCUGAGACCCCCUUUGCUGGGUAAGUGAGUCGAUCUGCUCCUGCUGCCGCUGGAAUUUGACUGCCAAUUCCGCUUGACUUGCUUCUAGGCCUUGAAGGCGUUCAUAGUCCCGCUUCCUCUGCUCCUCCUCCAUCUUCCUCUUCUUCUCCUCCACAAUCUUCUUUCUCGCAUGGGUUCUGUAGUCGGUGUUCCAGUCUGAAAACCCCUCAUACCACGGAAUAGCGCCCAUGCCUCGUGUUCUUCCCGGGUGUUCAGGAUUUCCCAGGGCACGCGUAAGCUCGUCGUUCUCUCUGUUGGGCUGGAACACCCCCGAUCGUGCCUCUUCUAUUGCAACAAGUAUCGCAUCGUCGGCUCCCUUCAGACUUGCCUUCGUCGAAACAUUGCCUGUCUUCGGGUCCAACUCCCCCCCAUGCGCAUAGAACCAAGUCCUGCACCUGGGGGGCCAGCUCUUAGUAACCGGAGUGACACCUGCAUCCUCCAUCUCUUUCUCAGACUUAUCUCACUUAGGCAUUGCCACCGCAUAGCCACCUGGCCCCAGCUUAUGGAACUUAUCCUUUUUUUCGGCAUUCUUCUUGUUUACUCUCGACCGUUCCUUAGCUAAUUCUGAAUCCUUGAAUUUCACAAAAUCGUCCCAAUGAGCACGUUGGUUCUCUAGUGUUCCCUCGAAUACUGGAGUCUUCCUUCCUCCCUUGACGUACUUGUCCCAUUCACGAUUCUUGUGGUUCUUGAAUACAACCGCCAUCUUCCUAAGAGCAGCGUCCUUGACUUUCUGCACAUCUGCUUCUGUGAAAUGAUCUGGUAGGGUGAAAUGUUCCAUGAGAGUAUCCCAAAGCAGAUCUUUUUGAUUCUUGUCGACAAAAGUAACAUCUGGACGUGGAGCAGCGUCCUCUUUGCCUUUUUGUCUUUUGUCUUUUGCUGGCUCUCUCCAUUCUUGAAGGAAGAUCGGGAGUUGGUCCUUCACAAGAACUCCGCACUGACGAACGAACUUGUCCGCAAUCUUCUUAGGCGCUAAUGGUUCGCCAUUAGGUCUGACUGCCUCGAUAUUGUACUUUACGCCCUCCUUCAACUUUUUGUUUGGGCCUCAUUUCGUCCUUUUGCCUGAAGAUUUGCUCGAUCCGGAUGGCUGAAAGAACAAAGAUCGAUUCGUUAAUAUAUCUUCAAGUCAUUUAAAACAUGUGAUGAUCACCAGAUACCUGCUUAUAUAGAUAUAUAUACCUCGCCGGUCUUUGUUGUUUCAGGAUCAACAUGUUCUUCGUCAUCGUCAUAAUCGUAGUUCAUGACUUCAUCAAUUCGGUCGUCGCGAUCGAAUAUCAUAUCACCCUCUCCGGUGUUGUUUAGAAAUUCGGAGCCGUCAUAAUCUUCUUCAUUCUGAUCAUCAUCUGGCCCACAUAUCAUAUCAAACAUGGUCUGUUCUCCCUCUCUGUCGGUAUUGUCUGCCAUAGCUUUUAUUUAACUAAUCCAAAAGAAAUAUAAAACAAUUUAGUAUUCAAAUUACAUCGUCUCAAAUAAUAGAUAUAAUCUCGAAUACUUCGUCUAGAAUAAUAGAUAUAAUCUCGAAUAUAUCGUCUCGAAUAAUAUAUAAUAUUGAAUAGUACAUCACUGGCUAGCUAAUUAAAGAUCGAAUACUACAGAAGAAUCUAGGACACUUGCGGUUCCUGCGGCGCGGGCGGUGGACACCCAAAGAGAAGGAACCCACACAGGAUCAUAGCUGAAGUGAGAUCCCCGAAGAUACUGCCAGGUAUUGGAGAACCUUCUGCCCUCUAACGCAACCAUGUAGCGAUGGACGUGCUCGUCCUCCUCCCUGACACGGCGACGUACCACCUCCGGCGGGGCCGGGUCCCUCCGCACCGAAACUGGCCCACGCGAACGCCACCAAACGAGAUCAGGGUCGACGACGGGACCCGGGGCCGGGUUCCUCAUCAAGCGGCACGCCCCUCCAGGCAGCACCUCCCAGUGCCAGCCCGGCGGAGCCCAGUCCCGGACAUGGGUCGCUGGACGUCGUCACGGACGGGUCGACGGCGAGGAUGCGGGCCGGGCAUCGUCGAGAACAAAUACUAGCUAUAUGCCCGCAAAAAGUAACAUUUUUUUAAUGAUUGGAUUUUGAUAACUAAAAUUUCUAACAUUUCUACUAUUUCAAAAAUCUAUAUACUAUUUCAUACUAAUUAAGCAUCUAACACUAAAAACAGAAAACACAGCUUCUAUACAUCCAUUAAAAAACUGAAAAACAACAUUAUAUAAAAAAUUUCCAUACUAAUUAAACACUAAUUAUAUCCAUCUAACAUGCAUUCAUACAUAUNNNNNNNNNNNNNNNNNNNNNNNNNNNNNNNNNNNNNNNNNNNNNNNNNNNNNNNNNNNNNNNNNNNNNNNNNNNNNNNNNNNNNNNNNNNNNNNNNNNNNNNNNNNNNNNNNNNNNNNNNNNNNNNNNNNNNNNNNNNNNNNNNNNNNNNNNNNNNNNNNNNNNNNNNNNNNNNNNNNNNNNNNNNNNNNNNNNNNNNNNNNNNNNNNNNNNNNNNNNNNNNNNNNNNNNNNNNNNNNNNNNNNNNNNNNNNNNNNNNNNNNNNNNNNNNNNNNNNNNNNNNNNNNNNNNNNNNNNNNNNNNNNNNNNNNNNNNNNNNNNNNNNNNNNNNNNNNNNNNNNNNNNNNNNNNNNNNNNNNNNNNNNNNNNNNNNNNNNNNNNNNNNNNNNNNNNNNNNNNNNNNNNNNNNNNNNNNNNNNNNNNNNNNNNNNNNNNNNNNNNNNNNNNNNNNNNNNNNNNNNNNNNNNNNNNNNNNNNNNNNNNNNNNNNNNNNNNNNNNNNNNNNNNNNNNNNNNNNNNNNNNNNNNNNNNNNNNNNNNNNNNNNNNNGCGGCGAUGGGGACGGGGGCGGCGACGGCGACGGAGACAACAGAAACAGAGGAAGAAACAGAGGGAGAAUGAAAAUUUCGUAAGUGUAUAUAUAGAAGGCAGCUGUAGUACCGGUUGGAGCCACCAACCGGUACUAAAGGCCUGUUUUGGCCAGGCCAAGCGGCGGGAAGACGAGGCCUUUAGUACCGGUUGGAGCCACCAACCGGUACUAAAGACCACCCUUUAGUACCGGUUGGUGGCUCCAACCGGUACUAAAGGCCUCGCGCUGCCACCCCAAAGUUUAGUCCCACCUCGCGGGGCGAAGGGCAGCCGCACUGGUUUAUAAACCCAGCCGCGGCUACCACUUUGAACUCCUCUAUAUAGCAGGCUUAUGGACCUAAACUCUGCGCGCUGUCCUGUGAGUCUGUUGGGCCUUUAAGGCCUGUAAUUACACACCUGUGGCCUAUCAGGCCCACAGGGCAGCGCCCCAAUUUUUUUAUCGUUUUUUUCUUUUCUGCUUUAUUUUCUUCUAUUUAUUUUUGCGUAGUUUUUUGUAUAGUUUUUUCUUUUCUGUUAUAUUUAUUUUCUUCUAUUUAUUUGUGAGUAGUUUUUCAUCUAGUUUGCCAAAAUUCAACAUUUUCAGAGUUCAUUUUGUAGUGAUUUUCAAUUUCACGAUCGUUUUGUAAACGAUUGAAAAAUAGCAAAUAUAAUUUUUUUUCUUUUCUGCUUUAUUUUUUCUUCUAUUUAUUUCUGAGUAGUUUUUUCUUUUCUGCUAUAUUUAUUUUCUUCUAUUUAUUUUUGAGUAGUUUUUUUAUAUAGUUUUUUCUUUUCAGCUAUAGGUUUUCUUUCUUUUCUGCUAUUUUUUCUUUUCUGUAAAACUUGAUGGUCAAAGUCUGGAGUUAUAACUUAAAAAAAAGAAAUGUCGACGUGCAAUUAGUUUUUGCCAUAACAGAAGAAGUCCGGAGUUGUAAUAAGUUAUUAAAAAUAAAAAAGAGGUGCAAUGCUCGUUAAUUUGCUUCAAGCCUUUCGGAAUAGUGUAAACUGCACUGCGCAUAGCUCCGUGCAGUCUACCGUAUUCCUGAAUGCUUGAAGCUAAGCAACGUGAGCAUUGUUCCUCUUCUUCAUCGUCUCUGCACUCAGGGCUCAUAAACCGCUCCUAGUCCCUCUCACUUCGCGAGGUGGGACUAAAAAACAGCUUACGUCUGGUUCAUCCAUGAACCGGUACUAAAGGUGCUCGUGGGGCCCCAGCCUUACCUGACACAACCUCAUUAGUACCGGUUCGUGGUACGAACCGGCACUAAAUGGUGAUGGUGGGGCCAUAGCCUGACCGGAGGCUGACACAGCCUCUUUAGGUACAAAAAAUUACAAACUUUCUGUUAGUGCCCGUAGUUUUCAAAUUUGAAUAGUUUAAAUUUUGAAUUAUUUGACAUUAGUGUGAAUUUGUUUGCACAUAAAAUUUCUUCGCGUUUCAAAUGCCAAAACACAUAACUACCCUAACUAUUACAGAGAUUCCCCUCUGGGUGCGAAACACAGAAGAAAGUGAUGAUAGCUAGUGAAGCCGAUCACAUCCCAGAUCUUUGGGUGUGAAACUUUUUCUUCGCGUGUGUCCCUUUGCGCCGUAACCAUGGAAAAUCUUCAUCAUUUAAUGGGAUGCUCGGGUCAAUAUUCAUUGUGAAUGGAGCAAUUUCAUCAAACUUUUCAUAAUAUUCUGACUUGUCUGUCUUGUCAUCCACUCCCAUGAUGUUUCUCUUCCCAGAAAGAACUAUGUGCCGCUUUGGCUCAUCGUACGAUGCAUUCGCUUUCUUAUCUUUUCUUUUUCUUGGCUUGGUAGACAUGUCCUUCACAUAGAAAACCUGUGCCACAUCAUUGGCUAGGACGAAUGGUUCGUCUGCAUACGCAAGAUAGUUGAGAUCCACUGUUGUCAUUCCGCACUGCGGGUCUUCCGUUACCCCGCCUCGUGUCAUAUUGACCCAUUUGCACUGAAACAAAGGGACCUUUAAACCACGUCGAUAGUCAAGUUCCUAUAUGUCCUGUAUAUAACCAUAAUAUGUUUCCUUUAUUGUCUUGGUUUCUGCAUCAAAGCGGACACCACUGUUUUGGUUGGUGCUCUUCUUAUCUUGGGCGAUCGUGUAAAAUGUAUUACCAUUUAUCUCGUACCCUUUGAAAGUCAUUAUAUUCGAAGAUGGUAACUGGGAUAGCAAGUACAGGUCAUCUUCAAUAGAGGUGUCAUGCAUGGUACGUGUCUGCAACCAGCUGGCGAAACUCCUGGUUUGUUCAUGUGUAAUCCAGUCAUUAGACCGCUCCGGGUGUUUGGAGCGUAGCAAAUUCUUGUGUUCAUCCAUAUACGGAGCCACCAAGGCGGAAUUCUGUAGAACUGUGUAGUGUGCUUCAGUGAGAGAAUGUCCGUCCAUACAUAUUAUUUGUUCCCCUCCUAGCGUGCCUUUUCCAUCCAAUCUGCCCUUAUGCCGCGAUUCAGGAACACCAAUCGGCUUAAGGUCAGGAAUAAAGUCAAUACAAAAUUCAAUGACCUCCUCAUUUUGAUGGCCCUUGGAGAUGCUUCCUUCUGGCCUAGCACGGUUAUGAACAUAUUUCUUUAAGACUCCCAUGAACCUCUCAAAGGGGAACAUAUUGUGUAGAAAUACAUGACCCAAAACGUUAAUCUCUUCGCAUAGGUGAACUAGGACGUGCGUCAUGAUGUUGAAGAAGGAUGGUGGGAACACCAACUCGAAACUGACAAGACAUUGCACCAAAUCAUUCUGUAACCUUGGUAUGAUUUCUGGAUCGAUUACCUUCUGAGAGAUUGCAUUGAGAAAUGCACAUAGCUUCACAAUGGCUAAUCGAAUGUUUUCCGGUAGAAGCCCCCUCAAUGCAACCGGAAGCAGUUGCGUCAUAAUCACGUGGCAGUCAUGAGACUUUAGGUUCUGCAACUUUUUCUCUGCCAUGUUUAUUAUUCCCUUUAUAUUCGACGAGAAGUCAGACGGUACCUUAAUACUGAGCAGGCAUUCAAAGAAGAUUUCCUUCUCUUCUUUGGUAAGAGCGUAGCUUGCAUGACCCUGAUGUAUGCCGUCUUCUCCGUGCAUACGUUGCUAGUCCUCCCAUGCCUCAGGUGUAUCUUUUGUCUUCCCAUACACGCCCAAGAAGCCAAGCAGGGUCACGCAAAGAUUCUUCGUCACGUGCAUCACGUCGAUUGCGGAGCGGACCUCUAGGUCUUUCCAAUAUGGCAGGUCCCAAAAUAUAGAUUUCUUCUUCCACAUGGGUGCGCGUCCGUCAACGUCCUUUGGAAUAGGUUGUCCGCCAGGACCCUUUCCAAAUAUCACCUUCAAAUCCUUGACCAUAUCAUGUACAUCAGCACCAGUACGGUGGCGAGGCUUCAUCCGGUGAUCCGCCUCACCUUUGAAAUGCUUGCCUUUCUUUCUUACGAGAUGCCUGCUCGGAAGAAAUCGACGAUGUCCCAGGUACACAUUCUUCUUACAACUAUUCAAAUAUAUAUUGUCGGUAUCAUCCAAACAGUGCAUGCAUCCGCGGUAUCCCUUGUUUGUCUGUCCUGAAAGGUUACUGAGAGCAGGCCAAUCAUUGAUGGUCACGAACAGCAACGCCUUUAGGUCAAAUUCUUCCCCCAUGUGCUCAUCCCACGCACGUACACCUGUUCCAUUCCACAGUUGUAAGAGUUCUUCAACUAAUGGCCUUAGGUACACAUCAAUGUCGUUGCCGGGUUGCUUAGGGCCUUGGAUGAGCACUGGCAUCAUAAUGAACUUCCGCUUCAUGCACAACCAAGGAGGAAGGUUAUACAAACAUAGAGUCACAGGCCAGGUGCUAUGGUUGUUGCUCUGCUCCCCAAAAGGAUUAAUGCCAUCUGAACUUAGACCAAACCAUACGCUCCUUGCGUCAUCUGCAAACUCCUUCCCAUACUUUCUUUCGAUUUUUCUCCACUGCGACCCGUCAGCGGGUACUCUCAACUUUCCGUCUUUCUUACGGUCUUCUCUGUGCCAUCGCAUCGCCUUGGCAUGCUCUUUGUUUUGGAACAAACGUUUCAAAGUGGUAUUAUAGGAGAAUACCACAUCACCUUGGCAGGAAUCUUCUUCCUGGGGCGCUCGCCCUCGACAUCACCAUGCUCAUCGCGGCUGAUCUUAUAGCGCAAUGCACCACAUACCGGGCAAGCGUUCAAAUCCUCGUACUCACCGCGGUAGAGGAUGCAAUCAUUAGGGCAUGCAUGUAUCUUCUGCACCUCUAACCCUAAAGGGCAGACAACCUUCUUUGCUUCGUACGUACUCUCGGGCAAUUCGUUGUCCUUUGGAAGCAUAUCCUUUAUCAUUACCAGCAACUUUCCAAAUCCCUUGUCAGAUACACCAUUCUCUGCCUUCCAUUGCAGCAAUUCCAGUGUGGUGCCCAGCUUUUUCUUGUCACCUACGCAAUUCGGGUACAACAAUUUUUUGUGAUCCUCUAACAUGCGCUGCAACUUCUUCUUCUCCAAAUCACUUGUGCAGUUUCUCUUUGCAUCGGCAAUGGCACGACCUAGAUCAUCAACGGGCUCAUCUGAUGCCUCUUCUUCAGCUUCUUCCCGCAUUGCCGGCUCAGCUUCUUCCCGCAUUACCGGCUCAGCUUCUUCCCCCAUUGUUGUAUCAUCGUAUUCAGGGAACCCAUGGCCAGGAUAGCUGUCGUCGUCCUCUUCUUCUUCAUUGUCUUCCAUCAUAACCCCUCUUUCUCCGUGCUUGGUCCAAACAUUAUAGUGGGGCAUGAAACCGGACUCAAACAGGUGGACGUGAAUGGUUCUUGACAUAGAGUAAUUGCGACCAUUCUUAUAGCCAGCACAUGGACAAGGCAUAAAACCAUCCGCCCACUUGUUUGCCUCAGCCGCAAGCAGAAAAGUAUGCACGCCCUCAACGAAUUGGGGAGAGCAUCGGUCAUCGUACAUCCAUUGCCGGCUCAUCUUCAUUACACAACACCGAAUAGACCAAAUUAAUACAAGUUCAUACAUAAAGUUCAUACAACACUUAAAUGCAACAAACAAAUAACUCUCUAGCUAAAGCAUUUAAAUGCAACAACAAAUGCGAUCAAGAUCACAACUAAGGUAACAAUUGAUCCAACAGCAUAAUGAUACCAAGCCUCACUAUUGAUGGCAUAUUUUCUAAUCUUUCUAAUCUUCAAGCGCAUUUUCUCCAUCUUGAUCUUGUGAUCAUCGACGACAUCAGCAACAUGCAACUCCAAUUCCAUCUUCUCCCCCUCAAUUCUUUUCAAUUUUUCUUUCAAGUACUCGUUUUCUCUUUCAACUAAAUUUAACCUCUCGACAAUAGGGUCGGUUAGAAUUUCCGGUUCACAUACCUCCUAGAUAAAAAUAUCUAUGUCAACUUGAUGGGCAUAAUUUGUCAUAAAAACGAAAUGCAACAAAUAGUUUUAAAAGAGAAUAUACCACAUCCGAAUCAUAACAAGGACGAGGGCCGACGGGGACGGAUAUCAAAACCAUGGCACUAUGUAUAACAAACAACGUACGGGUAAGAUAAUUAUUAUACGAGUAACUAUAUAUCCAAAUCACACAAACAUCAAUUUUUUAUAUACAAUUUUAUGAACAAGAGGCUCACCACAAGGUGGUGCCGGCGACGGGACGGUGCGGGCGAUCGACGGUGGUUACGACGGAGAUUUAGAAGGCACUAAGUAAACCACACCUACAUAUGCAAACUAAGUGUUAUUUUGACCUCAAAUUGCAUAUAAAUCAAAUACUACCACAUAUAAUUCCUCCCAAAUUACUAAAACCCACAAUUAAUCACUAUAUAAACCAAUGCAUGAGCUAAUCUAGCAAUGAGAGAUGAAAGGACAAAGUUGCUAACCUUGGUGAUCAUUUGAAUGGAUGAGGGCCUGCAAAUCUUGACAAAUUUGGGGCAAAUUUUGUGAUGAACUCGAGAGGAAGAAGGGAAGGACAGAGGAGAGGGAGAGGGGAAAGGGGGAAGAACAGAGUGCGGGUGGACGAAGGGUUUAUAUAGGACGACCUUUAGUACCGGUUCGUGCCACGAACCGGUACUAAAGGUGCUGGAAGGGCCCCACUCUGACAACAUCCUGCCACCACUCUCAUUAGUACCGGUUCGUGGUACGAACCGGUGCUAAAGGUUUGCCAUGAACCGGUACUAAAGAGCUCCUCCCGGCUAGCCGUUGGAACCGGCACUAAUGGACACAUUAGUGCCGGUUCUGUUACAAACCGGGACUAAUGUGUCUCACAUUUGACCCUUUUUCUACUAGUGGACGUGGCUAAAUGGGGGUUGAUCCAACUAUUGUGACACAUAUUCGGAUAGGAGUAUGUGCGUUACUUUGGUCUAUAUGGAACUGCAUAAAUGAUAUGGUUUUUAACACACAAACCCGGAUUAAUUUUUUGUAGAUUAUCUACAGGGCCAUUAUUUGGAUCCGUACAUGGUCGUUACUCACUCCUCCGGAAGCCAGGGAGCCUUUGGUUACUGGGUCUACCCGAUGGGAGAUGGUAGCUCAGGAUAUCUACAACCAGUUUGAAUGGCGGUCCAAUAAUAGGUUAAGUGUUUAGUGACCUCGUUUUAUUUUCGCCGAUUGUGGCAUUUUACAAUUUCUUUUUUGCUUUCAUUUCAGCUCUGACAGAGCGUGUCACGCUGAUGCAGAGGCCGGGGGUUAUCCUCCUUUUCCAAAAUGAAAAUGUCACAAAGCUAGAUUCAUAUAUGAAUAGUAUGUGGACCUGCUUAUGCUCGAAACAAAUAUAGCUUGAUGGACCCAACAAAACUAGCUAUUCCGCUUGCAUCAACGUUUUGUCUCAAAAAAAAUCAUCGUUUUGGCCUUUAUUCAGCUUCUUCUUCAAGACAUGGAAGAAUAUCGCAAUGCAAAAGGUGAAGAUGGAGAUGACGAAUUUAUAGGUCUUUGAUAGUAUUUUAGGUUUAUCAGGAAUGUUUGAUGUUUUUGUUUUUUCUUGUUUCUUUCAGAUCAUUCAUUUUGGUUAGACAAAUUAAAGUCCAAACAUUUUCUAGACAAUAAUGUGAAAGAUGAUGAAAAAUCAAAAGGUAAAAUUAUGUGUCUCUCUUUGAAAAAGUUAACGAUGGACUCAACACUUUGGCAUCAAAACCAAAGAAAGUAAGUAUACAUUCCAAUUUUACAUGAAAACACAAAUGCCCCAGGCGAUCAGGCCGCCCGGGUUUGUGGCGUCGGAUCUCUUCAUCAACUGUAGCAUUGUCAGAUGGCUUCUGUGACUCGGUAAUUGUUUUAAUCCCAAAAGUGAACUCUCCUGAUGUGCUAUCUAAUUUCUGGCCUAUAAGUUUGUGCAAUGUUAUUUACAAAGUUGCUUCAAAAGUUACAGCUAAUCACUUAAAACCUUUUUUGCCGGAAAUAAUUUCUAAACAACAGAGCGCCUUUGUGUCAGGGAGACUAAUUACUGAUAAUAUCCUCAUUGCUUAUGAAUGUCUCCAUACAAUUAGAAAGCAAAAGGUAAAACACCCUUUCUUUGCUCUCAAAAUUGAUAUGACAAAGGCAUAUGAUAGAGUAGAGUGGAAAUAGCUCAAGGGUGUGUUGCUGAAACUGGGCUUUAAUGCUAGAUGGGUGGAGAUGGUAAUGCGAUGCAUAACUUCUGUGAAACAUACAGUCAAAGUCAAUGGUGAUUUUACCGAACCUUUUAAACCUACUAGAGGUAUUAGGCAAGGGGAUCCAAUUAGCCCCUACCUAUUUUUGCUAUGUGCUGAAGGCUUAUCUUGUUUGUUGCAGCAAAAGGAAGCGUCAGGGGACUUGAAAGGAAUUUGCAAUGGUAGGUUUGGUCCUCCUAUCUCCCAUCUCCUUUUUGUUGAUGAUACUGUGUUCUUUAUUAAGGGAGAUGACAAGAGUGUCGAGGCCCUAAAAUCAGCACUACACACGUAUUGCAAUGGGUCUGGACAGAAAAUCAAUUUUCAGAAAUCGUCUAUAUUUUUUGGUACACAUUGUGACGAACAGGUAAAGGAAAGAGUGAAAAGGAAAAUUGGAGUACAAGAUGGCACAUUACAAGCUACUUAUCUUGGCAUGCCGACCUGGGUGGGACGUUCACCAACUAAUUGUUUCAAUUUUCUCACUGGUCGGAUAUGGAAAAGACUUAAUGGCUGGAGUGAUAGGCCAUUAUCAAGGGCUGGGAAAGAAAUUCUGUUAAAAUCGGUUGCACAAGCAAUUCCAACAUAUGUAAUGAGUUGUUUUCCGCUUCCCAUUAGCGUUUGCGAAAAGAUAAGAAGAUCAAUUGCAAACUUCUGGUAGGGUGUAGAAGAUGGCAGAAGGAAACUACAUUGGAGAUCAUGGAAAUGGUUAUCCUCACCAAAGUUCCUAGGAGGCAUGGGAUUUAGGGACAUCUCAAUUUUCAAUCAAGCCAUGUUGGGUAAACAAUGUUGGCGUCUUUUAACCGAGCCCAACUCUUCAUGUGAGUGUUAAAGGGUAGGUAUUAUCCUGAUGGGGAUUUCUGGACUGCGAAGUGCCCGAGGUCUUCAUCUUACACAUGGCGUAGUCUGAUGUAUGGGAAGUGAUUGAUACAAAAAGGCAUGUAGUGGAGAGUUGGAGAUGGUAAACAAAUACAUAUAUACAGGGACAAUUGGAUUCCAGAUGUGAUUCCCGGAACUCCGCAACCAACGAGUGAAAACCAAUUAGUGAGUUCCUUGAUUACCGAGGGGGGUCAACAAUGGAAUGAGGCAGCCAUCAAAAAUAGAUUCACAGAAGACACGGUGGAGAAAAUUCUGAGCAUUCUUUUAAGUACAGAAGGUUGUACAGACUUUGCCUCAUGGCCCCACACAAAGAAUGGCGUCUAUACUGUGAGAUCAACCUAUAAUCUAGCUACAAUGAUGAUUUCUGGGGAAAGCAGAGUGUAGAUGGCAAAGGUUCAACUUCUGAACAGAAGCCAUUGGAGAAAAUGUGGAAGAAACUGUGGGCAAUUCAGUGUCCUAAUAAAAUGAAAGUAGUAUUAUGGAGGCUGGCACAUGAUUGUCUCCCUACAGGCUAUCAACUUCAAGUAAGAUACAUACCUACAAGCUAUAAUUGUUACUUUUGCAAUAGGGAGGAAACUGUUGAACACUGUUUUCUGAAUUGUCACUAUGUUAAAGAAAUCUGGAAAGAACUUAAAAAGGAUUAUGGAAUUUGCCUGAACCUGAAAAGCUUUACCCAUAUUAGGCAAUGGAUAUUAACAUGGCUAUUUAAUGCUACUGAUUUUCAUGCCAUUGUUUUUGCCGUGGCAAUUUGGCAUAUUUGGGAGAAUAGAAAUGCUCAUCGUAAUGAUGAGGCUUUAAUUCACCCACUUCGUGUUGUGGGAAAUAUCAAAGCCUAUAUUGAGUUCAUCAAUUUGCAUCUUUUCAGUUCGACCAAUUUCAAUAGGCGUGAGGCCUUGAAGUCUAGCCAAAAUUGGUCUCCGCCGCCGGAAGGGUCGAUGCUUAUCAACGUGGAUGCAGCAAUCUUUCCUCAGUCUACAAGAGCUGGAUUUGGCGUGGUCAUUCGCGACCAUUGGGGGAUGGUGCAAGCGGCAAGCAGAGGCUACUUUGCUCGAAUCCAAAAUCCUGAAGUUGCAGAAGCCAUGGCACUUCGUCAAGCUUUAUUUCUUGUUGGGGAGAGAGGUAUGCAGAGAAUAAUGGUGGCUUCUGACUGUUUGUCGCUGAUCAACAAAAUCAAAGAACCAAAUUUGGAUAGAUCCCCUGCAGGAGCAAUAGUCCACGAUAUCAAGAACUGGGCUACAAAGUUUAGGUCUUAUAGCUUUAUCCAUGUUUAUCGAUCAUGUAAUUUGGCAGCUCACACUCUUGCCAGGUCGGCAGAGUAUGAUGUUAGAUCAUGUUGGUUUAAUGAGACUCCUAAUGUUAUCAGGACCAUUAUCUAUAAUGAACAAGCUUAUGUAUAAAUAAAAGGCUGCUGCCAAUUACCUUAAAAAAAACUGUAGCAUUGUCGGUACUAUUUGGCACUGUAGCGUGUGAUCGGCCUGGGGCUUGCCCGGGGCCUCACUUGAUCAUGCCUACGCCAUUGGUCAUACCUCUUGUCGUGUUUAGAAAAUAGAGAAAAAUACCUUGUUGAUUUGUAGAUGGAUGAUGUACUGGAUGGACUAGAUGGAUUCUCCUUGUAGCCUGGCGGCUGGCGGAAUGACGCUGCGAUUACCGAUGACAACGGAGGCUGCAGGAGGCCCGCAGUGGCGCAGCCCCGCAUGGAUCACAACCAGAGGGGAGGGAGAGGGCCAGAGGAGCAGAGGCCUCGCCAUCGCCCGGCGGACCUCGCUUGUCGGUGCCUAUGUUUUGAUUUGGUGCCUAUGUUGAAUAUGUUUUUUUUCGGGGGUAAAGAGAUUUUAUUCUAUUAUGAUAGGGUUACAAUUACGAGACAGCUGCUCCUCACAACAUGAAGGACACAAGUUCAGCNNNNNNNNNNNNNNNNNNNNNNNNNNNNNNNNNNNNNNNNNNNNNNNNNNNNNNNNNNNNNNNNNNNNNNNNNNNNNNNNNNNNNNNNNNNNNNNNNNNNNNNNNNNNNNNNNNNNNNNNNNNNNNNNNNNNNNNNNNNNNNNNNNNNNNNNNNNNNNNNNNNNNNNNNNNNNNNNNNNNNNNNNNNNNNNNNNNNNNNNNNNNNNNNNNNNNNNNNNNNNNNNNNNNNNNNNNNNNNNNNNNNNNNNNNNNNNNNNNNNNNNNNNNNNNNNNNNNNNNNNNNNNNNNNNNNNNNNNNNNNNNNNNNNNNNNNNNNNNNNNNNNNNNNNNNNNNNNNNNNNNNNNNNNNNNNNNNNNNNNNNNNNNNNNNNNNNNNNNNNNNNNNAGGAGCUAGGAGGGGGGGGGGGAGGGGGGGGAGGAUUUAAAUGUGUCAUACCCCCUCCGUGAGCGUUUUUUACUCUAGUAGCUAAUUACGGUCAGCCAGAUAUACUUCGAGAUCUUCGGGGGUCUUCUUGUGCGCCAAGUUGGUAUCGCCCUUCUAGACUGGGCCGCAAAAAUUCUAAAAUUCUUUUAAGGAUUUAAAUGACACUAGCAUUGUCCCCCAAAAAAACUAUGCAGCAGCAAAUUUAUCAUUUUGCGAAUCAACCUGUGGUUGAGUUGGUUAGGUGGACAGUGGUAUCCCCAAUCCACCAGGGUUCAAAUCCUGGUGCUCGCAUUAUUCCUGAAUUUAUUAGGGAUGAGUGUAUGCGCGUGUAUAUGAGCGCUUGUGUCUGUACUGAUGCUAAAAAAAAGCAGCAAAUUUAUCAUUUUAUUUCAUAAAUUAUAUUUUUUUCAUGGUAAUAAUUGUCUUAUUUAUAUCAAAAGGAUCCUAGUACAGCCCACAUACACAACGACCUGACAAAACUGAAUAAAUAACAGAACAUUAGCAUUUGCAUAAAGUAACAAGGUCAAGAAGUAAAAUUACAAACAAGACCGAAGAAAUCUCUGAACUUGACACCAACGUCCAUCAUCUGCCUCUGGCACCACCGUAGCAGCCACCAAAAGAAAAAAAUGAUGGAUCACCUUCAUAAAUUUGAGAAUACACAUCAUACCCUACUACUAAGCGUACAGAGUAUACAAGCGUACAAUGUAUACAAAGUACACAUCGUGUCCCUACGCUGGGAAUGCAAGCUGCAUGAUCACCUCCCUCGUCCUGUGAAAAUCCUCGUCCUGCUCCCGAUGUUCCUGGCACACCGACGACGCCUCCCGCUUGUCGAGCACCAUGCCUCGUCGCCGCUUCACCUGUAGCCAGUUGUCACCCGCCGACUUCGGACCGACGCCGGCGAUGCGUUCCUCGUGGAGGCCAAUGUUGAAGAACAGCCGAGACUCGCUGUUGUGGGACGGCACGUCGACAAAGCGGUUCAUGUCGAACACCUCCUCGGCGCCGCCUUGCUCCGUGUCUUAGGCGUACACCUUGUGCCGGCUCGUCGCCAGCAGGACCUUCUUCUUCACGCUGCACAGCGGGACGAUCUCCCGCUCCCCGUUGAGCUCGUCCCGGAUCGGCCGGGGCAGGCUGCCCACGUCGACGCGGCAGCGCGCCGACCACGAUGGCGACGACGGACUCCAGGUGACGAGCAGGAGCGCGUCGUCGAUGAGGUUGUCGUGGACGACGGCGCAGAGGGAGCCGUCGAGGUUCGUGAGGUGCCGGAUGCGUGACGCCAGCCGCGGCGGCGUGCGCACCCACCCGAACCGCUCGGCGCCGACGGAGAGCGACAGGAUGGGCGCGUCCUGCUGCGGGUCCCUGGCGCUGCCGUCGUCGGCGAGGCUCCGCCGGUGUAGCAGCCAGUAGAGGGACCCGUCGAGGGCCACGGGAGGCCUGCCGUCGACGUGGCACGCGAAGCCGGGCGGCGCGUUGCCGCCGGCGCAGGGCCGCCACCGCCCCACGCCUAGUGGCGUCAGGGGGCACACCUCGCACUUCUGCUGCCCGAAGAUGUUCCUGAAGAGCCUGACCACCUUGUGCUCGCCGGUGGCCGGGUCGAAGCCGAGGCCGGUGCCGGAGAGCUCCAGCGGAAACCGUUUGAUCUGCAUCAGCUUUGGAACCGCCGGCGUUAUCUCCUCCGCCGGCUCGCACGGCGGCAGGGACACAUGCUCACCGGUGGAGAGGUUGAAGACGUGGUACUCCGACAGCCGGACGUCGAAGAAGAGCGUGAGGCCGCGGCACGGCCUAUUCCCGGACAGCACGAGGUGCUCCCCGGCCAGGUCGCCCGCGGUGAGCAGCUCGCGAGCCGCGACGGCGGGAGGCGCGCCCGCGUCCACCGGGAUCGGGCACGCGUAGAAGGACGUCGCGACGCCCCGCGCGGUCGGCGAGAAGAAGACGAUCUCAGGGUGCGUGCGCGGCGACGAAGUGGUCGGAGGUGAGCGCCGCGCUCCACGCCCGGCAGACGGCCCGGAAGCGCACGGCGGCGUCCACCGGCAGGCGCGUGAGGAUCUCGUCGACAAGCAGCUCUUCGCUUAGCGGUGGCUCGCCGUGCGACGACCUGAUCCUGCUGGAAUUCGCCGCGGAGAUUGCCAUCGUUCGCACGGCCGGAUCGAUUGAUCUGGACUUACGACUUCGAUCAAUGGAUGCACACGUAGCUCGUCGUUCGCACGUGUGUAUAUAUAGAGAGAGCGUCCCAAUUGGUUGUGACCGUAUCCGAUCAUGUGUCCGGAAUGAUUCGGAAGACAAGUUCCAGCCAACUCGCCCUUUUUUCACAAAGAGAAACAAAGCUGGUGAGGUAUGUGAUGGCAUUUGGGGACAAAUGCCGGAGUUGUGCCCGAAAAUAUCGAAGGACCAUGAUAAGUGUCAUAGUGUGACACGAAUGCAUGACAACUCCAAAUGUUUUUGUGACAAAUUUAGUGAUGCGAGGGUGAAGUUUAGUUUUUUUAGAUCACCAUGAUGGCAUUUUAUUAAACAUUCGGCGAUACAACUUCUGAUUGCACUUGGGCAAUCAAGAAAGCAGGGAUUACAUCAUAAAUAGCGUUCGCAAACGCCAAGUUCAGUGCUUCUUCUGCACAAAGAUGAGCUGCAAAAUUUGCACUUCUAGGAAUAAAAACAAGCGAAAAUCCCUGAAAAUUUGAGAGAUAUGAUUUCAUCUCUCGAAAUAUAUGGGUUGCACCCAAUUGGUCUUCCACCACCCCCCAGGCCGUUGCCACCAUCUGGCUAUCAGAACACCCGAAUUUAAGGUUGAACUUGAACUUUCCACAAAGCCUUCCAAGUUGCCUCACCCCCAUCUCACGAGGAUACAUCACACUGAAUACGAAAGGGAGAAUAUCAUACGGAAACCAACAUUCAGUGAAAACCGGUGAAAACCACGAGACAAAGAUGUUUUGAAGUUUCGAAAAAAACUGAAAAAAUACGGGAUGUUAAGAGGAUGAUGUUUUAUUGCCACACAAAAUUUCAAGUUGAAACACAUUACGAGAUGUGAGCUAUGAAAAGACAAAAUCAACGUUCAAUAGUCUUUUCAGUUUUGUGCGUGGCGACUUUCUUUUCGGAUGGCAACUUACAGUUUUUUUCAGUUUGUUUUUCUUUUCGGAUGGCAACUUUAGUUGUAAAAAAUGUAGGAUCGGAUUGCUUCGUGCCACACGUGUGACACUUAUCAUUUGAAAAUAUCUAAGGAAAGAUCUGAAAAACAGAUGCGAUGGCAGCGAAAAUCCCGUGUCGAUAUAGGAAACGAAAAGUAGCCGUUCAUCUUGGUUUGAAACUGGCUCGAGCUCGUCGACAGCAUGUAGCCUCUGUCCUUUCUCCAGUACGAGCCCAUCGGCGACAAGCCGAAGCACCUCCUCCUCCGUCCUGCUUACUUGGGCAGUCAAGAAAGCAGGGAUUACAUCAUAAAUAGCGUUCGCAGACGCCAAGUUCAGUGCUUCCUUUGCACAAAGAUGAGCUGCAAAAUUCGCACUUCUAGGAAUAAAAACAAGCGAAAAUCCCUGAAAAUUUGAGAGAUAUGAUUUCAUCUCUCGAAAUAUAUGGGUUGCACCCAAUUGGUCUUCCACCACCCCCCAGGCCGUUGCCACCAUCUGGCUAUCAGAACACCCGAAUUUAAGGUUGAACUUGAACUUUCCACAAAGCCUUCCAAGUUGCCUCACCCCCAUCUCACGAGGAUACAUCACACUGAAUACGAAAGGGAGAAUAUCAUACGGAAACCAACAUUCAGUGAAAACCGGUGAAAACCACGAGACAAAGAUGUUUUGAAGUUUCGAAAAAAACUGAAAAAAUACGGGAUGUUAAGAGGAUGAUGUUUUAUUGCCACACAAAAUUUCAAGUUGAAACACAUUACGAGAUGUGAGCUAUGAAAAGACAAAAUCAGCGUUCAAUAGUCUUUUCAGUUUUGUGCGUGGCGACUUUCUUUUCGGAUGGCAACUUACAGUUUUUUUUCAGUUUGUUUUUCUUUUCGGAUGGCAACUUUAGUUGUAAAAAAUGUAGGAUCGGAUUGCUUCGUGCCACACGUGUGACACUUAUCAUUUGAAAAUAUCUAAGGAAAGAUCUGAAAAACAGAUGCGAUGGCAGCGAAAAUCCCGUGUCGAUAUAGGAAACGAAAAGUAGCCGUUCAUCUUGGUUUGAAACUGGCUCGAGCUCGUCGACAGCAUGUAGCCUCUGUCCUUUCUCCAGUACGAGCCCAUCGGCGACAAGCCGAAGCACCUCCUCCUCCGUCCUGCUUACUUGGGCAGUCAAGAAAGCAGGGAUUACAUCAUAAAUAGCGUUCGCAGACGCCAAGUUCAGUGCUUCCUUUGCACAAAGAUGAGCUGCAAAAUUCGCACUUCUAGGAAUAAAAACAAGCGAAAAUCCCUGAAAAUUUGAGAGAUAUGAUUUCAUCUCUCGAAAUAUAUGGGUUGCACCCAAUUGGUCUUCCACCAUCCCCCAGGCCGUUGCCACCAUCUGGCUAUCAGAACACCCGAAUUUAAGGUUGAACUUGAACUUUCCACAAAGCCUUCCAAGUUGCCUCACCCCCAUCUCACGAGGAUACAUCACACUGAAUACGAAAGGGAGAAUAUCAUACGGAAACCAACAUUCAGUGAAAACCGGUGAAAACCACGAGACAAAGAUGUUUUGAAGUUUCGAAAAAAACUGAAAAAAUACGGGAUGUUAAGAGGAUGAUGUUUUAUUGCCACACAAAAUUUCAAGUUGAAACACAUUACGAGAUGUGAGCUAUGAAAAGACAAAAUCAGUGUUCAAUAGUCUUUUCAGUUUUGUGCGUGGCGACUUUCUUUUCGGAUGGCAACUUACAGUUUUUUUUCAGUUUGUUUUUCUUUUCGGAUGGCAACUUUAGUUGUAAAAAAUGUAGGAUCGGAUUGCUUCGUGCCACACGUGUGACACUUAUCAUUUGAAAAUAUCUAAGGAAAGAUCUGAAAAACAGAUGCGAUGGCAGCGAAAAUCCCGUGUCGAUAUAGGAGACGAAAAGUAGCCGUUCAUCUUGGUUUGAAACUGGCUCGAGCUCGUCGACAGCAUGUAGCCUCUGUCCUUUCUCCAGUACGAGCCCAUCGGCGACAAGCCGAAGCACCUCCUCCUCCGUCCUGCUUACUUGGGCAGUCAAGAAAGCAGGGAUUACAUCAUAAAUAGCGUUCGCAGACGCCAAGUUCAGUGCUUCCUUUGCACAAAGAUGAGCUGCAAAAUUCGCACUUCUAGGAAUAAAAACAAGCGAAAAUCCCUGAAAAUUUGAGAGAUAUGAUUUCAUCUCUCGAAAUAUAUGGGUUGCACCCAAUUGGUCUUCCACCANNNNNNNNNNNNNNNNNNNNNNNNNNNNNNNNNNNNNNNNNNNNNNNNNNNNNNNNNNNNNNNNNNNNNNNNNNNNNNNNNNNNNNNNNNNNNNNNNNNNNNNNNNNNNNNNNNNNNNNNNNNNNNNNNNNNNNNNNNNNNNNNNNNNNNNNNNNNNNNNNNNNNNNAAGGCCGUUGCCACCAUCUGGCUAUCAGAACACCCGAAUUUAAGGUUGAACUUGAAGUUUCCACAAAACCUUCCAGGUUGCCUCAUCCCCAUCUGACGAGGAUACAUCCCACCGAAUAUGAAAUUUCUUUUCAAUUUUGUGCGUGGCAACUUUUUUUUCAGAUGGCGACUUACAGUUUUUUUUCAGUUUGUUUUUCUUUUCGGAUGGCAACUUUGUCAGGGUCGGAUUGCUUCGUGCCACACAUGUGACACUUAUCAUUUGAAAAUAUCUAAGUAAAGAUCUAAAAAAACGGACGCGGUGGCAGCAAAAAUCCCAUGUUGAUAUAGGAAAUGAAGAGUAGUCAUUCGUCUUGGUUUGAAACUGGCUCGAGCUCGUCGAUGGCAGGCAACCUCCAUCCUUUCUCCAGUACGAGCCCAUCGGCGACAAGCCUAAGCACCUCCUCCUCCGUCACCCUCGACGGCAGCCAAUCCCCUUGGAUCUAGCCGGGCGGCGGCACAAAGGAAGAGGACGACCCCUUCUUUGUCGUUCCCUUCUUUCUCUUUCUUCUCGAGCUCGUGCGUCUUGUCUCCGGCCAUGACAACGGCAGCAGCCGCUGGAGGAAGAGAUGGAGGUGGCGGCGAGUCUUUGGGGAAAUGGCGGAGUGGGAAGACGAUUUGUGGUUUGCCCCUUUUUCCUCCUAUAUUUAUAUAACAAAGAAGCCAUUGAAGGUGUGUAAUCGUAGCCACACGUCGGCUAAAUCGAUGGCGCUCACGUUCUUCACAUCAAGGCGGUUUUUGGGCAAGUGGUGUUAGAUUGUCGCUUUGCAAUAAUACACAAAACGCCGUGUGCUCAGUUGGCUAUCACGUGGUAGUUAUCACCCGCAGGUCUCCGGUUCGGAUCUCCCUCUCCCCUACAUUACUCAUUUGGUGCUCUCCAGCGGAUCUGCUUGGACCUUCUUCUAGGACCCAAAGCAUUAGAUCCAUAAGUUUGGAAUUAGCAUUCCCCUGGCAUAAUGAAUGGCAUCUGUCUGAUAGAAAGAAUCCAUACGUCAGUUUCGCCACUUGGAUUUUAUGAUACAUCCACUAUUCAGAUCACUAGUGAAGCUCUUCCAGGAGAUGAUUCAGUAUCACCAAACUUUUCGUAUUAUAACUCACACCAAAAACUUAAACGUUAAAAUUGGCUCUGAGUAUUCAUCAAAAUCUUACUUCGAGCAAAUUCACAAGAUGUCCCACGUUGACAAACUACUAUGGAUAAAACCACUAUGUUGCCAACAUCAAAGAUGAUAUCCCUAGCACCACCACUCUCUCUAUAAUCUUCCACAACACCACCUACCAUCCAGAUUGAUCGUAAGAUCGGCAGAGCAUUAUUCAUCGGUUGGGCCUCGAGGAUAAACUAAUUGUUGACACCUCAAACACUAUGAAAUUUCCUAUUAAUUUACGCAAGCUCAAGAAUCAUAUUCGACAAACCGAUAUUAGGAAUUGGUAGGUAGAAUAUAUGUUAGGCACGUCAUUGUAGAACCCUCUAUUAAGAUAUUUAUAGAUACUAAAAUAGAUAUGAAAACCUUUAGCUACACUAUAAUCAAACGAAGUAGGACAAAUUAUUCCAUAGAUGGAUGUGAUAUUCUCGUGUUUUAUGUUUACUUUAAAUAUAAAGUAAAUUUAGCUCAUCAUAAUUUCUCAAACUAAAACCUGAAGAAAGAAAUAACACAUUGUUUUUGCACUAAAGAGAGGUCUACCUUCACAUUGUUGUAUUUGUAAUGAUAGAAGUUUAGGUUGUUUAGCAUAAAAUUUGGGGAUUUGUAGUACGAAAAAAGUUAAUAAUUUAGUGAUAAUUAAUGACAAUGAAAAGGUAAACAUGUUUAGUAUAAAUAAGAGCAUGGAGCGCAUUGUCAUGGAGGCCUACAGAUGUCCAGAACCUUUGACGUGUGAACAUGCAAGCAGAAGAUUUGAUGACACUGGGAGAGCGCCGGCGGGGAUUGGUAGAUGGCACUAGAAGAGAGUCAGUCAUCGAGGGAAAACUCAUAGCAAGCCCCGAUCCACAACACAACAUUACCUAUGAAAUGGAAUAGCAAGAAGAAUGUGGCAGAUCAAAGAUCAAAGAGUUUGAGGGUACAAUUUACACGUCACUAAGUACAUGUAGUUGAGUCGAUGUACGAUAGCAGUCUGUGUCAGAAUAACAAUGCCGCCACUGGUGUGAAGUAUCAAUGUCAGAGAGGCCUAGGCACCGUUGAAGGGUCAUUUGCUCCUCUAUCGCUGGAAAGGGUGAGGAACGUCAGAGCAGUAACCUGUGUGGCAUUGAUGAACUAUAAGAGGACUCCCGUGUUAGUAUUUCAAUUAUGUCGCAAUGCACAGAAACUAAGAAAGCGUGAUCGAUAGUUUUCUCACUAGCGAAUACAAAUGAAUAUAAAUAGAGCGGGUGGGCGUGGAGAAUGUGUCAGCACUAAGGCGGCGAUGCGAGACGAUGAUCAUCAUUGUCUGGCCAGGCCAAGCAUGUAUUCUUGGAGUCCGACGACUCAAAGCCAAUGGAAUUACCGAAUCAGAGCUUUUUGCCGGUUGACAUUUUGUGCAAGACUGAACAUAAGCGAUAACAUGAUGAAGAAAACAAUGGAAGAACAAAUCCACCAGCUCCUAUGGUCGAUGUCGAUGCCUAACAUUGAAACUAUCGGCCACAUUCUCAUGCAUUAUCAUGACCCGUCUUCUGUUCAGUAUCUGAUGUCUUAUCUUGCACAAUACUUUUGGAGGCAUUUGAACUUGCCUUCUCUUUGCAAAUCCUUCGGUAUCCCUGCUUUUUGAUUCUGCUUAGACAGCGCAUCCAGGUGAAGUGUCCUGACAUGUUAUUUCUGCCACUUGUGUUGUCCAGUUAUUGGAAGCUCGAAACAAGUACAUUUUUUUAACAAUAUCUACACUGAUCUUGCUAAAACACUCACAUGUUGUGGUGCCACCGGACAAGCAAGCAUAAUUACUGAUGUUUUUCAAUACUGAAUAUGUAGUCACAUAAUGUACGUCACUCAUCGGAAUUCUGUAACACCACAAUCUUGAGCACGAAAAUAAAAUGGCAGAUUGUUGCAGUAGAACCCCUUCUAUAUGUUGGCAUAGAACAUUUGAUGUCGGAACUCGAGGCUUGCACUGGGCAAUAGCAAGGUUCAGUGACCAAAGAUUCAAUACUUAUGCCGUCGCACGAUCUUGUCUACUACCCUAAAGAAUUCACUUAUUUUUAUAUCUUGCAUAACAGCAAAUUCACUCACCUGGUCCCAUUCAAGCAUCAUAUUCCACUUUAGGGCUUACUUUGAUGCCAACAUUUGUCCAAAUGGCAGCUUUUUAAGAGGCUGAUAAGAACCAAAUAGCCAAUCAAUUGCUACCCAAUUUCCUAGACUUUCCAACAAUUGGUAUGUCAAAUAUUGGCAUCAAAUCAACUAAGCUCUACGUUCUCAGCUUAGUAGGGGCUAGAGUUAAUCUCAAAAUAAUUUUCUAGCUCUAGCUUAUUACUUUUAUAAAAUAUAAAAUUAUAAUUUAAAUCCCUCUGCUAUUAAGAUCUAAUAGAUCUUGUUAGAUAUUGGCAGGCCUUUUAAUAUUAAUCACCAUUUAUUUUUUGUUAGAUCUAAGAAAGUUUAAUAACAUUUCCAACAGUGGAAAGGAAAAAUGGAAACCAGACCUCGAUCCAGUGUUCUUUUUUACGGGUCGAUGCAGUAUAUAUUGGUUAUACGAUGCCAAGUCAUAAUAACAAAGUGCCAAGUAAAGGUAUCCGAAAUCUGAAUAUCACACUGGCAGUCUUUCGACAAGCUUAAACUACAUAUAAAGGCAACACCAACUACGCUGCUGAAUAUAUAUCGUCUAAUAGUCGUAGUCUCCUUCAGCGAACUUGUUCUCGGGGUAGAACACGGUGACCGUCUCCUUCCCGUCGAACUUCCUCCCAUGCAUCCCAAUCCUCGCCUUGGCCGAGCUCUCCAUAUCGGCAUACUCCAAAAACACCUGCAAUGCAGACCCAGAAUCAGAAUGGAUACAUUUUGGUGAGCAAAAUCGGUGAAAGAUGAUGAAUAGCACAGAAGUAAAGACUCACCUUGCCAACUCCGGCAACAGGAUCACCGCUGGGAUGGGGUCGCGGGAUCACGGCUUGCACCAGGUUACCUGUCCACGUUAAUCAGUGAGAACAUAUACACACGUGAUAAAAAGGAAGAGAAAAGAACAUAUGGUUAGUCAAAUCCAAGUGAAAAAGAUUAGCGUCUUCGGUAAGGUUAGGCCCGACUGCAAGUUUCGCAUGAGGUCGGAUUAUAAAAGACUCGGCAAUGGUACUAUGUGGCACUACAAAACAGACACACAAAAAAGAAACACACAGAAGAAAACCGGUUCAGUAGCUGAGCAAAGAGGCAAGCACAUUGAUCAAACAGAGUAUAAAAGAGUUCAGAAUAAGGGCCGCACGAUGUUUACCAUAUUUGCGUGCUUCUAGCGUCAUGUCUUCCAGUAUGUCAUUGUAUUCCUCGUCGUCUCUAAGGUCGUCUGCUGAAACCACCUGGGUCAGGCAUACCACCUUUGUCGCUAGGGCUCCGCCGACUUCGUACACGAGUCUCUGCUCAGAAAGCAAACAGAGUCAGAAAGUGGAAGGCUAUAUUCAUAAACUAAUUGUUCAUUUUAUAAGAUCGCGUCUUUUAAGAACUAUAAUAAAGUCGUACCUUCAUUUGCGCCUCUUGCUGUGCCUGCAGGAGGAUGUGGUCUUGCUCUGGCCUAGGUUCUGCUCCUUGGUUUGCUCGCCGGACUGUGAGAGUCCUGUCACCCAACUGGAUACCGUUCAGAGCAGCACAGGCAAUGUCGGUGACAGUCACAUCCUGGUACAAACAGAAGGCAUAUCCCUUCGAGUUGCCAGUUUCCUUAUCCUUCACAAUGUCAAAUCCACGAAGAGGUCCAAAAGUUUCAAGCAACUCCCGCACUUGAGCCUCUGUGAAGUAGUAGGGUAGACCACCCACAAAAAUGCGGUCAGGGCCUUCUAUACCUCCACCUGCUCCAGGUGUCAAGCCAACAGCAGUGAGAUUGAGGUUGGGGUUCGGCUGGCUCGGACCCAAUGCAGCUGCCUGGGAAGGAUUGUAGUCUGUUGGCCUCCUAACUUUCACUGCUACUCCCUCGAACAUUAUACCAUCCAAGGCCAUUGCAUUGCUUGCUUCCUCCACAGACCUCAUCUCAACAAAAGCAAAUUUCUUGUCAUGGUUUAUGUAUACAUUAACAACUGCAUGGCCUAGACCAAAUGUGUUUCCUCCGAUAGCAGCCAUAACUUGAUUGAAGAAUACAGAAACCGUCUGCAGAAAGAACAAAAUACUUAGCACGGACUAAGAACAGAGAACGAGAUGCCAAGAAAUAACUAACUAGUUACUCAAGGCAAUUACCUGUUCAUUAGCGAUUGGAGGAAGUCCACCGACAUAGACACGCCGAGCAUGACGAGUGGCCUAAGAAAAGAGUGGUCAGACAUGAUUAUGCAGCACACAACAAGAUAAAUCUCAAGCACACAGAAAAAAAACUCAAACAUACCUGUUGUGUCAUGGCUAGUGGCUGCAUAGCAAGUGGAUCGAUGCAAAGAGAAGAAAGAAUUAGUAAGUAACAGAACAUUGAACAAUAAAAAAGCGUGAUACUAGAUCAGAGGGAGUUAUCCAUGAUUUGAGUACUAGCUACAAUGAAUCUUAAAAGGAGCACAAUAGUCACCUGUCCUAGGGCAGGUACAUUGACCAAGUUUGGGAGCAUGUUCGGAAACAUCCCAGGAUUAGCAGCAGGAAGUUCAGGUAGCUGAACUGCAAAGCAUCAACAGAGAAUUGUUAAUAACAUGAAUUAUUAGAAUAGAGACAUUCAAAACAUCAGUGAUUAUCUAUUGUAAGGCAUCAUACAACAUUUUCUGUUACCACAUACCUGGGGUUGCAGUGGGAGCAAGUAUAGGAAUGGCUCCUGAUGGUCCCUGGUCAAAUCCACUCAUGCGUUUGCUGUUUCAAUACAGGAAGACAUUAGUAAGCGGUUCAGCAAAUGAAGAUUGAUGUAAGAAAACUAAAGGCGGCCAAUAAUAUACACAUAAUAAAGAAAAAUCAGGCAAGACUAGACACCUGCAUCAACUAAAUGAGGUAUUGGCGAAUAUCAUCCAUGGUACAGCAAGAAACCAAGUCAAGGUAGUUCAAAUUUGCCGAUAUCAUCCAUAGUACAUUAUGUCAACUUACCAAUAAUACAAAAAAAAAAUUAACCCAUACCAAACACAUGUCAAUUGUCUUACUCAGAGGAAACAAGCAAACUUAAUACUAUUAUUAACAGUACAAACUGCAAAAAUACAAAUAAUAAGCUUUGGAUGGCAUCCAACACAUACCUCUGACUCUCCGAACGGGAGCGGGAGCGAUGCCUUCUGUGGCCAUCUCUAUCACGGUCCCUUCUGCAUUAUCACAACAUAGAUCAGAUUUUUUUAAGAGAGUAAUCUGCAUAGGAUAUUUUCUGGUUUGCAAAAUGUGCUUAGAAAUACAGAAUUGUUUGCACGUUAAAAAAGUUAAGCAGAUAUUAUAAUUAGUUCAUGACUCUUAUCACUAUUAUAAUUACUGUUUUGCUUUGCUAAGUAAAGAUCGCCACUGCAUACAGCACCAACCAACUAGAAAACAUCGCAGCUACCAGAUGGUUACACAGCAGCAAAAUUGCCUACAUUUACCAGUCCUGUAAUUCAUGAAAUGACAUGUGGGGCUGUCCAUGUACAGUCUAAUAACUAUGUUAAUGGUGUAGAACCAUAUAGUACAGUGAAUAAUUUCUGCAGAUAAAAUUACAAAACUCAAAAAACAUCUACCCUAAAGCAAAUGUUACACCUUGCCAAUUUUUCAGAAAAUAAAAACGUCUCCCUACUAAGCACAAGGAUGAAUAGGUUUCAACAUAUUUAACCAGCAGUCAAUUAAAAGCACACAAUGCUGGAAUCAAUUAAUGCAACAAAAUGCAUAAGACAAAUCACAGAAAUCAAGAACCAGGUACCUUUCAGCGUCACGAUCACCGCUCCGGCGGUUGUCACGGUCAUCGGAACGGUCACGUUGCUCCCUUCUCUCACUCCUCUCACGGUGCUCGCGAUGGUGGCGCUCACGAUCCCUGCUCCCAUCACGGUGCUCGCGAUGGUGGCACUCACGAUCCCUGCUCCCAUCACGGUGCUCGCGAUGGUGGCGCUCACGAUCCCUGCUCCCUUCACGGUGCUCGCGAUGGUGGCGCUCACGAUCCCUNNNNNNNNNNNNNNNNNNNNNNNNNNNNNNNNNNNNNNNNNNNNNNNNNNNNNNNNNNNNNNNNNNNNNNNNNNNNNNNNNNNNNNNNNNNNNNNNNNNNNNNNNNNNNNNNNNNNNNNNNNNNNNNNNNNNNNNNNNNNNNNNNNNNNNNNNNNNNNNNNNNNNNNNNNNNNNGAUCCCUGCUCCCUUCACUGUGCUCGCGAUGGUGGCGUUCACGAUCCCUGAUCCCAUCACGGUGCUCGCGAUGGUGGCGCUCACGAUCCCUGCUCCCAUCACGGUGCUCGCGAUGGUGGCGCUCACGAUCCCUGCUCCCUUCACCGCGAUCACGGACAAUCUCCCUGUCCCGGUACCUCUCUCGAUCUUCCCCGCGGCGCCUGUGGCGCUCCCUGUCCUUGUGCUCAUCGCGCUCCCUGUCCUUGUCCUCAUCGCGCUCCCUGACUCGGUCUCUGGAACUCGAGGACCUCUCCUGGUGAGGCUGCGCAUCCCGCUGGAAAAGAACAUGAAUUCCUCCGUCAGAUAUAUUCAAAAAAAUACAAAUCAGGGCCUGCUAGUAUGAUAAACAUAGUACUUACGAAUUAUAACUACCAAGCCUGCUAGCCACAUCACACAUCACAAAAUAAACAAAAACUGCAUGCUCCUGAACUUGGAAUCCCAUCAUCACAACGCAAUGCAUCUAGAGCAUCGAAACUACUUACAAAACACGCCCGAAUUCAGUUUUCAAGGGCGCGGACCAGAACUGAAAACACGACCCGGCACUAAUUUGGGGGGCGAAACUAGAAUCCGCAACCGAACAUGACGCGCGCGGCAAUCUAUCUAGAAACCGAACUGGUUCGAGCCGACCCUACCCAAACCCCCUGUUCGCCGGCGAAUCCGCCAAACCCUAUGCGCGAAAAAUAAACGGACAGAUAAAGACAGCCGCGCCGAUCGAUCGAGCGGGCGAGCGGUUCUCACCUGGGGAGAGCGGGCGUCGCCGCCGCGCUUGGCAGGCGGGGACCUCGCGGCGCCGGACUCGGGGGGCGCGUCGUGCUCCGCCAUGGGGUGGGGGUGCGGCGCGUCGGUUCCGGUCGGUGCUGGUGGCGGCGGCGGCGGCGGCGGCGGCUUCGGGUCGGUUCGCGCGUGACGGGCUCUGGUCGAUUGGUUGGUUAUACUUGGUUCGGCGGGGCGAAGUAUAUAGAGGGGCGGUGGUGGCUGACGUCGGAGUCAGACACGACCAAGGUCGGUUCCGGAGGCGGUACGCUCGUUGAUUUUUGACUUGGACUCGUACCGUCGUGUGCUGUCAACCGACACCCAAUUCAAAUUCUCGGGAUUCCACUUUUGAAAUGUGGCCGCGGCAUGAAAGAAACUGGCGUGACAUUCACCUAUGCAUGUAUCAUUCGUGUUGUCUGCACCAAGCAAGCUGACAACCAAUCCUACAUCGAAACUUUGGUGGACGUCCUCUUCUUGCCCGCCGCCCUCGCCACCACAUCCACCUCCGCGCCCAUCGGUCAGCACCCUCUCAAGUGUCAGCAACCUCGCCUUUUCAAUGGUUGUACGGCGUCGGCAGAGGCGUCACGAGCAGAGAAACACGACGGACGGCAACAAGGGGAGACUUAAAAGUGGAGAAGUUAAGGAAGCCACCAAACAGCGGCGAUGGUUUCGUUGCUCACUGCGCGCGCUCUCGCUCGGAAAUGCCACGCGUCGAGGAGCAUGUUCGUCCAGUCGGGGCUCGUUGGCACCAAGCUUUCCUUGGUUACGAUGCCACAAUGCCACCAGUGCCAACCGUGCCCGCGGUCACCACACCGUAGGUCACAGUGCCGCUGAUGCCAGCCGUGCCCGCGGUCACCGCUCCCCAAGUCACAAUACCGCCCAAGCCGGCCGUGCCCGCGCUCACCGCUCCCCAAGUCACAAUACCGCCCAAGCCGGCCAUGCCCACGAUGACCGUGCCCCCAGGUCACGGUGCCACCCAUGCCCAUCGUCCCCACGGUCACUUAUGUAGUUUUGUGGGGCUGAUGCUUCCGUCGACUUGUGGGUCGGGGUUGCGGCUAGCGGCGACCUGGCCAUCCCGUCCCGCCGGAGUACUGGGGAUUGGCCAAACUUGAUCGGGACGGCGAUGUGAGGUGGAGGAGGCAGAAGCUACGAGGAAGGGGAGGACGGGAGGGGAUGCGGUGGCGGCAGGAGUACGGCGGCGCUGCGGCGCCACCUCUGUUUCUGUGUGUCCACGAGAGAGAAGGGGCUGGUGGGAUCCCGAUAGGCUGAUAGACCUAACCCACUUAAUAUUUUUUUUCUGUUCAAUGGGACCCCACUAAAGCAAUUUAACUGGGAUGGGUUUGGUAGUCCCACUAAACCCCACCUCCACCUGCAGCGUGAGUUUCACGACAUCUCUAUGGCUUCGCUUACUUGUUCAGAACGGCAUCUCGAUGCCACAAUGCCACCAACAGCUGCUCGUUUAGGAUGCGUUUGGUAGGUUUCAUCGUCUUUGCCCAGGGUAUUUAUAUUUGUAGCUGAGUUGAGCCUAGCUGGGUGAACACAGGCAAAAAAAAUCAUGUUCUACAUAUAGUAGUUUGCUAGCCUGCCUUCAACCACUACGCAGUUUGAUAUCUGACGUUUGGUUGGCAGCAGUGAUGUCAAUGCCCAAAACAUGAGUUUUGGUUAUACACGGCCUAUGUUGUGAUCUUGCUAUCGGUGACCUUACCGCACAUUACACUACAUAAGCAGUAUGAAAUGGACAUCGAUUUUUCCCUGACUAGUAAAUAAAUGAUGGUUUAUCCUAACUACUAAAAAAAUGCAAAACAAAUUAACACUGCAUAUGGCUCGUUUGGGAAAAGUUCAUCAAUGUCAAGUCAAACUAGGGGGGAGUCCAUCGUCAUCUUCUUCCUUUGUUGUUGCUUCUUAUUCUUUAGAUCCUUUGUUAUCUCUAUUUGUCCAUGUUGCCUCAGUUCGCUCCAAUCUUUUGAUCUUUCAAGUUCGUUGUCAUGUCCCCCUACAUCAUGACCGUAGCCAUCAACAUCAUCAACCAACACAUGUUCCUCCUCUACCACAAGCUCGUCACAACCUCAUUCUACGACCCAGUUAUGAAGAAUGUAACAUGCAAGAACAAGCCUAACUUGGAUAGAAAAAGGAUGGAAUGUCUUCUAAUAUAGGAUCUUAAUUUUAUUCGUCAGAGCUCCAGAUUCCCUAUCAACUACAACUCUUAAGGCUAGAGUAUCUGAGGUUGAACAAUUUUGCAGCAGCCCUAGGAUGGUUCUUAGAAGGGAACUCGUUCAAUGGUACCUGGUUUUCCCGAAAGAUGAAAGAACACCGGCUGACAUGCAUAUCCAGCAUCUCACAGGUAGAACUACCGUCAGAAGAUUGAUUCCAUCAGGUCUGGACAUACUAUCAGAAAGAAUGUUAGCAUCAUGGGUUAAUCCUUUCCAGCCAGCUAAGACAUAUGUGACCUUUAGAUCAAAGUCAACAGCUGGAAGCACAUUCUGGAUUGUGUGCUUUUUAUCCAUGUAUGAUGCAGCUUGUGACCUCGACACUCUAACAGUCACAUGAGUACCAACCAAUACAAUCAUGCGAUGGCAUGAAAACAUAUUGUUGUGACUAUAAAACAAUACAAGCAUGGCAUGGCAUGAACUACUAGUAGUGCUCACCUUGAAAUGUAGAUACAUGGCUCGAGUGAUUCUUAGUAGGAGUUUGCCCAAUUGGUGUCUUGAUCAUCUCUCCUAUGAGCUUCCCAAUAGCAUAGAAGACUUCAUUGAAAUACCUGGAAAUGGUCUCACUAGAUCUCCUAAAUGACAACAGAAGAGAUCCAGAUACCAUAUCCUCUCGCCCCGUCGCUCUGGCGAGCGGCAGAUGGCGAGCCCCCAUCCCCGGUCGGCCUGCUCCCCUACCUCCUUCCUCCUCCUCGCCGCCGCCACUAGGCGCCGCCAGGUGAAGCCUGGCCUGCGUAGGAGGCGGCGGGGCUUCCUCUCCCGCCCGCUGGUGGCGGCUCGCGCGGGCAGCUGGUCCAAGCUGGUGGCGACAGGGCAUGGCGGCGCGGAGACGGGGGGUGUGAUAUGUCUCCAACGUAUCUAUAAUUUUUGAUUAUUCCAUGUUGUUAUACUAUCAUUUUUGGAUGUUUUACAAUCAUUUUAUAUCAUUUUUUGGUACUAAUCUAUUGACAUAGUGCCCAGUGUCAGCUGCUGUUUUCUGCAUGUUUUUUACACCGCGGGAAAUCAAUACCAAACGGAGUCCAAACGCAGCGAAACUUUUUGUGGAAUUUUUUUGGGCCAGAAGACAUCCAAUGGGACAGGAACAUACCUGAGGGAAGCUCCGAGGGGAGCAAACCCCACCAUGGCAUGCCUGGGGGCCCAGGCACGCCCCGGUGGGUUGUGCCCUCCUCGUUGGGCCCCCGCACCGCCUCUUUGCUCUAUAAAUACCCCCAAUAUUCCAGAAACCCUAGGGGAGUCGACAAAAAUCAAUUCCAGCCACCGCAGAGUCCAGAAACACCAGAUCCAAUCUAGACACCAUCUCGAAGGGGUUCAUCAUGUCCAUUGGUGCCUCUCCUAUGAUGCGUGAGUAGUUCUUUGUAGACCUACGGGUCCGUAGUUAGUAGCUAGAUGGCUUCCUCUCUCUCUCUCUCUCUCUCUUGAUUAUCAAUACAAUGGUCUCUUGGAGAUUCAUAUGAUGUAAGUCUUUUGCGGUGUGUUUGUUGGGAUCCCAUGAACUUUGAGUUUAUGAUUAGAUCUAUGUUUUUAUCCAUGAAAGUUAUUUGAGUCUUCUUCGAUCUCUUAUAUGCAUGAUUGGUUAUAGCCUCGUAUUUCUUCUUUGAUAUUUGGGUUUUGUUUGGCCAACUUGAUCUAUUUGUCUUGCAAUGGGAAGAGGUGCUUUGUGAUGGGUUCGAUCUUACGGUGCUUGAUCCCAGUAACAAAAAGGGAAACGACACGUAUGUAUCGUUGCUAUUAAGGAUAACAAUAUGGGUUCUAUUCUACAUAAAUAGAUCUUGUCUACGUCAUGUCAUCGUUCUUAUUGCAUUACUUCGUUUUUCCAUGAACUUAAUACACUAGAUGCAUGCUGGAUAGCGGUCAAUGUGUGGAGUAAUAGUAGUAGAUGCAGGCAGGAGUCGGUCUACUAUUCUUGGAUGUGAUGCCUAUAUAAUGAUCAUUGCCUGGAUAUCGUCAUGAGUAUUUGAAGUUCUAUCAAUUGCCCAAUGGUAAUUGUUUUCCCACCAUUUUCUAUUUUUCUUGAGAGAAGCCACUAGUGAAACCUACGGCCCCCCGGGUCUCUUCUCAUCAUAUUUGCUUUUGUUUUCAGAUCUAUUAAACCAAAAAUACAAAAAUACCUUGCUGCAAUUUAUUUGUUCUGCGAUCUAUUUAUCCUAUCUACCAUAUUUAUCUCAUGUUAUCUUGCGGUCUUGCCUGCUUGAGGUGUCGUGCCCGAAAGGGAUUGACAACCCCUUUAACACAUCGGGUUGCGAGUAUUUGUUAUUUAUGUGCAUGUGCUGUUUACGUGGUGUUAUGAGGUUCUCCUACUGGUUCGAUAACCUUGGUCUCGUCAUUGAGAGAAAUACCUGCAUCAUCCCUUCCUCUUUGGGGAAAUACCGACGUAGUUCUAGCAGACAUCAGGGCGGAGGCGGGAGCUCGUGCGUGUUGCGUGGCUGUGGCUGCACCUGGGAGCUGUGUAGUGGGUUGCACAAGACUCCCCCCGUGGCUGCCAUGGGGGCUUGAUCUGGCUAUCGGCGCCACGGGUGGUUGAGGGCUUCCCUCUGCCGGUGAUGACUGGCCUUGGCUGGAGCUCCUCCUCCAGUGGUGGCUGCUGCCUCCGGCUGGUGUUGCCCGUGGCUCGGGGUGGUGGUCUCGGCAUGUGCAGCUCGUGGUGGUGGCGUUGGUUGUUAGCAUGGUCGUGGCACGACGAUUGGCGCUUGGCGGUGGGGUGCGGAUGGAGAUGGUGGCCUCCCUUCUCCUAGGUUCAUGCCGGCAAUGCUAAUACAUCGAGGGUGGCUAUGACCUAGGGCAUGUGCUUGCGCGGACCGGAUUUGGGCCCGAGGCAGGUCGAAGCCGGCGCUCCGGGUAGGUGAGGUCAGGCGUGGUUCGGGAUGUGCUUGUGGAAGGCGAUGGGGCGGCGCGGCUGCUUUGGCUGGCAGUGGUGUGAUCCGAGUUGUGGUGUCUUCGGCAGGCGGCGCGGAUCUGGACUGUGGUGGUGGAUGAUGUCCGAUAGUGUGCAUGUAUGGGGGUUGACUUGCUCCGCGUUGGAUGCCUUCGCGUUGUGCCCUUCUUGCUUGGUCCUGUUGUGACGUUGGUCCGAGGUUGGCUCUUCGAGCAUUGCUGUGACGUCGUACGGAUCGACCCUAGUGGCCACGGACAUGGCGGCAUUUGAGUGUGCUCGGUGGUGGCCAUCAACAGUCACUAUGUCCCCCCCCCCCGGUCCACCGGGACCGGCUGGGACACAGGCGUGGGCUUCCUACAGUGGAGGUGCCGACCCAGACCUAGUUGUUGAUGUCAGGCUGGGAGUGAAAGGAGGUCCCUUUCACUCCUACUACUGUGGGUGGGUGGUUUUGAUGUGGAUGGUCAGUUGUGCCUAGGGGCAUGGAUGUCGGGGCGGCAGGCUUCACGGUUGGCGUUUCGGCAGGCUCCAUGGUGGCGGUGGUGGCUCCAUCUCUUGGUCGUGUGGGCGACAAGGGGUAUUAUGGCGGGAGGCUCAGGCCUGCUCUUGAAGUGACCAGAUCUGGGGUGGACAAGUUGGCCAUCAUUGAUGUGGUGGCUGGGACUUCUCUUGAUGAUGUGGGUGAGUGUCUGGGUGAAAGCUUCGUGCUUCUGGCGCUGGCGAUGGCAACGCCCGUGGGCGCCGCUUGCUUCUUGAAGACGUCAUCGUGGAUCUCGUUCUUGUGCCAGGGCUUCAGGUGAAAACCUUUAUCUCUCUUGAGACUCGGCAGCGGCGACGCUUCGCGCAGUCACCCUCUUGGGGGCGUUGUCAUGGAUCUCGGGAGUCUUCAGUCGGGCCUUGGCAAUGUGUUCGACUUGUUCUAGGUUUUUGUUGUGUCUUUUGAUCUGCUUUGUAAGGGGCCCUCCCCACCAUACUGUAUCCUUCAGCCAUGUGCUUUGGUUCGUUGCUUUAUUUGUAAAGCGGCCCGAAAGCCUAUUUCGAGAAGAUCUCCUAAAUAUAUUGUGAGUAACAAUGAAUCUCUGAUUAUGACCAACAACAUGAAGGAAUAAGCAAAUUUUCUCUUCCACAUAGGUGUGUGGAUGUUAUCUUUUAGCAUCCCCUUGACCCUAAAUGUGUCAAAAAACUUGGGAAACGAUGAUCUUCGCAUUCGAAGCAUGUUUAGAGUCUCUACAUUGUUGUUGUAAAUGUAGUCCAGAUUCACCAUCCUCGCCCUACCUUGGGUUGACAUUGGACCAUAACGGAUCAUAGGCUUAUCACUCGGAUGAACCACUUUCUUUUGUACCAACAUGCCCCAAGCCUGAAUAACAACUAUGAGUGUUGCUCUCUGAACAACUAGCUUCAUUUGUUUGUCAUUACCGACUUAAUGAUGAAACUGAUGUUGCGGUAAGUACCGGUGAAAUUGACCUUGCACCCUACCUAACGACCUAACAGAGGAGGGGGUUGUAUGGUACUUAACCCCUUUGGGGCUAACGACCCGCCCAUGCCAGAGACAAGGACACCGAGGAAGAUGAGACGGACUCCAAGACGAAGGGGACAAGCGCUUGUCGCCCCUGGAGAUUGAACUCGUCGCCGCCACCGCUUCUGCAGAUUUGAGAGUCGGUGCAAAAAACGGAAGGCUAGAUUUGUCCUAGCGCUAGAGGUGUGCGAGUAAAUUACUAGAAAAAUCGCCAAUUUAUUUAUUUUGUGUGGGUUACAUACCAUUCGACUUCAAAGGCACCACCUAUUUUCUAACGAACUGCAAAUAUUUCACUGGCCCUCAAAAUAACACAAAAUUUCAAAAGAAGUUUCAUCAAAAUGUUAAGGACGCUGAUAAUGCCCACACGUGUGGUGGGAGCAACACCAACUCACACGCCCUAUAACACAUAGAUUGCGUCACGUCGAUUUCCAGUUUUUAAAAUGUUUUAUCUCUUAGAUGGAAAAUCUGAUUGAAGAUUCGUUUUCAUCAUUAAAUCCAUCGUGACGAGAUUUUCGAAACUAGAUCACAUACCAAUAUGUUUCGACGACUUUCUUUUUUGGGUUAAAAGUUGUCAUGUCUAUUGCACUUGAAUUGUCAUACUGUUUACACUGAAGUUGCCAUGAUAUGUUUCAGCUAUUUUUCUUCUACAUUUAAAAGUAAAUUUUGACAUAUUAUAAAACAGGGAAUUAAGAAACUAGACUUGCCAUGAACCAUAAACUAAAAUUGUCAUAAUACACGCACUUAGAAUUGCCAUGGUUCAUACAAAAAAUAAUUUUUAUGGUCAAAGUACUGGAAUUGCCAUGGUUAAAAUACUAAAAUUGACAUGAUCUAGAAACUAAAAUUGCCACAUAGCAACUUUAAGCCUCCUUUGGUUUGUAGGAAUUUUGUAGGAAUCCCAUAAGAUAGGAUUUGUAUAGGAAAAAUUCCUUUAGAUCCCUUUGGUUUGUAGGAAUAGAAUCCUAUUCCUACGGAGGAAUUCUUCCUAUCCUCCACAUUUCAUAGGAAAAUAAACAUUAGCCUAAACUCAAUGGAAAAAAUCCUAUGAUGUGAACCAAAGGGCAUCUUCUUUUCUAUUCCUAUUCAUAAGAUUUCAGAUACAUGUCAUCUAAUUUCCUGUGACUUUUCUAUUCCUAUGACUUUCCUAUCCUAUGAACCAAAGGAGGCCUUAGUGUAAACACUAUGGCAACUACACUGUAAACAUCAUGGCAACUUUUGGCCAGAAAAAAAUUUCGUCGAAACAUAUCAAUAUGAGAUCUAGUUUUGAAUAUCUCGUCGAGGCGGAUUUAAUUAGGAGAUAAAAUAUUUUUAAGCCGAACACCAAAAAGAUUCCUGCUGAUGUCAUCUGUCUUUGUGCGAGAUGCGGAAACGUCUUACCCUCGUUGGAGGAGACGGCUUCGUGUUUAUAGGCAGGGCGCAAUAACCCUGAUGCGCAUACAGAGAGGUUGAGAUAUUACAGGAGAUUACAAUCUUGGAGAGGAAGAGAUAGAGAUGGUUACAAUAGAUAAACAUGAAAGCUAACUAUCAGGUCUAUCUCUAAGCCGAUCGUGGAUCUCCUUGGAUAGCUGUGACAGGUGCAAUUACCUGUUUAACACCCUCCCUUAAUCACAACUUCAUCAAGUUGAUAUUAUGUUUGAAGUCUUCAAAACUUCUUGUAGGCAAAGGUUUUGUAAAUCCAUCUGCAAUUUGAUCUCUGGAAUGCACAAACCUAAUGUCAAGUUGCUUCUUGGCAACUCUUUCUCGUACAAAGUGAAAAUCUAUCUCAAUAUGCUUGGUUCUUGCAUGAAAGACAGGAUUAGCAGAUAGGUAAGUGGCACCAAGGUUAUCACACCACAAACAUGGGGCUUGGGUACUUUUGACACCAAGUUCCUUCAACAUGGAUUGUACCCAUAUAAUCUCAGCUGUAGCAUUAGCUAAUGCUUUGUACUCUACUUCUGUACUGGAUCUGGAAACAUUAGCUUGUUUCUUGCACACCAUGAAAUCAAGUUAGGACCAAAGAAUACUGCAAAGCCACCAGUUGAGCGUCUAUCAUCUAGACAUCCUGCCCAAUCAGAAUCUGAGAAAGCACUAACAAGUGUUGAUGGUGACUUGCUAAAAUUGAGACCAAGAUUGAGAGUAUUCUUGACAUAUCUAACUAUACGUUUUGCAGCAGUCCAAUGAACUAUAGUGGGUGCAUGAAGAAACUGGCAAACUUUGUUAAUAACAAACGAUAUAUCAGGUCUAGUGAGUGUCAAGUAUUGCAGUGCUCCUACUAGACUUUUGUACCUUGUGCUGUCAUCUUGAUUUAAAGGUUGUCCUUCUGUAAGAGACACUUUUUCUGAGCUUGAUAAUGGAGUAGGUGAAGGUUUACAACCUUGCAAGCCAGCUUUCUUAACCAGAUCUAUUGCAUACUUUUCCUGAGACAGAUGAAGUCCAUCAUCAUGCUUCUUCACCUCAAUUCCCAAAAAGUAAUGCAAGUUUCCAAGAUCCUUGAGUGCAAAUUCUGACCCAAGAUCCUUCAAGAGUCUUGUUAUGGCCUCAUCUGAAGAGCUUGUGACAAUAAUGUCAUCAACGUAUAUGAGAACAAAUAUAUGUGUGUUGUACUUGUUGUAAAUGAACAAUGAGGUUUCAGACUUAGAAGGAAUAAAGCCAAGAGUUUGUAUUUUGUGACUAAGACGAGAGUACCACGCCCUUGGAGCCUGCUUCAGUCCAUAUAAUGACUUGUCAAGUUUGCACACAUGAGAAGGUGCAUUCUUGUUCAAAAACCCAGGAGGUUGCUUCAUGUACACUUCCUCUUCCAGAACACCAUGGAGAAACGCGUUCUGUACAUCUAGCUGUCUUAGACUCCAGCCCCUGGAAACAUCAAUAGACAAAACCAGGCGAAUGGUGGCAGCUUUUACAACAGGACUAAAGAUGUCCUCAUAGUCUAUACCAUAACGCUGUUUGAAGCCUUUUGCAACUAGUCUUGCCUUAUAACGAUCAAUGGUUCCAUCAGAUUUUCUUUUAAUUCUGAAUACCCACUUGCAGUAAAUGAGGUUUUUACCUUGCUGUGGAGGAACCAAAUGCCAAGUCUUAUUUUUCUGUAAUGCCAUGCAUUCUUCAUCCAUGGCCUUUUUCCAUUUUUCAUCACCAAGUGCCUCUUCAAGCGUGUGUGGUUCACCAGGUUCACCUGUAGAACAAACCAACCCAUAUUUUGUUACAUGCUUGUAAUUAACAGGUUGGAUUACCCCUUUUUGUAGUCGUGUGCGGUGUUGGGACGAUGUUGCUGAAGCUUGUGCCACAGAAGAUCCCGUGACAUGCACCGAAUCUGCUGUUGCAGUUGAUCCCGAGGUGGAUUCUGCCGCAGCACCAGCCGGAUCCACCUGAGCUUGAUCUUUUGUGGCAGCCGAACGAGUUCUGCAGGGCGCAGAAGAUCCAGCCCUGCAUGCCUCAUCAUUGUCGCAUGAUGGCGCAUUAGCACGGGGUUCCGCGCCUGUCCCCACGCCUGUCCCCGCGCCUGUCGUCGUGCCUGUGGAGCGGGCCGCCUCGCGCCGCUUGUAGCAAAGCGGCUGGACCGGGAACCGCGUCCUAGUGGAGCCACCCGGGGGACGCCAGGUGUCGAUGUCGGGGCCACUCCCGCCCGAGCGCCCGACCGCAGCUGACGAGGGAGCCGGCGCGGAUUCGGAGGCGGAUCGCCCUGGCCCGCCUGGCGCACCUGCAGGCGGUGAUCCCGAAGAUGAUGCGCCUGACGCAUCUGACGGCACGGAUCCCAGGGAGGAUUUGCUCCCUGCGCCUGGACACAUGCGAUAUGGCUCUGUUGGGGCGAUUUCUUCAUCAUUUUGGCCCUGGUUUUUUUCUGCAUGUUCUCCUGCAUCACCACAAGGCUCAUACAUGGGAUUAGUCAAUAGUUGAUCAUCACAGUUAUUACCCCCUUGAUCAAGGCCGGUGAGAUGAGGAGACAAGAGAAGGAUUUCUUUGCGAAGAAGGGCUCCGGUGUUUGGGUGUAGAUCAGAAAAAGGGAACUUUGUUUCAUCGAAGACCACAUCACGGGAUAUAUAAACACGACCAGUGGCAACAUCAAGGCAUUUAACACCUUUGUGUUGGGCACUGUACCCAAGAAAUACACAUUGUUUUGACCUGAACAUAAGCUUCCUAUUGUUAUAGGGACGGAGAUUCGGCCAGCAAGCACAGCCAAAGACGCGAAGGGAUUUAUAGUCUAGCUUGGUGUUGAGAAGUCGUUCCAUGGGAGUUUCGUUGUGUAUAACACGACUAGGAAGCAUGUUAAUAAUAUGCACGGCGGUCAAAAAGGCUUCGUCCCAAAACUUAAGGGGCAUAGAAGCACCGGCUAGAAGAGCAAGACCAACUUCAACAAUGUGGCGGUGCUUGCGCUCAGCCGAUCCGUUUUGUUGGUGAGCGUGCGGACAUGACACGUGGUGUGAAAUGCCAAGAGUUUGGAAGAAGGAAUUCAACUUCUCGUAUUCCCCUCCCCAGUCCAAUUGGACGGCAAGGAUCUUACGAUCAAACUUGCGUUCUACUAACGCUUGGAAAUUCUGAAACACUUGGAAAACAUCAGAUCUUUUCUUAAGAAGAUAAAUCCAAGAGAAUUUACUGUAAUCAUCGAUAAAACUGACAUAGUACGUGUGUCUACCAACAGAACUAGGGGCAGGGCCCCAAACAUCUGAGAAGAUUAAUUGCAAAGGUUGAGUAGACACACUAGUAGAGAUAGGGUAUGGCAAUUGAUGACAUUUUGCUCUUUGGCAAGAAUCACAAAUAGUUUCAGUGUUACGCUCUCCAACAAACGGGAGCUUAUUCUUUCUAAGCAAGCGUUCAACCAAAGAAAAAGAAGCAUGUCCUAAGCGAUCAUGCCAUCGUGUGGAAGAUAACUUGAUGGCACUGUAGACUUGUUUAUUGAACCUUGAACACUCCGGAAGCAACGGGUAAAGCCCUCGAACACAUCUACCUCGAUAUAGUACUUUCUUCGUGACCUGAUCCUUGAUCAAAAAGAAGAAAGGGUGAAACUCAAGGAAGACAUGGCUAUCGAUGGCAAUUCUAUGGACAGAAAGAAGAUUCUUAUGAGCACUAGGGACAUGCAAGAUUUUCCUAAGGUGUAUUUUGCGAUGAGGGGUAUGUAUAACUGAAUGACCAACAUGACUAAUCCUCAUACCUGCACCGUCGGCGGUGUGAAUCUGAUCCUUGUCGUGGUACUUUUCACGGAGAGUCACCUUUUCCAGCUCUCCAGUGAGAUGGUUGGUGGCGCCGCUGUCGAGGUACCAGUUGGUGUCGACGCCGUAGGAGCCAUCUACCGCUGCCGCGACCUUUUCAUCAUCUUGGGAGUCUUCCUCGUCCUCGUCAUAAUGGUACCAGCAGUCCCUGGCAGUGUGACCAGUUUUGCCGCAGAUUUGGCACCGCGGAGCAUCGGGACGGGUCCUGCCAGGGCCGCCACCGCGACGUCCUCGGGUGCCAGAUCGGCCGCCUCCGCCGCCACUGUUGUGACGGGCACCACCUGACCUCCCCUUGCCACGGGAAGAGGCGCGAUAGCGAGAGCCACCACCGCGCCCACGGGUAGCAACGUUGGCGGAAGAUUUGAAGCCGCCACCGCCCGAUCUGUGGAACUGCGCCAUGCGCUGUUCAAAGUUGCUGAGCAUGGAGAAGAUUUCGUCGAGGGAGGGGUGUGUGACGCGCGCGUCGAGUGCCGAGACGAGGGGCUGGUACUCCAUAUCCAGACCAUGCAAGAUAUACGAGAUGAGCUCGUCAUCCUGGAUCGGUUUGCCGGCGGCGGUGAGCUCGUCCGCGAGGCCGCGCAUGGAGGCGAAGUAGGCGGCGGCGCUCUGGUUGCCCUUCUGCGCGUUGAUGAGGGAGGUGCGGAUGUUGUUGACGCGGCUCAGCGACUGCGACGAGUACAUGCUCGCCAGCGUCGUCCAGAGCGCCUGCGUCGUGGUGACCGUGGUCACCGUGACGAGCACCUCCUUGAAGAGGUUGCUCAGCAGAUAUCCGAGCACCUGCUGGUCCUCCCUGACCCAUAGUGGGUGGAGAGGGUUGGGCUCGAAAGUCUCCUUGCCGUCCUUGUCCUUGGCGGCGAGAAGCUUGGCCGGCUCCGGCGAGGUGCCGUUAACAUAGUUGAAGACACCGGCGCCACACAACUGCGGCGUGAUCUGUGUGCGCCAUAGCACGUAGUUCGUGUGAGAGAGUUUCUCAAUGACCUGCCCAUUGAGGCUAGGGUGAGAUGCGCCGGAGGAGGAAGACAUGGUGUAGGGCACGAUUGGAAGUCGGGAGAAGCUAGAUGGGAAGUAGGAAGGCUUUGAUUACCAUGUGCGAUAUGCGGAAACGUCUUACCCUCGUUGGAGGAGACGGCUUCGUGUUUAUAGGCAGGGGCGCAAUAACCCUGAUGCGCAUACAGAGAGGUUGAGAUAUUAUAGGAGAUUACAAUCUUGGAGAGGAAGAGAUAGAGAUGGUUACAAUAGAUAAACAUGAAAGCUAACUAUCAGGUCUAUCUCUAAGCCGAUCGUGGAUCUCCUUGGACAGCCGUGACAGGUGCAAUUACCUGUUUAACAGUCUUGACAUGGCAAAAUGAAUAAUAAUGGAGGCGUUUGGGCCAUGCACGUGUGGGCAUUAUCAUUUGGGAAUUUUAAACCUAAACCUUGGUGCAACACGAUGGUAACAAGUUGACUAUAAUAUGAUAUGUAUUCGCAUCUUAAUUCCAUAAUUUGAUUCAGAUUCGUAUCUGAAUUUGCACAGCACUGAAAUUUGCCAUUUUAUUACUAAAAUUUACAUGUGCCAUUUUAUUAGUACUAAAAUCUACAUGUUCCAGAUAUGUAAAAUCAAUUAAUCAUCAUUUCUGUAGAGUUCUCCUGUAAAAUAAUCUACACACAAACACAGUAAUUUACAUCCACUUUAGCUACACAUAGAACACCUGCCCAACAUUCAGCAGGCUCUCAUGGGGAACAUUGAAGAUGGCGCUGUUCUCCCUGCAGAUCUUCCUCAGGAAGGCGUAGAGGUAGUCGAUGGCGAGCUUCUUCAGCGGCCCCGAGUCCCUGCGAGCCCUGAUGACGGUGUUCCCAAGGAUGUGCACGACCCCGGCGUCCCUGCACGAGUUCAGGAACGUGACCUCGUCGCCCACGGUCUCGAACCCCGGGGUCGCCGUUGUAGCCUGCGCCGACGACAUGGCCCCCAGGCGGUUCGGGGAGCGCACCGGCACGAUGGAGUCGCGGGAGGCAUAGCUGAGGUCGGCGGCAGACCUGGCGUCGCUGCUCGCCUCGUCGAUCAGCUCCUGCUGAUCCAGGGCACUGUACUCAUCGGAGUCCGAGUACUCCUCCAUCAUGCUCUCCAGCCGGAUGAAGAGCAGCAGGCUGCUGAAUAGCAUCUUCUCGAAGUCGUCGUCCUUCCUGUGGAUGUCCUUGUAGCCAUACCGCGCCACGCAGCGGAACAUGUGGAAGUUCUUGGGGCCAAUCCGCUUCACCAGGAACCGCUCGUCCAGUGGCACUGUGUACACUGGCAGGUACUUGACGCAGACGAACACCAGGGUGGAGUGGAUCGCCGGGAGGUUGGUGAUGAAGUGUGAGAAGAUGUGGGGGACGCCGCUCGCCAGCUCCGUGUACACCAGACCUAUCCCGGGCACCCGGACCAGGCCGAGGCUCGGGCCGAGGCCCAGGAUCCACGCCAUGGACACCUUGCUGUGCAUCUCGAACUCGUAGCGCUUGAGCGUGCCAUAAUGCCACACGUACAUGACGAGAAGGAUGGCCGCGGCAAACACGAGAGGAACCCAGCCGCCCUGGUCAAUCUUCUUCAUGACGGCGGUCAAGUACGGGAUCUCGACGACCAGUGACAGCGCCGUGAAGAGGACGACCAAGGCCCAAUGGCUGCGCCAUACCAGCAGCAUUAUGGGGACCAUGAGAAAUGUUGUCACAAGCAUGACCAUUAUCACAGCUGUGCCUGUUUUUGCAGCAUGCAACACUCAUGUUAGCAACAGAGCAGAAACACACAUCGCAACUGCGGAAAUUUUAGGAAAAUACAAGUAUUUCAUUUACCAUAAGCAUUUGCAAUCUGGGACUGAUUCUUGAAUCCAGCGGUGACGGCAAUACAGAGAAUCAUGAGGAUCCAAUUAAUAUCAGGACUAUAUAUCUGGCCAAGAUACUUCUUCGAUGUAUGGAUGAUCUUCACCCUAGGGAAGCAUCCCACCGCAAGCGCUUGCUUGAUAAUUGAGUACGUUGCGGAAAUGGUUGCCUGGCUAGAAACUAUUGCAGCAGCUGUUGCAACGACAAAUGCUGGCCAAAGUAUACGCUCUGCGCUAAAUAAUCGUGUCACUAUGUAUUCUAACCAAUACGGCAAUCACUUAAUUGGGGAAUUCCCUAUGUCCAAAUUUUACCUGGAAGAGAAAAAUAGAAGGAGUGGGAGACUUUGUCUUUGUGCGUGGCUAUAUAGGCAGCUUGACCAGUAUAUUGCAAAAGAAGAGAUGGGAACACAACCGUAGUGAAAGCAAUCUGCGUUUUGAAAUGAUAAAAGGAUGUUAGCAAGCAAACUGACUGAUUAAAGUACUCAUGUGAAAGUUAUAUUGGUAGAUCUACUACUUCUAACAAAAUAAAACUGAGUGCGUUCCUCUUAAAAUGCAGAUUAAAAUAUGCAUAGCGAAGAACAAUCACAGCCAACAUAUGGUACCUGAAUAGCUUGUACGGGAAAAUAUGAAAGGUCAGCAAACAGUGCUUCUGUCCCUGAAACAUGAGCCAAACAGUCAGGUCAGGUUAUUGCCAGGUUAAAAGGACAAGCCACCAUAUGAAAUAAGUUAAGAAUUCCAGACCUGUUAUGCUGAGCAUAAUUCCUCCCAGGGAAGCCCAGCUAGUCUUCCCUCGCUUAAAAUAACGAUAUACAUAAACAGGAUUGAACGCCUUGAGAACCGACCUAUCAUAUGUAUAAAUGUUUACAGCCCCCAGGAUUCCAAUAAGUAUGAACCAAACAAAUACUAUUGGUGCAAAAAGCCAGCUGACUUUGUCUGUGCCAUAGUGCUGCAUACUGAACAGUCCAAUCAGUAUCACCACGGAGACUAUUACAACCACAUCUGUCAUGGGAAAAUAAUAAAAUGAGUCAGUUAAUCAUAGAUCUAACCCGGUAUUAUUUGUAUAACAGCAUUAACUGUUCCCAUGCACACUACCACUACAAAGUUCCUACGAUAAAAGGCAAUGCUUCAAAUCACAGUUAGCAUUUCAAGCUUAUCAUUCCACAGACAAAAGAAUAUGGUCAAUUAUUUAAAGUUGGAAUCAACAGUUCUGGUUAAAUUAACAUCAAUUGCAAAUUUUGACAUCCUCCUCUGAGAUGCACAUGGCAAAGCUAAUAAAAGCAGAAAACUGUAGUAAUAUAAUUCCAAAUUGCACAUGUACCAUUUCUCAUUCUGGGCUCUUCAACCUUUAUUCCACCAGUUGCAGAAAGAACUGCAAAUUGCACAGCAGUUGUUAAUAUCAAGUCACUUGGGUUAUUGGGUAAAACUUAACGGUAGAAUUAUGAAUUACAAGCAUCACAAAGAAGGUAUGUAGAACAGCUAAAAUUGAUAGAAAUCAGUACAGCAACACUCGUCUGUUGUGGACAAAAAUAAUACGGAGUAGUUGGUAAUCUCAGAUGCUCCAUCAUGGAGGAGCACUCUACAGGCAGCUAUGUACAAGGAUCGUUAUCUGUACAGGUUUAUCAUUCCCUAGCUUGUUAUUUUUAUCCUAGUAUGGUAGUUAAGGACUUAAGAGAUUGGGAUCAAGUAAGUUAUGAAAGAAAAGAUUAGUUUCUUGAGUUAGGGGCAAGCCCUCUUACAUAAGGGCUGCCACAUCCUCUGGUUGAAAUAAGCAGAGAAUAAACCAAUAUUUCCAAAAUCUUUGUCCUUUCCGCCCCUGAGCGCAGCUGCCUUCACAGCUCUUGGGGCCACGGUGACUUCGAGCAAGCCCUAGAGCCAUUAUCGCCAGGUCGUGUACUGGAUGCAUGACAUCUUAUAUCAUGAAAAUAGUUUAUGCAAUUGCUUCGCAUCUAAUUGCAAACCAAUUGCUGUAAUAUGCUUCAAAUGAAUAUCUGCCAUGCAUUUUUUGUCAAAUAUUUCUGGUUUCUGGUAACAUAAUAUGAUUCUUAGUAGGCCAAAGGUAGGUUCAUGUCAGGCUGAAAGCUCCCUGUUCUCCUAACAAUAUAAUUUUUGAGAAAUCUGAUAUUAAGUAAAGAUGAUAAAACAUGCAUGCACUCACCUGAUAUGGCAGGAGUGAGAAUUCCAUCUCCAACAGCCAUGCAAGUACCAAAAAGUACAAGAAUAAGAAUGACAUUCUUUCUGAAUUGGUGCCCCUCUAACCAUCUUUUGAUCUUUGCAGCAAGAGACUUCUCAUGAUAUGUCUGACGGCUGUAUGUUGUUAGGUCUUCAUCGGUCUUGUGUUGAUUGGGAAUAAUGCUUAUCUUUGCAUGCCGGCAAAGCAAUGAAUAAAGAGCAAAAGUUCCACCUGAAAUUACAGAAAAGCUAUUAGAAGAUGCAGAGAAACACAAGGGGGGCUGGAAUAGCAGUAAACUCAUAAGCAUCCCUAUUUUAGGCAGGGUGUCUGUGCAACGCAAUGGUGUCUUAUACUAACAUAUGUGACUUAUUGUCUAUGGCACAUUAAAAUUUGUGUCCCUACUUGAGGCAUCUGCACAGACAAAAAUUGUGGCAACUUAGCAGAAGGGGGUUUAGACUUUAGAGGGAUGGCUUUAUAGUCUAUUAUCAGCCUUUUCCAGUGAUAGGAUUACUUAAAUACAAAACAACUUGUUUUUACAUGGGGAGGAUAAUUAGUUUUAUUUUUAUUUUUCAAAAUGUUAAAAAUCUCUUUAUAUUGGCCGGACCAAUAAAAGCCCUAUAUAACUGUGCUGUUGCAUGGACUUUAGGAAGCUGUUGACCAGAAUUUCCUCUAUAUGGCCAUACACAUUAGCUUUUCAUUUUCAGGUGAUCUUCAGAUGUUCAUAGAACAUGCUGUAUGUAUUACUGCAUUAUCUCAAACAAAUAAGACAGACCAGCUAUGAACAGUUUAAUAUUUCCAUAAUUGAGGCACAAAUUCUUACCUUGGCCGUUAUCGCUUGCCCUCAAGACGAUAAAAACAUAUUUAACGAGUGGAAUGAGAGUAAGCGAGUAGAUAAUAAGCGAGAGUGCCCCAAUAAUUUGCUCCGUGUCUUCUAUCUUCUCAGGAAAGAUAUUGUAGAAAACAUAAAGAGGUGAUGUGCCUAAAUCUCCAAACACCACACCAAGGCUUUGGAAAGCUAGUUGUAGCAUCAAAACUGUUGGGUAGGUCUGCACAUACAAGAGGGAGAAACAGGGCAAAGACAAAAUUACUUAGCAUACUGUGGCUGUUCAUUUUUGUCAGAAGUUCAGAGUAAAGACACCAAAUAACUCUGCAUCUUAGGCAGCUAUCAGGGAGAAUGCACUGCUAAAAAGAAUGUGCCACAAAACACAAAAUUGUGAUGUUGAACUAAAGCCAUGUUGUUAACACAGCACAUUAGAUGAUCCAUGACCUUUAUUGAUUGUGUCAAACAAAAUACUGCAUCCUAUUGGCUAAGAUUCAGAUACAGAAACUGGAAAAUUCUUGGAUGAUGAUAGCAAUCACCUUUUCUCUGUACAUAUUCCUCAGUCUCCCGGCCUCUGCGUCCAUGGGCUGAUCAAGGCUCUUCUCCAGCUCCCACAUCGCCCCCUUGCCGGUGUCCUCAUUCGUCGAAACGGUCUCCAUGAGGUUCAGACUUCAGAGCAGUCAAUCAGCAGCAGAAGUAUGUCACAAACUGCAGGCAUCAAGAAAGUCAAGAACCAGCUCAGUCUAACUGUAUUUGUCUUUCCCUCUUACAUACAAACUCCAACAAAACACAUGCUGAUUGCUGCACAGAGUACAUGACAACCCAACGACAACACAUCUUAUUUUGAUUACGAAUCUAAACGAGAACGCGUUGUUCCAAGAGGCUCAGAAACAGUCAAAAACAACCACAAAUAUCCAGAUGUUCAAUCAAAUCAGUGCUCCAGAUUUGAAUCCGGGCACAAGAUUGCAGGUACAUACACACAGGAAAGCAAAGCCGGGGCGAAGACUAGAGGUUCGAAAAGGCUCAGAGGCAGUCAAAAGCAACCAGAAAGGUCCAGAUGUUCAAAUCUGUUCACGAGAAAGAUUCGGGGGGCCGGGACGGCGAGCACCUGCCGCAGGGGACCAGCGACACCUCGUCAACCAUGCGUCGCAAUGAGCUAGGACGAAGAUACGCCGCCGCCGCCGCCGCCGUCGCCGGUGAGGAGCUCGGCCGGUUGCGGCGGGAUGGGCGCCGCCAGGUGCGGGGAGGGCCGGGGAGAAAAGUUGGAAUUUUGCUUCUUUGCGGCGCAGUCUUUCUUUUUCUGUCAGAAAUUUUCGGAUGUGGAGCAGAGAGGAGUGGAGAUGAUUUGGAAAUUGUCGCUACACGGCAUGCCCUCAAUUAUUCGAGGAGCAUAAAUGGGAGGCAUUGAUUGGCUUAUUUGUUAUUGCGCUGUCGUUUUAUUUUUCAUUUUUCUAUUUUUUCGAGGAACCGGCAGGAGCGCUGUCAGAAUCAUGCACAAUGUCAACGUCGGCGUAUGAGUGUUUGUUAAUCCACCCAAACCUUAGCAUAAAAGUCAAAACCGAAUUCUUUUUGUGCGAUGUCGGUGUCAUCGGUGUUAGUGAGCAUGGGAGUUUUGUUAUUUUUGAGAAGUUGUCUCGGCAAGUGAGUCAUUGCGGAUGAUGACGGUUUACCUCGGCAUAUUUUAAUAAAAUAUAAACUUGUGUAUGGCUACUUAGAUUGUUAAUUAAGUGAUGAUGCUAUUUUCCCCGCAAAAAAAGUGAUGAUGGUACGUUAUUCGCUUGUUCGUCAUGUAAGACAAGACAACGGGCGUUCAGAAUAGGAUCCCGAUGCUAGCGGACAUGGCUGUUAGCAUCGUGAUCCAAAUAAUUAAGCCACCUCCUUCGAAAACGACUUGGCACGAAAUGAAUCAUGCCACCACAUACCACUUACGAGAGAAACCUAAUCAAAAUUGUUUGGGGUGCAAGAAGACAACAACAGGAACCUAAUGACAACUUGUUUUUUUUUCUGCAUUUGAAAUAAUCUAAGUGGGUACACAUUUUUUUUUAGAAGUUCUAAGUGGAUCCACAUGGCAGCAUGUCUCUUCUUUCCUCGCAAAAGACAUGCCCACGAAGUAAAACAGGAGACUUAUGCCAACGUUUGGCCCAACCAUGAACCAUCCAUCUGCCCAUGAAAGGCCCACCAAACUAGAAUGUCUGGAUUGGGCUCUUAUGUGCCGCUUUAGGGCAGUUGCGAUUCAUGAUUAAUAUAAAUGGGGUUUUUAAAUUUGGCAUAUUUUUUCAUCCACAAUUCAUAUUUUAUAUGAAAGUUUGUUUAUUAGUAAAAAAAAAUUUAUGUUGUUCCUAUACGUGAUAAAUGUUCGUCCACAAACAAAAAUUCUGCAUAUUUCAGAAUAAAAUUUUAAUGUGUUGUCUAACUGUUAUUCCUAUGCGUGAUACAAAGUGUACUAUGACUUAGGGAAAAUGUUCAUGAUCUGAAAAUGAAAAUAUGCAUGUAUUCCAAAAACAAUGUUCAUGCAUAAUAAGAAAUAUUAUUCAUGUUCAUGAAUAAAAUAUGUUUGUAUAUAAAAAACUCAUAUAUAUUGAAAUAAAAAAAUUAUGUGUUUUGAAAAGAACAUGUAUCUGUGAAAAACAUAGAAUUAUGAAAAAAUAUUUUAAAUAUAAGUAAAAAUAUUCGUGCACCUGCUAUAAAAACAAGAAAAUGAAAAAUAAAAAGAACACAUUUAAAAUGAAAAAAAAGGAAAAAGGAGAAAAUGGAAGGCAACAAAAAAGAGAAAGGCAGAAAAUAUGGAAAAAAUGUUGAGUUUAAUCUUUGAUUUUUUUCCCAACAAACAACCAUGGAGAUGNNNNNNNNNNNNNNNNNNNNNNNNNNNNNNNNNNNNNNNNNNNNNNNNNNNNNNNNNNNNNNNNNNNNNNNNNNNNNNNNNNNNNNNNNNNNNNNNNNNNNNNNNNNNNNNNNNNNNNNNNNNNNNNNNNNNNNNNNNNNNNNNNNNNNNNNNNNNNNNNNNNNNNNNNNNNNNNNNNNNNNNNNNNNNNNNNNNNNNNNNNNNNNNNNNNNNNNNNNNNNNNNNNNNNNNNNNNNNNNNNNNNNNNNNNNNNNNNNNNNNNNNNNNNNNNNNNNNNNNNNNNNNNNNNNNNNNNNNNNNNNNNNNNNNNNNNNNNNNNNNNNNNNNNNNNNNNNNNNNNNNNNNNNNNNNNNNNNNNNNNNNNNNGGAUGAGAUUGUCGCAAGUACUAUUCAGAGCACUGUUCAUAGCAAAUCACUACUUGGUCCUCUUGUAGCCAGUACUCCCUCCAUAAUGGUACAUCUUAUAUUAUGAGACAGAGCGAGGGUUGUUUAUAGCGCUCAUAGCAUCCAAUCCGGGUCGCUGUUUUUCAAUCUGACAAAUGAAAUUGAGCAAAGGUAACAAGUCAGAGAAUCCAUAGUGUAUGAAGGGCGUGGGAGCGGUAACUUUGACAAUGUGAAAAAAAAAUUCAGUCCUUUAUAACACUACGCUUCCUAGCUUUAGUGAGUCCACAUUCAACUGAGGUCUCCAAUUAAAAUUGGGUCAUCCGAUUUUGACCGGGUCAACAAUUUCUCAAAGCUCUCUCAUUCAAUUCUUUUAUACUACACAUUAUACUUUAUAAUUUUUAAGGCCUCACAGUUAAUUGAUGCCUUCAAUUUAGAAUUGGGUCACACGAUUUUGAUCCGGUCAACAAUUUUUCAAGGAGCUCUCACAUUCAAUUCUUUUAAUUCCCCAUGUUCACUAAAUCUGAAGCUCUCUCAUUAAAUUGAGGUAUUCAAUUUUAAAUUUGGCUUACGAUUUUGACUGGGCCAACGAAUUUUUCAAAUCAAUCAGCAUCGACCGGCCUAUAAAAACAUAGCAAUCCCGCGCAUCCUCCGACCACCUAGAAAAAAGAAGCACCACCAUGUGAUACUGUAGCACCAAUAUAGUACAUGCAGCAACCAACACCGAAGUUUCCCCAUAUAAAUAUAUGUUGAUUAGCGGAUAGCAAAGAACCACAGCACAAAAGGCCCAUCAAAUCAUCGUAUUAUAAAUAAAAAUAAAACACACUCCGUCAUCUCCCCAACCGCCAAACUAAAUAUUCCACCAGUUUCAAAUUAUAAGGGGUAUUCUGGAAAGUCAUUUUUCUUUACUUGGACCAAGUUCAGAGCAAAACAUAUCGACAUCCACAUUAUUAAAUAAAAUGGGUAUGAAAAUUAAUUUCAUGAUGAAUAUAAUCAUACCGAUUUGAUGUUGUGCAUUUUGAUAUAUUUCUCUACAAAUUAUCAAAUUUAAAAUGAUUGACUUUUGAGAAAAGUAAUAAACCUUAUAUUUUGAAACAAAGUUAGUAUUUUUUUAAAAGAAAUCCAGCAACACCAACGGCGCAGCAAAGCACGUGCAACCAUUCUAGUAUAGAUUACUGACAAAGCUAGCAUAUGACAUAAGAGCAACUCUAGUAGAGUCCUGAUAAAUUGGAUCACCACAUGCCAUGUGAAGCGGACUCCAUAAUGAUUUGAAGGCUGCUAGGCCUAUGCGCAAUCACAAAAUGGCCAAAUGUCCGCAAAAAAAAAGGCCAAACGACAACCUCCAUAUAUAAUUGUUCUUUUAGUUAUUCCUUUUUUCAUUUGGUUUAAAUUUUUAGCUUCAAUUUAAGUGAAAUUUAAUCCAACCUAUAAGUUCAUAAUCAUCAUCAAACAUAAUUAUAAACUAUUGGUCAAAAGUUGUCGCAUUACAUAGAUUUUGCAACUUGAAAUGUUGUUAAGCAACAUCACCCUAGUGGGGCCCGGGGCUUGGGCUACGACUCAAUGGGGACGGGGACGAAUUGUAGGAGGAGGGUAGCGGGGCGAUGGUGAUGACAUCAUUGACCACGACAAUGCCGCCUAAGGUGCUAACUCGACGCCUGCCGUCGCAAGUGGCAUCGUCAACACCACGAGAAGUGCCAGAUCCCCCACUACCACUAUCACGAGCGCCAGAUCCGCUAUGACCGUCGUCACGAGGAGAUCUCGCACCGUCGCUAUGCGAUGUAUGGGAUGUGAGGUUUUGCCCGAGGACAUGAUGUCGCAUGGCGUCCCUCCAAUGGACCGCCACGAGAAACCAAGGAAGGCACUGAAGGAAAUAUGCCCUAGAGGCAAUAAUAAAGUUAUUAUUUAUUUCCUCAUAUCAUGAUAAAUGUUUAUUAUUCAUGCUAGAAUUGUAUUAACCGGAAACAUGAUACAUGUGUGAAUACAUAGACAAACAUAUAGUCACUAGUAUGCCUCUACUUGACUAGCUCAUUAAUCAAAGAUGGUUAUGUUUCCUAACCAUUGACAUGGGUUGUCAUUUGAUUAAUGGGAUCACAUCAUUAGGAGAAUGAGGUGAUUGACAUGACCCAUCCCGUUAGCUUAGCACUUGAUCGUUUAGUAUUCUGCUAUUGCUUCCUUCAUGACUUAUACAUGUUCCUGUAACUAUGAGAAUUGUGUAACUCCCGUUUACCGGAGGAACACUUUGGGUACUACCAAACGUCACAACGUAACUGGGUGAUUAUAAAGGAGUACUACAGGUGUCUCCGAAGGUACAUGUUGAGUUAGCAUAAUUCGAGAUUAGGUUUUGUCACUCCGAUUGUCGGAGAGGUAUCUCUGGGCCCUCUCGGCAAUACUCAUCACCUAAGCCUUGCAAGCAUGUAACUAAUGAGUUAGUUAUAAGAUGAAGUAUUACAGAACGAGUAAAGAGACUUAUCGAUAACGAGAUUGAACUAGGUAUUGGAUACCGACGAUCGAAUCUCGGACAAGUAACAUACCGAUGACAAAGGGAACAACGUAUGUUGUUAUGCGGUUUGACCGAUAAAGAUCUUCGUAGAAUAUGUGGGAACCAAUAUGGGCAUCCAGGUCCCGCUAUUGGUUAUUGACCAGAGAUGUGUCUCAGUCAUGUCUACAUCGUUCUCGAACCGUAGGGUCCGCACGCUUAAGGUUUCGAUGACAGUUAUAUUAUGAGUUUAUGUAUUUUGAUAUACCGAAGGUUGUUCGGAGUCCCGGAUAUGAUUACGGACAUGACGAGGAGUCUCGAAAUGGUCGAGACAUAAAUAUUGAUAUAUUGGACGGAUAUAUUUGGACACCGGAAAGGUUCCGGAGAAGUUUGGAGCCCCGGGAGGUUACCGGAACCCCCCGGGAGGUAUAUGGGCCUUAUUGGGCCCAUGUAGGAGGAAGAGAGAAGGAGCAAGGGAGGGGGGCGCGCCCCCCAAGCCCAAUCCGAAUUGGGGAGGGGGGCCGGCCCCCCCUUUCCUUUCUCCUUCCCCCUCUUCCUAUUACUACUACUAGUACUACUUCCUAAUACUAGUACUCUUUCCUUCCCCCUCCAAAUAAGAUAAGGAAAAGAGAGGGAAACCUACUUGGAGUAGGUUUCCCCUCCUCAUGGCGCGCCCCCCUAGGGCCGGCCACCUCCUCCCUCCCUCCUUUAUAUACGGGGGUAGGGGGGCACCCUAGGACACACAAGUUGAUCAUUGAUCGUUCCUUAGCCGUGUGCGGUGCCCCCCUCCACGAUAUUACACCUCGGUCAUAUUGUAGCGGUGCUUAGGCGAAGCCCUGCAACAGGAGAACAUCAAGAUCGUCACCACGCCGUCGUGCUGACAGGACUCCCCCUCGGCGCCUCUGCUGGAUUGGAGAUCGAGGGUGCGUCAUCGAGCUGUACGCGUGUCAAGAACUCGGAGGUGCCGGAGUAACGGUACUUGGAUCGGUUGAACCGGAGGACGUACGACUACUUCCUCUAUGUUGCGUCAAUGCUUCCGCUUCGGUCUACGAGGGUACGUAGACAACACUCUCCCCUCGUUGCUAUAUCAUCACCAUGAUCUUGCGUGUGCGUAGGAAUUUUUUUUUUGAAAUUACUACGUUCCCCAACAGUGGCAUCCGAGCCUAGGUUUUAUGCGUUGAUGUUAUUUUCACGAGUAGAACACAAGUGAGUUGUGGACGAUAUAAGUCAUACUGCCUACCAGCAUGUCAUACUUUGGUUCAGCGGUAUUGUGAGAUGAAGCGGCCCGGACCGACAUUACGCGUACGCUUACGCGAGACUGGUUUCACCGUUACGAGCACUCGUGCUUAAAGGUGGCUGGCGGGUGUCUGUCUCUCUCACUUUAGUUGAACCGAGUGUGGCUACGCCCGGUCCUUGUGAAGGUUAAAACGGAGUCUAUUUGACAAACUAUCGUUGUGGUUUUGAUGCGUAGGUGAGAUUGGUUCUUGCUUAAGCCCGUAGCAGCCACGUAAAAUUUGCAACAACAAAGUAGAGGACGUCUAACUUGUUUUUGCAGGGCAUGUUGUGAUGUGAUAUGGCCAAGACAUGAUGCUAUAUUUUAUUGUAUGAGAUGAUCAUAUUUUGUAACCGAAGUUAUCGGCAACUGGCAGGAGCCAUAUGGUUGUCGCUUUAUUGUAUGAAAUGCAAACGCCCUGUAAUUGCUUUACUUUAUCACUAAGCGGUAGCGAUAGUCGUAGAAGCAAUAGAUGGCGUAACGACAACGAUGCUACGAUGGAGAUCAAGGUGUCGCGCCGGUGACGAUGGUGAUCACGACGGUGCUUCGAAGAUGGAGAUCACAAGCACAAGAUGAUGAUGGCCAUAUCAUAUCACUUAUAUUGAUUGCAUGUGACGUUUAUCCUUUAUGCAUCUUAUCUUGCUUUGAUUGACGGUAGCAUUUUAAGAUGAUCUCUCACUAAUUAUCAAGAAGUGUUCUCCCUGAGUAUGCACCGUUGCGAAAGUUCUUCGUGCUGAGACACCACGUGAUGAUCGGGUGUGAUAGGCUCUACGUUCAAAUACAACGGGUGCAAAACAGUUGCACACGCGGAAUACUCAGGUUAUACUUGACGAGCCUAGCAUAUACAGAUAUGGCCUCGGAACACGGGGACCGAAAGGUCGAGCGUGAAUCAUAUAGUAGAUAUGAUCAACAUAGAGAUGUUCACCAUUGAAACUACUCCAUCUCACGUGAUGAUCGGACAUGGUUUAGUUGAUUUGGAUCACGUAAUCACUUAGAUGACUAGAGAGAUGUCUGUCUAAGUGGGAGUUCUAUAUUAAUAUGAUUAAUUGAACUUAAAUUUAUCAUGAACUUAGUACCUGAUAGUAUUUUGCUUGUCUAUGUUUGUUUGUAGAUAGAUGGCUCGUGCUGUUGUUCCGUUGAAUUUUAAUGCGUUCCUUGAGAAAACAAAAUUGAAAGAUGAUGGUAGCAAUUACACGGACUGGGUCCGUAACCUGAGGAUUAUCCUCAUUGCUGCACAGAAGAGUUACGUCCUGGAAGCACCGCUGGGUGCCAGGCCUGCUGCUGAUGCAACUGACGACGUUAAGAACGUCUGGCAGAGCAAAGCUAAUGACUACUCUAUAGUUCAGUGUGCCAUGCUUUACGGCUUAGAACCGGGUCUACAACGACGUUUUGAACGUCAUGGGGCAUAUGAGAUGUUCCAGGAGUUGAAGUUAAUAUUUCAAGCAAAUGCCCGGAUUGAGAGAUAUGAAGUCUCCAAUAAGUUCUACAGCUGCAAGAUGGAGGAGAACAGUUCUGUCAGUGAGCAUAUACUCAAAAUGUCUGGGUAUAAUAAUCACUUGAUUCAACUGGGAGUUAAUCUUCCGGAUGAUAGCGUCAUUGACAGAAUUCUCCAAUCACUGCCACCAAGCUACAAGAGCUUUGUGAUGAACUAUAAUAUGCAAGGGAUGAACAAGACUAUUCCCGAGCUCUUCGCGAUGCUGAAAGCCGCGGAGGUAGAAAUCAAAAAGGAGCAUCAAGUGUUGAUGGUCAACAAGACCACUGGUUUCAAGAAAAGGGGCAAAGGGAAGAAGAAGGGGAACUUCAAAAAGAACGGCAAACAAGUUGCUGCUCAAGUGAAGAAACCCAAGUCUGGACCUAAGCCUGAAACUGAGUGCUUCUACUGCAAGCAGACUGGACACUGGAAGCGGAAUUGCCCCAAGUAUUUGGCGGAUAAGAAGGAUGGCAAAGUGAACAAAGGUAUAUGUGAUAUACAUGUUAUUGAUGUGUACCUUACUAAUGCUCGCAGUAGCACCUGGGUAUUUGAUACUGGUUCUGUUGCUAACAUUUGCAACUCGAAACAGGGAAUACGGAUUAAGCGAAGAUUAGCUAAGGACGAGGUGACGAUGCGCGUGGGAAAUGGUUCCAAAGUCGAUGUGAUCGCGGUCGGCACGCUACCUCUACAUCUACCAUCGGGAUUAGUUUUAGACCUGAAUAAUUGUUAUUUGGUGCCUACGUUGAGCAUGAACAUUAUAUCUGGAUCUUGUUUGAUGCGAGACGGCUAUUCAUUUAAAUCAGAGAAUAAUGGUUGUUCUAUUUAUAUGAGUAAUAUCUUUUAUGGUCAUGCACCCUUGAAGAGUGGUCUAUUUUUAUUAAAUCUCGAUAGUAGUGAUACACAUAUUCAUAAUGUUGAAGCCAAAAGAUGCAGAGUUGAUAAUGAUAGUGCAACAUAUUUGUGGCACUGCCGUUUAGGUCAUAUCGGUGUAAAACGCAUGAAGAAACUCCAUACUGAUGGACUUCUGGAAUCACUUGAUUAUGAAUCACUUGGUACUUGCGAACCGUGCCUCAUGGGCAAGAUGACCAAAACACCAUUCUCCGGAUCUAUGGAGAGAGCAACAGAUUUGUUGGAAAUCAUACAUACAGAUGUAUGUGGUCCGAUGAAUGUUGAGGCUCGUGGCGGAUAUCGUUAUUUCCUCACCUUCACAGAUGAUUUGAGCAGAUAUGGGUAUAUCUACUUGAUGAAGCACAAGUCUGAAACAUUUGAAAAGUUCAAAGAAUUUCAGAGUGAAGUAGAAAAUCAUCGUAACAAGAAAAUAAAGUUUCUACGAUCUGAUCGUGGAGGAGAAUAUUUGAGUUACGAGUUUGGUUUACAUUUGAAACAAUGUGGAAUAGUUUCGCAACUCACGCCACCUGGAACACCACAGCGAAAUGGUGUGUCCGAACGUCGUAAUCGUACUUUACUUGAUAUGGUGCGAUCUAUGAUGUCUCUUACCGAUUUACCGCUAUCGUUUUGGGGUUAUGCUUUAGAGACGGCCGCAUUCACGUUAAAUAGGGCACCAUCAAAAUCCGUUGAGACGACGCCUUAUGAACUGUGGUUUGGCAAGAAACCAAAGUUGUCGUUUCUCAAAGUUUGGGGCUGCGAUGCUUAUGUGAAGAAACUUCAACCAGAUAAGCUCGAACCCAAAUCGGAGAAAUAUAUCUUCAUAGGAUACCCAAAGGAGACAAUUGGGUACACCUUCUAUCACAGAUCUGAAGGCAAGAUUUUCGUUGCUAAAAUCGGAUCCUUUCUAGAGAAGGAGUUUCUCUCGAAAGAAGUGAGUGGGAGGAAAGUAGAACUUGAUGAGAUAACUGUAUCUACUCCCUUAUUGGAAAGUAGUUCAUCACAAGAACUGGUUCCUGUGACAACUACACCAAUUAGUGAGGAAGCUAAUGAUAUUGAUCAUGAAACUUCAGAUCAAGUUUCUACUGAACCUCGUAGGUCUACCAGAGUAAGAUCCGCACCAAAGUGGUACGGAAAUCCUAUUAUGGAAGUCAUGUUACUAGACCAUGAUGAACCUAUGAACUAUGAGGAAGCGAUGAUGAGCCCAGAUUCCGCAAAAUGGCUAGAGGCCAUGAAAUCUGAGAUAGGAUCCAUGUAUGAAAACAAAGUAUGGACUUUGGUUGACUUGCCCGAUGAUCGGCAAGCCAUUGAGAAUAAAUGGAUCUUUAAGAAGAAGACUGACGCUGAUGGUAAUGUUACUGUCUACAAAGCUCGACUUGUUGCAAAAGGUUUUCGACAAGUUCAAGGGGUUGACUACGAUGAGACUUUCUCACCCGUAGCGAUGCUUAAGUCUGUCCGAAUCAUGUUGGCUAUUGCUGCAUUUCAUGAUUAUGAAAUUUGGCAAAUGGAUGUCAAGACUGCAUUCUUGAAUGGAUUUCUAGAAGAAGAGUUGUAUAUGAUGCAACCUGAAGGUUUUGUUGAUCCAAAAAGUGCUGACAAAGUGUGCAAGCUCCAACGUUCCAUUUAUGGACUGGUGCAAGCAUCUCGGAGUUGGAAUGAACGUUUUGAUAGUGUGAUCAAAGCAUAUGGUUUUAUACAGACUUUUGGAGAAGCCUGUAUUUACAAGAAAGUGAGUGGGAGCUCUAUAGCAUUUCUAGUUUUAUAUGUUGAUGGCAUAUUAUUAAUUGGAAAUGAUAUAGAAUUUCUGGAUAGCAUAAAGGGAUACUUGAAUAAAAGUUUUUCUAUGAAAGACCUCGGUGAAGCUGCUUACAUAUUGGGCAUCAAGAUCUAUAGAGAUAGAUCAAGACGCUUAAUAGGACUUUCACAAAGUACAUACCUUGACAAAAUUUUGAAAAAGUUCAAAAUGGAUCAGGCAAAGAAAGGAUUCUUGCCUGUGCUACAAGGUGUAAAGUUGAGUCAAACUCAAUGCCCGACCACAGCAGAAGAUAAAGAGAAAAUGAAAGAUGUUCCCUAUGCUUCAGCCAUAGGCUCUAUCAUGUAUGCAAUGCUGUGUACCAGACCUGACGUAUGCUUAGCAAUAAGCUUGGCAGGUAGGUACCAAAGUAAUCCAGGAGUGGAUCACUGGACAGCGGUCAAGAACAUCCUGAAAUACCUGAAAAGGACUAAGGAUAUGUUUCUCGUAUAUGGAGGUGACAAAGAGCUAGUCGUAAAUGGUUACGUCGAUGCAAGCUUUGACACUGAUCCGGACGAUUCUAAAUCGCAGACCGGAUACGUGUUUUUAUUAAACGGUGGAGCUGUAAGUUGGUGCAGUUCUAAACAAAGCAUCGUGGCAGGAUCUACAUGUGAAGCGGAGUACAUAGCUGCUUCUGAAGCAGCAAAUGAAGGAGUCUGGAUGAAGGAGUUCAUUUCCGAUCUAGGUGUCAUACCUAGUGCAUCGGGACCAAUGAAGAUCUUCUGUGACAAUACUGGUGCAAUUGCCUUGGCAAAGGAAUCCAGAUUUCACAAGAGGACCAAGCACAUCAAGAGACGCUUCAAUUCCAUUCGGGACCAAGUCCAAGUGGGAGACAUAGAGAUUUGCAAGAUACAUACGGAUCUGAAUGUUGCAGACCCGUUGACUAACCCUCUCUCACGAGCAAAACAUGAUCAGCACCAAGACUCCAUGGGUGUUAGAAUCAUUACUAUGUAAUCUAGAUUAUUGACUCUAGUGCAAGUGGGAGACUGAAGGAAAUAUGCCCUAGAGGCAAUAAUAAAGUCAUUAUUUAUUUCCUCAUAUCAUGAUAAAUGUUUAUUAUUCAUGCUAGAAUUGUAUUAACCGGAAACAUGAUACAUGUGUGAAUACAUAGACAAACAUAUAGUCACUAGUAUGCCUCUACUUGACUAGCUCAUUAAUCAAAGAUGGUUAUGUUUCCUAACCAUUGACAUGGGUUGUCAUUUGAUUAAUGGGAUCACAUCAUUAGGAGAAUGAGGUGAUUGACAUGACCCAUCCCGUUAGCUUAGCACUUGAUCGUUUAGUAUUCUGCUAUUGCUUCCUUCAUGACUUAUACAUGUUCCUGUAACUAUGAGAAUUGUGUAACUCCCGUUUACCGGAGGAACACUUUGGGUACUACCAAACGUCACAACGUAACUGGGUGAUUAUAAAGGAGUACUACAGGUGUCUCCGAAGGUACAUGUUGAGUUAGCAUAAUUCGAGAUUAGGUUUUGUCACUCCGAUUGUCGGAGAGGUAUCUCUGGGCCCUCUCGGCAAUACUCAUCACCUAAGCCUUGCAAGCAUGUAACUAAUGAGUUAGUUAUAAGAUGAAGUAUUACAGAACGAGUAAAGAGACUUGUCGAUAACGAGAUUGAACUAGGUAUUGGAUACCGACGAUCGAAUCUCGGACAAGUAACAUACCGAUGACAAAGGGAACAACGUAUGUUGUUAUGCGGUUUGACCGAUAAAGAUCUUCGUAGAAUAUGUGGGAACCAAUAUGGGCAUCCAGGUCCCGCUAUUGGUUAUUGACCAGAGAUGUGUCUUAGUCAUGUCUACAUCGUUCUCGAACCGUAGGGUCCGCACGCUUAAGGUUUCGAUGACAGUUAUAUUAUGAGUUUAUGUAUUUUGAUGUACCAAAGGUUGUUCGGAGUCCCGGAUAUGAUUACGGACAUGACGAGGAGUCUCGAAAUGGUCGAGACAUAAAGAUUGAUAUAUUGGACGGAUAUAUUUGGGCACCGAAAAGGUUCCGGAGAAGUUUGGAGCCCCGGGAGGUUACCGGAACCCCCUGGGAGGUAUAUGGGCCUUAUUGGGCCCAUGUAGGAGGAAGAGAGAAGGAGCAAGGGAGGGGGGCGCGCCCCCCCAAGCCCAAUCCGAAUUGGGGAGGGGGGCCGGCCCCCCCUUUCCUUUCUCCUUCCCCCUCUUCCUAUUACUACUACUAGUACUACUUCCUAAUACUAGUACUCUUUCCUUCCCCCUCCAAAUAAGAUAAGGAAAAGAGAGGGAAACCUACUUGGAGUAGGUUUCCCCCUCCUCAUGGCGCGCCCCCCCUAGGGCCGGCCACCUCCUCCCUCCCUCCUUUAUAUACGGGGGUAGGGGGGCACCCUAGGACACACAAGUUGAUCAUUGAUCGUUCCUUAGCCGUGUGCGGUGCCCCCCUCCACGAUAUUACACCUUGGUCAUAUUGUAGCGGUGCUUAGGCGAAGCCCUGCAACAGGAGAACAUCAAGAUCGUCACCACGCCGUCGUGCUGACGGGACUCCCCCUCGGCGCCUCUGCUGGAUCGGAGAUCGAGGGUGCGUCAUCGAGCUGUACGCGUGUCAAGAACUCGGAGGUGCCGGAGUAACGGUACUUGGAUCGGUUGAACCGGAGGACGUAUGACUACUUCCUCUACGUUGCGUCAACGCUUCCGCUUCGGUCUACGAGGGUACGUAGACAACACUCUCCCCUCGUUGCUAUAUCAUCACCAUGAUCUUGCGUGUGGGUAUGAUUUUUUUUUUUGAAAUUACUACGUUCCCCAACAGGCACAGUGCCAAUAAUGGGUGUGUGGUACCGGUAACGCCCCCCCACCGCCGGUGAUUAUCUAUGUGUGGUGGUGUGUGUACGAGCCGCAAUGAGCUUCAAAAUCCGAUUGUGUCGUAUGAGGAGGGAGAAGAUAAAACUUCCCUCCCGCGCUGGUGGUUGGAGUCGAGCCCCCCACAACUUCCAUAUUUGGCGGCUAUGCGGGUGUUUUUUGAGCGAGAUGUGUAAAUCUUGACGAUUGCAAUGCAUACGAUCACAUUGUUACAGUUUUAGUUUUGUUCGCCGAUUGCCAUACUAACUGUUGUUAUGGCAAUCAAUCACAGCCGGCGCAUCUGCUAGAGUUGCCCCAAAAGGUCGAGACUAUUGGUUGUUAAGUCAGACGAGAACAUUAAUCAUUUAGAUUAUUUAGAGCAUCUAAAGCCGGACCCCUCGAACCAUCUCUCAUACACCCGCAGACGCACCCGGUCAGUGACCGGACAGGAGAGAGGGAAAAAAGUGACGCAACCAGACCCCUCAUAUCAUCCAUAUACGUUUGGGCAGUCUGCGAACCCUCAUAUCCAUUUCAAAUGUAGGGAGGAUAUGAGGGCUCGCGGACGCGCCCGAUCAGUCUGCCAAGUAGGAUGCGGUCCCGCCUCAGAUCAUCUUUUCUCUUUCUUUAUUCAUUUUUCUCUUUUCUCUAUCUCCACCAAUCACGUGCAAGUGAUACCGGACACAUGAGGAAGAAAAUGAGGACUGUGACUGCGCGGACGGACGAGUAGGAGCUCAAAACGAGCACGCCCGGUCACUGACCGGGCCCGCCUGAGGGGUCGAAUUAGAUGUACGUGGCUCUGGAUGCUCUUAGACUACACUUUUGUUUUCUUGUUUACUUGCCAUGCCAUGCCGUCUUACCUAAACUCACCAAAUGGCAACCCAAGCCAUACCAUACAACAGCCCUCAACAGUCCGGCAUUGGUUGACCUAAUCAUCAUUCCCCCAACAAACAAUUCCCCAAAAAAGGGAAUCACAGAUCACACCACCGGGCUAGAGAGAGAAACCCAUGGAAAGAGCCAUGAAUGAGAGAGAGGGAUGGCCCACCCACCAGACAGGGAGGGGUUUUAAUAAAAAUCUUGCCUCGCCAUUAUUCCUGCACUGGAAAAACCACCAACCCCUCCGCCCCCAACAGCAGCGGGGAGCUGGCCUGCCGCCGCCGCGCGCCGCCGGGGAGGCGAUCCGGCGACCGGAGGAGAGCCCGCCAUGGCGCGGAAGCACGGCUGGCAGCUCCCGGCCCACACCCUGCAGGUCCGUCCUUCCUCCAGCUCCUCUCCCCCCUUUCCUUCCCCGCCUUUCCCUUUCCUCCCACGCUAGCUCCCGGCCCUCGGAUCGGCGCGGCCGGGAUGGAAGUACGCACUCCCCGCUCGGCUCGCGUCUCCGGUAGCAGCCGCAGCAGGAGCUCGCCGCGUGCUCGCGCCGCCCCGUGAGCUCGCGCCGGAGGGAAUUUCCCGAUUCCGAAGAUCUGCCGAGGAGGGGGCCAGCUCGGCGGCGGUUGGUUGGCUCUCCCUUUCCUCUCCUGCUUUUCCGCGUGUCUGCGUGGGUGAGGCAGGUGGAUAAUGUGAGCUGGGCCACGGAAUGGCUUGGGAAUUUUGUGAAUUCUGCCGGCCCGUGCUCGAUUUGGUGGGGUGGUUCCUCCUCCUCCUGCUGCUGCUGCUGCUGCCUAGGGUUGCUCGUCCGCCUGGCCAGAGCGGGCUGGAUGCGUCUCCUGUCUGAGUGUGAGAUGGCUCUAGAGCACUGCCUGGAAUGGUUGCUUGUUACUCGUGAUUAAACCGGGAGUAGCAGUAGUACUGUCUGAAUAGGUUGUAUAUUUAGUACUGUCUGGAAUUGGUAAAACCCUUUAUGCGAAAUUAUCCACUUAUGCUCUGGAGUGAGGUCUGGGGCCUGUUUGUUUGGUCUAUUUCUGGCUGCGUCUAGGCAGGUUUCCAAGGGAACGGUUUGGCCAUGCAAAUGCAGGUGAUUUAGAGGAGCUGCGAUUUUUUUGUUUUUGGUUUGUCAGUGAAUGGUGGUGCAGUAUCGCGAUGUUUCCGUCUGUUUUCUAGAUUCUGUUGGCUUAUGUUGCGAGAGUUGGCUCAGUAGCUUGUAAGCUUGUUCUUGAGUCCACCAAGUUAGCCCUUGUCUGUUUUCUGGAUUCUGUUGGCUUGUGGGAGAGUUGGCUCAGUAGCUUGGUUUCUGUCCUAAGCUUGUUCUUGAGGCCACAAAGCUGGCUCUUGUCUGAAUUUCGCAUCGAGCUUGGUGGUAGAAAACUCUUACUGGUCAAGUGGUGGCAAGAACUUUCAUGGUACCAUAUUCUAGUUUCUUUUGUGGGGAAGGGCCACUUGUCAGAUAUCUUUGUGUAUGGUGGUCUUCUGCAACAUGGAUUUUCUCCAUCUAAUGUGGUCAAUUGAUGUUGUUAAGUGACUGUGUCAUGGUUUUGGUUCUGUUUUUAAAAAGGAAAGCCAGUUUUUCAGGCUUCAAGAAAAAUAAUUUCGCAGAAUAUUACUGCUAAGCCCAAGCUUGUUAAUCGGCAUGUACAUUUCUGUGAUAUAUUGCUAGUGUCUGCUCAGAUGUGUGCUUGCUAUUGUCACCCGUCUUUUUUUUUCUACAUGAUAUGAAACCUUAUGAUACUGCACCAAUAGCCUUUGUGCAUCUAAGUUAUCAAACUGUGUGAACUAGAAAUGGAAAUUGAGAGAAUUGAUCAUUACUUUUCUGAACUGUUGCAGAAGCCUCAAUAGUUCUUUCAAGUUCGUACAUUGAAACACUUGUUUCACAAUUUUUACUGAUUCCUAAUAUUGUUUUGACAGAUCGUUGCAAUUACUGUAUUCUUCCUUCUGGUGGUUGCAUUUUAUGCCUUCUUUGCACCAUUUCUGGGAACGCAAGUCCUUGAGUAUGUUGCGAUAGGCAUUUAUACUCCCAUGGUAAGUCUUAAAAAGUCUCAUUGUCUUUUAUGUCUUCCUGUUCAUCUGAAGAGAGCUAUCUUGUGGUAUCAUGAAACAUCAUUUCCACUCUUCACAUCACUUCCAGGCAUUGGCUGUCUUCAUCCUUUACAUCCGGUGCACAAGUAUUAAUCCUGCUGAUCCUGGUAUCAUGGCAAGGUUUGAGGAUGGUUUUGUCGAUGUACCUGUCAACAGCGAUGGAUUGGAAGGCAUAAACUUGCCCCAGAAAGCAAACAGCGCUAUUGGAACACACUCCCCAACAUCUACUUGCAGAAGCUCUCUAGAUGGCCAUUCUAAUCAGAGAGGUACAUCUGUAGGGGAGGCAAACAUACAUGUGAGCUCACAACUGCCGAAGAAAAGAUCAAGCUGUUUCCUCUUUGGUGGGCUCGUGUGUGCUUUAUUUGUUAAGGAGGACUGCCGGAAGCCUGAUGAUUCAGAGCAACAAGCUAAUGGCGAAGAGGCUCUGUUUUGCACAUUAUGCAAUGCUGAGGUAUGCUUCUCUAGCUUUUGGUUAUGCAGCAUGCAGCCGAACAGUCAGUUUGGAGCAUGGGCACAUUGCGCCCGUUUUUUUUUUUGAAGUUUAAAUUUUCUGAUUUUUCCGGCUUAAAAAAAUCCGGAAUUUUGUGUACAUGCACAUAUAGAAGUGUAGUAUAACUGUGCAAAAUUUCAUCAAUAUACGUGUUUGUAUGUGACAUACAAAAAAGGCAAAUACAUGCAAAAAGUUGGCUUGUUUUUUUUGUUGAUUUUGGGCUGGAGUUUUGUCUUUUUUGUGUAGCGUAUAAUAUAAUGUACUUCCUCCGUUUCUAAAUAUAAGUCUUCCUAGAGAUUUCAAUAUAGACUACAUACGGAUGUAUAUAGACAUAGCAGAGUCUAGAUUCACUCAUUUUGCUUUGUAUGUAGUCCCUUAUUUGAAUCUCUAGAAAGACUUAUAUUUAGAUCACAUGCAUACGUAUUCAUGUAAAAAAACUCCAAUUUUGUUGAAACUUUUAAGCACCAUUUUUGAGGUGUUUAAAAAAACGUGCUCCAAUACCCCCAUGCUCCAUAAGUGCGCUUUAGCAUGCAGCUGGCUUAUUUGAAGCUUAUGUUUAUUUUUAUAUAAAUUAAUUUUACAGGUUCGCAAAUUCAGUAAACACUGCAGAAGCUGUGACAAGUGUGUGGAUGGAUUUGAUCAUCAUUGUCGGGUAACUUUCUUGAACUGUAUUAGCAUGCGACCUUCUGACAUCUGAUUCUGCAUAGCUGAUAUGAGCAUCUUCCUCAGUGGCUGAAUAAUUGUGUUGGGCGGAAGAACUACUUCACGUUUAUUGCUCUGAUGGCAAUCAGUCUCCUAUGGGUAUGCAAUGUUCACCUGUUAUAGAUUUUUUUUAUUGCAUGCAGUAGCAUAUCGUUUUUAAACCCACUUGGUUGUAGAGGUUUGUGGUUAUACCCUUCCCUUUAUGGUACUAAAUAUUUACAGUUUCCUGUAACAGCUUGCAAUUGAAUUUGGAGUGGGCAUUGCUGUUCUUGUUCUCUGCUUUGUCGAUAAGAAUUCACCAAGGAUCCUUCAAGAAAAGCUUGGGAAUGGCUUGACUCGUGCUCCAUUUGCUGUGAUUGUAGUAAGUACCGUAAUGAAUUAUAGUACCUUUUACUAUAUAGGAAUCUUCUCUUUGCUAUAAUAUCUGAAGCAGCACCUUUCCACCAUUAGCUGUUGAGGAAUCAAAGACUGUUUGCCUUCUAUUUGUUGCACUACAUGCUAUGUUGGCAAAGUUCUGACGCUGUUACCUAUGUUAUUGUUUCAUUUAUACCAUAUAGAGUAUUAUGGUUGCACAUUAUUUUUACCUUCUGGAAGUGCAACUAUUACUGUUUAGGAUCCAUGAAUUAACUUCUUAGCUGUUGUGCCUGUCAUUGGUUUACCACUUACCUAUAGUGCUUGCAUAUUGGAUCUAAUGUAUACUAAGCAUUACUCACUGGUUCUUACUUUUUAGAACAAGUCUUGUUAGCCGAUAAUUAACUGAAUUGUGAUAUUAUUAUGUCCAGGGUGUAUUCACACUUCUGUCAUUAGUGGCCUGCGUACCUUUAGGAGAACUUUUCUUCUUCCACAUGAUAUUGAUCAGAAAGGUUUGCCUCACACCUCAUACUUGAAAUGUAAUACAUAAUGGGAAGUUUAUCUUGCUUUCUCAGCUGGGUUCCUUCUUUAUUUCCCUAUCAGGGGAUCUCAACCUAUGAUUAUGUGGUUGCAAUGAGAGCUAUGAGUGAGGGGAUUCCAGAGGACGAGGAAGGAGCAAAUAUCAUCUAUUCCCCCUCAAAUUCAGCAACAACCGGAUUCAGUGUUGGAAGUUCUCUUGGCCUUCACCACAAGGGUGCUUGGUGUACACCUCCAAGAAUAUUUAUUGAUCAGGUAAGCUGCCUGUGUAAAUUGCAAGACUUUUGAAAGUUUAAUCAUGACUCUCAGCUGGAAAAAUUAUAUUUAUAUUGUUAGAGACAAUUGUAAGACUACUGAAUUUAGUUGUGCUGAAACUUUCAACCAGGAUGAAGUGAUUCCACAUUUGGACCCUGGGAUGGUUCCUUCAACCGUUGAUCCUGAUGCUGCUGGAUACGCUGAAAGAGCAAACAAAGCCAAGAAGCCAGUCAAGAUUAGUGCCCGGAGCCUUGCAAAGCUGGACAGAAACGAGGUGAUGAAAGCUGCAGCAAAAGCUCGGGCAUCAUCCUCUGUUCUCCGACCAAUAGAUGCCCGCCAUGGCCAUGAAGCUGAUAUUAGCUCCAGUGGCAAUGCCAGCGUCAGGAGUAGCAUGAGCGUUGACUACAGUGCUACAAAGGAAUCAAGGAGUGAGAUGAGGCUGUCUCCUCUACAGAACUCAUAUCCACAGAGUCUUGCAAGCCAGGAUGACUAUGAGACUGGCACACAGACUGCAAGCAGUUUAAGCAGCCCGGUCCACAUCCACAAGCUUGCCCCUCAUGCUCAAUUUCGUGCAGCACCUCAUCCAGCUCCACCUCCUGAAAGGCCUGCGCUAGGGAUUACAAGGCCACCUGUUCCUGCCACACAUAUAAGUAACAACCCAAUGUUCCAGUCAGCCACAUCAUAUGUCAGGGAGAACCGAAGAGCCUCUGUUGUCUGGGAUCAAGAGGCUGGUCGGUACGUGUCAGUGCCCAUGCAAACAACAAGAACAGGACCCGGUGUUGAGCUGCCUGCAAGAAACCCAAGUUUCUUGGCGAAUCCAAGUGGUGAACCAGGCAACCAUGGGAGAAAUCUUGCACCUGCCAACACAACUUCAUCAGCGAUUCCUCCGGGGCAGCCGUCCGAGAGGUUGACGUACACAGGCCAAUCAAUAUUCUUUGGCGGGCCAAUCCUGAGCACCACUGGCGUAAAUGCAGAAAGGAAUGAGGCGGGCACAAGAGUGCGUCCUGAGACAAGCAGAGAUCCCAACUCCCACCAGCGUGACAUCCGUGGUGAGAAGGCUCGGACAGGCUCCUUCCCAUUGUUUGAGCCUAGGAAUUUCUAGAAGAACCUGCUUUGUUGGCAAGUGACCUUGACCGGCUGUUUUACUCCUCUCUACUAUGUCGUCUGCUCAAGUGCCACCACCAUGACAGUGGGGGUGAUGUUGAUGCACUGCACCCCUUGCAGAGUCAGGGAACUGCUGAAAUAGUUGACCUGGGGUUUCAGCGAUACAUAGAUAACGAUGCUUCUUAGAGCUUUAUUAUAGCGAGUGAGGAUGGCGCUAACUUUGUUUGAUGUUUUACAAACUGACUGAUAGUCGCAGUUUUAUUUUGCGUGCAUUAGGAGUUGUGAUGUUUGAUGCGCUUGGCAUGUAGUAGAAGAGCUGAUUAAACUUGUCCUUGAUGUGUACAACCUUGUGAUUUGCCGCUGACUUUGUUCACAUUACGGACUUCGGAGUGUUCAUUGCAAGUCUCUGUUCUGUUACUGCUGUAAUAGUAGCCCACCUGUGAAGGCAUUGUCUCCAACUGUCUUAGCGUUCGACUGCUUUAUUUUCAUGUUGAGAGAAUGGAGUUUAACUCGGAUGAUACUGCUUGCUGCAUAAUUGAUGUUCAUUUUCCAAACUGAAUUAGUGAGAUGGGUAUGAUUGCAAUUGAAUAAUUCUUGUUCUGUAUCAUGAGUUCAUAUCUAAAUAAACUGCGGCUUAUUAGUGCCACCGCAUUGCUGUCAACGUGCCAAGGAUGUUGCAAAAUUCCCCGCAUUUUUGUAAACUACUCCCUCUGUCCAAUAAUAUUAUCAGACGGAGGGAGUACCUAUUUGAACAUGGCAAGAAUAAUGAUAGUAUCGGAAGUUAAACUUAGUUUCAUUGCAUCCAUAGGCUGUGGAUGCUCUAAGGAGGCAUCAUCUUCUGUGCCAUCAGGCUGGUUGCAACCGCCUUUAACCAGGAAGCCUGUGUUUAAUUCUCUUUUCUUUACGGGCUGACUUCCUGAUCGAAGCAACAUCUUUCACCUCGCGGGGGAAAAGAUCUUGAAUCCAUAUGCCAUUCAUGGGAGAAGAACAAAGGAGGAUGUAGAUCAUACAGUGGCGGCCAAAGCGUUUCCUUUGGAUGAAGUGGUGUUCUCGGUGUUUGCUGUAUGCAUUGUAACAUAUGAUGUAUCCUGGGGAUAUAUAUAUAUAGAGAGAGAUCUAGAGAUGUAAUGGCCAUGUGUAGACCUAGCUGUAAAUUAUGCAGCCCUUAGGUACAAACCUGAGUGUCCUGGCUUGUUGUGCUCUCAACCACAUGUAGCCAUGAUACAACUGAUUUGUUUACGAGCAUUGGGAUGCCCUCGCAGAAGGAAAAAGUAAAACCCAAGAGUCAAGAAAAAAAGAAAAACUAAUGAUACUUCCUUAGAACCACACGACAAUCGUGGUUAGCCACUUAAACCUGAUAUCAACAAUAGAUGACGGUUCCAUAGAGCAUCUACAUCCCCUGGAGAUAAACCUCUAUAUAUCUCCUGUAGGAAAAUAAUACUAGCUCUACAUCACCCUUUUUAGUCUUCCCGACUCCAUUGAUAUCAUAUGAACCAACCUGUGGUUGGAUUGUUAGGAGAACAAUGGUAUCCACAGUCCACCAGAGUUGUCUUAAAGAAACAAAGUCCAUUGAUAUCAUUAUAAUAGUAAUAACCAAGUAACUAAAUUGAAGUAGUUAAGAAGAAAUUCAUAGAAUUUAUUCUCUUUGAGAGAAAGAAAGCUAGUUUAAGAUGAAAGGAAGCAAGGUAACUUUACGCGCCUUGAUUAGUACUACUAAACAUUGUUCAUGGCACGUUUUCCUGAUCUUGGCAUGCACUGCACAUAGCGUGAUCCUUUCCAUGCACUUGUUGAAACAGAAUUGCUUCUUUAGACAUCUUAUCUUUUACUCUUAUUUUGGGAAACCCUAGCCGCUGUCCCCUCUACCACACCUCCUCCCAUCCUCUCGUCUCGCAGCCGCCGGAGCUCGCUGGCGGGCAAAGCUCAGUCGGUGGCGGCGGGGCAUCCUCUUCUCUUCGUGCGGGGCCGGGCAGCGCGUGACACGUUCUUCGCGCGGGGGCGCGUCGCUACGCGAGGCACGGCGGUGCAGGCGGCUGAGCCUCGGUAUGGAGGGUUGCUUGGCAGUGGUGGUGGCGGCGGCUAGUGCGUGGUGGCGGUGGACCAGGCCAGAUCGGAUCUGGAGGGUUCCUGGCGGUGGGCGGCGCGUGGGUGGGCAGCGACUUAGUAGGGUCUCUUUGGCCAUGGCCACGAUAGCGUGCAGGCCGUUGUUGUAGGGGUUCCAUGGCUGCUGGUCAGAUCCGCCCAGAUCUGACCCUAGGCGCCGACAGGCGGCUCGGGGUGGUGGCCGCGGACUCCUGGUUGGAUGUGGCUGCUUGGAUGUGGGCUGCAACGGCGUGGUGGCAGUCCAUGGCAGUGGGUUGGGUCGUUCCAUGAUGGCGGCUGGACAUCUCCGGCGUCGGUCGUCGGGGAGCGGCUCUUGCGGUGGCGACCUUCUUCCUGCGUCGGCUCGUCCGUAGGCGGCCCGUGGAGGCCUUCGAUCCCUCUCCUUGUCGUCCUGGCGCUACUUUUGUCGAAGGGCUGACCCUCUCCCAGUUGCGAUCCAUCGCCCGUCUCGCGCCCAGUGCUGCAGCACCGAGCUCGUCUUUCGCCUAGCAGCAGGACCAAUCUCGUCUCGCGCCCGGCAGCAGGACUGGCAUCGUCUCGCGCCCGGUGCUGCAGGACGGGUCGAUGGAGGCCAGUUUUGGCCGGCCUAGUGGUCUCAGCGCCGGGGGUCGCACAGGGGUGUGAAAGGCGGAACCUUUUCGCUCGUCUCUUUGGCUGGGUUAGCGGCGGGCCUCAGGUGAGGUGGUGUCAAGGUCUUGGAUGCCAGGGCGGCGGCCCUGGUGGUGGUAGCAUGAUGCUCUUGGGCAGAGCCCGUGGCUUGGUGCUGCCCGGUGGCCAUGGCCGUGAGGGCGGUGUGGUAGCUGGGGUGUGGAGUUCGGUGGCGAUGAGUAUUGGCCGGCGUGAAAACCUGUUCUAUCUUUGGCUGGACCGGCGACGGCGAAGCUCGUUCCCUUCUUGAAGGUGUCGCCGUGGCUCUCAUUGCCCAUCGUGUUGCUCCAGGGGAAACUCUAAUCCUUGGUUAGGACGGUGGCGGCGCUUUGGUAUUGUAACCUUCCUGAAGGCACCGCCUUGGAGCCCACGGUUCGUCAUAUGUGGCUUCAUCUCUUCGCGGUGGUGUGUUCACGGUUGAGGACCCCGGUUGCUCAUGUAGUGCUAGGGGCGGUGUUGCUACGCUCAACGCCUAUAUAUGUAUCCUGCCUUGGGUGUGUGCAUGUGUUGUGGUGGCAUGCGUUUGUACUGGGUUGUUGUUGAUCGUUGCUGUAUAUAUAAAGCGGGGUGAAAGCCUUUUCAGUAAAUGACUAAUAUAACUAAGUAUAAACCCCCCCUAUUUGCAUCCAUAAACACUUACAUUUGAGUAAGGAUAGAGCAAUUAUGAUAUGGUGAGUACAACUUCCAAACUGCUGGUUCAGUUGUCCCACGGUCCAGCCGCACAGAGAAAACAAAGGUACUUUCAGCAAUGGUGGCAAGAACCGCGGGUGCCCGCGGCGGAGUGGCUACAAGCAACAGAGUGGCAGCGACUAGCGGGUUGGUAGUGGUUGACAAUGUGAUGGCUAGCGGAGGUGCAAAUGGAGGAGGUGGGGGCGGGUCCUGGGGCGGAGAUGACCAAUGGAGAUCUAGUACUCAGGGCAUCGUUUGCGGUUGUUCAACGCUGCAUAGACAAGCGAGGGAGUUGUUGGGCUCGCAUGCUACCUUAGUCAAACUCAAGCUAUAACCAAGCCAAGUUCAAGUGCGGACACAUAAGCUUAGACGGGCCUGGUGAAGCAGGUCCACGAGCGGGCUCGGCUUGGAUUCUUUCCAACCCAACCAACAACCUCAAGCGAGACAACCAACAUUUAGCUUUCUAUUUUCACAUGGUGGAUUAGUGACAAUAGCUACAUUUUCCCCUAUGCCUCUCAAUCCGGUUACCAAAUCCGUGCACCUCAGAUGGGUAACAUAUCUUGAAUCCGUAUGCCAUAGGAGAGGAACAAAGUAGGAUGUAGAUCAUACCGGGGUGACAGGGUGCUAAUUGUUGCAUGCAUUGCAAGAAAUGAUGUAUCAUGUGGAUAUAUAGAGAGAUGUAAUGGCCACGUGGGCCGACCUAGAUAGUAUGUAUCAUGAAAGUACAAACUUAAAUGUCCUGACUCAUACAGCUCUCAACCACCUGCAAACAAUGCUAUAAUUGUUCCAUUGACGAGCAUUGAGAUUCCCUCACCCCUCACCCCACCCACAUAGGCACACGGAACGGGACGAGAUGAAACACAUAGUGAGGUUCAUAACCAGGUUUUGCAAUCCAGGAUGACUAUGAGACUUCAACACAGACUAUAAAUUGUUUAACCAGCCAGGUACACAUCCCCCUCAUGCUCAAUUUUGUGCCACACCUCAUCCAGCUCCACAUCCUAAAAUGGCUGAAGUAGGGAUUACAAGGCCACCUGUUCCUACUACACAAAUUACCGACCCAAUGUUUCUAGUCAGCCACACCAUAUGUCUGGGAGAACCAACGAGCUUUUGCUGUCUAAGAUCAAGAGGCUAGUCGGUACUUGUCAGUGGCUCAGUGCCUACGCAAAUAAGAAUAGGACCUGACAUCGAGCCGCUAGCAAGAAAGCUAAUUUUCUUGGCAAAUCUAAGUGGUGAACCAGGCAACCAUGGGAGAAAUCUUGCACUGUGAAAACAAAUUCAUCAGCGAUUCCUUUAGGGCAGCCGUAUGAGAGAUUGACAUACACAUGCCAAUAAAUAUUCUUUGCCGGGCCAAUCCUGAGCACCACUGGCAUAAACGAAGAAAAUAAUGAGGUGGGCACAAGAGUGCGCCCUGAGGGAAACAGAGAUCCCAACUCCCACCAGAGGGACAUCCGUGGCAAGAAGGCUCGGACAAGCUCCUUCCCAUUGUUUGAGCCUAGGAAUUUCUAGAAGAACCAGUUUUGUUGGCAAGUGACUUUUACCUGCUGUUUUACUGUCUCUAUGUCGUCUGCUCAAGCCCCACCAUGACAGUGGGGGUGAAGAUAUGGAGAACUGCUGAAACAGUUGCUCCUUCGGGGCAACAAUGAUACAGAGACGACGAUGAUCUUUAGAUCUUUAUAGUGAGCGAGGAUGGUGCUAACUUUGUUUGAUGUUUACGAACUGACUAAUAACCGUCGUUUUUUUCUUUCGCAUGCGUUAGGAGUUCAGUUGUUUGGUGCGCUUAAUAGGUAGUAGAAGAGUUGAUUAAACUGUUCAUGGUGUGAAGAACCUUUUGAUUUGCAGCUGACUUUGUUCACAUUGCGGACUUUGGAGUGUUCAUUCUGUUACUGUGGUAAUCGUUACCCACGUGUGAAGGCAUCAUCUCCAACUGUCUUAGUGUUUGAUUGUUUCUCUUCCAGUUGUGUUUGAGGGAAUGAAUUAACCCAGGUGAUAUUGUUUGUUCUGUGCUGUUGUUCAUCUGUCAAACGUUUGUGAUUACAGUUGAGCAAGUAUUGUUUUGUAUCAUGAAUUCAUGACUAAUGUAGUAGCAGAAGUUAAACAUAGCUUCAUGCAUCCAUAGGUUAUGGAUACUACAAGGAAGCAUCAUCAGGUGCACGAGCAGCCUGUACAGUCCAACAUCUUGAUCGAAGCAACACCUUUCCCAAUACCUCGCAAUCCGGUUAUGCUUCACCUCAUGCGGUAAACAUAUCUUGAAUCCAUAUACCAUUGGAGAAGAACAAUGGAGGAUGUAGAUAAUACUUUUGGUGGCUAUGUCGUGGCCAGGCUGUUUGUGCUAUGCAUUGCAGGACAUGUUGUACCCUGGGGGAUAUAUAUAUAGAGAGAGCUAGGGAUUUGAUGGCCAUGUGUAGAGCUAACCAUAACUUAUGCAACCCGUAGGCACAAACCUGAAUGUCCUGGCUUGUAGAGCUCUCAAACACCACCAGCCAUGAUACAAUCGACUCACCAACGGGCAUUGAGACGCCCUCAUAAAAGGCAAAAUAAAAACCCGAGAGGCAACAAAAUCCGAAGAUACUUUGUUAGAACCGCACGACAAUCGUGGUUAGCAUCUCAAAACUGAUGUCAACAAUAGAUGACGGUUCCUUGGAGCAUCCGCAACCCUUGGGGCUAAACCUCUAUACGUCUCUCCAAUAGAAAAAACACAGACCUAUCUUACUCCAUUGAUAUCAUCAUCGUAGUAAUAACAAAGUAAUUGAGUUCAAGUGGUUCCUUAGAUAAGAAGAAAUUCACAUAAUUUAUCCUUGUUGAUGGAAAGAAAACUAGUUUAAGAUGAAAAGUAAGUGCUCGUGGAUGUGACCACAAUGAAGCAUGCCCCUUUGCAGUCAAUCUGUCGAAUCUUUCGUGCAUAUUUUCUGUCAAUGCCCGUCCUCUGUCGAAACAUGAUUUAAGCCUAGCCUAAUAUGCAUUGAUUAACAAAGGUGUUAUUAAAUGAUAUGAAUAAAUAAUAGUACUGAACUAAACCUUCACUUUUUUGCAUCCAUACAAAUUCCAUUUGAUUAACCAUGGAACAGUUAUUAUAUGAUGAGUACAAGUUCCAAACUAUCACACAAAACUUCAGAAUGCUUGAGCGCAUGAUACCCUGGAAUCAUGAAAUGAAGACCUGAAAGAAUUUAUAGGUUGUACUCCCUUCGUAAAGAAAUAUAAGAGCGUUUAGAUGAGUGCGGCUAAUCUGCACCCGGGCUCAUCUGCACCCCCGCUUAAAAAAAAUUCAAAAAAAAUACUAGAAAAAUUCAAAAAAUUCCAAUUUUUUGUGGUGGCAGAUAAUUUGACGCGUGAGGUGCGCACCAAAAUUCAACUCAUUUGAGCAUCUGAGCAGCUCUCGGCAAAAAAGACAAAAUCAGGGUCUGUAAAAAUGUUUACUGUUCAUGCACUGUUUUGACCCGAUUUGUCUUUUUUGCCGACAGCUGCUCAGAUGUCCAAAUAAGUUGAAUUUUGGUGCGCACCUCACGCGUCUAAUUAUCUACCACCACAAAAAAAAUUGGAAUUUUUUGAAUUUUUCUAGUAUUUUUUUUAAAUUUUUUGCUGAGAGGGAGCAGAUGAGCCCGGGCACCGUUUUGAGUUUUCCCGUUUAGAUCACUAAACUUUCUUAUAUUUCUUUAUAGAGGGAGUAGUUGAUAGACAAGUUAGAUAGGCCAUGAUGGAGUGGCGGUGACUGGCGGAUGGCACUGAGGUGGAAAGAGCGGCAGUGGCCGGCAGAGUGGAAACAACCAGUGGUGGAACACAUGGUUGGGUGGGGCCAACGACCACUCUAACAUGCAUGCAUUGAGUGCGGGGGUUUGUUUCAGAACAAGAGCUCGUGCGCCGGUGCAUGAGAAAAAAACUGAGCAUGGGAGGAAGUUUUGCUAGGCCCGCAGGCAGACCGAGUGAAACUCAAGCUUUGACCAAGUCGAAUCCAAGUCCAACUUUUAUGGCUUAGAUGAGCCUUGCAAAGCAGAGCCAUGAGCUAGCUCGGCUCGACUUGUUUUCAAACGCAAGGAGCAACCUCUAGCCAGACAAUCAGUGUUUAACUUUUCUUUUUCAUCGAAAAAGGCUUUCGCCCCACUUUAUAUAUAAAGAAAAUCGUCACAAGCACAACCGGCAUCCAAUAGGAUAGUAGCACAACACACAACACACACCACACACACACACACACACACACACACACACACACACACAAGUUCGCACAAGAAAAGUAUUCUGCUGAGGGCACCACCACAAGAAGCCCUAAGAAACAAAAGCGGUACAUGCCGCGAGGGCGCUCCGUAGAGCUAGUUCAGAUCUUCCCUUUUUCACACAGUGGAGUAUGGAUGGUAGCUACAUUUUUUCCAAUGACUCUCAAUCCAACUUCCAUUCAUCUCUUCAGGGAAAUAGAUCUUGAAUUCAUGUGGUGUUGGAGAAGAACAAAGAAGGAUNNNNNNNNNNNNNNNNNNNNNNNNNNNNNNNNNNNNNNNNNNNNNNNNNNNNNNNNNNNNNNNNNNNNNNNNNNNNNNNNNNNNNNNNNNNNNNNNNNNNNNNNNNNNNNNNNNNNNNNNNNNNNNNNNNNNNNNNNNNNNNNNNNNNNNNNNNNNNNNNNNNNNNNNNNNNNNNNNNNNNNNNNNNNNNNNNNNNNNNNNNNNNNNNNNNNNNNNNNNNNNNNNNNNNNNNNNNNNNNNNNNNNNNNNNNNNNNNNNNNNNNNNNNNNNNNNNNNNNNNNNNNNNNNNNNNNNNNNNNNNNNNNNNNNNNNNNNNNNNNNGGGAGGUGUAUAUAUAGAGAGAUCUGGGCAUGUAAUUGCCAUGUGAAGACCUAGCGAAAUAUUACCUCUGUCCCAAAUGACUUGCCUUAAAUUUGUUUAGGUACCGAUGUACCUAACACUAAAACAUGUUCAAAUAUUUUUUUUUCAAAAGUAGCACGUUUUUUAUAGCAAUUUUGAAAACUAGCGGUGCUAACACGUUAUUUGCCAAACUAGCACCCCGUCAGUCAGCCGUUGGCCGAAGAGUGACUCUUCAGUCAGGUGUUGGCCGAAGAGUGUGUUUUCGGUCUGGCGUUGGCCGAAGACCUGCGGUGUCUUCGGCCAGCAGAUGGCCGAAGAGUGCUUUUCUGUCAUUUGUUGGCCGAAGAGUUCAUACUCUUUACGUUAACACCUGACCGAAGUUCCAUGGGAUUACUCUUCGGCUUACACAAGAGAACGGAGAACAUGCACCAACGGACAACACCAACGCCACCCCCUCGGCGGCACGAAGCUGCACCUCCUCCUCACCAGCCAAACCGCCUCCUCCUCCUCACCCCAUCAUGACUCUAACUCACUUGUACGCACAAAUAACUAUUCCAUAGAAAAAAAAUGACCGUAGGCCGGUGGAGAUGGCUACGAUAUACCAUUUCUGUGGUUUGGAUUCAAAAAUAGGUGGAGAAACGAAGAGAUCAGGGGGUGGGGGGGACGUACAGAGAGGAACCAAAGAGAGAGAGAGAGAGCAAGAACAACGAGACGAAAAAAGAAACCAGCUCGGGCCUUAUCCAAAGGUCUUCGGCCACUCAUUAGCCGAAAAGGUUUUCGGCCACGGGCUGGCCGAAGAGGCCCGUCUUCGGCCCAGCUCACACACUUUUCGGCUUACGUGUAACCGAAGAGUCCUCUUCGGGCUUCGGCUGGUCAGAAAGGCCCUCAUCGGCCAACGGUUGACCGACGGGGUGCUAGUUUUGCAAAUAACGUGUUAACACUGCUAGUUUUCUAAAUUGCUAUAAUAAAUGUGCUACUUUUGAAAAAAAAAUUCAAAUACAUCACUAUUUAGAACAAUCUAAGACAAAUAAUUCGGGAAGGAGGGAGUAAUAUGUAGCCUGCAGGUACAAACUGGAAUGUCAUGGCUUGUACAUGUCUCAACCACCCGCAGCCAAUGAUACAAGUCCACACACACAUGCACACGCACACGCGCGCGCGCACACACACAUACAUACCACAUAGACACAUACACGCACGCACUCACUCACACACACACACACACACACACGCACGCACACACACACAGGAUGCAUCAUAAUGUGAGGAUGCUUCCUUGCGUGACAAAGGAGGUAAGUCAUCCUAAAACUGGUAUAAAAAUAUAGGAUGCCUCUUAACAUCCACUAUUGGUUGCUUCAUCAAACAUGAAAUGCAGUUUAUCCAAAUUGAAAAGGUACAAUUUAGAUAUACGAGACCAGAACACACUUCUUAACACUGAUAUCAAUAUAUUAUGAAGCCACCGCACAUGACACAAUUUAUUCAACAACUACCUCUAGCAAGGACACAAUUGAUUCGCUUACUUGCAUUAGGAUGCCCUCACAUAAAGAAAAAUAAAAAAUGGAGAGGCAACAAAAACUGAGGACAUUUCCUUAGAAUUGCACAACAAAGCUCGGUUGGCAAUCUCAAAACUGAUCUCAACAAAAGAUUACGGUUCCUUAGAGCAUUAAUUCACAAUCCUUGGAGCUGAACCUCUAUAUAUCUGUCAUGUUAAAAGACGUAUCUCCUAAACACCGUUUUAGUCUUCUUUAACCCCACCAAUAUCACCAUUGUACCAAUAACUGAGUAAAUAAAUUUAAGAUUUUUUGGUUAAGAAGAAAUUCAUAGGAUUUAUCCUUGUUGAGAGAAAGAAAGCUAUAGUUUUAAGAUGAAAAAGAAGUCAGGUAAAUUUAUGCGCUUUGAUUACUACUAAACAUUCUUCAUGGCAUUUUCCCCUGAUCAGCUUGGUAUGCUGCAAAUCGCGAUCCUUUGCAUGCACUUGCUGAAACAAAUUGCUGCACUAGUCAUCUCUUUCUUUACUUGCUAUCAUUUCACCGCGUACUUCAUAGUAGCUAAGGAUACGUGAGCUCACAAGGUGUGAAAUAAGAAUAAGACCAAUCGAGACUUCAAAUGGGACAAUUUGAGCUGUAGAUCAUAAUGCCCAUUUGAAGGUAAAUCUCAACCAUAGAUGACUACUAGCACUAAACAUAAACCUUUCCUUCUUUGCAUUCACAAAUUUUUCAGUUGAGUACGUAUUGAGCAAUUAUGAUAUGGCGAGUACAACUUUCAAACUACUGGUUCAGUUGUUCAUGCGGCUCCGUCGUGUAGAGAAUGCAGAGGACGGUCAGCAAUGCUGGCAAGAACAACGAGUGACCGAGGUGGAGUAGCUACGUGCGAGGGAAUGGCUCCCAUUGGAGGAUUGACUGUGGUUAACGGAGUGGUGCUGGCUGGCCAAGGAGCAGACGGACGGGGUGGGAGCCGGCUGUGGAGUGGAGAUGCCUGACAGGGCUCUAGGAUUUCGUGCAUUGCAUGCUGGGGUCGGGAUCAGGAGAAGAGCAGAUACACGGGUACAGUGACAAGCAGCGGGAGUCGUUGGGCUUGCGUGCAGCUCUCGCCGAACUCAAGCUUUGACAUGGCCGAGUUCAAGCUUAGUUUUGUGAGUUUUGACGAGCCUGGACGAGGCAAGUCAUGACCCCGCUCGACAUGGCUUGUUUCCACCCCAUAAGCUAGAGAGACAUCAUUUAGCUUUCUUGUCACCGAGAGGGUUGUUGAUGGAUGCUACAUUUUUCCCAAUACCUUACAAUCCAAUUACAAUUUACCACAACCGGGUAAUAUAUCUAUGAAUCCAUAUACAUAGAAGAAGAACAAAGGAGGAUGUAGAUCAUAUUGUGGUGGCCUGCAUGCUAAUUCCUGCACACAUUGCAAGAGAUGAUGUAUCUUGGGGAAUACAUAUAUAGAGUUGGGCAUGUAAUGGCCAUGUGCUAGCUAAAAAUCAUGUAUUCAGCAGGUACACACAUAAUGUCCUGACUUGUAGAGCUCUUAAAACCAUCGUCAGCCAAUAAUGAUAGAAUCAGUUCGUUAUGAGCAUUGGAGUGCCCUCAUAAAGAAAAAAACUCUUUAGAUGCAGGACACAUGGAGGAGGAUGCUUCUUUACAUCUGCACAAUAGUAUGGUUAGGCCAACCCCAAUGCGGAUCACCAAAACAGACAUUACCAAAUCUCUGCGGGCAGACGCCGUUUAACCGGAGUCACCAAAUAUCUGGUCAAAUCCGAACAGAUAUUUAACAAAAGCCGAUGAAAUUCAUACAACCAGUAGGACAAAAAUUAACAAAGUUUGAAUUAACCGGAAAAAAAAAAUCAAAACUACACUCGAGAUACAGGACGAUGACCUUGUACGCAUGGUCCCUGAGACAGCCGACACCAUAGUCCUUGUCUGCGCCGUCGCCACUGCCGUCAGAGCCGUCAUAUUCAACGUGCUUUCAGUCCACAGGAACAUUGGCAAGCAUCGCGACAACCCUCAUUGGUUACUGCUGCACAAUUGCGGUCCAGUAAGUUGGCCUCCUUCGCCUAGGCAGCGCCUUGGCCGCCUCGGUGGGGAGCCGGAUCCCCUGACGUACGGCCACCUGACGUUGGGCCACUGACGCGUGGAUCCGGGUCCACACGUCAGCGAGUGCGCCGUACGUCAGAGGAGCUGCGUCCCCUCGGUGGUGCCGACACAACCGUGGACUCAGUCGCGCGCAGCACACAUUUGAGCCGGUCCAAGCACUCGGACUCGGCCAACCCCACUUUGAGGAGCUGGUCGCUGAUCUGGCACCCGCCACAAGUGGUGGUCUGCGCGGUGUUCCUGGACCGGUCAAUGCCUAGGCCUUCGCGACUGCACACCUCGCGAACGACACCCGAUGGUAUGCGUUUCAUCACUACUAGAGCGCCGCCUCACAGGCCACCAUGGAGGACACCAUCAUUCUUGAAGACGAGCUGUUGCCACCGAGGUAGUAGGCGAGGUGUCUGCGCUGUAAAAAUUAUUGAAUGAUUGUGUUGUUAUGUGUUGUUGUAUUGAUCUAACACUCGUAGGGGUAUAUAUAAAGUACAACAUGCGAUGAGACUUGGAGUACAAGACAAGUCAUAGUAUAUUAAAACUAAUUCUAUCUCCAUCUCUCCUUAUCUCUAACUGAACACGUUUAUAUUAUUACAUUCCCCCUCACUCGUAGCGGGUCGCCGGAGUGAAGCGGACAAGUACGACUGAAUUUGAAGUCUUGUGCUUCCGUCGUCUUCUCCGCUGCGCCAUCAUCAAUUGCGUCUCUGAUGGGUCGGCACCUAGGGCGGUGACUGCGUCCCCUUCUCGUGCUUCCUUGUCUCUUCCCUCUUCCCUGUCGUAGUCACAGCAGGAGUGACGUGAACGCUGAUGACGACGCGGAAGCUGUUGACUGGAGUUGUUGCCGAUAUGUUGCUGUAGACGUAGCCAUUAAUGUCAAUAUCGAGGUAGCCGAUCAUGGUGAUGUAGCCGUGGUCGAGGUAGUCGUGGUCGAUGGUGUGGUCGUCGUGGAUGAUGAAGCCGCAUAGAGCCUGAAGGCGCAAAAAAUGCGCUAUGACGGAGCUGCAGACGUGGACGAUGCACCUUGCGGAUGUGAGAGGGUGCCAUCGGUGACAAGUUGCCGGUUUUGCCAAGACCAGAGGAAGCCCAUCAAGAACACAUCGGUUUUGCUAGAACCGUGUGGCCAUGUAGGGUCGUCACUGUAGUGACGCCGUGUCGAUGCAGUCGUGCUGUCGUGGAUGACGCCAUCGAUGCUGUCGUCGUUGUCGCGUCUUGCAGAAAAGUCUGUCAGAGGACACUAGGUGUCCAUCUUGUGUACAAGGCAGCGGCGGUGCGUUGACGAAAAUGUUGGUGAAGACCAUGUUGAUGAAGAGCUUGGCGAUGAUGUUGCAGCGGCGUGUCGACGAUAAUGUGUCGCUUGAAGGCGUCCCUCGCGGCGACCAAGUGUCAAUGCCGUGUCGCGCCAGAAAAGUCAAUGAAGAUUGCAUCUCGUUCCACACCGGCCUGACGUGUGGAUGGUGCAUGUUGAGAUCGCUUCUCGUAGACAUACUCGUCGAAGUAUAUUGGCUUGUAGUCUGGCGUAGUGUAUAGCUUGAUGAUGCGGCGUGGGUCGGCGGAUGGUGCGUCGUUCAGUCGCGUGGCCGCCCUCCCGGUCGAUGCCUCGUAUAUGCGCAAAUGGAUGUGUAGCUGGCGGUUGUCGAUGGCUGCACGUGUCGGAGUCCAUGUAUCGCUGCAUGCAUCUCCUCGCAUGGCUGGAUGGGCCUUUGACAAUGGAGGCUGCUGGGGCGGCUUGGGCGGCACCGUAAGCCAGCCGCCGCCCGCUCCCCUCCCUCCAUCUCUUUCCCUCGCCGUCACCUGAGGAGUCCGGCGAGAAAUCUCACUGCGCUUUCGAGGAGGGUGGCAACCAGGCGUUCUCUCUCCAGCCCAGGCGAGUGGUGCGGGAAGCCAACGCGUGGAGUGCUCAUGGCGGCUGGUGUCAAGGCUCUUGUAGAUCCGGCUCGCUGGUGGUCGGGGAUGCAACGUAUGAUGGCGGAUCCGGUGAGCAGUAGGUGCUCCGUUGGUGUAGUGCAGUCGUUGGGCGUCGACGUGGCUUCGGUCGUGGACGUCGGUCCCCAGCCCGGGGGAUCUGGAUCUGGCCGGUCUGCCCCCCUAUCUGCGGGCUGGUGGCCUAGAAGGAGUGCUGCUGGCGGUCGGUGGUGCCCGGUUGGCGCGAGCAAGUAGGCUCUGGCCGUGGUGGAUGCGUGGGGUGCAGGGCCGAUCUGGCUUGUGCAAGCCCGACGUCGCGGGGGCUCAGCGGGCCCGUGUUUGCCGGCGGUGAGGAAGAUGGUGGUCCUGGGCAGUGUUGGCGUGCUCGCUGCGUUGGGGUGCGCGGCCAGCGGAGGUACUUGUCGGCCUUGGCUGGCUGCGUGGGAGUGGUUGCUCCGGGCGAAAGCUUGGCCGGUGCUCGCCGGUCGGCGACGACGGCGCCCGUGGGCGUCGUUAUCCUCCUUGGAGGCAUCGUUGGGAUCUGCAUCCUCUACUCCCGGGUCAGGAUCUUCGGGUGAAACCCAAGAUCCUGCUAUAGGAUCGGGCGGUGGCGUCGUCUUCAAUGUCGUUUUCCCCUCUUUAGAACGCCGUCUUGAAGAUCCUGGUCCCAUUGGUGCCUCCUACGGGCUGGCCGUGCACGGCAUUGUGGCUAUCCGUUUGUCAAUGAGGGUGGUUGGACUUCUAUGGCAACGAUGACGGUGGUGAGCAUGGUCGGGGGCAUGGCAUUGGUCGUGGUAGUUGGCUCUUCUCCGACGUGUCCGUUGGAUGGCCUUAGCUGCUUGUUGCUGUGAAGUCGAAGCCGCGGUGCAGGGCGGUGCGGGGCCCUGGUGGCGUACGACAGGUGCUCCGUUUGGCGAUUCUUCGCGACGCCAACCUUGCCUAGUUCUCCGUAGUUCUUCGUUGGAGUCGAAGCUACGUUGUCUUGUUGUGGGUGGAUGGUGAUCCACAACGUGAGUAUAGUGUUGUUCUGCAGCCAAUAGGUUGUCGUUUUUUUUUCUUUUUUUUUGAUCUUUGGAUCCUCUUCAUGUUGUUUUUCCGUUGCUUUCUGCUAAAUCUAAUCGAAGCCAGCAAUUUGCUGGAUCUUAAAAAAAAAGAUAAUGGAGGCUGCUGGUGGCUGUUUGAGGAGCCGGUGGCCGCUCUGGAUCACGCUUGCGCGAUUCCUGCCGUGCGUGCUCGUGGCCGGCCCUCCUGUGUGGCCUCGGCUGGUGGACGCGAGGAGGUGGUCGUCGUUGCCCUUGAUCUCUCAGCCUGUGCAAAGCUAGCUAGCCUGAGGCUUGAUCCAUCACUGGCCAAAUUACCAAGCUAGCUCACGAUGCGAGGAUGCCGCGGCCGGCGCGGCCUUCCGGAUCGAAGGUGUCGUGUGCCUGGUGUCGAGGGAGCCGCCCAAAGCCACGAGAUGUGUAGCUUGAUGCCGCAGGUGAUCGCCGCCGCGUACGUCGAUAGGUGUUGUACGAUUGGCCGCCGGUAUAAGCACCAAUUUUUGCUGGAAUUUGAGGGCAGCAGGAUUUUAUUUGGUGGCUAAUUGAAUUAAUCUAGUGGAUGGAUUUUGGAAAACUCGAAAUUGGAAACCUAUGAAAAUCUAAUUGGAUCUAAUCUAUCUAAUGAACCGGUCUAUCUUUGAUGGUCGGAAGCCACGCCCUCGGGGAGAGGAGAUUAAUCUACCCGGAGGCGACACACUGCGGAAGUGGUGGAAGGUCCUAGGAUCAGCGUCGUUGGACAAACUGCUCUAAUAUCAUGUAGAAAUUGUAGGAUGGUUGUGUUGUUAUGUGUAGCUGUAUUGAUCUGACACUCGUAGGGGUAUAUAAAAAGUACAACAUGUGGUGAAACUUGGAGCACAAGACAAGUCAUAGUAUAUUAAAACUAAUUCUAUCUCCAUCUCUCCUUAUCUCUAACUAAAUAUGGUACCUGAGCCAAGAGUUUCAAUAAACGAUUCUGCGGUCUACAUCAAUCCCACGUCUAAGGACUAAAAUAGACUAGACGUGAUGGGUGGUGUUGAAGUGUAAUGUCCGGUCCUCUUUCAUAGUUCGGACUGAUGGUGAACUGGUUAAUUGCAUAAACUUACAACCAAGAGGUUCAGGGUUCAAAACCCAGUAAAAGCAAUAAAUAAUUGUGGCCUGCCCCCGCUUGCGCUGCCUUCGUCGUAUAGCCAGUAGCUCCCGGAGUGACAACUGCGUACACCUCCAAGAAUAUUUAUUUAUCAGGUAAGAUGCCUGUGUAAAUUGCAAGAUUUUUGAAAGUUUAAUCAUGACUCUCAGUUGGAAAAAAUAUUUAUAUUGUUGGAGACAAUUGUAAGACUACUGAAUUUAGUUGUGCUGAAACUUUCAACCAAGAUGAAAUGAUUCCACAUUUGGACCCUGGGAUGGUUUCUUCAACCGUUGAUCCUGAUGCUGCUGGAUACGCUGAAAGAGCAAACAAAGCCAAGAAGCCAGUCAAGAUUAGUGCCCGAAGCCUUGCAAAGCCGGAAAGAAACGAGGUGAUGAAAGCUGCAGCAAAAGCUCGGGCAUCAUCCUCUAUUCUCCGACCAAUAGAUGCCCGCCAUGGCAAUGAAGCUGAUAUUAGCUCCAGUGGCAAUGCCAAUGUCAGGAGUAGCAUGAGUGUUGACUACAGUGCUACAAAGGAAUCGAGGAGUGAGAUGCUGCUGUUCCCUCUACGGAACUUGUAUCCGCAGAGUCUUGCCAGUUACGAUGACUAUGAGACUGGCACACAGACUGCAAACAGUUUAAACAGCCCGGUCCACAUCCACAAGUUUGCCCCUCAUGCUCAAUUUCGUGUAGCACCUCAUCCAGCUCCACCUCCUAAAAGGCCUGCGCUAGGGAUUACAAGGCCACAUGUUCCUGCCACACAUAUAAGUAACAACCCAAUGUUCCAGUCAGCCACAUCAUAUGUCAGGGAGAACCGAAGAGCCUCUGUUGUCUGGGAUCAAGAGGCUGGUCGGUACGUGUCAGUGCCCAUGCAAACAACAAGAACAGGGCCCGGUGUUGAGCUGCCUGCAAGAAACCCAAGUUUCUUGGUGAAUCCAAGUGGUGAACCAGGCAACCAUGGGAGAAAUCUUGCACCUGCCAACACAACUUCAUCAGCGAUUCCUUCGGGGCAGCUGUCCGAGAGGUUGACGUACACAGGCCAAUCAAUAUUCUUUGGCGGGCCAAUCCUGAGCACCACUGGCAUAAAUGAAGAAAGGAAUGAGGCGGGCACAAGAGUGCGUCCUGAGACAAGCAGAGAUCCCAACUCCCACCAGCGUGACAUCCGUGGUGAGAAGGCUCGGACAGGCUCCUUCCCGUUGUAUGAGCCUAGGAAUUUCUAGAAGAACCUGCUUUGAUGGCAAGUGACCUUGACUGGCUGUUUUACUCUUCUAUACUAUGUCGUCUGCUCAAGUGCCACCACCACGACAGUGGGGGUGAUGUUGAUGCACUGCACCCCAUGCAGAGUCAGGGAACUGCUAAAAUAGUUGACCCGGGACACAUAGAUAACGAUGCUUCUUAGAGCUUUAUUAUAGUGAGCGAGGAUGGCGCUAACUUUGUUUGAUGUUUUACAAACUGACUGAUAGUCGCAGUUUUAUUUUGCGUGUAUUAGGAGUUGAGAUGUUUGAUGCGCUUGGCAUGUAGUAGAAGAGCUGAUUAAACUUGUCCUUGAUGUGUAGAACCUUGUGAUUUGCCGCUGACUUUGUUCACAUUACGGACUUCGGAGUGUUCAUUGCAAGUCUCUGUUCUAUUACUGCUGUAAUAGUAGCCCACGUGUGAAGGCAUUGUCUCCAACUAUCUUGGCGUUUGACUGCUUUAUUUUCGUGUUGAGAGAAUGGAAUUUGACCGGAUGAUACUGCUUGCUGCAUAAUUGAUGUUCAUUUUCCAAACUAAAUUAGUGAGAUGGGUAUGAUUGCAAUUGAAUAAUUCUUGUUCUGUAUCAUGAGUUCAUAUCUAAAUAAACUGCGGCUUAUUAGUGCCACUGCAUUGCUGUCAACGUGCCAAGGAUGUUGCAAAAUUCCCCGCGUUUAUGUAAACUACUCCCUCUGUCCAAUAAUAUUAUCAGACAGAGGGAGUACCUAUUUGAACAUGGCAAGAAUAAUGAUAGUACCGGAAGUUAAACUUAGUUUCAUUGCAUCCAUAGGUUGUGGAUGCUCUAUGGAAGCAUCACUUCUGCGCCAUCAGGCUCAUUGCCACAACCUUUAGUUAGGAAUCCUGUGUUUAAUUCUCUUUUCUUUACGGGCUGACUUCUUGAUCGAAGCAACAUCUUUCUCAAUACCACACAAUCAGAUUACCAUUCACCUCGCGCGGGAAACAGAUCUUGAAUCCAUAUGCCAUGGGAGAAGAACAAAGGAGGAUGUAGAUCAUACAAUGGCGGCCAGAGUGUUAUUUUUUGUUUUGUUUUUGGAUGAAGUGGUGUUCUGGGUGUUUGCUGUAUGCAUUGCAACAUAUGAUGUAUCCUGGGGAUAUAUAUAGAGAGAUCUAGGGUUGUAAUGACUGUUGGAAAUAUGCCCUAGAGGCAAUAAUAAAAGGAUUAUUAUUAUAUUUCCUUGUUCAUGAUAAUUGUCUUUAUUCAUGCUAUAGUUGUAUUAUCCGGAAAUCGUAAUACACGUGUGAAUACAUAGACCACAAUAUGUCCCUAGUAAGCCUCUAGUUGACUAGCUCGUUGAUCAACAGAUAGUCAUGGUUUCCUGACUAUGGACAUUGGAUGUCAUUGAUAACGGGAUCACAUCAUUAGGAGAAUGAUGUGAUGGACAAGACCCAAUCCUAAGCAUAGCACAAGACCGUGUAGUUCGUUUUGCUAGAGCUUUUCCAGUGUCAAGUAUCUUUUCCUUAGACCAUGAGAUCCUGUAACUCCCGGAUACCGUAGGAGUGCUUUGGGUGUACCAAACGUCACAACGUAACUGGGUGACUAUAAAGGUGCACUACAGGUAUCUUCGAAAGUGUCUGUUGGGUUGAAACGGAUCGAGAUUGGGAUUUGUCACUCCGUAUGACGGAACAAGGUAUUGGGAUACCAACGGUCGAAUCUUGGGCAAGUAACGUACCGAUUGACAAAGGGAAUUGUAUACGGGGUUGCUGAAAUCCUCAACAUCAUGGUUCAUCCGAUGAGAUCAUCGAGGAGCAUGUGGGAGACAACAUGGGUAUCCAGAUCCGCUGUUGGUUAUUGACCGGAGAGCCGCCUCGGUCAUGUCUGCGUGUCUCCCGAACCCGUAGGGUCUACACACUUAAGGUUCGAUGACGCUAGGGUUGUAUGAAUAUGAGUAUGCAGUAAACCGAAAGUUGUUCGGGGUCCCGGAUGAGAUCCCAGACGUCACGAGGAGUUUCGGAAUGGUCCGGAGGUAAAGAAUUAUAUAUGGGAAGUCGAGUUUCGGCCAUCGGGAAAGUUUCGGGGUCCACCAGUAUUGUACCGGGACCACCGGAAGGGUCCCGGGGGUCCACCGGGUGGGUCCACCUAUCCCGGAGGGCCCCGUGGGCUGAAGUGGGGAGGGUACCAGCCCCUGGUGGGCUGGUGCGCUCCCCUGGGCCCCCCUCUGGUGGUUCAUCCGAUGAGAUCAUCGAGGAGCAUGUGGGAGCCAACAUGGGUAUCCAUAUCCCGCUGUUGGUUAUUGACCGGAGAGCCGUCUCGGUCAUGUCUGCGUGUCUCUCGAACCCGUAGGGUCUACACACUUAAGGUUCGGUGACGCUAGGGUUGUAUGAAUAUGAGUAUGCAGUAAACCGAAAGUUGUUCGGGGUCCCGGAUGAGAUCCCAGACGUCACGAGGAGUUCCAGAAUGGUCCGGAGGUAAAGAAUUAUAUAUGGGAAGUCGAGUCUCGGCCAUUGGGAAAGUUUUGGGGUCCACCGGUAUUGUACCGGGACCACCGGAAGGGUCCCGGGGGUCCACCGGGUGGGGCCAUCUAUCCCGGAGGGCCCCGUGGGCUGAUGUGGGGAGGGGACCAGCCCCUGGUGGGCUGGUGCACCCCUCCUGCCCCCCCUCUGUGCCUAGGGUUGGGAACCCUAGGGGAGGGGGCGCCUCCACUUGCCUUGGGGGGCACUCCACCCCCUUGGCCGCCGCCCCCCUAGAGAUCCCAUCUCUAGGGCCGGCACCCCCCUGGGGGUCCCUAUAUAAAGAGGGGGGGGGGAGGGAGGGCAGCCGCACCUGAAGUCUUGGCGCCUCCCUCUCCCCUUGCUACACCUCCUCCUCCCGUAAUCGCUUGGCGAAGCCCUGCCGGAACCCUACUGCAUCCACCACCACGCCGUCGUGCUGCUGGAUCUUCAUCAACCUCUCCUUCCCUCUUGCUGGAUCAAAAAGGAGGAGACAUCAUCCGCUCCGUACGUGUGUUGAACGCGGAGGUGCUGUCCGUUCGGCACUUGGUCAUCGGUGAUUUGGAUCACGACGAGUACGACUCCCUCAACCCCAUUCUCUUGAACGCUUCCGCUCGCGAUCUACAAAGGUAUGUAGAUGCACUUCUAUCACUCAUUGCUAGAUGAACUCCUAGAUGGAUCUUGGUGAAACCGUAGAUUUUUUUUAUUUUCUGCAACGUUCCCCAACAGUGGUAUCAAAGCCAGGUUUAUGCGUAGUUCUCUAUUACAUGAGUAGAACACAAAUCUGUUGUGGGCGUAGAUCUUGUCAACUUGCUUGCCGCAACUAGUCUUAUUUUGCUUCAGCGGUAUUGUGGGAUGAAGCAUCCCGGACCGACCUUACACGUACGCUUACGUGAGACAGGUUCCACCGAUUGACAUGCCCUAGUUGCAUAAGGUGGCUAGCGGGUGUAUGUCUCUCCCACUUUAGUUGGAGCGGAUUCGAUGAAAAGGGUCCUUAUGAAGGGUAAAUAGAAGUUGACAAAAUCACGUUGUGGUUAUUCGUAGGUAAGAAAAUGUUCUUGCUAGAACCCAAUUGCAGCCACGUAAAAGAUGCAACAACAAUUAGAGGACGUCUAACUUGUUUUUGCAGCAAUUGCCUUGUGAUGUGAUAUGGCCAACAGUUGUGAUGAAUGAUGAAUGAUAUAUUGUGAUGUAUGAGAUCAUGUUCUUGUAAUAGGAAUCACGACUUGCAUGUCGAUGAGUAUGACAACCGGCAGGAGCCAUAGGAGUUGUCUUAAUUAUUGUAUGACCUGCGUGUCAAUGAUUUAACGCCAUGUAAUUACUUUACUUUAUUGCUAAACCGUUAGCCAUAGUAGUAGAAGUAAUAGUUGGCGAGCAACUUCAUGGAGGCACGAUGAUGGAGAUCAUGAUGAUGGAGAUCAUGGUGUCAUGCCGGUGACGAAGAUGAUCAUGGAGCCCCGAAGAUGGAGAUCAAAGGAGCUAUAUGAUAUUGGCCAUAUCAUGUCACUACUAUAUAAUUGCAUGUGAUGUUUAUUAUGUUUAUGCAUCUUGUUUACUUAGAACGAUGGUAGUAAAUAAGAUGAUCCCUUAUAACAAUUUCAAGAAAGUGUUCUCCCCUAACUGUGUGCCGUUGCUAAAGUUCGUCGUUUGAAGCACCACGUGAUGAUCGGGUGUGAUAGAUUCUUACGUUCACAUACAACGAGUGUAAGACAGUUUUACACAUGCAAAAACACUUAGGGUUAACUUGACGAGCCUAGCAUGUACAGACAUGGCCUCGGAACACAGGGACCGAAAGGUCGCACAUGAGUCGUAUGACGAUCAACAUGGAGAUGUUCACCGAUGAUGACUAGUCCGUCUGACGUGAUGAUCGGACACGGCCUAGUCGACUCGGAUCGUGUAACACUUAGAUGACUAGAGGGAUGUCUAAGCUGAGUGGGAGUUCAUUAAAAUAAUUUGAUUAGAUGAACUUAAUUAUCAUGAACUUAGUAUAAAAUCUUUGCAAAAUAUGUCUUGUACUCCCUCCGUCCAUGAAUAAGUGUACAUCUAGCUUUUGUCUUAAGUCAAAGUUUUAAAACUUUGACCACCUUUCUAGGAAAAAAUAAAAGCAUUUAUGACACCAAGUUAGUAUCACUAGAUUCAUUUUGAAAUGUACUUUGAUAAUCUAUCAAUUUGAUGUCAUAUAUGUUACUAUUAUUUUCUAUAAAGUUGGUCAAAAUUUUAAAAUUUUGACUUAGAACAAAAGCUAGAUGUACACUUAUUCGCGGACGGAGGGAGUAGAUCAAAUGGCCAACGCUCAUGUCAACAUGAACUUCAAUACGUUCCUAGAGAAAACCAAGCUGAAAGAUGAUGGUAGCAACUAUACGGACUGGGUCCGGAACCUGAGGAUCAUCCUCAUAGCUGCCAAGAAAGCAUAUGUCCUAGAAGGACCACUAGGUGAAGCACCCAUCCCAGAGAACCAAAACGUUAUGAAUGCUUGGCAGUCACGUGCUGAUGAUUGCUCCCUCGUUCAGUGUGACUUGCUUUACAGCUUAGAACCGGGGCUCCAAAAGCGUUUUGAGCACCACGGAGCAUAUGAGAUGUUUGAGGAGCUGAAAAUGGUUUUCCAAGCUCAUGCCCGGGUCGAGAGAUAUGAAGUCUCCGACAAGUUCUAUAGUUGUAAGAUGGAGGAAAAUAGUUCUGUCAGUGAGCACAUACUCAAAAUGUCUGGGUUGCACAAUCGCCUGUCCCAGGUGGACAUUAACCUCCCGAACGAGGCGGUCAUUGGCAGAAUCCUUCAGUCGCUCCCGCCGAGCUACAAGAGCUUUGUGAUGAACUACAAUAUGCAGGGGAUGGUGAAAACUAUUCCUAAAGUAUUUUCAAUGCUGAAGUCGGCAGAGGUAGAAAUCAAGAAAGAACAUCAAGUGUUGAUGGUCAAUAAAACCACCAAGUUUAAGAAGGGCAAGGGUAAGAAGAACUUCAAGAAGGACGGCAAAGAUGUUGCCGCACCCGGUAAGCCAGUUGCCGGGAAGAAGUCAAAGAAUGGACCCAAGCCCGAGACUAAGUGCUUUUAUUGCAAAGGGAAGGGUCACUGGAAGCGGAACUGCCUCAAAUACUUAGCGGACAAGAAGGCCGGCAACACUAAAGGUAUAUGUGAUAUACAUGUAAUUGAUGUGUACCUUACUAGUAAUCGUAGUAACUCCUGGGUAUUUGAUACCGGUGUCGUUGCUCAUAUUUGUAACUCACAGCAGGAGCUGCAGAAUAAGCGGAGACUGGCGAAGGACGAGGUGACGAUGCGCGUCGGGAAUGGUUCCAAGGUCGAUGUGAUCGCCGUCAGCACGCUACCUCUACAUUUACCUACGGGAUUAGUUUUAAACCUUAAUAAUUGUUAUUUAGUGCCAAGUUUGAGCAUGAACAUUGUAUCUGGAUCUUGUUUAAUACGAGAUGGCUACUCAUUUAAAUCCGAGAAUAAUGGUUGUUCUAUUUAUAUGAGAGAUAUGUUUUAUGGUCAUGCCCCGAUGGUCAAUGGUUUAUUCUUAAUGAAUCUCGAACGUAGUGUUACACAUAUUCAUAGUGUGAAUAUCAAAAGAUGUAAAGUUCAUAUUCAUAGUGUGAAUACCAAAAGAUGUAAAGUUAAUAACGAUAGUCCCACAUACUUGUGGCACUGCCGCCUUGGUCACAUUGGUGUCAAGCGCAUGAAGAAGCUCCAUGCUGAUGGACUUUUAGAGUCUCUCGAUUAUGAAUCAUUUGACACAUGCGAACCAUGCCUCAUGGGCAAAAUGACCAAGACUCCGUUCUCCGGAACAAUGGAGCGAGCAACCAACUUAUUGGAAAUCAUACAUACCGAUGUGUGCGGUCCAAUGAGCAUUGAGGCUCGUGGAGGAUAUCGUUAUGUUCUCACUCUCACUGAUGACUUGAGUAGAUAUGGGUAUGUCUACUUUAUGAAACACAAGUCUGAGACAUUUGAAAGGUUCAAGGAAUUUCAGAAUGAGGUAGAGAAUCAACGUGACCGAAAGAUAAAAUUCUUAUGAUCAGAUCGUGGAGGAGAAUAUUUAAGUCACGAAUUUGGUACACACUUAAGAAAAUGUGGAAUCGUUUCACACUCACGCCGCCUGGAACACCUCAGCGUAAUGGUGUGUCCGAACGUCGUAAUCGCACUCUAUUGGAUAUGGUGCGAUCUAUGAUGUCUCUUACCGAUUUACCGCUAUCAUUUUGGGGAUACGCUCUAGAGACAGCUACAUUCACUUUAAAUAGGGCUCCGUCUAAAUCCGUUGAGACGACACCGUAUGAAUUAUGGUUUGGGAAGAAACCUAAGCUGUUGUUUCUAAAAGUUUGGGGAUGCGAUGCUUAUGUCAAGAAACUUCAACCUGAAAAGCUCGAACCCAAGUCGGAAAAAUGCGUCUUCAUAGGAUACCCUAAGGAAACCAUUGGGUAUACCUUCUACUUAAGAUCCGAGGGCAAGAUCUUUGUUGCCAAGAACGGAUCCUUUCUGGAAAAAGAGUUUCUCUCGAAAGAAGUAAGUGGGAGGAAAGUAGAACUCAAUGAAGUACUACCUCUUGAACCGGAAAGUAGUGCAACUCAGGAAAAUGUUCCUGUGGUGCCUACACCAACUGGAGAGGAAAUUAAUGAUGAUGAUCAAGGUACUUCGGAUCAAGUUGCUACUGAACUUCAUAGGUCCACAAGGACACGUUCCACACCAGAGUGGUAUGGCAACCCUGUCCUGGAAAUCAUGUUGUUAGACAACGGUGAACCUUCGAACUAUGAAGAAGCGAUGGUGGGCCCAGAUUCCAACAGAUGGCUUGAAGCCAUGCAAUCCGAGAUAGAAUCCAUGUAUGAAAACAAAGUAUGGACUUUGACAGACUUGCCCGAUGAUCGGCGAGUGAUAGAAAACAAAUGGAUCUUUAAGAAGAAGACGGACACGGAUGGUAAUAUUACCAUCUAUAAAGCUCGACUUGUCGCUAAGGGUUAUCGGCAAGUUCAAGGGGUUGACUACGAUGAGACAUUCUCUCCCGUAGCGAAGCUGAAGUCCGUUCGAAUCAUGUUAGCAAUUGCCACAUACUAUGAUUAUGAGAUAUGGCAGAUGGACGUCAAAACGGCAUUCCUUAACGGACAUCUUAAGGAAGAACUGUAUAUGAUGCAGCCGGAAGGUUUUGUCGAUCCUAAGAAUGCUAACAAAGUAUGCAAGCUCCAGCGAUCCAUUUAUGGGCUGGUGCAAGCAUCUCGGAGUUGGAACAUUCGCUUUGAUGAGAUGAUCAAAGCGUUUGGGUUUAUGCAGAAUUAUGGAGAAGCCUGCGUUUACAAGAAAGUGAGUGGGAGCUCUAUAGCAUUUCUCAUAUUAUAUGUAGAUGAAAUAAUUUUGAUGGGAAAUGAUAUAGAACUUUUGGAAAACAUUAAGGCCUACUUGAAUAAGUGUUUUCAAUAAAGGACCUUGGAGAAGCUGCUUACAUAUUAGGCAUCAAGAUCUAUAGGGAUAGAUCAAGACGCCUCAUAGGUCUUUCACAAAGCACAUACCUUGAUAAGAUUUUGAAGAAGUUCAAAAUGGAUCAGUCCAAGAAAGGGUUCUUGCCUGUAUUGCAAGGUGUGAGAUUGAGCGCGGCUCAAUGCCCGACCACGGCAAAAGAUAAAGAAGAGAUGAGUGUCAUCCCCUAUGCUUCAGCCAUAGGAUCUAUUAUGUAUGCCAUGCUGUGUACCAGACCUGAUGUAAACCUUGCCGUAAGUUUGGUAGGAAGGUACCAAAGUAAUCCCGGCAAGGAACACUGGACAACAGUCAAGAAUAUCCUGAAGUACCUGAAAAGGACAAAGGACAUGUUUCUCGUUUAUGGAGGUGACGAAGAGCUCGCCGUAAAGGGUUACGUCGACGCUAGCUUCGACACAGAUCUGGAUGACUCUAAGUCACAAACCGGAUACGUGUAUAUGUUGAAUGGUGGAGCAGUAAGCUGGUGCAGCUGCAAGCAGAGCGUCGUGGCGGGAUCUACAUGUGAAGAGGACUACAUGGCAGCCUCGGAGGCAGCGCAUGAAGCAAUUUGGAUGAAGGAGUUCAUCAUCGACCUAGGAGUCAUACCCAAUGCGUCGGGGCCGAUCAAACUCUUCUGUGACAACACUGGAGCUAUUGCCCUUGCAAAGGAGCCCAGGUUUCACAAGAAGACCAGGCACAUCAAGCGUCGUUUCAACUCCAUCCGUGAAAAUGUUCAAGAUGGAGACAUAGAUAUUUGCAAAGUACAUACGGAUCUGAAUGUCGCAGAUCCGUUGACUAAACCUCUUUCGCGAGCAAAACAUGAUCAACACCAGAACUCUAUGGGUGUUCGAUUCAUAACAAUGUAACUAGAUUAUUGACUCUAGUGCAAGUGGGAGACUGUUGGAAAUAUGCCCUAGAGGCAAUAAUAAAAGGAUUAUUAUUAUAUUUCCUUGUUCAUGAUAAUUGUCUUUAUUCAUGCUAUAGUUGUAUUAUCCGGAAAUCGUAAUACACGUGUGAAUAUAUAGACCAUAAUAUGUCCCUAGUAAGCCUCUAGUUGACUUGCUCGUUGAUCAACAGAUAGUCAUGGUUUCCUGACUAUGGACAUUGGAUGUCAUUGAUAAUGGGAUCACAUCAUUAGGAGAAUGAUGUGAUGGACAAGACCCAAUCCUAAGCAUAGCACAAGAUCGUGUAGUUCGUUUUGCUAGAGCUUUUCCAAUGUCAAGUAUCUUUUCCUUAGACCAUGUGAUCGUGUAACUCCCGGAUACCGUAGGAGUGCUUUGGGUGUACCAAACGUCACAACGUAACUGGGUGAUUAUAAAGGUGCACUACAGGUAUCUCUGAAAGUGUCUGUUGGGUUGACACGGAUCGAGACUGAGAUUUGUCACUCCGUAUGACGGAGAGGUAUCUCUGGGCCCACUCGGUAAUGCAUCAUCAUAAUGAGCUCAAAGUGGCCAAGUGUCUGGUCACGGGAUCAUGCAUUGCGGUACGAGUAAAGUGACUUGCCGGUAACGAGAUUGAACAAGGUAUUGGGAUACCGACGAUCGAAUCUCGGGCAAGUAACGUACCGAUUGAUAAAGGGAAUUGUAUACGGGGUUGCUUAAAUCCUCGACAUCGUGGUUCAUCCGAUGAGAUCAUCGAGGAGCAUGUGGGAGCCAACAUGGGUAUCCAUAUCCCGCUGUUGGUUAUUGACCGGAGAGCCGCCUCGGUCAUGUCUGCGUGUCUCUCGAACCCGUAGGGUCUACACACUUAAGGUUCGGUGACGCUAGGGUUGUAUGAAUAUGAGUAUGCAGUAAACCGAAAGUUGUUCGGGGUCCCGGAUGAGAUCCCAGACGUCACGAGGAGUUCCAAAAUGGUCCGGAGGUAAAGAAUUAUAUAUGGGAAGUCGAGUCUCGGCCAUUGGGAAAGUUUUGGGGUCCACCGGUAUUGUACCGGGACCACCGGAAGGGUCCCGGGGGUCCACCGGGUGGGGCCACCUAUCCCGGAGGGCCCCGUGGGCUGAUGUGGGGAGGGGACCAGCCCCUGGUGGGCUGGUGCACCCCUCCUGCCCCCCCUCUGCGCCUAGGGUUGGGAACCCUAGGGGAGGGGGCGCCUCCACUUGCCUUGGGGGGCACUCCACCCCCUUGGCCGCCGCCCCCCUAGAGAUCCCAUCUCUAGGGCCGGCGCCCCCCUGGGGGUCCCUAUAUAAAGAGGGGGGAGGGAGGGCAGCCGCACCUGAAGUCUUGGCGCCUCCCUCUCCCCUUGCUACACCUCCUCCUCCCGUAGUCGCUUGGUGAAGCCCUGCCGGAACCCUGCUGCAUCCACCACCACGCCAUCGUGCUGCUGGAUCUUCAUCAACCUCUCCUUCCCCCUUGCUGGAUCAAAAAGGAGGAGACGUCAUCCGCUUCGUACGUGUGUUGAACGCGGAGGUGCUGUCCGUUUGGCACUUGGUCAUCGGUGAUUUGGAUCACGACGAGUACGACUCCCUCAACCCCGUUCUCUUGAACGCUUCCGCUCGCGAUCUACAAAGGUAUGUAGAUGCACUCCUAUCACUCGUUGCUAGAUGAACUCCUAGAUGGAUCUUGGUGAAAUCGUAGAUUUUUUUUAUUUUCUGCAACGUUCCCCAACAAUGACCAUGUGUAGACCUAGCUAUAAAUUAUGCAGCCCUUAGUUACAAACCUGAGUGUCCUGGCUUGCAGUGCCCUCAACUGCAUGUAGCCAUGAUACAACUGAUUCGGUUACGAGCAUUGGAAUGCCCUCACAGAAGCAAAAAGUAAAAUCUGAGAGUUAAGAAAAAACCCUAAUGAUACUUCCUUAGAAUCACAUGACAAUCAUGGUUAGCCACAUAAACCUGAUAUCAACAAUAGAUGACGGUUCCAUAGAGCAUCUACAUCCCCUGGAGAUAAACCUCUAUAUAUCAUGUAGGAAAAAAAUGCUAGCUCUAAAUCACACUUUUUAGUCUUUCCCGACUCCAUUGAUAUCAUGUGAACCAACCUGUAGUUGGAUGGUUAGGAGACCAAUGGUAUCCACAGUCCACCAGAGUUGUGUUAAAAAACAAAGUCCAUUGAUAUCAUUACAAUAGUAAUAACCAAGUAACUAAAUUGAAGUAGUUAAGAAGAAAUUCAUAGAAUUUAUCCUCUUUGAGAGAAAGAAGGCUAGUUUAAGAUGAAAGGAAGCAAGGUAACUUCGCCUUGAUUAGUACUAGUAAACAUUGUUCAUGGCACGUUUUCCUGAUCUUGAUAUGCACUGCACAUAGCGUGAUCCUUUCCAUGCACUUGUUGAAACAAAAUUGCUGCUUUAGACAUCUUGUCUUUUACUCUUAUUUAUUUUAUCACAUACUUCAGAGCAACUGAAGUGUUGAUGAAUGUAAUGACUAAUAGAGUAGAUUCUUUGGGGCAUCCCCCACGACAUUGCUCCUACGAGCGACGGGGGGAAACCCUAACCGCCAUCCCCUCAACCCCCUCCUCCCCUCCUCUCGUCUCGCCGUCGCCGGAGCUCGCUGGCGGGCAAAGCUCGGUCAGCGGCGGCGGGGCAUCCUCUCCUCUUCGUGUGGGGCCGGGCGGCGCGUGACGCCUUCUUCGCGCAGGGGCGCGUCGCUAUGCGGUGCAUGGCGGUGUAGGCGGCCGAGCCUCGGCAUGGAGGGCUGCUUGGCAGCGGUGGUGGCGGCGGCUAGUGCGUGGCGGCGAUGGACCAGGCUAGAUAGGAUCUGGAGGGUUCUUGGCGGUGGGCGGCGCGUGGGUGGGCAACGACUUAGCAGGGUCUCUCUGGCCAUGGCCAGGACAGCGUGCAGGCCACUGUUGCAGGGGUUCCGAGGCUGCUGGUCAGAUCCGCCCAGAUCUGGCCCCUGGGCACCGACGGGCGGCUCGGAGUGGUGGCCGCAGUCUCCUGGUUGAGGCUUGGAUGUGGCCUGAAACGGCGUGGUGGCAGCCCAUGGCAGUGGGCUAGGUCAUUCCAUGAUGGCGGCUGGACAUCUUCGACGUCGGUCAUCGUGGACCGGCUCUUGUGAUGGCGGCCUUCUUCCUGCGUCGGCUCGUCCGUAGGUGGCCUGUGGAGGCCUUCGAUCCCGCUCCUUGUCGUCCGAUGCUACUUUUGUCGCAGGGCUGGCCCUCUCCCAGCUGCGCUCCGUCGCCCAUCUCACGCCUAGUGCUGCAGGACCGAGCUCGUCUUCCGCCUGGCAGCAGGACCAACCUCAUCUCACACUUGGCAGCAGGACCGACCUCGUCUCGCGUCCGGUGCUGCAGGAUAGGUCGAUGGAGGCUAGUUUUGGCCGGCCUGGUGGUCUCGGUGCCGAGGGCCGCCCAGGGGUGUGAAAGAUGGAACCUUUCUGCUUGUCUCUUUGGCUGGGUUAGUGGCGGGCCUCAGGUGAGGUGGUGUUAAGGUCUUGGAUGCCAGGGCGGCGGCCCUGGUGCUGGUAGCAUGAUGCUCUUGGGCAGAGCCCGUGGCUUGGUGCUGCCCGGUGGCCAUGGCCGUGUGGGCGGCAUGGCAGCUGGGGUGUGGAGUUCAGUGGCGGUGAGUAUUGACCGGGGUGAAAACCUAUUCUAUUUUUUGAUGGACCGGCAGCGGCGAAGCUUGUUCCCUUCUUGAAGGUAUCGCCGCGACUCUCAUAGCCCGUCGUGUUGCUCUAGGGGAAACUCUGAUCCUUGGGUAGGGCGGUGGCAGCAAUUUGGUAUUGUAACCUUCCUAAAGACCUCGCCUUGGAGCCUACGGUUCGUCGUAUGUGGCUUCAUCUCUUCACGUUGGUGUGUUCACGGUUGAGGAUCCCGGUUGCUCAUGUAGUGCUAGGGGUGGUGUUUCCGCGCUCAACGACUAUAUAUGUAUCCUGCCUUGGGUGUGUGCAUGUGUUGUGUUGGCAUGCGUUUGUACUGGGUUGUUGUUGAUCGUUGUUGUAUAUAUAAAGCGGGGCGAAAGCCUUUUUGGUACAUGACUAAUAGAACUAUGUAUAGACCUCCCCCUUUUUGCAUCCAUAAACACUUAUAUUUGAGUAAGGAUAGAGCAAUUAUGAUAUGGUGAGUACAACCUCCAAACUGCUGGUUCAGUUGUCCCACGGUCCAGCCGCAUAGAGAAAACAGAGGUACUUUCAGCAAUGGUGGCAAGAACCGCGGGUGCCCGCGGCGGAGUGGCUACAAGCAACAGAGUGGCGGCGACUAGCGGAGGUGCAAAUGGAGAAGGUGAGGGCGGGUGCUAGGGCGGAGAUGACCAAUAUGGAGAUCUAGUACCCAAGGUAUCGCGUGCGGUUGUUCAAUGCUGCAUAGGCAAGCGGAGGGAGUUUUUGGGCUCGCAUGCAAUCUAAGUCAAACUCAAGCUAUGACCAAGCCAAGUUCAAGGGCAGCCACAUAAGCUUAGACGGGCCUGGUGAGGCAGGUCCAUGAGCGGGCUCGGCUUGGAUUCUUUCCAACCCAACCAACAACCUCAAGCCAGACAACCAACAUUUAGCUUUCUAUUUUCACAUGGUGGAUUAGUGACAAUAGCUACAUUUUCCCCUAUGCCUCUCAAUCUGGUUACCAAAUCCAUGCACCUCAGAUGGGUAACAUAUCUUGAAUCCGUAUGCCAUAGGAGAGGAACAAAGGAGGAUGUAGAUCAUACCAUGGUGAUAGGGUGGUAAUUGUUACAUGCAUUGCAAGAGAUGAUGUAUCCUGUGAGAUAUAUAGAGAGAUGUAAUGGCCAUGUGGGCCGACCUAGAUAGUAUGUAUCAUGAAAGUACACACUUAAAUGUCCUGACUCAUACAGCUCUCAACCACUUGCAAACAAUGCUAUAAUUGUUCUGUUGACGAGCAUUGGGAUGCCCUCACCCCUCACCCCACCCACACAGGCACACGGGAAUGGGACGGGAUGAAACACAUAGUGAGGAUGCUUCCUUCUACAUUCAUAACCAGGAUUUGCAAUCCUGGAUAACUACGAGACUUCAACACAGAAUAUAAAUUGUUUAACCAGCUAGGUACACUUCCCCCUCAUGCUCAAUUUUGCGCCACACCUCAUCCGGCUCCACAUCCUAAAAUGCAUGCACUAGGGAUUACAAGGCCAGUUGUCCUACUACACAAAUAACCAACCCAAUGGUUCUAGUAACCACACAAUAUGCCUGGGAGAACCAACGAGCUUUUGUUGUCUAGGAACUAGGAUCAAGAGGCUAGUCGGUACGUGUCAGUGGUUCGGUGCCUACACAAAUAAGAAUAGGACAUUGCGUCGAGCCGCGAAAGCUAAUUUUCUUAGCAAAUCCAAGUGAUGUACCAGGCAACCAUGGUAGAAAUCUUGCACUGUGAAAAAAAAUUCAUCAACGAUUCCUUUAGGGAAGCCGUCUGAGAUAUUGACGUACACAUGGAAUACGUAUUCUUUGGCGGGCCAAUCUUGAGCACCACUGGCAUAAACGCAGAAAGGAAUGAGGUGGGCAAAAGAGUGCGCCCUGAGGGAAGGAGAGAUUCCAACUCCCACCAGCGGGACAUCCGUGGCGAGAAGGCUGGACAUGCUCCUUCUUGUUCGAGCCUAGGAAUUACUAGAAGAAACUUCUUUGUUGGCAAGUGACUUUGACAGGAUGUUUUACUCUUCUCUAUGUGGUCUGCUCAAGUGCCACCAUGACAGUGGGGGUGAUGUUGAUGCACUGCACCCCAUGCAUAGACAGGGAAAUACUGAAAUGGUUGCUCCUCUCAAGUAGAAAAUAAUACAAGGAAGACGAUGAUCUUUAGAGCUUUACAGUGAGUGAGUAUGGCACUAACUUUGUUUGAUGUUUACGGACCGACUGAUACCCAGUUGUUUUUCUUUCACAUGUGUUAGGAGUUCAGAUGUUUGAUGCGCUUGAUAUGUCACAUAAGAGUUGAUUAAACUGUUUGAAUGUGUAUAACCUUUUGAUGAGGAGGUCCAGCGACCGCCCCGGUGGCUCCCGCGACGCACCCUGCGCGCGUAUCGGGGGAUCCAGAUCUGCCGCUGGCGGGCAGCUCCCUCCCCCGCCCCCUCAUCCCCCUCGCCGCUGCCAGAGGGCGUCCGCCGGGCAAAGCCCGUGCGGCGCUGGCAGCGGUGGGGCCUCUCUCCUCCCUCCCCUACUCGGGAUACCGCUGACGCGGGUCAGCCGACCGUGGGGGAGUUGGAUCAGGCGAGCUCUCCGGUGGCGGGGACGCGCAGAUUCUGAAGUAGCUAUGCUGGGAGUCGGUGGUGCAGCUCUGCAGCGGUGGUGGUAGGGGACAGGUCCGACGAGGUCGAUCUAGUUCCCUCAGGGCUGCGGGUGUCGCUGGUGGCAGUGGCCACGAGAGAGGGGGCUGCUCCCAUAUCUGGGGGUGGCGCUGGCGCUGCGAUGCACUGGUCUUGGCCAUGCUGGGCGGCGCGCGAGGCGGUGGCGACCAUGGAUCUCGAUCUGAAGUUGGAGGCUUUCACCAGCAGCUUGUCCUCCUUGACCGGCCGAGAUGUGGGCGUCCUCCUAGCGUCCUGUUUGAUGGCGGGGCGCUGGGUGUGGGCACUAGGUCGGGGGAAACCCUUGACCGGCGAUGCCGGGCACGAUGUUGGCGACGCCGGUGGCGUCGUUGUCCCUCUGGUGGGCAACAUCGAGUCUUACUUGAUGCCCUCCACCUACUGGUCUCGGGCGAAAGCCUACAAUCUCUAGAUUGGGGCGGCGAUGGCGCGUCAGCGUCAUGUACUUCUUGAAGGCGCCUUCUUGGGGGAUCAGCGGUCUUGGAUUUGGCGUGGUGUUGGUUUGUUUCUUCAGUGGAGUUCAUGCUCGAUAGUUGCAGUGGGCUUCUGGGUCUUGGCCAGAGACAGUGGCGAUGUAUGGGUUUCAUUCAGAGGUGAGGUUGCCAGGGUGGUCGCUCUCUCCUUGACAUCUGGUUCACUGGUCCAAGGGUGCUCGGGGGUGAGCUGCUUUGCCUACUGAUGGGUCGACUUCCUUCGAUCCAGGACGAGAGGGUGGGGGUGCCCUCUUCAGCGGCAUAUUUGGAUGGUGAACCGAGUGGCCCUGGGAGGCGACGAAGCAUGGCUCUCCUCCAGCGACGAUUAGCUCCCUUGUCGCGGGCGUGUCCAUGUCAUGAUCUGUAACCGUCAUGGGCUCCAAAGUGCUUUUGGGUUCUUCGGAGCUCGUUAGCUGUUCCGUAGUGCUUUGUAUCCGUGUUGAUUGUAUUUUCCUUUUCCUGUUGUCCUGUUGGUUGUAAGGUGUGGUCAUUGCUUUAUAUAUAAAGUGGGGCGAAAGCCUUUUUCGGCAGAACCUUUUGAUUUGCAGUUGACUUUUUUCACAUUGCAAACUUCGGAGUGCUCAUUGCAAGACUAUGUUCUGUAACUGUGGUAAUUGUAGCCCACGUGUGAGGCCAUCAUCUUGAACUAUCUAAGUGUUUGAUUGUUUUCUUUCAUUUGUGUUGAGGGAAUGAGUUUAACUCAGAUGACACUGCUUGCUGGGUAACUGUUGUUCAUUUGUCAAAUUGAAUUAGAGAGACUGGCUAUGAUUACAGUUAAGCAAUUCUUAUUCUUAUCAUGAGUUCAUGAAUAAUUAAACUAUGGCUUCAUUAGCGCUAACACAUCGCUGCCAACAUGCCCACUGCUUUAGGAACUAGAUGCUUCUUACACUACCUAUUUGAACAUCUCAAAAAUAAUGGUUGUGUCAGGAGUUAAACAUAGUUUCAUGAAUCCAUAGGUUGUGGAUGUUGUAAGGAAGCAUCAUUGCACCCUCAGGCUGGUUGCAACAACAUUUAGCCAGGAAGCCGGGGCUCUUCUCUUUUCUGUAGGAAGUGACUUCUUGAUGGAAGCAAUAUCUUUCCCAAUACCUCACAAUCCGAUUACCAUUCAUCUCACAUGGGAAACUCAAUUCAUAUACCAUGGGAGAAGAAGAAAGGAGAAUGUAGAUCAUACUGUGGUGGACACCCUGUUUUUUUUAUAAAGUCGUGGCCAUGGUGUCUGUUGUAUGCAUUGCAAGAGAUGGUGUAUCAUGAGGGAUAUAUAUAGAGCUAGGGAAUAAUGGCCAUGUGUACAUCUAGCUAUAAGGUAUGCAGCCCGUAGGGUACAUACCUUAAUGUACUGGCUUGUAGAGAUCUCAACCCCCUUCAUCCAUGAAGCAAUUGAUUCCCUUACGAGCAUUGGGACACGCUCACAGAAUGAAAAAAAAACUGAGAGGUAAGAAAACCGAAGGUACGUCCUUAGAAUGCACGACACGCGUGGUUAGCUAUCUAAAAACUGAUGUCAAUAAAAGAUGACGGGUCCUUGGAGCAUCCACAACCCUUGGAGCCAAACCUCUAUAUAUCACUUAUGUAGGAAAAAAACCAACCUAUCUCUACAACACCCUUUUCAAUCUUCUUUAAUCCCAUUGAUAUCAUCACCAUAGUAAUAAAAUAGUAAUUGAGUUAAGUGGGCUUUUUAGAUAAGAAGAAAUUCAUAUAAAUCCUUGUUGAUAGAAAGAAAUAUAGUUUCACAUGAAAAGAAGUGCUCGUGGAUGUGGAUGUGACCACAAUGAAGUAUCCCCCCUUUGCAAUCAAUCUAUAAAAUCUGUUGGGCAUCUUUUCAUUGAGCUCCCAUUCUCCAUCUAAACAUGGUUUAAGCUCAGCCUAAUGUGCAUUGACUUAAGCUCCAUAAAGAUCAAUGCCCUCGGAACCAUCAAUGAUCGGUGGAGCAACAUCGUUGGUGAGAACCAAAAAAAUGCAACUGCGGUGCCAAAUUUUCCGGUCAUAUUUGGAACAAAUUAAACCACUGUAUUUUUCAUAACUCCAUCACCAACCAUGACUUUGUCGUCGGUUAGAUCAACUCUGUUCUGGAUGCCCCAAAUCUAGAGAUUUUAUCUCUCUCGUCGUUGUACAGUCAGCGCCUAACGGUGAGUGAACCCUCUUUUUUUUCUCUUGAACUCUUACAUAUAUCUUCCUAACCUAUAAUCUGAAGGUAGAGAUGCUGCCAAUUUAGCUUAAAAAAUCUUUAAAAAAUAGAUGAAAAGGAAGUCAUGUAACUUUAUCUGCUUUUUAAAUACCAGUAAACAUUAUUCUUGCCACCUUUUCCUGAUCCUGGCAUGCACUGCACAGAGUACCAUAUUUUCCAUAGACUAGUUGAAUCAAAAUUGCUUCCCUAAUCAUCUCGUCCUUUACUCUUCAUUAUUUUAUGAAAAAAUUCAGAGUGACAAAGGUAUUGAUAAAUGAAAGGACUAGUGCUAAACAUAAACCUUUCUUUUUUGCAUCCAUAAAAAUAUCCAUUUCAUUAAACAUAUAACACUUAUGGUGAGUGCAACUUCGAGACUGUAUCACAAAUCUUCAGAAUGCUUGGACAUAUGAAUGAUAUGAUCCCCCUGGAACCAUGAAAUGAAGCCUUAGAGAAAGUGUUUGGAAUAUGACGAAGACGAGCAAGCCUUUGUCGGCGAGUGAUAAGAGAAAUGUAGGAGCUUGCCAGGACAACUUGGUAAGCAAGCUACCUAUUAUGUAGGCGCCAACUCCCAGCUUUUUCUCUUCUUUCUUUUUGAUUUUUUAUUCUCGUUUUUUGUAAGCUGUGGUUGGCAAACCAUCUAGCUAGGAUAUGAAAGAGUGGUGGUGACCGGCGGAUUGGCAAUGGCUAAGGAGCAAGGAGCGGUGCUGACUGGCGGAGUAGCACUGUAGCAGCGGCCGGUGAAGGAAAAGAUGGAUGGCGUGGGGGCCGAUGAUAGCUCUAGCAUGCGGGGCCUCAAGUGUGGGGGUCAAGAUUGAAAGGAGGGCUCGUGUGCCGGUGCAUGAGAGAGAGAGAGAGAGAGAGAGAGAGAGACAAGCUGAGAACAUGAGGGAGUUGCUAGGCUCACGAGUAGAUCGUCUCAAUGUCGAGCUUUGGCCAAGCUGAUUCCAAGUCCAACUUUGAAAGCUUAGACGAGCCACCAUGAACCAGCUUGGCUCAGCUUGUUUCCAACCCAAGGAGUAGCCUGUAGCCAGAUAGUCAAUGUCGACCUUUGUUUUUCCACAUGAAGGGCUAAUGAUAGUAGCUACAUUUUCCCCAAUGCCUCUCAAUACGAUUACUACUCACCUCAUACGAAAUAUAUCUUGAACCCAGACGCUAUAGGGGAUGAAUAAAGAAGGAUUUUGCUUAUACCAUGGUGCCCAGUGGUGCCAAUUGUUGAUUCUUGAUUGCAUUGCAAGAGAUAAAAUUGUCAUGGUGGAGCAGGGAGGUUUUGUUGUCCAUGAAUAGACGCAAACGGUUGUCGACGCAAGUGAUAGCUAGAAGUUGGUGCAUCUUGUGCUGGGUUUGUGGUUGGAGGCUGACAGUUCUGGCUUCCUCCUCCGAUGUCGUCAUCGUGUGAGGGUGUCAGAUCUGAAGUUCGAUGGUGUGUCCGGGGACAUUUUGCCCCGGUCUGAUUCUUUCAACGACAAUGGUUUAGUUUCUGGCAAACUACUUUCAAGGUCCGUAAAGCUGCCGAUCAGUGAUGGAGCCGCAUCAAGUUUGGGUGAAGAGGUGAUCUUUCUUCUUUCCCUUUGGUGGCUGCUUCGGUGGUGUUGAAGGAGAGGGGCUGCGUGGAUAUUUUGUGUAGGAUUAUCCUAUCUUUUUAGUCCUGUAAAGUCGAUGUUUACGUGCCUUAUAAUUUGAUUUUUAUUCUACAAAUGAGACACGUAUUAUCAUGCAAAAAGGUACAAAACUAAAUGUGAUGACUUGUACAUUUCUUGACCACUGUACCCGCAACCAAUGAUGCAGGUUCGUUUACGAGCAUCACACACACCCACGCUCGCGCACACACACGCAAACGUGAUGCAACACAAUGUGAGGAUGCUUCCUUUGAAUUAUGUGACAAGCAGGAUAAAGGCAUCUCUAGCAGAUCCUUUAUAUCAUGCACCCAUAUAUCGCGUUUACAGUUCGUGGCUGUCUUCGGAUAUGGGCUGAAUACAGUUGCGGCUGAACAACAACCGAAUACGAACCUGCAAAAUUUGUAAUCACAUAUUCGCUCGAGAAAUUGUACUAGUUUAGUAGGACUGCUAACACUUGAUCAUCUUAAAAAGUCAUACAAAGUAGAAAUUUUACACCUAAUAUUUGGAGGAGCAGGCGCCACCAUAACCCUAGUUACAAAAUUGGGCUCAUCAGAGCCGGGGGGAUUGCAGCGGCGACACUGUAGCGGAGGAGGAGCUCAGUCCACAUCGUCGGAGACGAGGUCGACGUAUAGACCUCGUCCUGCUUUUUGGCUACGAGGCGCCACUCUUCCAUGUUAGCCGCAAACUCCUGCGCCCCCGCGAUCCCCUGCUCGAGGAAGAUUCUAUCGAUGUCGAUGUCGACGUCCCGUUGACGGUGCUGCUUUGCCUCCUCCGCGUAGAGCGCGCAUGAUGGCAGCCGCCAUGACAUCCGCCUCCGCCGGGGGGAGGUAAUCCUCUGGCCCGACGACGCUCUGCCGCUCCGGCUCCCUCUUUACCGCGUGGAGCGGCGGGAGCUCCUCUGGCUCUCUUUUCACCGGGGUGAGCGGCGUCCUCGAGCUCGAGGCACCGGCGGAGGAGCCGGAGGACAGCCCGCGGUGGAGGAGUGCCUGCCUACGGUUGUACUCCGUCUCGCGGCGGAGGAGCGAUGGCGGUGGCGAGAGCCCGUUGUUGGUGUACCCGGGCGCUCCUUUUCCUCACGGCGUCGGCGGUGACGCACCGCCUCCGCUCGGGGUCGUCGCCACUGCCGGUGCCGCGGCCCGCCGACCACGUUCCGCAUCACAUCAAGAGGGGAGAGGGGGAAUUGAAGUCGCCGGCGGAGAGAAAUCGAGAGGGAGGAUGGGGAAUUGCGGCGGCGCGGAUAGGGUUUCGACCCGUAUUUCAGCCGCAAACCCUUACAUAUAUUGCGUGCGAAGGGGGGGGGGCAAUUUGCGGGUCACUGUAAAAGAAAUUAUGGGUCGGACGAUUAUAUAGGCUCUGGUCUUGCCCAAAAAAGGGGCCAAACCUGUAUAGUCGUCGAAUUUUUACGGGCCAUCCCAUUUUAAGAGGUCUGCUAGAGAUGCUCUAAGCCAUCUUAAAACAUGUAUUAAAGCAGAAGAUGCUUACUUAGAUCCACUAUUGGCUUUUCAUUAAACCUGAAAUACAAUUUAUAGAAAUUAAAAAAAAGAUGUAAUGUUUAUGCACGAGACCAGAGCACACUUAUUGAGACUGAUAUUGAUUUAUUGUGAAGCCAUCAUUUUCCAUGAAUCCAGUCAUAGGCCUGGGCGUUCGGUAGAAACCGGAACUGUUCGUUUUUUUAAAUUCGGUUAGCAAAAGUCAAAACCGAAAUAGGCAUGGAAAUCAAUUAACCAAAAAUCCAGUUAACCAAUUUAUUUGGUUCGGUUUCCGGUUUUAACCCAAAUUUGGAUUAAGCAUACAAAACACAGUUUCAGUGCCAUAUGCACAGUUUCAGGAAAUUUAUCAUAUGAACACUUGAACAGAAAAUGAACACAAUAGACAAUCCAUCAUUCGCUGCUGAAGUACAUGUCCACGAACAUCAUAUGAACAUGCAUCCAUCCAAGUUACCAAUACAACAGUGCAAUAACUAAACAAGAAUUUGAGGCGGAGGAUGGGACGACUGGAUGGACGGACAAGCGAGCGAGCUACAAUCGGCGAAGCAAUAGGGGGCGCUGCGCUCCUCCUCUGGUCCUUUCCUCUGCGUGCAGCGACUGCGUGAUGGUCGGCGGCAGGUGAGAAGGUGAGGGAGGAGAUGGGGGAGAUCCCAGGCAUUGGCAGUGGGCAUACAAGACGGCCCGUCGGCUUUUAGGGAGUCGAGGUCGGGGAUGUGGGAGAAGAUGUGGUGGUGGCUCACCGAGUGGCGGCCGGCGGCGGCAGCGGUUGAAUCGGGGCGGGGGGUUGAGGAUGGAGAACGAAUGCUAGGCUGUUGUGUCCCUUUGUCUAGUAUACGUGGUACGGUUGUGACCUAGGUCUAGUACGUGGCUACCGUCGGCGUGCCACUUCCAGGAGUUCCUAGUUGGGCCGGCCGGCCGAGAGGGCUGCAUGAUUUCGGCUUCUUUGGUUAACCGGUAGAAAUACCGAAACCGACCGAAUUGAGUUCGGUUAGUAACACAGGUAACCGAAUUUUCUACGCUCGUUAAAAAAAACGACGGUGUUGGUUUCGGUUCAGGUUUUGGUUGGUCGGUUUUUAUGCCCAAGCCUACCGGUCAAGAUCAAUGCUCGGAGCCUUUCAAAGCUUGAUAUAUAAACGAUGUACCCAAAGCGGCAACAAAAGCUCGAGCACCAUCCUUGUUGGAUUUCACCCAGGAGGGAUCACAUGAAAAACCACACGAACAUACAUAUAUGACCGAAACAAGUUAGCCAAAGUCAUGUGCCAUGCGCCUUUCUUUUUCAUUUCUUAAAUUCAUAACUAAAUUUUGGGACCCAUAUGUAGCACAUAUAUCUGAACCUUAACUCCACCUAAUACUAGCCAAUCAGGAACUGGUGGUAAUACACUAAUACUAGUCAGUCACGUCUGAGCCUACAGGAACAUGUAAUUCGUAAUCCAACUUUCUUGCAGUUGUUGGUCUGCGUUGUGCUAUGAAUCAUAGCCUAUGAUUAUAAUCUGCUGUUAAAAAAUAAGCAUCAAAAGUAGAUGCACGCAUGCAGAUUAUAAUCCUCCUCCACAAGAAAAGAUCCCAGCACUAUUGGAAUUUUUACGUACGCCGGGUGUAAUGCUCUUCGCCGAGUGCUAAAACACGGACAGUCGGCAAAGCAAGCUUUACCGAGUGUCACUCUCGGCAAACCCACCUUCACGGCAAACUGCAAUCUUUGCCGUCACUGCCUCACGGCGAAGAGGCACCGUAUGGCAAACCCUGUAGACGCCGAGAGCCGCUCAUGGCAAAGAGUAGCCACGUGGCAUGCCCGUCCGCAACAGACGGCUCCGUCAGUUACUGCGUACUUUGCCGAGUGUCGCUCUCGGCAAAGCACAUACAACAUCCUAUAUUUUUUUUUGUGUGUUCUUUCUAACUGACAUGUGGUCCCACUGGUGACAUUUUAUCAGUAAAAACAAUGACGAUAUCUUUGCCCAGAGGUGCUCUCGGUAAUCCUUCAUGGGAGCUGACAGUUUACAUAGCUUUGCCGAGAGCUAGGCUCGGCAAUGCUCUCCUUUUUUGAGAGCUUCUGUCGAAAAAGUUGUGGCACAACAGUAGUGUCCCAGACGACCAUGUUUCCGAGAGUUGCUCUCGGUAGUCUACCUUUUUCCGAGUGUUGCUCUCGGAAAUCUUUCCCAUCCAUUCUGCUGUCAAGCUAUUUCUUUUCUGAUCCCUGCAGAUAAAAACCACUACAGUGCAAUUUGAUCUAGUCCACACAUAUAUAGGCAUAAUUUGAUCAUAUAUAGGCAUAAUUUGAUCUAGUCCACCUAUAUAUGCAUAAUUAGGGAUAGUCCACAUAUUGUCACACACAAGUCGAAUGUAUUAUCCUAGUAGACGUCACACACAAGUCGCAAAUUCAUACAUAUUGUCACUGCUUGCAAAACACGUGCACGUCACAAUAGAAGUACACUUGUUCAUAUAUAGAUCAUCUUGAUGAGGAGAGGCCAUCGGGUUAACAUUCCGGAGGAGGAGGAGGGGCAUCACUUGCACUGCUUAGAGAUUGCAUAAGAAUCUAUAAGAGUAGACUCACGUGAGGGUGGUUCGUCCCUAUGUAAUGAAUCUUCUACUCUAGUUUAGAUAAUGUUCUACCUGUAGUUGAUCCUCAAGCAUCUUCAACCUAUUGUUAGUGUCUGCCCGUUCCUUUUCUCUGGACUCCUCCUCAGCCUUCCGCCUUUGCUCCUCUUCAACAGCCCGCUGCGCCAUUAAAUCCUGUAACAUGGCAUUAGGCUCAUAUAGGUUGAAACGGUGCUAUUUCAAGGCAUGUACAUAAAUAAAAGGUUAGGAUGCUAACCUUGAGACGCGCUAUCUCACAUGAUGCGGCAGUUGGGCGACUCCGUAUGGACGGAGUGAGCUGGUGCUCGACGCACGUAUCUCGUGCAGCUUGCGGUGCCCAGAGGUGGUGGUCGCCCCGUUGCAAAGGAGGUGGCGACCAUGGCCCUUCCCCUGGCCAGCAAUGAUGAGAAGCUCAGGGUCAAGGGGCUUGGACGUAGGUUCGGCUUCCUUCCCGUGCACCUCCUAGAAGACCUCUUUGAAGGUCCCCCACUUCUCCUCCGCCGACUUGCUGCAGAACUCGGCGCCAUCCUUCCCCUUGUGGCCUUCUUUCCAGGCUUCCAGGAUGUGGACCGGUCGACCAACCUUCGCCUCCUGCAAAAUUAACCAUCAAGUUGAAUGAACCAAGAUGCACCGUGCGAAAAAGUUAACAUCUUAAUCCACAUACCAUGUGUUGCUUGAGAGCGGUUAGGUUCCGGCUCCCCUAGACAUGGGCCGGGCCUGGCAUUUUGGCUCGUUCGUUUCCCUUCUCCACAUGCUGCGCCUGCCAUGCUGGGUCACACCACAUGUCAACCAGGGCCUCCCAACAAUCGUCCUUCAUCCAGGGUUCCUUCACCUAGUCAGAAAAAAUCGAAUAAUUGAGGAACAAGAGGGAUGAAUCAAAGUACUAGCAACCGAUGUAGUCACUUACCACUAACAGGUAUUCUUCUCGCGACAAGUUGGUCUGGCAAGCAGUCUUCCUUGUCAUCUUCUCGCCCUUCUCAUUGAGCGGCCGACACUGCAUCACGGCUUUGUACCACAGCGUGUGCUUGGUGUCAGAGAGUAUCUUUCGGUCAGAUUUCACGAUGCCUUUGAUUGCCUUCUGCUGCUCACCAUCCACGCAAGCAAAUGUUUGCUACAAGAAAGCAUAUGGCAUCUUCUCACCAUCCACGCAAGCAAGGAUUUGGAUAUGAAAAAAUGCAGUGGUCGGAGCUAAGAUACUUACAAAAAAGCAUUGAUGACCCGAGUGGCCAUGGUGACAUCGUGCUCAUCCUUGUUGUGUAGGUAAUGCUCCCAGGUUAAACCUGGCGACGGCGGAUCGUCAUCACCCGGCUUGGACAAUCCAGGGAAGUGCUUCCUCAAGAGGGAGCUGAUGAUGUGGUUCGGCGGGCGUGCCCCCUUAGGUUGUGUCAGGAUAAAUUCCCACCGACUGCAUGAUAUAAAAGACAAGCAUAUGUGAGUGUCAAAGCUAUGACAUCCAAAAUAUGAUGCAAAUGAAAUGCUUGCUUACCCCUCUCCUGUCGGGCAAAUGACAGGAUGGUUGCUGGCAGCAGUUGGUUCCGGGACCUUCCCCGGACCACGCCCGGAUUUCUUCCUCUUGGAAAUGUUGCUCGAUGUAGACCCCGAGCCGUCCGAGGCCUCCAUGUCGCCCGACUCAGUGGCGAGCGGAUCUAAGUCCACUCCGACAUCGCCAUCCGAUGAUGACGAUGCCUCGGUUGUGGCAUGAUGGGAGGCGAACGACUCGGCCCUACCAAUCGGGACUCUCCGGUACUUAUUACGAGUGCUCUCAUCAGAAUCUGAAAAACAAAAUAUAUAUGGUUACUCUCAGUUCCAAAGCAAAAUCUUCCUAAUCUAAGUGUCAUAUCAUAUAUGGCAAAAAAUAACACAAAUAGCUCAAUCAAGUCUCAGAUAUAUAGUUCCAUUUACUAAUGACAUAACACUGACAAGGAUUUUUUUUUGAAACGAAAGGGGUUGCCCCCCUGCCCCAAAUUUUUAUUAAAAAAGCAAAGGCAACCUAAGAUCAGAGUUCACCACUGACAAGGAAAUAAGCACAACUAUAUAGUUUCAUUGAUCUACUCUAGUAUUUAUCUAAAAAAAACACAAGCACUAGUAUUGAUCCUUCGAGCACUCAUUCAGUUUAACUAAAACUAAACCAGUCAAGCAUAGGAGUCAAAACCAAAGCAUUCUACUCUAGGCAUUAUUCCAAACUUCUAAACUUCCAUACUACUCUAGGAUAUCACUUACUUCGAGGCAUGGACCAUCAAACGUACCAAAUACGACAAGGGCAAGGACCCUCUCCACCCGGAGAUGGACUGGAUCAUCUCUAAAGCCCGGUCAGAUGGAGAGAACUACACCAAAAAAUUAAAGGAGACGUACGGGCCUGACGCUGAUCCUCACGUGCUACCGUUUGACCCUCUUGUGGCCAUUGCCACGGCAGGAGGUAGACCGAAUGGCCGGAUGGCGGUUCACCUCGAUUCUGUCAUAACCUCCUCCCUUCCGACAGUCAACACGCUCCGUGCUAUGAGUACUGGCUCUACUCCUACCGUAGAGCGUCACGUACCACAUUCCGUGAGCAUUAUUGAGGAUAUUCAGGUCAGUGCUUCUUCAUUGAUCCUUCAUGGUCCUUCUUCAUUGAUCCUUCUUCAUUAUUGAGGAUAUUUGCAUUUCAACAUGAAUGACAUUUGCAUUGCCAUAUUGUAGACUCGACUGAUUGACACCGAGAAAGAACGAGAUGAAAACCGGGCCAAGUUGAAGGCACAAGAUGAUCUAGUGAAGUCUUUACAACAUAUGGUGGCCAAUCUUUAUUCCAUGCAAGGCCAACCAGUGCCAGAGAUGCCACCGAUGCCAGAGUGGAACAUUGUGAGUUUUGUUCCAACUAUUACUAUCACCAUUUUCGGCAUUACCAUAUGCAUUCAUCUCACUAUUGGGUCAAUCCAUCACAACUCAACCCAUCACAAGGGUCGAACAAUGUUCCGGUAGUUCCACCUCAAGUUGGUGGAGUUGGGGCAGCAAAGGGAAUGAUGCCUUCUAAUGUUGAUGUUAUCACUCCGGUUCAUGGAGUUGGGGCAACAAACGGAAUGAUGCCUUCUAAUGUCGAUGUUAUCACUCCGAUCUCCAAAAUCGCGUGAACUUCAUGUUAUGUUUGAAACUGUUCCUUGUAUGUUGAGAACUCUUGCAUCUUGAGACUUGUAAACUUGUGGUCUAUUGCUUUGAUGCACUAUUGCUUUUAUGUGGAAUGUUUUUCAGAAUCAAUCAUUGCUUCUUUUGUUCAAUGAUGCCUACAUGGGACAUGUUCUAUGUGUGAUGAACUAUAUGCUGCUGCUGUAUAUGUUUCGCUGCAGGAAAGAAACAGAAACAGGGAAAAAAGGCUCCUGGGCACACUAUUGCCGAGGGCGGCUCUCGGCAAUGACUGUGAAAUUGGACCAGAACGCACCCUUUACCGAUAGGCCUCUCGGUAAAGGAUAAUAACCUGUAGUCCUCCUGGCACCUUUACCGAGAGGCCUCUCGGUAAAGGAUAAUAACCUGUAGCCCUCCUGGCAACUUUACCGAGAGGACUCUCGGUAAAGGAAAAAGAAUUGCCGACGGUGGCUCUCGGCAAACUAUUUUCACGGCUUUUAGGAGAAGUGAUGUGGCCCUUCCCUAUUGGCUGAGUUUGCCGGGAGUCACACUCGGCAAAUAUAGAGUUUGCCGAGAACAUCCCUCGGCAAAGUUGUCAUUCUUUGCCGAGAGUGGCACUCGGCAAAGAUGGCCCUCGGCCUGUUUGCCUGGUCCCACCUGUUAGGAGCUGACAUGUGUCAGCCACCUACUGGCUAUCUUUGCCGAGCGUGGCGCUCGGCAAAGAUGGCCCUCGACCUGUUUGCCUGGCCCCACGUGUCAGGAGCUGACAUUGUCGAGAGGGGCACUCGGCAAAGAUGGCCCUCGGCCUGUUCACCUGGUCCCACGUGUCAGGAGCUGGCACGUGUCAGCCACCUACUAGCUGGCUUUGCCGAGAGGCGCACUCGGCAAAGAUGGCCCUUGGCCUGUUCGCCUGGUCCCACAUGUCAGGAGCUGACACGUGUCAGCCACCUACUGGUUGUCUUUGCCAAGAGGUGCACUCGGCAAAGAUGGCCCUCGGCCUGUUCGCCUGGUCCCAUGUGUCAGGAGCUGACACAUGUCAGCCACCUACUGGCUGUCUAUGCCGAGAGUGGCACUCGACAAAGAUGGCCCUCGGCCUGCUCCCCCUGGUCCCACGUGUUAGGAACCGCCGUCACCGUCUGCUAUCCGUUAGCUACUUUAUUUUGCCGAGUGGUACUAUUUGACUCUCGGCAAAGUCUUUGCCGAGUGCCCGCGUUCUGACUCUCGGCAAACUCCUGUUUGCAGAAGAGGUGUACGCCGGGUGGCUUUUGCCGAGGGUGACACUCGGCAAAGGCUUUGCCGACGGUUUUUGGCCCUUUGCCGAGUGUCUGUGGCACUCGGCGUAGCACAGAAUUCCAGUAGUGCGGGAUUCCCUCUUCCUCCCAUCCGUGCCGCCGCCGGUCUGUCCAUCUCCGAUGGUCUUUGGGCCAUGGAGGUGUGGAGGACCUCGGGCCCCCGCCGGCAGGGGGGGGGGGGGCGUUCUUGUUCUUACUAGUUUCGAACAAAUUGCAAAAACCAUCAUAAUUGGGGACCCUAAUUCAUAAAUCUUGUUUACUCAUGGAUUUGUGAAUUAGGGUUCAUGAAGGAGAGGAGACAUUGGGGAAAAUUCUGGGGUCUUCUACCAAUCCCCUUCUCACUUCUCUUCAUUUAUAUUUUUGUUCUUUUACGAUGUAGUCUUCAUGUCCUUACAUAAUUACAACUCACAUCAACACUCCCCCUCAAGAUGGGGUGAAUAUAUCAUACAGACCCAUCUUGCUACAGAAAAUAGAGAAUGAUUUCUCGGGUAGACCUUUUGUAAGUAUAUCCGCUACUUGACUAGAUGAACUUACAUAAGGCAUACACAUUAUUCCUCUAUCGAAUUUCUCUUUGAUGAAGUGAUGAUCAAUUUCCACAUGUUUGGUUCUAUCAUGUUGCACUGGGUUAUUUGCAAUAUCUAUGGUGGCCUUGUUAUCACAUUAUAGCAUCAGUGGUGAUUCCUUGAACAACCCUAGUUCUGUCAGUAAUAUCUUUAACCAUAAUACCUCACAUACACCAUGUGCCAUAGAUCAGAACUCAGCUUCUGCUGUGGAACUAGCCACAAUAGUUUGCUUCUUGUUGCGCCAUGAAACUAAAUUCCCACCAACGAAGGUACAGUACCCAGAUGUUGAUCGUCGAUAUCCAGUGAGCCCGCCCAAUUCGCAUCAGUAUAACACUCAACCUGGAAAAUUCCCUGAUGACUGUACAGUAAACCCUUUCUAGGACACCCCUUCAAAUAGCGUAGGAUUCGAGUCACGACAUCCAUAUGAUAUGAUCUUGGGUCAUGCAUGAAUUGGCUCACUACACUAACAACAAAUGAAAUAUCUAGUCGAGUAUGAGACAGGUAAAUGAGCUUACCGACUAAUCUUCGAUAGCAUUCACGGUCCACGGAUUUUCCUGAAUCACUCAUCAGGCGAUGGUUUUGCUCAAUUGGGCUUGCAGCUGGACGACACCCAAGCAUACCUGCCUCUUGUAGUAGGUCUAGGACAUAUUUUCUUUGGGAAAGGAAAAUACCUUUUGUUCCUCUAGAUACUUCUAUCGCAAGAAAAUAUCUCAAGUGUCCCAAAUCCUUGACUUCAAACUCUUGCGCAAGAUGAUGUUUUAAGUGAAAAAUUUCCUCUUGGUCAUCACCUGUGAUAAAAAUGUCAUGCGCAUAUACAAUGAGGAGGACAACCUUGCUCAUUCUAUGUUUGUAAAACAUGGUGUGAUCUGCAUUGCUCUGAGUGUACCCAAUUCUCAACAUAGCAUGCCGAAACCUGUCAAACCAGGCCCUCGGCGAUUGUUUGAGCCCGUACAAGGAGCGACUUAAGCGAAGUACCUUUCUAGUAACAUAGCCGGACUCGAAACCUGGUGGGACCUCCAUACACACUUCUUCUUGAAGGUUGCCAUGAGGAAAUGCAUUUUUUACAUCCAUCUGGUGAAUGUUCCAGUUCAAGUUUGCUGCACAUGAUAUGAGUGUUCUACCAGAAUUCAUUUUUCCUAUAGGUGCAAAUGUUUCCUCAUAAUCAAUUCCAUAUGUUUGGGUAUAUCCCUUUGCCACAAGGCAAGCUUUAUAUCUAUCCACUUUACACUCUAGGGUAUGCUUAAUGUUGAAAACCCACUUGCAACCUACAGGUUGUUUACCUGGUGGUACAUCCACAAGCUGCCAGGUUUUAUUCUUUUCCAAAGCUCACAUCUCUUCAUGCAUAGCUUCCCUCCACUUUGGAUCCUCUUUGGCUAUGUCCCAACUAUUAGGUAUGAAUGUGGAAUCUAGAGGUGUAAUGAAGCUCUGGAAGGAUGGGCUACAAUGUUUGUAGGAGAUGAAAUUGGCUAUGUUGUGUUUAUAACCAACGUCGUAGUCUUUUAGGUGUGGGGAAGAUUUAAGGUUCUAGUUGGUUUUCUCAAGGCAAUGGGUAAAUUACCUCGUGGAACAGAUGUCGACAAUUGGUUAUCACUCUCACCCAUGGUGCUAGUAGGAGCAAUAGGACUAGGAGAGUGGUCAUCAGUACCUGGGCCAUCAUGUGCAGAGUGAUCAACAUUCUGUGAAGGUGAUAAUGAAUCUCCUAUUGUAUCUUUGCAUGUCUCCAUGACCAGAACUGUUACUCUCCUCAUGGUUAGGAAUAUUAUUAUCAAGAGCAGAAGCAUCUGGAGAGGGACAAGUAUUGAUCCAAUAAGGGUGCCUCCACCACUGCUCUCCCCCUCUUGUCCUACUUCAGGUGGGGAAAGAACAAUGUCAGCGUCAUUGGCUGAUCCAAGAUAAUAAGGUUCAUGUUCACGAAAGGUCACAACCAUACUCAUAAAGAACCGACGUUUAGAGGGACACCAACACCUAUAGCCCUUUUGAGAAGGAGAAUAGCCCAUAAAGACACAUUUGAUGGCACGAGGAUCUAAUUUCCCAACAGAAUUUCAAUAAUCAUGCACAAAAGAAACACAACCAAAUACCUUUGGAGGGACCACAAAAUCAUUUUUGUAUUCAAAAGACACUCAGCUGGAGACUUAAACUCACGUGUGCGUAGAGGUAUACGAUUUAUUAAAUAUGUUGCUGUUUCUAUUGUCUCCCCCUAAAGAAACUUAGGGACAUUCAUGGUGAACAUGAGUGAAUGAGCAACUUUAAGUAAAUGCCUAUUCUUACAUUCUGCAACACCAUUCUGUUCUGGUGUAUUAACGCAUGUAGUUUGAUGUUCAAUGCCAUGUGAUGGAAGGAACUGUCCAAACUCCAUGUUAACAUAUUCAGUACCAUUGUCAUAACGUAAGGUUUUUUAUAGUUGUUCCAAACUGGUUUUGAAUGAGAGUACACAAAUCUUCGAAAAUAGGGAACACAUCACUUUUAUGCUUCAAAAGGUAAAGCCAAGUGUAACGACUAAAUCCAUCAAUGAAAGUCACCCAUGUCCAGAAACAGAAUAAACCUCACAGGGCCCCCAAACAUCAGAAUGUAUUACUUCAAAUGGUUUAUGACAUCGCAAACCCCUGCUAGGAUAGAUGCCCCUUGUAUGUUUUGCUAAUUCACAUGCGUCGCAUACAAGGGAUUCUCUAGGACACACGUUAAAGAGAGAGGGAUAAAUACGUGACAUAGCAACAAAAGAGAGGUGUCCCAAUCUUCGGUGAUGAAGUAACAAUUCUUGAGUAGGACUGUAGGAGACAUGCAAGUUGCAAGAGAAAUUUCAUCUCCCCCUUCAUCAAGAUAGUAGAGUCCCUCAUGCAUGGUCCCAGUCCUGAGAACUCUCCUUGUCCCAAGCUCCAGAAAAGCACAACAUGUAGGAUCAAACCAACAUCUACAAUUGAGAGCUCUAGUGAUGGAGCUAACUGAUAAUUGGCUGAUAGGAAAUUUAGGAACAUGCAGAACUGGUGAUAAGGACAAUGUCUUGGUACACUGGACGGUUCCACGUUCUGUAAUAGGUGCCAUGGAACCAUGAGCAACACGAACUUUGUCCUUACCAGAGGUAGGUGUGUAGGAAGUAAACAAGUUUGAGGCUCUUGUUAUGUGGUUAAUUAGUAGCUCUAGUAUCAAUUAUCCAUGAUUUUGAAUGGGCUUAGCGGGAUUCCAUAUAUACCUUGGGUGAUGGCAUUAAAGCUAGAAUCAACUUUGGAGAAACCUUGGGACGAAGAUGAGCCUUCAAAGAGUUUGAGCUUGGAUUUGAAAUCCUCAAGAGCUUUCAUAUCUACCGCAGGUAGUUCCUUUGCAGAUGCAUUGUAAUUAGCUUGUCUUUUGUUUGAACCCCGAGCUCCCCCCUAGCUGACAUCUCCCUUUAUCCCACCAAGGUGGAUAACCAUGCAACUCAAAACAAUCACCCUUGGUGUGUCCUUUUCUGUUGCAAUGGUCACAAAGCAACUUGCUUUUAUCGACCUUACCAAAGGAAUUUGUAGCACGGCGUGGUUGUAUGGAUAAUGCAGCAUGAGCAUCUGCACGCUCCUGACCCUCCUCCUUCGGUUGUGCCAAACGAGUCUCCUCCUCAAUCAUGCUAGAAAUAAUAUCAUCAAGACUAGGCCACUCAGGCAUUGCAAAUAUGAAUUGACGACAAAGGUUUAUUUCCUGGUCUAGGCCAUCUAGAAAGAGCUUGCUCACAAACGACUCAAAUCACACAUGAUGAAUUGCCAAGUCAUCCUUGUGAACAGGUUCAAAAGGGUGAUGAUAAUGCAAGUCUCUGUAUAAUUUUUUUACUUCACCUGCAUACUCUGUUACAGAUCUUGAGCGCUGCUUCAAAUUAGUUAACUCAUGCAUGAUACGGGUGGCUUGCAUUUUAUUUGUUUUCCCUGCAAAUUGUUUCUUCAAAGAUGACCAGACCUCACAAACAGUGUCCAUGCCUUCCACUUGUUCUCUAAUUGUUGGUUCCAUACUUCCCAACAGCCAUACUAGUACUUUAUCAUUGAUUUGUUUCCUGCCCGCACUGCCUUUCUCCAAACUAUCUUCAUUGCCAACAAGUAAAUAAUCAUACUCAUUGGCACUCAAAAUCAAUUUGGCAUGGCGUGCCCAACUGAUGUAGUCACCAGGUCCUGAUAGUCUGACUGGAUUUUGCUCAAGUGUAUGCUUAACUGGCUCAGCAGCACCCUUUGAUUGCUGCUGGUGCUCAAGCAGUUUGCUAAAUAUUUCAUACAUCUUAUGAACACUAGAAUCCCCUGUUUUUUUUCUGUACUUGGAUCUCCCAUGGUUCAAUGAGCAAGAAUAUAUUCCAACACUAGUACUUGGUUCUUCUUCUCAAACACGUGCAGCACAAAGAGGAACCAACUAGUACAGCUCAACAAUGUGCCAAAGAGUACGGCAAUUACUUCAGAUUGCAACACUAGCAAAUAGUAUUAUUUAAUCCGGCCAGCUGACCUCCAAAGCAGCUCCAGGCAACACCGAUACUGCUUCUAAAGCAAUAAAAAAACACAGAUGCUCAAGGAGUCCGAGAGUCAAGUUGGGGACGAACUACACCUGCUCACGAUGCCGGAUGGCAGGAGAGAAAAAAUUAGCUUGUAGCGGGCGAGGGAGUCCAGACGCCCAGGCUCUAUAACUCAACUUGUAGCUGCAGGAGCCUCCCCGAUUGUACUGUACUUGAUUCAGACAGAAUCAAGGUCGCUUCCCAACUCCUACAGCAAAGCCAGCAGCAGAAGCACCUCCAACAAUAGGAGCGACACAGUACCGCACCGACGGCCAAACUCAAUAGGAAUCAUAGGAGAACCACACAGGAUUCGUCCUGCCCUGAUACCAUCUUUUUGUGAACUAGGGUUCAUGAAGGAGAGGAGACAUUGGGAAAAAUUCUGGGGUCUUCUACCAAUCCCCUUCUCACCUCUCUUCAUUUAUAUUUUUGUUCUUUUACGAUGUAGUCCUCAUGUCCUUACAUAAUUACAACUCACAUCAACAAUAAAACCACCAUUAUUCAAUUUUUUUUCAAAAACCCACCGCCAUUGUGGUGACAUUUUUCAAAAAACACUCCGCGAUGUCCCUCAGUAGGAAUAAAGUCUCCCACGUUCUACGAUGGUGCGUCUAGUGUCAUCGUAGGGCAUGUGGAGGUGUAUCUCCUUCGGAUCUCACGGCAUUCAGUUGGUGCUGGUUUUUCUGUGGACUGUUUGGGGCCAGUGUUCGUUCGUCUUCGCUUGGGUGUUUAUAGGUUUGAUCCUUCCAAUCUAUGAUUUUUUUCAUCGGCCUUAACACGACGAUUUUCAACUGUCUACUGCAACAAGCUUUGCCCAGCUUCAGCGUGGGAGGGGCAAUAAUGGCGGUGCCUUCAGCUCACUCUAGUGUUUUUAGUCGCCGCUAGGUGGUCAAUGGACAUGGUUGUAAUUUAUAUCACCUCUAGUGUUCUUUGUACUGCCAUGAUCGAAAAUGAAUAUAUUGAAAGUUUCUCCUGCAAAAAAAAAGUAGGCAAAAACAUGUCGAAACAGAAAAGCGGAUGGAACCAACAAGACUAUGAUAAUCCACCAUAAUGCCAAACAAAGCCUAGAACGCACGAAAACCUGCCGAACAAACAUACUUGGCAUGGUUCUCUCCUCUUGAGAAAUCGUACACACAAAAGUCUUGCCACGCAGAUGACUAUGAGACUGCCACACGGACUCCAAGCAGUUCACACAACCGGCACACAUCCGCAAGCUUUGCGUCUCACAUCCAAUUUCGUGCAGCAACUCAUCCAGCUCCAUCUCCGGAGAGGCCUGCGCCGGGGAUUACAAGGCCACUUCUUCCUACUAUCCAGAUCACGCUGGUCCGGUCCCUGACCGAGCCGGCGGCCGUCCGGACCGCACUGAGCAGCGCGCUGGUCCCUUUUCCAUGCACCGGGCCGGUGAGGCAAAAGCUCGGUAACCGAACGAUGGCAUGCGUGCGUUAUCGUUCAUGGUGUAUGCGUGCAGCAUGUAGAAGCUGGAGUACGUGUUGCUGCUGCGUCUCGACGGCAUCUCUUGUUCGACUCCGAGAUCACUGGCCAUGAACGAGAUCAACCAUCUCCGCCGAAUACAGAGCUAACAGAAAACGGGAAAUCAGGCCACGGCGGAGACGCGAACGCUGCCAUCCCAACGUUCGUCGACCGCUACCCUACAUCGUCGCCAUGAUCGUUUUAGUAUCGUGCCAUCCCACGAUCACUAAGACCAAGUCGCGGCUUAGCUUGUUUCACUAAUUGAGGAAAAUCCUAACUGACGAAUCUGCACUUUAACAGCUACUGCUGACGAAACUGAAUUUUUCUGAAACUUCGACAACAACUGGUGGUAACUGACAACAUGGUGAUCGGAGGGACGGCACGGGGCGUGCGUCCGUGUGCGCUAAGGUCGCCGUCGCGUCCGUGCGCUUGUUUCUGCCGUCAUCCUCGGUGUCCGCGGUGGUCGCGAGCGGGAGCGCGAGCAGAUUGUGUCAACUUUGAAAGCUUAGACGAGCCUACCAUGCAGACCCAUCAACCGGCUCAGCUCGACUUGUUUCCAACCCGAGGAGCAGCCUGUAGCUAGAUAGUGAGCGAUGACCUUUGUUUUUCCACAGGAAUGAUGAAAGGCGGUAACUACAUUUUUCCCAAUGCCUCUCAAUACAAUUACCGGACAUCUCACAUGGGAAAUAGUUCUUGAAACCAGACGCUACGGGGAAGAACAAAAUAGGGAUAUAGAUUAUACCAUGGUGGCCAGGGUGCCAAUUGUUGAUUGCAUUGCAAGAGAUGUUGUAUCUUGAUACGGGCAAGUAAUUGCCAUGUGAAGCCUAGCUGAAUGAUAUAGCCUGCAGGUUACACAAUUGAAUGUCAUGGCUUGUACAUUUCUCAACCACCGUACCAGGGAUAAAGAGAAACACAAACGUGAUGCACCACAAUGUGAGGACGCUUCGUUUGAAAUGUGCGACAAGCAGGGUGAGCCAUCCCAAAACUUGUACUCCAUCCGUUCGACAAGAUAAGAGUAUUUUUUAUACUAGUGUAGUGUUAAAAGCGCUUUUAUAUGGUGGGACGCAGAGAGUAUUAGAAUCGAGGAUGCUUACUUAGAUCCACUAUUGGCUCUUCCAUUAAACGUGAAAUAAAAUUUAUAGAAAUUGAAGAAAUGAGCACAAGACCAGAGCACACUUAUUGAGACUGAUAUCGACUUAUUACGAAGCCAUCGUUUCGCGUGAAUCCAGUCAAGAUCAAUUUCCAGAGCCUUUCAAAGCUUGAUAUAGAGGAUGUACCGAAAACGGCCGCGCAAAAGCUUGAGCACCAUCCUUGUUGGAUUUCACUCAAGAGGGGUCAUAUGAAAAACAACAUAUAUAUAUGAUCGAAACAAGUUAGGUAGAUUCAUAUGCCACGCGUCUUGACCAUCAGAUUUCUUGGUGUGAGUGGCGCGAGGUCACAUCACAUCAUCAAUCGUGUAGAUAGGGCGACAAUUUUUGCCAUGAAGGUGUCUUUGGGUUGCUAUAUAUACUAGUAAUUUGUACGUGCUUUGCACGUAGCUGAUUACGUAUAAGCAUGGUACUAAAUUAGUGUAAAAAACUAAAGCACACAUAUAUUAUGAUUAAUUUUUUUUAUAGAAGCUUCAAAUGGAGAUAUCCGAUAGGCAUCUGUGGAAUCAUUUUUGGGCUUCGCAAGGCCGGAUAACAACUAUUCCCCAAAAAACAUAGUACAAUGAUUUUCUUAAUAUGAAACAUUGGAUAUAAUCUUUGCCCUUUUAUAUAUAUAUAAAUUGUUUAGGAAGUCCUUCAAUUUAUUGGACUCAUACUAAAAACUUAUUUUUUUAGAAAAAUGAUGUGAAAAAAGAAGUACAAUUAAUAAUAAAUUUUCACCUUCGCAAGCUCAUGUCAGCUAAGAAAAUAAAAGGAGUCAAAACGUACUCUUUCCUCAUAGGUUAUUUGCACAUUCUCAUUCUAAUUAUCCUAGGUACCUUACUACUUGUUUCAAAUGAUAAGAAAAUGGAAAAGUUCACAAUGCAUACAACAUUGCAAUGCUAGGCUCGCAUGCUAGCCUCUCGUGAAGCGGUCGAUGCAUGCAUGUAGGCAGGUAGUACGAAUUAAAUAAUUUAGAGGAGCAAGUGUCCAGCCCAUAGUGGAAAGAUCCAGAACAUAGUCAGAUGAUGGGUCACACAGCGAAUUCUAGAAAUAGCAGACAUAAGUUUGGAGCAGCCACUGUUGAUGCGAAUCCCGCUGCUCCCAACCGUUAGAUUGAGAGCACCAAUGAUCAGGAUUGAUAUUCUAGAUCCAUUCAAAACUCGUACACUAUAUAGUGGUAUAGAUAUAUUUUGCAAGGCCUUGUUGAAUAAUGCAAUAAAGAUGGCUGUGUGCAUCGCUCGAUGCAGAGACCGGGGGUAGUCGUCCUUUUUGAGAAAAACUAUGCAACGCGUCUUUCUUUUUCAUUUCUUCGAAUUUACACUACAUUUUGGGACCCAUAUAUAAAACAUAUAUGUGAACCUAAACUCCGUUUAAUACUAGGCUAAGACGGUCUGAGCCUACACGAACAUUCAUGUAAUUACGUAAUCCGACUUUCUUGCAGUUGUUGGACUGUGUGUUGUGCUAUGAUUAUAAUCUGCGGUUAGAAAAGAAGCAUCAAAGUAGGCAACAACAAGUGAACCAAACACUUAAAUAGAGAAAAACAGAUGUAACAAACAAGAUUACGAGAAUCCACCAUAAUGGGCGAAUACAACUUUCAAACUACUGGUUCCCAAUGUUGUUCACGCGGCUCCGUCAUGUAGAGAAUGCAGAGGACGGUCAACAAUGUUGGCAAGAACAACGAGUGACCGAGGCGGAGUAGCUACGUGCGAGGGAAUGGCUUCCACUGGAGGAUUGACUAUGGUUGACGUAGUGGUGCUGGCUGGCCAAGGAGCAGAUGGACGGGUUGGGAGUGGGCUGUGGAGUGGAGAUGUCUGCCAGGGCUCUAGCGUUUCGUGCAUUGCGUGCUGGGUUCAGGAGCAGGAGAAGAGCACAUACACGGGUACAGUGACGAGCAACGGGAGUUAUUGGGCUCGCGUGCAGCUCUCGCCGAACUCAAGCUUUGACAUGGCCGAGUUCAAGCUUAGUUUUGUGAGGUUUGACGAGCCUGGACGAGGCAAGUCAUGACCCGGCUCGACAUGGCUUGUUUCCACCCCUAGCAACAGCCUUAAGCUAGAGAGACAUCAUUUAGCUUUCUCGUUUUACACGGUGGAUGUGUGCUGGAUGCUAAUUUUUCCCAAUACCUCACAAUCCGAUUACCAUUUAGGCAUUUCCCCCCCGUGGAUAAUAUAUCUUUGAUUCCAUAUACCACAGAAGAACAACAAAGGGGGAUGUAGAUCAUAUUGUGGUGGCCAGCAUGCUAAUUGUUUCAUGCAUUGCAAAUGGAAUAGAUGAUGUACCUUGGGAAAUAUAUAGAGUUGGGCAUGUAAUGGCCAUGUGCUAUAGCUAAAAAUUAUGUAUCCUGCAGGUACACGCCAUGAAUGUCCUGAUUUGUAGAGCUCUCAACUACCUUCAGCCAAUAAUGAUAGAACCAGUUUGUUUAUGAGCAUCGGGAUGCCCUCGUAAAGAAAAAACCUCUUGAGAUGCAAUGCAACACACACCAAGUGCUCAGACUCGUCCAGUCCCACUCCGAGGAGAUGGUCGCUGAUCUAGCACUAGAGGCGAGCGGUGGUCCUGGACCGGUUGAUGGCCCAGGCCUCCACGAGCAUGAGGUCCAGUAGGACCCAGGCUAGCACGGCUUCAGACCUCGUGAAUGACGCCCGAUGUUGUGCACUGCCUUGGAGGCCAUCACGGAUAAUGUCAUCAUUAUUGAGGAUGAGCCAUUGACACCGAGGUAGUAGGUGAGGCAGCCACAUGCCUUGGCGAUCUCCGGGAAGGGCUGAUAACUCAUAAGUGCAGAGGAUCAAUUUUAGCAUUUCCAAUAAGUAAGAUUGUCGAACCCAACAAGGAGGUAAAGGUAAGACUAAUAUUCUCUCAAGUUCUAUCAACCUUGAUCCUGAUGCUACUGGAUACGCUGAAAGAGCAAACAAAGCCAAGAAGCUAGUCAAGAUCAGUGCUCGGAGCAUUGCAAAGCUGGACAGAAACUAGGUGAUGAAAGUUGCAGCAAAAGCUCGGGCAUCAUCCUCUGUUCUCCGACCAAUAGAUGCCCGCCAUGGCCAUGAAGCUGAUAUUAGCUCCAGUGGCAAUGACAGUGUCAGGAGUAGUAUGAGUGUUGAUUACAGUGCUACAAAGGAAUCGGGGAGUGAGAUGACGUUGUCUCCUCUAUAGAACUCGUAUCCAUAGAGUCUUGCAAGCCAGGAUGACUAUGAGACUGGCACACAGACUGCAAGCAGUUUAAGCAGCCCGGUACACAUCCACAAGCUUGCCCCUCAUGCUCAAUUUCGUGCAGCACCUCAUCCAGCUCCACCUCCUGAAAGGCCUGCGCUAGGGAUUACAAGGCCACAUGUUCCUGCCACACAUAUAAGUAACAACCCAAUGUUCCAGUCAGCCACAUCAUAUGUCAGGGAGAACCGAAGAGCCUCUGUGGUCUAGGAUCAAGAGGCUGGUCGGUACAUGUCAGUGCCCAUGCAAACAACAAGAACAGGACCCAGUGUUGAGCUGCCUGCAAGAAACCGAAGUUUCUUGGCGAAUCCAAGUGGUGAACCAGGCAACCAUGGGAGAAAUCUUGCACCUGCCAACACAACUUCAUCAGCGAUUCCUUCGGGGCAGCCAUCCGAGAGGUUGACGUACAUAGGCCAAUCAAUAUUCUUUGGUGGGCCAAUCCUGAGCACCACUGGCAUAAAUGCAGAAAGGAAUGAGGCGGGCACAAGAGUGCGUACUGAGACAAGCAGAGAUCCCAACCUCCACCAGCGUGACAUCCGUGGCGAGAAGGCUCGUACAGGUUCCUUCCCAUUGUUUGAGCCUAGGAAUUUCUAGAAGAACCUGCUUUGCUGGCAAGUGACCUUGACCGGCUGUUUUACUCCUCUCUACUAUGUCGUCUGCUCAAGUGCCACCACCAUGAUGUCAGGGAACUGCUGAAGUAGUUGACAUGGGGCUUCAACGAUACAUAGAUAACGAUGCUUUUUAGAGCUUUAUUAUAGUGAGUGAGGAUGGCGCUAACUUUGUUUGAUGUUUUACAAACUGACUGAUAGUCGCAGUUUUAUUUUGCGUGCAUUAGGAAUUGAGAUGUUUUACAAACUGACUGAUAGUCGCAGUUUUAUUUUGCGUGCAUUAGGAGUUGAGAUGUUUGAUGCGCUUGGCAUGUAGUAGAAGAGCUGAUUUAACUUGUCCUUGAUGUGUAGAACCUUGUGAUUUGCCGCCGACUUUGUUCAUAUUACGGACUUCGGAGUGUUCAUUGCAAGUCUCUGUUCUGUUACUGCUGUAAUAGUAGCCCACGUGUGAAGGCAUUUUCUCCAACUGUCUUGGCGUUUGACUGCUUUAUUUUCAUGUUAAGAGAAUGGAAUUUAACUCGGAUGAUAUUGCUUACUGCAUAAUUGAUGUUCAUUUUCCAAACUGAAUUAGUGAGAUGGGUAUGAUUGCAGUUGAAUAAUUCUUGUUCUGUAUCAUGAGUUCAUAUCUAAAUAAACUGUGGCUUAUUAGUGCCACCGCAUUGCUGUCAACGUGCCAAGGAUGUUGCAAAAUUCCCUGCGUCUUUGUAAACUUCUCCCUCUGUCCAAUAAUAUUAUCAGACGGAGGGAGUACCUAUUUGAACAUGGCAGGAAUAAUGAUAAGUUAAACUUAGUUUCAUUGCAUCCAUAGAUUGUGGAUGCUCUAAGGAAGCAUCAUCUUUUGUGCCAUCAGGCUGCGUGCAACAGCCUUUAGCCAGAAAGCCUGUGUUUAAUUCUCUUUUCUAUACGGGCUGACUUCCUGAUCGAAGCAACAUCUUUCCCAAUACCUCACAAUCCGAUUACCAUUCACCUCGCGGGGGAAAAGAUCAUGAAUCCAUAUGCCAUUCAUGGGAGAAGAACAAAGGAGGAUGUAGAUCAUACAGUGGCGGCCAAAGCGUUUCUUUUUCUUUUUGGAUGAAGUGGUGUUCUGGGUGUUUGUUGUAUGCAUUGUGACAUAUGAUGUAUCCUGGGGAUAUAUAUAGAGAGAGAUCUAGGGAUGUAAUGGCCUAGCUGUAAAUUAUGCAGCCCUUAGGUACAAACCCGAGUGUCCUGGCUUGUUGUGCUCUCAACCGCAUGUAGCCUUGAUACAACUGAUUUGUUUACGAGCAUUGGGAUGCCCUCACAGAAGGAAAAAGUAAAACUUGAGAGUCAAGAAAAAAGAAAAACUAAUGGUACUUCCUUAGAACCACACGACAAUCGUGGUUAUCCACUUAAACCUGAUAUCAACAAUAGACGACGGUUCCAUAGAGCAUCUACAUCCCCUCGAGAUAAACUCCUAUAUAUCUCCUGUAGGAAAAAAUGCUAGCUCUACAUAACCCUUUUUAGUCUUUCCGCUCCAUUUAUAUCAUGCGAACCAACCUAUGAUUGGAUGGUUAGAAGACCAAUGGUAUCCAUAGUCCACCAGAGUAAAUACCAUUUCUUUCAAGCGCCUAAGCUAGAAAAUCCUCCCCAAUUCGAGGGGACGGGCGAAUUUUCAAUAUCUCAACAAUGUCCACCGGGAGGAAGUACUGCUGUAACUUCUCCAAGUCCCAGUUGCCACAGAAAUCCAUAAGCUUUGAGACCCACUUAAGGUGACAUCUACCCCCGCGCAGAGAUCAGUCCACCUGUAGGUUCAUGCGCCACCCAGUGAUCCCGCCAUAUUAGGACUUGCUGGCCAGUGCCAGUCCUCCAUACCAUGCCUUUUUCAAGAGUACUAGGCCAUGGGUGAUCGCUUGCCAAGUAGGUGAUGGAUUUCCCUAAAAGACUGUAUCCAAGAACUGCCCAUUGGGAAAAUAUUUCGCUUUUAAUAGUCUAGCACAUAACGAGAUCGGAUACUCAAGAAUUCUUCAAGCUUGGCGAGCCAGCAAAGCUCGAUUAAACAUGCGAAAAUCUUUGAAGCCUAACCGCCCUUGCUUCUUAGGCCGAGUAAUUUUAUUCGAAGCAUACUAGUGGGUCUUUCUCUAGCCCUUCUACACACACCAAUAGUAAUGGCGGAUCAUGCGAUUUAAAUCAUCACAAAGUUCCAUAGGAAGUUUAAACACACUCAUGAUGUAGGUCGGUAUGGACUGCGCAACCGCCCUAAUGAGAACUUUCUUGCCAGCUUGCGUGGGAUUGCCAUCAUACGCAACAGCCGCUCUGACAUUUUUACCUGUAGAUUCUGGAAUUUCCCUUUUGACGUUCUCCCAUCAGGAGUGGGUAGGCCCAAAUACUUCUCCUCAAACCCAUUUGAAGUGACUUGCAGCAGAUUUUUUUACAACUUCCAUAGCAUCACUAGGGCAGGAGUUCCCAAACAACAUAAAUCAUUUUGUGGGAUUCAGGAGCUGCCCAGUAGCAGCUGCAUAUUUAUCUAGUAUGCUCCCAACACAAUAGUAGCUUCUUUAGCAUUUUCUUUAAAGCACAAGAGUGUGUCAUUAGUGAAUAAGAGGUGAGAUAUACCUGGCGAUCUCCUUGUGAUUUUUACUGGUGAUAAGGUUCCAUCCUCAAUGCUCUGAUUGAUAAGUGCACAGAGGCCAUCAGCAACAAAUAGGAACAAAUAAGGGGAUAGUGGAUCACCUUGCCGAAGACCACGCGACGGUGCAAACGAAUCCAAGAUAGCUCCAAAUAGCUCUUGCAUGAAAGAAUCUUGUGUUACAGUCGCCCUCCUUCAACCAGUCGACACGCGAGCGCUGCAACCACAUCAUUUCUUCUCUAUACAGAAGUUCAUUCAGCCUAUCAGUAGCUUUCCAGAUCUCACAUCUGUCUACAUUCAUAAGCAUUAGUUCCUCAAGCUGUGUUCUAGAUUUGUCAAUCCCUUUUGUUACUUCCAAAUUCUUCUUUGCUCCAAGAAUAAAGCUUAAACAUCGUGUAUCUGAGAGCAGCGUGGACGUCUCCCAGACACCUUUUUUGUCCGGCUACUUCCCAAGCACACGCAAUUAUUUCUUGAAGAAUCGGUUCUCUCUCCCACAUCACUUCAUAUUGUCUAAACUUGUUUUUUACAUGCAAGUCCACAUACUUAUCAUAGCAUACAUGCAGCGCCACAUGGUCCGACGCAGGGGAGAUCAGGUGCCAGACAGUUGAGUGCUCAAAACAAUUGCGCUAGCUAGGGGAUGCAACCGCCUGAUCUAGUCAUACUUUCACAUGACCAUUACCGUUCUUUUGUUAUCAUAGGUGUGGGGAACUCCCGAGAAACCCAAGUCUACAAGUUCACAUAAUUCAAGAGAGUCUGGAAAAUCUUGCAUCUGUGCUUCGGGUCUAGGUGACAAAGAGAAAUGCUCAAAAUCCAACAAGCACUCAUUGAAGUCUCCUACCACAAGCCAUGGCAAACUAGACUGGGUACUUAGACCAAUAAGAAGAGUCCACAUAUUGUGUCUAUCCUCGACUCUUGGCUCUCCAUAUAUACAGGUGAGACGCCAGGUCUCCUCAUCUGUUCCUAGCUUAACAUGCACAUCAAUGCAUCUCUGACUUGCAAACACAAACCUUCACCUCAAUCUUCAUGCCAAUACAAAGCCAAACCACCAUUGUUGCCAAUGCUAUCAACUCCAUCAAAACCCUUCAUGCCAAACUUUGACCGAUGUUUCUUCAUUUUAUCCUUGGGCUGCCUUGUUUGACAUAAAAAUACCAAAAUGGGGAAAUGCGACUUGAUGAAAGUCGCCACUUCUCGAACUGCCUGGGUAUUCUCCCCACCUCGGCAGUUCCACCUAAGUAGAUUCAUUGGGACCGGCGGUCCUCCAGCAUGGAGGUCGCCUCAAAAGUCAUAUAUGUAUCUGCCUCUUCAAUUCCUUCACCUUGUCUUCUUCUCUUAACAAUAGGGUCCUUGCGUGGAGUUGUGCUAGGAGGUAAAUCACCCCCUGAACUUGCCUCAUCCCUGCCGUUCUCUAGCAUAAGCACUGUGUUAAACACUUUCCCUAUCAGAUUUGGCACUACUUGGCCACAAAUAUUAACAGAGUCAUCCUCCCUAAUCAGCCUCUUGCGAACCCCUUUGCCAUCAUCGCCCGCAGAUGGGUCAUACAAAUUCGACGUGCCUACCAUCCCAGGGCCCUCCCCAUGUACACGUCCUCAUGGAGGUUCCGACCUCCCUCCUCUUCCUCCGCUUCCUCCAUGACCACCCAUUCUUCCUCCUCGGCCAAAGCCUAUAGGGGCACUUCCUCUUCCUCCAGAACUUGCGCGACCACCUCCUCUACUGCCCCUUGAGCCACUGCCAUAGGAUUCAUUAUUCCGACUUAACCAAUCGCCCCAGUCACAAGACUGAGGGGCAUGAAUUCCAUCGCCACAUUCCUCCACCACGUGUCCCAUGCACCCACAAAAGAAGAAAAAGUCUGGAAGGUUUUCAUGGCACACUGGAUAUUUCUUUCCUCCCUUCAAAGUUAUAGGGACAAAUCUGACUAGUGGGAUGUUCACGUUCACACCUUACCCGUAGAUAGUUUGAGUCAUUGAUUUUUCCUUCAUUAACAACUAUAGUAAAGGGCGGUUCUCCAACCUUCUUUGCCACUUUUUCCACCAAUUCCUUCUUUCUUGUGAGACCAUCCGGUAGCCCUUUGAUUCUGGACCACAAUGGAUACAUAUUCAGGGCAUAUUCAGUAACAUUUGUGAAGCCAUCAUACUCUACUAGCACCACCGGAUCCCAUCGAAAUUGCCAAGGUCCCCCAUCCAUUACUCGUUUCCAAUCCCCCAAGCAGUGACAUUGAGCCAAAAAAAGAUUUGGCCCUUUUAUGUUAAAGGUAACUCCUUGGGCACACGACCAUGCGUUCCUCAUCGAGUUUAACAGAGCUGCAAGACUGAACAGCCUCAUCGUAUGAACCCUAAACAGAGCCAGCCAACGACCUUCUCUUAUCAGAUCUUCAACCUCCCCGGACAAGUCCAGGUCUUCUUCUUCCUCCCCGUGCAAAUUCAAGACCUCAAACGCAUCCUCCAGAUCCGGAUCUGGGCCAUAGUGAUCCCAAUUCCCAUCCUCGUCCUCUUCACGAACUGCCCCACCCGCGUCCUCCUUGGGGUAGCCCUCAGGCAACUCCAUGGACGGGUUGGAUGACUUCCUGAUUGCAUCACCAUCCUCACACAUCUCUCCCUCCCGAAUCUCAGACUCCUUUGCUUUCUCUGAUCCGCCGCCUUCUUCCAAUCUUUGAGCCGACGCCAUGGGGACCUAGUGCAUUGUUGGGACGCACCAGGGAAGUUAAUCGCCGGAAUAGGAGGCGAGACGCCGGUGAAUUUACGUGGACUCUGGCGCGCCGCCAGAGGAGGGGGUGGACUCUAGGAAAACCCUAGAGGACUUGUGGAUAAUAUAUCUUUGAAUCCAUAUACCAUAGAAGAGGAACAAAGAAGGAUAUAUAUCAUAUUGUGGUGGCCAGCAUGCCAAUUGUUUCAUGCAUGCAUUGCAAAUGCAAGAGAUGAUGUAUCUUGGGGAAUAUAUAGAGUUGAGCAUGUAAUGGCGAGGCGCUAUAGCUAAAAAUUAUCUCAAGGGAAAAACUCUUGAGAUGUAACAUCCACCGAGAGUGUUUCUUUACAACCGCUCAGUAAACAUGUCCAGACGUGUCCACGGACAGUUAUAGGGUAGGUCACCAUUCAAAUGAAGGCACCAAAUGUUUAACUAAAUUCAAACAAAUAUUGAAUAAAAGCGGAUGAAAUUCAUGGAAACCGGAUGAUAUUUGUUAAAUUUUGAUAUAUUACAGCCGGAAGGACCAAAAUUAACAAUGUUUCAAUUAAACCAUAAAAGAAUAAACUGUGCGGCAAACCAGACGAUGACCUCGUACACAUGGAUUUCGUGACCUCUGGCACCUCCGUCUUUGUCAACGUCAUCGUCACUGGCGUCCGAGCCAUUGUCCUCCUUUCAGUGGCAGGAACACUGCCAAUCGUUGCAUCAACCCUCAUUAGCCAUUGUUGCUCGCAUGCGGUGCAGCCUCUCGGCAUCCUUUGCCUCUGGAGAGCCUUGGCCUCCUCCGCAUGGUGGCGAUGAUCAGCCAUAGUCACGGAAUAUGCCUCGCGCCGCUAGCCUUUAAGUCGGCCUCGACCUGGUGGCGACUCGAAGAACCCCACUUGAGGAGGUAGUCAUUGAUUUAGCGUAGUGGUCAUGGACCGGUCGAUGGCCCAGGCCACCACGAGCACGGGUCCGGUAGGAACUAGACCGAUGCGACUUUGGACCUCAUGAACAACAUCCACUGCUCUAUCCUAGGCCGCUCCUCGCGUGCCACCUCGGAGGCCACCACGGAGGACGUCGUCAUCUAUAAUACCUAAAUAGUUCAUCCCCACUACCUUAUUUCUCUUGACAUGCAGCCUAUCUACAUCACUAUCAACAUGCAGCCAUCCACGUCACUCCACCUUAACAGUCUAGCCACAUCAUCAAUUCAAAAUACCAUACAUAUUCCUUUUUUUUCCUUCAGAAAAUGCCCUUCGUAUUCCUAUGAUUGCCUGUUUGAGCAGGUAGUAGUUACCGUGCAUUGGCUGGACAUUAUUACGUGCGUUGCAUUCUCAUUGGUUGAUGGGUGCCCAUGAGAAAAUAUGUCGAGUCCAUCUUCGGCAUUGUGUUUCAGUCUACCCUACCUUAUCGCCUGCCAAUUGUCCACCAGCCCAACAGCUCCGUCGCCCAUCCACGCCGCCACGGAUGCACCCGGCCAGUCCAACGACCAUCCGCCGCUACUUUGUUGUUCCUUGGACAGACUCCGUUGCACCAAUGCUCUCUCCCGGCCACUCUCCGUCAAGUCCACACUCUCCCUCUCGGCCCGCUGCCGCUCUCAGGCCACAUGUGCGCAUUAACUCGCUUAAUUGUUGACCCUCCCGCUACCAUUGUAGUGUUGCCGCUAUGCUUUCCGCCUCCACGUCAUAUGCUCUCCCGGCCACAAAUUUUCAUGAAACGGGUGAGGCAUCACUAGUAGAAAAGAGGACUUUAGUCCAGGCCGGGUUAGCCCAUUAGUUCCGGUUCAGUCUAGAACCGCGACUAAUGGGGGCAUUAGUCCCGGUUUGUGAGCCCAGGGGCCACGUGGGACAUUUGUCCCGAUUCGUCUGGACCUUUUAGUCUCGGUUGGUGUCACGAACCGGGACUAAAGGGUGCGAUGCCCAUUAGUACCCGGUUCGUGGCACCAACCGGUACUAAAGGUUAGACCUUUAGUCCCGGUUCGAGCCACCAACCGGUACUAAUGGGGUUUGAGGCAUUAGUACCGGUUCAUGGCACGAACCGGUACUAAAGGUCCCAUUUUCAAACUCUACCCCCCAUGGAUUGCCUUUUCAGUUUAAAAAAAUAAAAGAAAAUAAGUUUCCCAUGUGAUAUGUGGUCUAGUUGUUGGGAAAAUUUGCAAAUGUGAAUUUCGACUUUAUUUGCAAAAUCUCUCUAGAAUUUAGUAAAAUGGGCAUAAAUUUUGCAUACUAACUCGGAUGAAAAAGUUUUUUAUAUGACAAAUCAUCUGCUCGAAAAGUUACAUCCGGAGGCAAAAAAAGUUCAUCAAAUUUCAGUUUUUUUUUGCAUUUUUGUUAAAUCUGGUCAAACUACUUAUUCAAGAAGUAUUAGUGUUAGUAAAUAAUUAUUCAAAAAUAUUAGUGUUACUAAAUAAUUAUUUCACCUUUUUUGAAUUUUGGUCAAAUUGGUCAAACUAUGGUCAAACUGUAGUCAAACAAUGGUCAAACUAAUUAUUCAAGAAAUAUUAGUGUUACUAAAUAAUUAUUUCAGUUUUUUUGAAUUUUGGUCAAAUCUGGUAAAACCAUGGUCAAACUGUGGUCAAACAAUGGUCAACCUAAUUAUUCAAGAAAUAUUAGUGUUACUAAAUAUUAGUGUUAUUUUUUAGAACAAUAGUUUAAAACUUAAACAGUGAAAUGUGUGACUUCAUGCUCAAGCUAAAUUCCUGAUGUUAAUAGGAUUGACAUCUUACUAUUGUCAGGAAAACAACAAGCGCAGACUUGGAAACGAGGGAGAAUAGAACCCGGAAGUUAAGCGUGCUCAGGCUGGAGUAGUGAGAGGAUGGGUGACCGUCCGAGAAGUUAGAUGAUUUGGAAUGAUGAGGGGUGAUUAGAGAUUAGAGGUUAAAUUGAGCAGUGAUGAGGGGUGAUUAGAGAUGAGAGGUUAAAAUAAUUCAGAAAUUUGAAAAUAAAAGAAAAUAUUCCAAAAAAAAAUUUCAAAAUAAUUUAAAGAAAAUCAUAAAAAUUCCUUUAUUACCGGUUGGUGUUACCAACCAGGACUAAAGGUGGACCUCCAAGUAGCGGCAAUGUGGAGAGCCUUUAGUCCUGGUUCGUGUUAGAACCGGGACUAAAGGGGGAGGCUUUAGUAACGACCCUUUAGUCCCGGUUCCAGAACCGGCACUAAAGGUCCUUAUGAACCGGGACUAAAAGCCCUUUUUCUACUAGUGCAGUGAUGAGGGGUGAUUAGAGAUGAGAGGUUAAAAUAAUUCAGAAAUUUGAAAAUAAAAGAAAAUAUUCCAAAAAAAAAUUUCAAAAUAAUUUAAAAAAAAUCAUAAAAAUUCCUUUAUUACCGGUUGGUGUUACCAACCAGGACUAAAGGUGGACCUCCAAGUAGCGGCAAUGUGGAGAGCCUUUAGUCCUGGUUCGUGUUAGAACCGGGACUAAAGGGGGAGGCUUUAGUAACGACCCUUUAGUCCCGGUUCCAGAACCGGCACUAAAGGUCCUUAUGAACCGGGACUAAAAGCCCUUUUUCUACUAGUGCAUUACAGCAUUCAUGUUCACGAAUUACAGGGCACCCUUUCCCCUUCGAUUCUCAACCCAUUCAUGUGUAUAUAUGUUCACCCACCCCUCCUGCAGCACAAGGUCAAAAACUCCCAGCCAGGUUACUGCAAUUGGGUGCCGCCCCCUCCUUAUUGUAAGCACGCCGGUACUCUUGCUUUCUUUGCAGCGAUGACGCUCGCGUCGUAUCCACGGCAUCAUUUUCGUUGAAGGAGAGAUCUCAAUCAUCAUGUAUUCAUCUAGGUUGUGGCCGCAGGAUAAACCCCAUGGAUAUUGCCCCCUUUCUCAUCCCUCCAUCAUGGAAUCAGGGAUGUUUCUUCUCCACCCAAUACCAAUCUAUGCGCAGAGCAGAUGAAUUCUUAAUAUUGUGUGUUUCUGUGACAUUAUAUUCCAUGUGCAUGCUUUGCUACUUGCAGAUCGGCCAAAAAGAGAAAAUCCCAGCUCUCCGGAAACUGUAUUGCAACAGGCUACCCCUGCGGAUAUGCGCGCUCUACUCUCUGUACGCGGUGACUUGAUGGAUGCGUGCGUGGUGAUGAUUAAGGGCAUCUCCAGCCGUUGGCCCCCUAGAAGGGGCAAAAAAUCGCCCCCUGGGGAUGCACCGGCGCUAAACCGCGCACUGGGGGCGUGAUGCCCCCCAGUCGCGGCGCCCACGGUUAGUCAAAAAAGUCAAAUACGGCGCAAAAACGACUCAAAUUUAACGUAAACAUCGGCGAGUUCGUUCAAACUUAAACAUACUUUAUAAAAAAGGAAAAAACUAUUGCGGGCUACCCCCGCCGUCUCCCUCGCCGCCCGCCUCGCCGCCCGCCCACGCGGUUCUACAUGCCGAGGAGGCUGUAGAACCGCGUGUAGUCACCGCCGUCGUCGUCAUCGUCGCCGCCCCCGCCUACGCCUCUGCGUCCCUGCUGCAUCCCUCCCCCGGUUGGCGCGGCGGGUUGGACGGUCCGGGGGCGUCGUCGUCGUCGCUGUCGAGGACCACGACGCCGUGCUCGUCCUCGCGCCCACGCUUGCGAGCGGCGAUCUCCUCAAGGGCACGGCGCUGCCGGACCAUCUCGUCGCGGAGGUAGUCGUCCCGCGCCCACCGCAUGGCGUCCUCGUCGGAGAAGCCGCGCUGGGCUAUCUCCUCGUACUCCGUGGGGAGGCCGGGCUCCGGCUUGGACCCGCGCUGAUCCUCCACGCCCCGGGCACCUGCAUGUCCGGCUUGGACUCGACGAGGACGAAGCGGCCAGUGGGUGGAGAGGCAUUGGCGCCGAUGCGGACGCCGGAGCUGCGGGUGCGCGCGCUGACCGGCGUGCCCUGGGGCUCCGGCUUGACGGGGCGGAGGCAGGGCGAGCCGCCGGACGAGGAGGAGGACCCCCCCGGUCUCCAUGCGCCUCGGGGUUCAGGAGCUUCCCGGCGGCGUGAGAAGGAAGGGGGAGCGGGGUACUCGAGGCACGGCGUGUUGUCGCCCUCGAUGUACUCGAGGACGGCCUCCAACGUGCGCCCGGGCACGCCCCAGCACCGACGCCGGCCGGCGGCGUUGAGCCUGCCGGAGGGCACAACGCCGUUGGUGGCCUCGAGCUGCUGGGCGUGACGACGACGGAAGUAAGGGUCCCAAGCGGGCUGUCGGGGACGUACCGUGGCCCCUCCCUCGCCGCACGCGGCAGGUUCGAGCGGAUGCGUGCGUCCGCACGCCGCGCCGCGCCGGUGGGUACCGGGGGCACCGGCACGCCGCCCGCGCUGAUCCUCCACGCCCCGGGCACCUGCAUGUCCGGCGGGACCGGGUACUCGGCCUCGUAAAGGAGGCGAGCCUCGUCUUCAUGAAGAUGGCGGCGACCGAAGCCGUUCGCCGCCGCGCCGUCGCCUGGGAAGCGCUCGGCCAUGGGUGUGAACUGGAGACGGCGAAAAAGAGGAGAGGAGAGGGAGGAACGACGACGGCGGAAGAGUGUGAGUCGCCGAGUGCGCCGGGGCGUGUCAUAUAUAGGCCGAGGCGCGCGUGCCACCGUGUGUACGCGUGGCGGGGGAGGGAGGGCGAGGGACGCGCGUCGUCCGGUCUUCACUGCGCCGCCCGUGAGGCAUCAGUGGUGCAGGCUGACCGGCGCGGCAGCGCGCGGCAGCUUUGGCAUUGAUUCGCCGCGGGAAACGAGUCGAUGAGGACGGCGAAGGGCCGAGAAGAGAGCCGUGUCGUUGACGCGGCGGGCCCGCGGCUUUUUCGCGCCAAAACAGUUCGCCCGGCGCCCCCGGGCGUCCCCCAGCGCGCCGGGUUCGGGCUGGGUCCGCCAGCGCUGUUUUCGGCCCAAGCCGGCGAAAAUCGGGCUCCUAGGGACGCGACUGGGCCGUUUUUUCGGCGCCGACGCGAAAAAAUGCCUGAGGAGGCCUUCCUGGGAGCGCGGCUGGAGAUGCCCUAACGCAUUCGUGUUCCUGAUGGAGGCAAUAUCUGCAAGCUGAUGUGGCUCCACUACCUCCGCCUCUCUACCCAAUGGUGCAAGGAGGCGACAUGAGAGUACACAAGGCGCACGACAGCAUGCCUUUCUGUACUUCUCUUAUUACUAACAUGCCCUCUCUCUUCCACAUAAAAUUCUAGAAAGCAAACCACGAGUAUCCCAUUGUUAAGUUCUUUGCUUGCCUAAGAAUGAGAUCUUUCAUAAUUAAUUAGAUUGGGAUUUUAUGAUCGGAAGUGACCUGCACACGACGUUGUGUGCACGAUGUGCAGCCGAUAAAUCCUCCGCACCGUCAAAUACUCUACGGACAACGUCGCUGACGGCUGGAUGGGAAACGUCGUGCACGUGUCGUCUAAUAAGUGUCGGCUGUAUAGCAGUGCUCGUUGUUGGGCUUGCGAGUGUCCCGAGCAGACAUUAAGCUUUGUCCAAGCAGAGUCCAAGCCCUGUUUUGAGAGCUUUGAUGAGGCUGGCCAACCCGAGCCUUGAGCUGGCUUGAGUGACUCAGCUUGGUUUCAGCCCAAGCGACUACCACUAGCCAGGUAGCCAGCGUUUAGCUUUCAAUUUUAAGAUGAUUGACCAUCGCUUGUAGAUGCAUGUUCCCAAUCCCUCGAAAUCCUAUUACCAUUCACCUCCACGUGGGUAGCCAAUUCUGAAUAUAUACGUCAUGGGAGAAGAACAAAGCAGGAUGUAGAUCAUACAUCCAUACUGUGGUGGACCCUGGCUAGGGUGAAAGUUCUUGCUUACAUUGCAAGACAUGAUUUAUCGCAGGAUAUAUAUAAGAGAGGGCUGGGCAUUUAAUGACCAUGUUCCGACAUAGCUAAGUAUACAAUAUGGNNNNNNNNNNNNNNNNNNNNNNNNNNNNNNNNNNNNNNNNNNNNNNNNNNNNNNNNNNNNNNNNNNNNNNNNNNNNNNNNNNNNNNNNNNNNNNNNNNNNNNNNNNNNNNNNNNNNNNNNNNNNNNNNNNNNNNNNNNNNNNNNNNNNNNNNNNNNNNNNNNNNNNNNNNNNNNNNNNNNNNNNNNNNNNNNNNNNNNNNNNNNNNNNNNNNNNNNNNNNNNNNNNNNNNNNNNNNNNNNNNNNNNNNNNNNNNNNNNNNNNNNNNNNNNNNNNNNNNNNNNNNNNNNNNNNNNNNNNNNNNNNNNNNNNNNNNNNNNNNNNNNNNNNNNNNNNNGAAAGAGCUAGGCAUAUAAUGGCCAUGUGCAGUUCUAGCUAAAAAAAAUAUGUAACAAGUCAGAAUGUCCUGGAUUAUAGAGCUCUUAAACACCUCUAGCCAGUUAUAAAUUGGUUCGCUUGCGAGCAUUGGGAUACCGUACAGGAAUGACGCAACACAAACCGAGGAUGAUUCCUUAGAACUGCACGACAACAAUAGAUGAUGCUUUCCUAGAGCAUCCACAACCUUUGGAGCUAAACCGCUAUGUCGCCCACAGAAUACUCCCACCGUUGCAAAAUAACAGAAGUUCUAGGGUUUUUCUUUGUCAAAUUUUUUAAAUUUGACUAAGUGUAUAGAAAAAUCCGCAAAGACCUACGAUAAAUACUAGCAAACAUGCCCGUGCGUUGCAACGGGAGAAUGAAAUUUAUCAUGAGUCCCAAUAAGCAUUGCUCAAGACUGUCCUUGCUGCUUACCCUUUAAGCUGAUGAUGCAUGUGUUAAAUUUAUGUGAAUCAAGGUAGAUGGCUCACCAUCAAGGUAGGGACCACAUGGAUGCUGACGUCACGGAUCGAAUGGCCUUGAACAUCUCAUCCAUCGAAGGCAUUUCAUCGGUCGGCGUCUACAUCCGAUCGAGCAACUGCGUCUCCUUUACCUUACCCGACCUGUUGUGACGAGUUGCCACGGGAGGAGCAUUCAUCGGCGGGCUUGAGAGCUUGUAUGACGACUGGCACAUCGUCCAGUGAGCGACGUGUCGCUUGAACGGCGUGAACGACGACUUCUGUCGCCUUGCACCAUUGCGAUGGUGGGAUUUGGUUGGCGUCGUGUCGUCAUGGCUGCGGAAGGGGCUUGGGCUCUUUUAGACUUUAUUAUAUUUUGUUUUUUUAUAUAAUCUACCGUUUUAGAGUUUGUUUUUAGUUUUAUUGCCCGAUAGCAGACUAAGUUUGUACGGAUUGAUUCCCGCAAAAAAAAGUUUGUACGGAUUGAGCAACGAUGAUGUGAAUGCAUGUGCUAGCACAACUUUUGUUUUCUUUUAUAUUACCAGGCAGUGUGGUUAGCUAGUUAGUUCACUCAAAAAAAUCCACACACAUACACCGAACGACAAGAUUCACAGAGAUUUCACAUGAUGGAGACGUGGAGUAGUGCUGGUUGCUGAUUAGUCAGAAUUUGUGUUGACGCGUGGCUUUGCCCGCCGCUGGUCUCAGCUGCAUCUGGAUCAAAAUAAAAUAAAAUCCCAGCCCAGCCGGAUCAACAGGCAAGGCCCAGCCUGGCCGCCAGGCAUCCUGACGCCAACCCCAGCCACAAGCCCACAACACGCAGCGAGGCCUGUGGCCGAGACCCCGCCUGCCUCCCUCGAUUCCCCUCUCCUCUCUCCUCUCACUUGCAAGCCCCCCAUCGCCGUCGGCCAGCUCUCCUUUCCCCGACGCUCCCUCCCGAUUCCCUCAGGAGUCACGCCCGAGCGCCCGAGGAGAGGAGCUCCUAGAGCACCUGCGCCCGCCGCCGGCAAGACCACGGCCAGGUCGUCCCUUCUCCUUUCCCCUUUCUUCCUCCUGUCUCCUCCCCUAGCUCUCUCUCAUGCCGUCUCUCCCUCCAUCUCUUUUCCCUACAGGAGCUCCCCACGCGCCAUGGAGUUUGCAGAGGACCUCCCCUGCCUCGCGCCGCCGCCUCGUUAGCCCCGCGCCCGGAGCACGCCACUGCGGCACCUCUCUUUCUCCCUCUUUUCAUUCCUUCUCCUCCAUGGAUCGUCCUCACCCCCCACGCAUCUCUCUCCCUCUCUGUGUUCCAGGAAACGGCCAUCGCCGAGCGCCAAGCCGUAUCGAGCUCUGCCGCCCUCUGCUAUCCGUCGUGCCGGCCAGCCUCCUCUACGCCGAGGCCCUGCAGCCAUCCCACCACCUCAGAUCUCGCCGGACCCGUCCGGAUCGAGACUCGUGUUGCCCGCCGAGCUUGCCACCUGCUUGUUUUCUUCUGUCGAGCAGGAGCUCGUCCGUGGACUCCUCUGCUCCUAUUGACCCGAGCGAGCAAAUGCCCAUGACCCCCGUGGAUAGCACCGCAGUGGGUGCACUCUGCACUGCGCUGCCGCACUGCUCCCGCUGCCGCCGCCUCGUCUCCCCUCCUUUCUCCAGUUUUUCCUCCCUCCAUCUUCCCGUCUCCUUCCUGACAGGAGCCAGAUGCCAUGAAUUCGCCCGGGAAGUCGCGCUCCGGCCUUAAUCGUCGUCACCGGUGACCCCCGUCCUCACCGCCCGCCUCUGAAUCCUUCCCAGCCCAUGCCGCGCAUGGAUCCGUUCGCUGCAAGCUCCAGCCGCCGCGCCGCCGCCGUUCUGCAGAUCGCUGGUUGAAUAGAUGAAAACACAGGGUCCUGUUUGUAAAUUUGAAACAUUUUUCUGACUGAGUAAAGCCUGUAUUGCGGGUUGAUUUCUCAUAAACAGGGGGGCCUUUUUGUAAAAUGGCCGAUGACGGAUGACAGAAACCUAAUUUGCUUUAUUAUUAGGUAAAGAUAUAUAAUAUGAAAUUUCAUUUAAUAGUAAAUCUAAUGAAGUAAAUUUGGUUUUGUAGAUGUUGCUAUGUUUUUUAAUAGAGUGGUUCAAAUUUAACGAAGUUUGACUGAGAACAAUCCUGGAAGUUCAGUCAUUUUGAAACGGAGGAAUUAGAAAAGAACAUAUCUCUACAGUACCCUUUUAACCUUAUUUUACUCCAGUGAUAGAACCAUCGUAGUAAUAAUUGAGUAAAUGAAUUUAUGUGCUUUUUAGCUAAGAUGGAACUCAAAGAAUUUAUACAUGUUGAGAGAAAGAAAGCUAUUUUAAGAUGGAACGAAAGUCAGAUAAGCUUUGAUUAGUAGUGCUAAUAAACAUAGGAGGUGUUUGGUUCACACUUUUGUAACGUUAUUCGAUAACGAUGGUAACGGAUAGCGCUAAAUCGUGUUUGUUUAGAUCGCUCCGUAAUCGGAUAACUCUGGUAUCGGUUCCCACCCUAUUCAAGGUCGAUUACGCUAGGUACCCGGCGUAAUGGAAUAACGAUACAUAUGGAGCCCUGAGAACACCAUAUGGAUAGAAUCCUGUUCGUCCAGAUGUUUAAGCUGAUACUCAAUUGUGGUUGUUCCCCCAUGGGAAGCUGCCCCAACCGCUUCCUUCCUUGACAUUGCCUCACUUGCUUCUCUGCAAAGGGUCAAUCUGGUUCCAGAGCAAAGGGAGCUUUCAGCCUCCCCCAAAGAUGAUUCUGAUUAUCCAUCAAGGCUUCUCCUUGCAGCUCCUUAAACAGUUUUGUCCAGUCUCUCAAAUAUCUGGAGACCAGGCCUAGCACCUGUUACAGGGAGAUCCAUAAAACUCUUUUAAAUACUGUAGAGUUUCUAAAGUUGCACAACCAUCCCAACACUCGCGACCCGAGCGCUCCGCUAGGAUUCCGCCUGCCGCCGCUAGUCGUUGCUCUCGCCCUCCACCCCUCCCUCCCCUCCUUUCCCCCCUCCCCCGUACCCCUGCCGCCUCCCCGAGCGAGCCGACCGGGCCCCCCUCCCCAUUCCUCUCCAGCACGCCCCCCACGCUCCUCCCUCCUUCCGCCGCCGCCAGCGCACGCCGCCGGGCCUUACCCGCGUGGUGCCGGCGGCGGCGGGUCUGCCUGUCCCGGCACGCGGCCUCCCCUGCUCGAGCGUUGGUGGUUGGCGGCGGUGCUCCUUGGUUGGCGAUGGUGCGGCUUGGCGGCGGGGUUUCGCAGGUCGCUGGCGAUCCUGAUGCGGUGGCGCGGCCAUCUGGCUCCAGCUGGGUUUGGCCGAGCCGGCGUUCCGGCGUGUGGCGGUGCGUCUCCCCGGUGGUGGUGGCGGCUUCGUCGGCCGAUGUGCUGCAGCGUGGCGGCAGCGGUUGUCCGGAUCCUUUGGGGUCCGGCUGGGCUUGUGCGGGCCUGGUAAGCUCCUGUCGUCACGUCCGGUCGGCUCCGCGUCGGUGGUGGUGGUAGUGCCCUCCCGUCGGCUGAGUGGCGGAUGCCACCGAGCCCGUUGGCUCCUCGUCCCUCCUCCAGGUCUCUUGUCGGUGAGCAGAUCCUCUGGCCCGCUCCCGCUCCCGCGACUAGGGUUAGCCCCGCUCCCCCAGCCGCCGCCGCCGCCCCCUCCCGCCUCCGUCGGCCGCCGCAGCGCUCUCCCCGCCUACCUCUCCCCCUUCCCCUCUCCCUCCCCCGUGCACCUGUNNNNNNNNNNNNNNNNNNNNNNNNNNNNNNNNNNNNNNNNNNNNNNNNNNNNNNNNNNNNNNNNNNNNNNNNNNNNNNNNNNNNNNNNNNNNNNNNNNNNNNNNNNNNNNNNNNNNNNNNNNNNNNNNNNNNNNNNNNNNNNNNNNNNNNNNNNNNNNNNNNNNNNNNNNNNNNNNNNNNNNNNNNNNNNNNNNNNNNNNNNNNNNNNNNNNNNNNNNNNNNNNNNNNNNNNNNNNNNNNNNNNNNNNNNNNNNNNNNNNNNNNNNNNNNNNNNNNNNNNNNNNNNNNNNNNNNNNNNNNNNNNNNNNNNNNNNNNNNNNNNNNNNNNNNNNNNNNNNNNNNNNNNNNNNNNNNNNNNNNNNNNNNNNNNNNNNNNNNNNNNNNNNNNNNNNNNNNNNNNNNNNNNNNNNNNNNNNNNNNNNNNNNNNNNNNNNNNNNNNNNNNNNNNNNNNNNNNNNNNNNNNNNNNNNNNNNNNNNNNNNNNNNNNNNNNNNNNNNNNNNNNNNNNNNNNNNNNNNNNNNNNNNNNNNNNNNNNNNNNNNNNNNNNNNNNNNNNNNNNNNGGUGGUGAAGUGGCGGUGGUCUGCGGGCGGUGGCGGCUUCGUCGGCCAAUGAGCUGCAGCGUGACGGCAGGGGCUGUCCGGACCCUGCUGGGUUCGGCCGGGCCUCGGUGCCUGGCAGGUCCCUUGUCCGCGCGUCCGGUCGGCUCCGCGGUGGCGGUGGUGAUUGUCCCCUCACGUCGGUGAUGUUGCGGAUGCCCCCAAGGACACUCUCCCUUCUCCCAUCCUCCAGGUCUCGUGUCGGUGACCUCAGGGAGACGGCGGAGUUGAUCCGGUGAUCGUGGUGGCACAUGUUGGUGGGCGGCGCGAUGGGCGGUGCACUAUGAUUCGUCUGGGGUGGUGGUGGGGGUCUGGGUUGGGAGAAAUCUCUGGCGGCUUGUUCGGCCCCGACGCGGCGACGCCUGUGGGUGCCGUCGGACCUUCCUGAAGGGCGUCGGGUACACCCCUCCCCUCACUGCCCUCCUGCGUACCGGGGGAAACCCUAGGACUAGUCCGGGCAGCAGCGGCAUCAUCGUCGCCUCCUUCUUGAAGGUGUUGCUUGGUACGCGGCGCUUCGGGUGCUGGGAACGUGGUGGUACUUCUCUGGAGGGUGAAGCGGUCGCCGGUCAUCUUCGUUUCAUCGAUCUGCCGUUGUUGGCAUUUGUUUCUAUUCCUUUCUUCUUUGUUUUUCUUUGGGCUUAUUUGUGCUGCGGCCCUAGCACCUAUCGUUGGAUGUAUCGGUGGUUGCUUUGUAAUACAAAGCGGGGGAAAACCCUUUUUCGUCAGAGACAGCGAUGAUGGUUCGGUGACUGUGGUGGCACAUGUUGGUGAGCGGCAGUUCUGGUGGAGCACUUUAGAUCGUCCGGGGUGGUAGCGAUUGUUUGGGCUGGGAGAAAUCCCUGGUGGCUCAUCCGUCAUCGAUGCGGUGACGCGUACGGGCGCUGCCGGACCUUCCUAAAGGGCAUCGGAUAUGCCCCUUCCCCACCGCACUUUGCUUACCGGGGGAAACCAUUGGACUUGUCCGGGCAGCAGCGGCGUCGUCGUCGCAUUCCUUCCUCAAGGUGUUGCUCGGUACGCUGUGCCUUGGAGUGCUAGAAGCACGGUGGUAUUUCUCCGGAGGGUGCGCCGGUCACUAGCCAUCUUUGUUUCGUCGAUCUGCCAUUGUGAGCAUUUGUUUCUCUUUGUUUUUCUCUCUGUCUUUUGGGCUUGUUUGUGUUGCGCCCUAGCAAGCUCGUUGUAUCGGUUGGUUGCUUUAUAAUCUAAAGCGGGGGGAAACCCUUUAUCGUUUAAAGUUGCACAACCCCCACCGGAUUGCAGUUGUAACUACACCCACAUGAAGGUAUCUCUUGUUGCAAAGCCACAACUUAAUUAGCAACAGAUCCAAAAUUGACAGUUGGCACGUGGAAGAGCAUUUCUACAUCUUUCCAAAUUUUCCUAGCUACAAUACAUUCAAAAACAGAUGAUAUACAGUUUCACUCUCCUUACAAUGAACAUACUCUAGGGGUUUAGCCAUCCCCCUUUUCCUUACGUUGUCACAAGUCAUGAUUUUGUUCUAGGAGAACAGCCAAAGGAAACAUUGUACCCUAUGGUGCACUUUAGUACUCCAUACUGCAGGUAGAUACAGAGGAUGGCGGGAGAAGCCAAACCCUUACGGAGUUAAGUAGUUGAGCUAGAAAUUGCCGAGGAGGGCUAAUCCAUCAGAUCAUCGUCAUGGGGAGGUGGGGGAGCAGUGGAGCGGCACCAGAACAACACCUCAUGCUAGGAUUGCCGCAACAAAGAGCAGUCGAUGAUGAGGUGUUGCAUUGUUUCCUGUUCUUGGUCGCAAGGAGGGUAGUUGAUGUCAUGGGGCAGGCUGUGCUAGGCUGGCUAAUUCGUAGUCUAGCACCGCCCCUGAGGGCCAGCCACAUGAAGAUCUUGAUGUGUAGGGGUUGCGGCCCAAUUCUUCCAUGUCAGACGCCAAUGAGGAGCAGUGAUCACGCCCAAGAUGAUAGGCUGCUAGCAGGUCUUAGCAUUAUAUAGGCCAUUGGCAGACCAACGCCAUGUGAGCAUAUCCCGCGUGUCACUAAGAACAAUAUGGCGAAGGAGGAGCCAUAGCUAAACGUAUUGCACCAUGGCCACGAGACGAAGACCACCCUCAAUAUCAUGAAUCCAGGCAUGCAGAAGAAGGCCAUUACGAACUGAGUGGCCUUCGCGGUGGCGCUUCAACACAAUGGCGUUAAUCAAAGGGGCAAUCUCCACGAUCGAGUAGCCAUCAAUUCAGUGAUACGUCUAUAACCAUGAAGAAUGUUUGUCGCCUAGGGUCAAGAAUGUGGAGGCUUGGAAGAUCGAGUGGACGUCAGGUCGAUAAAGGAUAUAGGUAGGUGCUACAAGGACGUGACGUGUAGGUCCUCUGGAGCCACAUCCAUCGAACGCGGAGGGACAUGCCUAUGCACUGCAAGUUCUGAAUGCCAAAACCACCGAAGGCGGCAAUCGUCCUGCAUACCUUUGCCCCCGCUAGCGAGGCCGCGGCUGCUGCUCACCUCUUUUCUCCCUUACGAGAGAGGAACUUGCGGUUCAUGCACUUCAUUUUCUUCAGGACAUUGUGGCCGGGGGGAGGGCGUGCGGUUGAUAGCCAUUAGGAUAUGAACCAGCAUAGUUCAGAGCACGUGGCACCAGUCAUCAAGUUGUAAGAAUGACAUCUAUAGUAGCUGCAAUUUUCUCUUUGCCUUUCAAUCCAAUUAUGAUUAACUCGCAUGGGUAAAAUAUCUUGAAUUCAUAUGCCAUAUUGUAAUAAUAAAUGAGGAUGUAGAUCAUAUUGUGGUGGUUAAUCUCACCACCAUAGACACAUUCGACUAAAUGAAUUUAGGUGCUCUUUAGAGUUUAAGAUUACAUGGAAGUCAGAUAAUUUUAAGCUUGUUGAUCCAUACUAGUGUACAUAUGGUUAUCCUAGUCAAAGAUCAAGUCAUCGCUUCUUCUCGUAAUAAAACAGAUGAUAAUAGGCUUGAUUAACAAAACACCCAAAUUGCUUCUAGAGAUGUACCAAGAAAUGCAAGGAUGUCACAACAUGUAGAUGGAGUUUAAUUCUGGAUGGUGAAUACUCAUUGCAGUGAUGAUGUCUCUUACUCUGCUCAAUGACGAGGCAAGCAUCAGACUCACAAAAUAUAGUCAUACAUAAUGCAGAGAAAAUAUUCAUAACUGGGGACUCAGGUGUGUUGUUUGCUGAUCUACAUUCAAUCGUCGUGAUUCUGUAUUCAUCUAGUCAUUUUCUAUCGGGCAAUAAAUGAUGGAUUUUACCUUCUUUUUUGAUUGCACGCUCAUGUUUGAUAAGUUAUUGCUAAAGCAGACCUGUGGAAGUACACAUAUGCUGAUCUUUUGGAGGGGGGGGGGAGGGUGUCGGUGUCAAAACCGGCAGAUCUCGGGUAGGGGGUCCCGAACUGUGCGUCUAAGGCUAAUGGUAACAGGAGACUGGGGACACGAUGUUUACCCAGGUUCGGGCCAUGUCGAUGGACGUAAUACCCUACUUCCUGCUUGAUUGAUCUUGAUGAUAUGAGUAUUACACGAGUUGAUCUACCACGAGAUUGUAGAGGCUAAACCCUAGAAGCUAGCCUAUGGUAUGAUUGUUGUUGUCCUACGGACUAAACUCUCCGGUUUAUAUAGACACCGGAGGGGGCUAGGGUUACACAGAGUCGGUUACAGAGAAGGAGAUCUAUCAUCCGAAUCUCCAAGCUUUCCUUCCACGCAAAGGAGAGCCCCAUCCGGACACGGGACGAAGUCUUCAAUCUUGUAUCUUUAUAGUCCAACAGUCCGGCCAAAGUAUAUAGUCCGGCUGUCCGGAUACCCCCUUAUCCAGGACUCCCUCAGUAGCCCCAGAACCAGGCUUCAAUGACGAUGAGUCCGACGCGCAGAUUGUCUUCGGCAUUGCAAGGCGGGCUCCAUCUCCGAAUACUCCAAGGUAAAUUUCGAACACUUAAGUCGUGUCCGGCUCUACAGGACAAAUUUCACAUACCACCGUAGAGAGAACAAUAAUCCACAAAUCUAAUCCUCUGACAACUCUUCGUAGCGUGACAUCAUGCCACGGCCCGGUCAUUAUUCAAACUGUUUUUUAUAACUAGCUAGUGCGCAUAUUGCGAGGCGGCUUCUUUGGCACGUCUUGUUGAAGCAGAGAUCGUGCCCCCCUUAUCGUGGGAUUCUUAUCAAUACGGGUGUGGGUAACCAAACCGCACCACCAAUCGUGGUGAGUGGGGAACGAGCAGGUUUCAUUAGGCAAGCGGGGAUCCGGAGCAGGAGGCAAGUGGAUGGCCUCUACCGUCCAGGAGAAGGAUAUCAAAAAGCUUCGGGAGGCCGGGUACCUAGCCCAGAAAAUCGGCCACCGCCUUCCGACGGUGGGACAGAUUGUCCCUACUCCGGAGUCCCAUGAGAGGGUCGUAUUCCUCCCUCAUUUUGUCCGCGGGCUUGGGUUUCCCCUUCACCCAUUUGUUCGCGGCAUCAUGUAUUAUUACGGGAUUGAUUUUCAUGAUCUAUCCCCCAAUUCCUUCCUCAAUGUCUCGAUGUUUAUCAUCGUGUGCGAGACCUUUCUCCGCAUCACGCCACAGUUCGGCUUAUGGCUGAAGAUCUUCAAUGUGAAGCCCAAGGUGGUGAACGAUGAGCACGCCGAGUGCGGAGGCGCCAUGGUGAGCAGAAUGCCCAAGGUCACAUGGCCGACAGGUACUUUCAACGAUUCCGUCAAGGAGUGGUAGCAACAGUGGUUCUAUAUCACUGAGCCGCGCGGCAAGAAAUGGGCCGCUGCUCCUGAGUUCCGAUCCGGAGUCCCUUUGAGGCUUACGUCCUGUCCCAAGAAGGGCUUGAACUGAUCUUCAUCUGACCAACUGUCGGUGAUCCAGACACGCGUCAAAGGUAUGGAAGACAAGGCCAUCAAGCUUGUUGACGUAGUCCAGGUGAUGUUUGUGCGCCUGGUUCUUCCCUGUCAGCACCGAUCCUGCAAUUUGUGGGAGUAUGACCCGGCCGAGCACCAGACCCUGCGAGAGCUUUAUGGCUCCUCACACAAGGACAUCUAGAAGGUGCUUUUUAAGUCCGGCAAACCGUGGCCAGACUCUGCCGCGGACCAUGGGUACCAACUUUCACGCCCCGCAAGUCUGGUAAGUAGUCAUUAUAUUUUGUCCAUCCAUAUGUUUCAUUGUCAUAUCCCGGGGAAGAUGCCCUAACGCACUUCCUGCAAUUAUCCUAGGGAUGGACGAAGAAGGAGGGGCGGAUACAUUGUCCAACCCCGCUGCCAGAAGAACCAGCCGGACCACUUCUGACAAAGAUGCUGGUCCCGGCGCCUUACAAGGCGCCAAAGAAAGAGGCCCAUAAAGAGGCCAAGGAGACCAGGAGCGGCCUCCGUCGUCGUGGUGCUUCGGACACAAAAUCCGAAGACUCCAAUACCCAUCUCUCUUCUGAAGAGGAAGAUGAGGAGGAAGAAGACGAGUCCCGCACGGGGGAAGGAAAGAAAAGGACGACCUCCUCAUAUCUGGAGGCCGAAUUGCCUAAGAGGGAAAAAACUCUCCUGCCAGAGGCGUCCACUACGGCUACCGACAGUAGCCCGGAGUGGGAUCCCAGGUCCCAGCCCCUGGAAAACUCGUAGGUGCACAAAAUCCGAACACAUCUAUGCGACCAGGAUUACCGAGGCACAAUAAAUUAAUUGGUACCAUACUUUUUGCAGCCCGGCCAGGUCUUGCACCGAACAGUCGUCAUCGGAGGAUUCGUUGAGCUCAGAUGCCCUAAAGAGCGAGACACCUCCGAAGGCCCUUUCCCCGAAGCUCGGGCAUGACACCGAGGUGUCAUCCCAGAAGGAGCUAGACCAGGAGGGGCGUACCUCAGGGGCCGGAUAUACGGGAGCGGCGGCUCCCCUAAGUGUCGACGGCGGGGGCGAUCUUGGAUUCGGCCCACAGUCGGACACAGUCCCGGAGACCUUUGAGGCUCCGGGAUUAGACAGGCAGCUCCCCUUGACUAGAGGAGGUGAUCCUGCUCCGCCGGCGACCUUUGCCCAACCAGAGGUGCAGGACAACUUAUUGACAGUGCUAAAGAGUGCUUCCAUCGUCGAUGAACAUCGCGCCCUUAUGGGCAUGGUGAUUGAGAAGGUUCAGGCCACUGAAAGUGGACUGGAUGAAUCCUGCAUCAGCCAUAUAAAAGGCUUGGAGGUAAGUUUUAGUAGUUUUUAGAAGAUUUGUCAUAGUAUAGAUAGUAGCCCCUGAUACACUGUCCGGUGAAAGAAGGAACCAGACAGGGGAUCAAAUUUCCUUCCACAGGAGACUCAAUGCAUGACAUAUAUCUCUUCCUUUAUAAAUAGGCGUCUGCAGCGACUGCCGCAUCUCAUACUGCGGAAGUAUCCGGACUGAAGCAGAGUCUGGAGCGGGCCGAAGAAGAACUUGGCCGGGUGAAGAAGCAGUUGGAGGACCAUCAAGGUAUGUCAAAACCUUGUUAAGUUGAGCACAAUUAAGUAGGUGUGCCUAAUGAAAGUAUAUAUACUGCGCGCUCUAGGGGCGAAUGCCGAAAUUGACGCAUUGAAGAAGGCUAUGGCCUUAGCCGAAAAGAAAGCAGCCGCUGAACAGACCCUUCGCGAGAAGCACGAGGCCAGGGUCAUUGAAGCUGAACGAGAGCUUCAGGAGGCCGUGCAGAAAAGUGAGACUUUGGAGCAGAGUCUAUCAUUGAAAGAAUCCGAAGUCGCCCAAGCUCUCCAAGCCGCAGCUGAUGCUCGGGAGGAAGCCCAAGGUGCUCUGAAGGACAUUCAGCAGGCGAGGAAGAUUGCGGCUGGUAAGUCUUUUUCCUAUUUAGAGCAAUUGUUUAUGCCCUAACAGGAAAAAUUCAAGGUGACAAAUUGACUUCUGAUUUCUCCAGGGGCAUUUGCGGAUCUUUCGCGCAGCAUAUCUGAUGCUGCUCAAUUCUAUCGAGUUGAGGAGAAGAAGACUGCGGAAAAGCUUUUCUGGUCACAGUAUUUGGCACCGAAUUAUCUGGUGCCAUUCGUCGAUCAGCUGAAGCAGCUGGUCGCAGUGCACCAGGCGGCCGAACUAGCCAUGAAGGAUUUGAUUGUCCGUCUAUGGCCCACCGAGCCUAUUCCGAGCAGUUACUUUGGGCUCGUGAAGCGAAUUGUGAGUGCCUGUCCUUGGCUUGACGUCAUUAAGCGGUCGGUUUGUAUAGAAGGUGCGCGAAUGGCAUUUGCCCCCGCGAAAGUGCACUGGGGAAAGCUGGAUGCUGAAAAGCUGAUGACUGAGGGACCACCCAAGGGGAAGGAGCACCGCAAGCCUGAACUAUAUUACGAUGGUGUCCUGAAAGGAGCCCGCCUUGUGGCGGAGCAAUGUACCAAAGACAUUGUAUUUCCAUGAAGGCAAUCAUGCUGUCCUUUGUAAAGCGGAACAGAGUCACCUUUAUUUAUGUAUUUAUAUGAAAGUUUUUCUUCCUGCGCGGCCGUUUUAUAUGUUAAUCUUGAGAGUUGGCCAGUCGUCGGCUUCUGCCCCCACGUAGGAAAUACAGGGGUGUUCGGGAUAUACCUGAACACUCUUUACCCCAUUUUUGGGUCCAUAAAGGAGGUGUUCAGCACAGUGAACCAGGCAAUCAGACUAUAGGGAUUUAUCACUCUCACUUAGCCAUAGGAAUUCGAGUAUGGUAGGCGCAACCCCUGGUGUUCGGAAAGACCGCACAAGGGGAUCUAACAGCACCUGAUCGGUAGACCGAUCCGCCGCACUCUGCAUUUAUUAUGGCAUUAUGCGGAAUAAGUCCUUAAAUAUUUUACAACCUCUCGAACAGCUGACCAGCUCUCGCCUUAUCAUGACAGUCAGUUUUCGGCUUUCUCUAUUGAGGUUCUCGUCCGGAAAAACAGGGACACAAUCGCAGUAGUUCUCCCAGCGCUACCUUAGCCGAUAUUGCGGAACGUAAGGUACCAAAACAUGGGAGACGGGCAAACCCAUCUUGGACCCAAGACAUGAUUCGGAGUUGAUGCAUAUAAUGCUAUAAGUUCGGGGUGCCGAGCAACCGAGAAGGUGGUCGGACUUUUUUGCCAUAGUGCGGGUAUAAUGAACCCCUUGGCGUUUUAAGGCAUAACACAAUAUUCGGAUGCCGUUUAUGACUAAAAAAUGUCAAUAAGAGAUGAUAGCGGAUAAGCGUCAUAUAACUCUACAUGUUGUAUUCGAGUAAUACAUUUAUGCAUAUGGGUACUGUUCAUGUUGUAAAAAGGAGGUAUGACGGCAUAACCUAUUUAGACCGGGCGGGAGAGAGCUGUAUGUGAAUCCGAAGUAUGUCCAGAUUGUCUUCGGGGUAAAUGUUCAAAGAUUCCCCCUUUACACGUCCGGGCUGAUUUCCUGGCGCCAGUCCUAUUAUCCGCAAAAGAGAACAUGCAAAGAAAAUGAUGAGGGACGUAUGUGCGCCACGGAGCGAUUGAACCGCGGGGCGUGGCCCUUCCCAACUUAUGCUGGGGUGUUUGACUGGCGCCUGGUCGAGCCGAGCUAUCCUGACAUGAAUUAGUUCGGACUCCUUUAUUACUGUCCGGGGGGUUGGCUGCCGAAUCAAGGUUCGGUAAGGAGGCACAAUUCACUGCUUCAGUGGCCAUAUGCUAUUCGACGCCGAAGUAAGGCUCAGCCGUGCCCGCAAAUGUGACUAUGUCACGUGGGCCUAGUAUGGUACCACGUUGAAUCGAGCCGACAUGGUUCGCCCAGGCAGUACGUAAUAGUUACUGUAUAGGGGGUUAGUGUCUAAGACUGACUCUUCGGUAUGGUGAUCAUUCGGUGAUCCGGAGACAACCUCUAGGGUGGUGUUUAUAACUCUCACCGUGUUGGUUUGCGUAGGAGUUUCUUUUCCUCUAUAUUGCAUUGCUUUGAGACCCCUUAUUGUUUUCGGUGUGUGACCGACCGGCUUGUUUGAAGACCCGGCAUUAUCUAUUUGUAUGAUUGGCUGCCGAUCCUGGGUACCAUGGAUUUGGCAUGGGCGGCCGAGUAUGCAGUCUAGGUCGGAUGGGCCCGAAUUGCUUUGUUGAAGUGGCCUUUUCCGCUAACCGGACUGGGAGUCGCGGAAUCCAGCAUUGACUGCCAUCUCGUGGGCGUCAUCAUUAUUCUUGGGACGCUUAUGUUUGUUGCGUCGAUGUUUAUGGAUGCUAUAUCUGGCCUGUAAUGUGCCAGGGGUGUUUGCUUUGUUGCUGUGAGCCAGCCAGCUAUCUUCGCCCGCACAAAAGUGGGUAAUGAGUGUUGUUAGGGAUGCCAUGGACUUUGGUUUCUCUUGGCCGAGGUGUCGGGCGAGUCACUCAUCCCGAAUACUAUGUUUGAAGGCUGCUAUGGCUUCGGUGUCCAGACAGUCGGCGAUUUGGUUCUUUUUUAGUAGGAACCGAGUCCAGAAUCUCCUGGCUGACUCUUCGGGCUGUUGGGUAAUGUGACCUAAGUCAUCAGCAUCCGGUGGUCGCCUAUAGGUACCUUGGAAGUUGUUGAGGAAUGCGUCCUCAAGAUUUUCCCAACUGCCGAUGGAGUUCGCCGGCAGGCUAUUCAGCCAAUGUCUGGCUGGUCCUUUAAGCCUAAGGGGAGAUACUUGAUGGCAUGUAGAUCAUCACCACGGUCCAUGUGAAUGUGGAGAAGGAAAUCUUCGAUCCAUACCACAGGGUCUGUGUCACGCCCAAUAUGCGAUACUAUCCUAAAGAGACUCAAAGGUCCCACCAAGGAUAGAACCGCAUAUUGAUACGCUUUUGCAAGGUGGAUAUCAUUACAUCAACAUUACAUAAUAGAUGGGGAUACAUACAAAAGGCAUACAAUGCCACACGAAUACAACAUCAUCUUACAUAAGAGCAACAUCCGACUAUGGAUGAAACACAAACAGAAACUCAAACGACAUCCACCCUGCUAGCCCAGGCUGCCGACCUGGAACCUAUCACCUGAUCGACGAAGAAGCAGAAGAAGAACUCCAAAACAAGCAAGCAUCGCACUCGCGUCAAGAUCAUCGCAUAAACCUGUACCUGCAACUGUUGUUGUAGUAAUCUGUGAGCCACAAGGACUCAGCAAUCCCAUUACCAUGGGUAUCAAGACUAGCAAAGCUUAAUGGGAAAGGAAGGGUAAAGUGGUGAGGUUGCAGCAGCGAUUAAGCAUGAUAUGGUGGCUAACAUACGCAAAUAAGAGCAAGAAGAGAACAAGUGGAACGGUCGUGAAGCUAGCAAUGAUCAAGAAGUGAUCCUGAACUCCUACUUACGUCAAACAUAACACAGAAACCGUGUUCACUUCCCGGACUCCGCCAAAAAGAGACCAUCACGGCUACACACGAGGUUGAUGCGUUUUAAUUCGAAUCAGGUGUCAAGUUAUCUACAACCGAACAUGAACAAAUUCCCAUCUGCCCAUAACCGCGGGCACGACUUUUGAAAGUUUAUACCCUGCAGGGGUGUCCCAACUUAGCCCAUGAUAAGCUCUCGCGAUCAACGAAGGAUAUACCUUCUCCCAGGAAGACCCGAUCAGACUCGGAAUCCCGGUUUACAAGACAUUUCGACAAUGGUAAAACAAGACCAGCAAAGCCGCCCGAUGUGCCGACAAAUCCCGAUAGGAGCUUCACAUAUCUCGUUCUCAGGGCACACCGGAUAAGUCAAGCUACGAGUAAAACCAGACCUCGAGUUUCCCCGAGGGGGACCCGCAGGCUGCUCGGCUCGGACCAACACUCGAAGGAGNNNNNNNNNNNNNNNNNNNNNNNNNNNNNNNNNNNNNNNNNNNNNNNNNNNNNNNNNNNNNNNNNNNNNNNNNNNNNNNNNNNNNNNNNNNNNNNNNNNNNNNNNNNNNNNNNNNNNNNNNNNNNNNNNNNNNNNNNNNNNNNNNNNNNNNNNNNNNNNNNNNNNNNNNNNNNNNNNNNNNNNNNNNNNNNNNNNNNNNNNNNNNNNNNNNNNNNNNNNNNNNNNNNNNNAUAAUAAAGAUGACCCUUGGGCUCCGGAAACCCAAGGGAAAAAGGGCUAGGUGAGGCAAAUGGUAAAACCAAGGUUAGGCCUUGCUGGAGGAGUUUUAUUCAAAGCGAACUGUCAAGGGGGUCCCAUAAAUCACCCAACCGCGUAAGGAACGCAAAAUCUGGGAACAUAACACCAGUAUAACGGAAACUAGGGCGGCAAGAGUGGAACAAAGCACCAGGCAUAAGGCCGAGUCUUCCACCCUUUACCAAGUAUAUAGAUGCAUUAAUUAAAUAAGAGAUAUUGUGAUAUCCCAACAUAAUCCUGUCCGUCAUGGAGCAAUCUUCAACUUCACCUGCAACUAACAACGCUAUAAGAGGGGCUGAGCAAAAGCGGUAAUAUAGCCAAACAACGGUUUGCUAGGGAGGGUGUCGGUGUCAAAACCGGCGGAUCUCGGGUAGGGGGUCCCGAACUGUGUGUCUAGGCGGAUGGUAACAGGAGACAAGGUACACGAUGUUUUACCCAGGUUCGGGCCCUCUUGAUGGAGGUAAAACCCUACGUCCUGCUUGAUUAAUAUUGAUGAUGUGUGUUACAAGAGUGGAUCUACCACGAGAUCAAGGAGGCUAAACCCUAGAAGCUACCUAUGGUAUGAUUGUUGUUCGUCCUAUGGACUAAAGCCAUCCGGUUUAUAUAGACACCGGAGAGGGCUAGGGUUACACAAAGUCGGUUACAAUGGUAGGAGAUCUACAUAUCCGUAUCGCCAAGCUUGCCUUCCACGCCAAGGAAAGUCCCAUCCGGACACGGGACGAAGUCUUCAAUCUCGUAUCUUCAUAAUCUUGGAGUCCGGCCGACCAUGAUAGUUCGGCUAUCCGGACGCCCCCUAGUCCGGGACUCCCUCAGUAGCCCCCGAACCGGGCUUCAGCGACGACGAGUCCGGCGCGUAUAUUAUCUUCGACGUUGCAAGGCGGGUUCUCCUUCAAACUUCAUGUUCCUGUCGAAUAGUGUCCUGCUUCCUUAUAAAUGUUGCGCUCCUUGGCUUCUACGCCCAAUAAUGGCCUUCUUCCACGUGUCGUAUGAAUGCGAAAAGCUAGGGUAUUUUUACAUUUUACCCCCUAGCCGUGCGAAUGAGCCACCUAUAAGAGAGGCGAGGAUCUAGAUCCAGCUCACACCAUCCUCCAUCCGCAAGUUCUUAUCGAAGCGCCUCUGACAAAAAUCCAUUCCAUCAUGGAUAGUUGACGCGGCUCCUCCUCUCGCGCUCCCAGCCCUAAGCCAGGAGAUUGGGGGAGAUGCUCAGUUCCACACAGCAAGCUAGUGGCGCUCCAAACCGAGGGAUAUCUUCCCCCAGCUUUCAUGGUUCCGGUUCGAGCCGGACUGGCCACCUUCAGGGGUGGAAAGCAGGCAGAGAGCGUCCCCAACCCUUCCAAAGGAGAGCGGCUAUGCUUCGUCCCCUACCUAAUAAGGGGACUCGGAUUUCCCAUACAUCCAUUUCUCCGGGGGCUCUUGGAGUUCUACAAACUCCAGCUUCACCACCUCACACCUGCCUCCAUUUUGCACAUCGCGGGCUUUGUAGCUCUUUGCGAGCUGUUCCUGGGCAUCGAGCCCCAUUUUGCGCUGUGGAAGAGAUUGUUUUGCCUCGUACCCCGUUCUUAUGAGGGGUCGAUAUAUCAAGUGGGCAGAGCCGAAAUACGGCGCAUCGCCGGGACCGGAUAUCUAUCUGGCACCCCGAAGAAGGCGUCCGAAGACUGGCCUUCGGAAUGGUUCUACAUGGAGGACGCCCCUCUGCCGGAUCCAGUUCGGAUCGGCCUCCCGGAGUUCAGCAACGCUCCCUUGAAGAAACGCGUGAGUUGGCGCCCGCGGAGCCCUCAACGGGAGGAUGAUGGGAGCGUCCAUUAUCUGAUGGGCCGGAUUAGGUUACUGGCCCACUCUGGAUUGACCAUGAUUGGAAUCAUGGCCACGUGCAUUAUGCGAGGGGUGCAGCCACUCCAAUAUAGGGGACACCGUAUGUGGGAUUUCAACGGGGAAGAUGACGCCACCCGUCAUGGCCGCAGAGGGCCAGGCUCGGCAGCCGAUCUGGCAAAGAUCUUGUCCGGCUUGUACAAGGGGGAGGAGGAGGACUUCCUCCGCACGAAUCCAUUGAAUGGAUUCUCCAUGAAUAACGCUCGGAGCUGGGUAAGCGGACGUUUAUCUACCUGAUCCAUACUUCCAAAGUCAAGUAUCUUACUUCGUGAUUUCGACGCAGGAGCUGCGCCGGGACGUGGAGGGCAUACAAAGCCUAACUCCACAGCCCGAGGAUCCGGAACGAUCCCUUGAUCCGGCCUCCGAAGAGGAUCCGGACAUAAAGGUGGAGCUGAUCGACGGGGUGUUCCACCAGCUUAGCAUGGAUAAUGCCCUAGUCGCCAUUACGGCUGACUACCCUGGUUUGUUUCCGGCCUCCUAGGUGACUACGACCGAGGUCUUGACACCAUCAUUUGAUCCAUGCUCAAUUCUGACCAUCCUAUACUGAUGGUGCAUCGCAGGAGGUGCCUUUGAGGCGGGGAGCCGAACCUGCGGCGGCUGACCAGCAAGGGUCAGUUCGGCCCAGCAGGCGGAAGAGGAGUGCGACGCAAAUCGAAACGUCACCGCAACGGUACGGCGCACCGUCGUUUUUAAGGGAAGGAUCCCUAGGAGGUAUAUUAAUGCUCAUAACUUUUCCAGGAGAAAGAGCGCUCGCCGGACAGUGUCCGGAGAGGUUGCCAAUCAAGCCUCCGCCAGCCAUGCUCCAUCGCGUGGUCCGGAAGGGGAGGCGAACACAAGGCAUGAGCCGGAUGUUCCUCCGAUGAAGGAUGCCGACAGGCUGUCCGCCACCCGGUCUGAGGUGGAGAGCGCCAUGAAUCACAGGCGUCGCCGGAUAGUUCUUCGUGACGCGUGUUUCUCCCCGGAGGCGUUGAAUGCCUUUGAAGCGGGAGACGCGCACCUCCGUGCCGCUCAAGAUGGUUUAACCAGAGCCACGGAGUAGUAUGUGAAGGACAUACGGGUAAUUAAUUUUAAUAGUUAUAUAUGCCAGUAGCCCCCGAGACUUAAAAUAGUUAAAAUAAUUGAUUUAAGGAUCAUUUAUUAUGCAGGAUCUUACGGAGAAGAAUACCCACCUGUCCCAGGAGCUUCAAGAGUGCAAGGCCCAACUUGAGGCUGCACUGGCCGCCACAGGGGGAGCCACAGAGACCCCCGCUGGUAAUACGUACUUCAAAAAGAUAAGUAGUUAACAAAGUGCGGCGUGUGCGUAAAUCUGACAAUAAUAUUGCAGAGGGCGCCGGACUAGAUCCGGACAAGCAACAGCUACUGCGUCAGCUAAAGGCCGGCGAGAGGGUGCUUAUGAAGGUGCAGCAGGAGAGGAACAAGCUCCAGGAUGCCCACACCCAGCUAGGAGAAGAGCUGAAAGGUGUUCGGGCCCAGCUGUCUCGCUCCGUGAAGGAGAAUCAGCGGCUUCGCCGCGGCAUUUAUAGUAAGUGCUUGAGCAAAUUCCUUUGAAAAGAAGAAUUCGGCGAGGAAGUCGAUUGACAGAAAUGUGUCUUUAGGUGUGCUCACAGGUCGCCCUGCGGAGGAAAUGCCCGGUUGAACGGGUGACCAACUUCUCGAGCUGGUGCAACUGCUCGAACGUGUUCGGCAGGCGAUGAGUGGCAUCGUUCAGGCCUUAUGGCCUUCCGUCUCCCUACCUGAGGGCCUUGGAGGGCUUGCUGAGAAGCUUCAGGGAGUACGGCGACGCCUCCGUCUGUGGAAGAUAUCGGCCUGCCGUCAAGGCGCCAGGGAGGCCUGGGCCAUGGUGAAGACGUGGUACCCAAAGGCUGACCCAAACCACAUGGCCGAGGUCGGACCUGUGGGGCCUGAUGGGAAGGAGAUCCCUGUGAGCUUGAUGUACGGCCAGGUAGAGCUGGCCGCGAAAUAUUCCCAACAGGACUGUAAAUUAGACAGCCUGUUAGAUGGGAUUGAAGAGGAGUACAAUCAGUCAGUUUGACGAUGUAAUUUAAAAUGACAUGUAAAAUGCCUUCUAGCAGGAUCGUAAAUCGUUUGUCUUUGCGGACCUUUUCGCUUCAACCUCGGGACCCAACAGUUUGGAGUGUGUCCGAAUACCCUUACGGUUAUAAAAGAACCGGGGCAUGCAUGGAGACAAGGCGUCGGGGUCAUAAUUGCUUUAUAAGACAAGUGCCCAACUAGCUAUGUUAUAUUACAUGGUUAGUAAGAAACACCUUCCAGGGAGAAUAGUUCCGUUAAGGGUUCCUUUCCCUGGGAGGCAUGCCCUAAAGUGCAUGUCCGGACUGCGAAAAUAGCAGAAAAAGCAUCUGGGGGCAGAUAAAUAAGUAAGUAAUAAAUCAUCUUUCAAGUCACCGACCGAAUAUUCUCUUAAGAACGCUAGCUUUCGGCUUCACCCAGUCUGAGGUACACAUCCAGCUGACCCAGCAGUAACAAUCGUAGAGGUGCUCCCUUUACCUCCUAGCCGAACAAUCGGGAACGUAGGGGUAAGCACAGGAGCCAGGCAACCCAGCUUGGCCAAAACUUAAGUCAUAUCAAUGCAUAUAAUGGUGAAUAAAAGGUACAUGCGGAAGUAUAACACAUGUGUUGGGCAUGAAGCCCGUAUAAAUAAGCUUCUGUUAAAGAAGCCCCCAGGUAUAAUGAGUGCUAGGAUUACAUCAAGUGUGUGCGAAUCAAUGCGCAAAUCAGCCUAUAAAAGGUAUUGAAAAAACAAGUGGGAAGAAGGAGGGGGACAAGAGACAGUGAAAAUGUAAAAAGGUGGACGGAGGAGUGAGACGAACUCUGAGUCCGGCGUUAGGCGUAGAAUCUUCGGAGACGGGCUGUGUUCCAUGGGUUCAGCUCGAGUCGAUUGUCAGAUGCGUUACGUAGACGGUAUACCCCUCCGGUCAGGACUUGGUCGAUGAUGAAGGGACCUUCCCAUUUGGUCUUAAGUUUGUCCUUUUUCUUGUCCGGCAGGCGUAGAACAAGUUCGCCAACAUUGUAAGUUUUGGCCCCUACUUCUCUGCUUUGAUACCUUCGAGCCUGCUGCUGAUAGAAUGCAGAACAAGCUUUUGCCACGUCCCGCUCCUCUUCUAAGGCGUCCAAACUGUCCUGCCGAUCCAACUCGGCUUCUCUUUCUUCGUACAUGCGCACGCGAGGUGAGUCAUGAAUUAUAUCAGAGGGCAGAACUGCCUCUGCGCCGUACACCAUAAAAAAUGGUGUGAAUCCGGUAGUUCGGUUUGGCGUGGUCCGCAGCCCCCAGAGUACGGAGUUGAGCUCCUCUACCCAGUGCGUGUUAGAUUCCUUGAGGGACCGCACUAGUCUGGGUUUGAUGCCGCUCAUGAUUAGACCAUUUGCUCGCUCGACUUGACCGUUAGUUUGAGGGUGAUAGACUGAAGCGUAGUCGAGCUUGAUGCCCAUGUUUUUGCACCAGAGUUUAACGUCGUCGGCCGUGAAAUUCGUGCCGUUAUCAGUGAUGAUGCUGUGGGGGACGCCAAAACGGUGUACUACCCCGGAUAUGAAGUCUAUCACAGGUCCGAAUUCUGCCGUUUUAACCGGCUUGGCCUCAAUCCAUUUGGUGAAUUUGUCCACCAUGACCAAUAAGCAUUUGUUCUUGUGGGUUCCCCCUUUAAGGGGUCCAACCAUGUCAAGCCCCCAGACCGCGAACGUCCAGGUGAUGGGUAUAGUUUUGAGGGCGGUGGGUGGCAUGUGGCUCUGAUUAGCAAAGAGCUGGCAACCAACGCAUCGUUGGACUAAGUCCUGAGCAUCUGCCCGGGCCGUCGGCCAAUAAAAUCCUGUACGGAAGGCCUUGCCUACAAGGGCCCGGGCUGCAGUGUGGUGCCCGCCGAGUCCGGCGUGAAUUUUAGCCAGGAGAUUUCUCCCUUCCUCUUUGGAGAUACACCUUUGAAGGACUCCGGUUGUUCUUUUUUUAUAAAGUUCUCCCUCAUGGACCUUGUAGGCUUUAGAUCGCCGAACUAUGCAGCGGGCCUCAUUUUGGUCUUCGGGAAGUUCCUGCCUGAUUAAGUAGGCUAGGAAUGGUUCCGUCCACGGGGCAAUUACUGCCAUUAUUUCGUGGGCUGAAGGUGUUAUUUCAUUGGCUGAGCCGCCGAUUGUGUCAGAGUGGUCUGAGUUAGGUGAUGCAGCUGGCUCCAGAUUGUUAUUUCCGGACUCCUCUUCCCAUAAUACGGAUGGCUUAAAGGGCCGUUCCAGGAAGAUGUUUGGAGGGACGGCAUCACGUUUUGCGCUGAUGCGUGCCAACACGUCUGCUACCUGGUUAUUAUCCCGGGCUACAUGGUGGAACUCGAGUCCUUCGAACCGAGCUGACAUUUUUAGGACGGUGUUGCGGUAAGCUGCCAUUUUUGGAUCUUUGGCGUCAAAGUCCCCAUUUACUUGGGAUAUUGCGAGGUUUGAAUCCCCGCGCACCUCUAGGCGUUGAAUGCCCAUGGAGAUUGCCAUCCGGAGGCCGUGUAGAAGGGCCUCGUAUUCGGCUGCGUUGUUGGAGUCCAUGUACAUUAUUUGAAGUACGUAUUGGACUGUGUCUCCAGUUGGGGACGUCAAGACGACGCCAGCCCCCAAGCCAGCCAACAUUUUGGAUCCGUCGAAAUGCAUGAUCCAAUUGGAGUACGCGCCGUACUCUUUAGGGAGUUCGGCUUCGGUCCAUUCGGCGACGAAGUCAGCCAUAACUUGCGACUUUAUAGCUCGCCGUGGUUUGUAGGUUAUGUCAAAUGGUAAGAGCUCAAUGGCCCAUUUUGCAAUCCUGCCCGUUGCGUCGCGAUUGUUUAUAAUAUUGUUGAGAGGUACUUCGGAGGCCACCGUUAUGGAACACUCUUGAAAGUAGUGUCGCAGCUUCCGGGAUGCCAUGAACACCGCAUACGCUAUCUUUUGAUAAUGUGGGUACCGGGACAUGCAUGGAGUUAAGACAGUGGAUACGUAGUACACUGGUUUUUGAAGAGGGAAUCUGUGCCCUUCUGUUUCUCAUUCAACGACGAGUACCGCACUGACAACUUGAUGUGUUGCUGCGAUAUAUAAUAACAUAGGUUCGCCCAGGUUGGGCGCGGCUAGGACCGGAUUUGUUUCCAGUAUGGCCUUGAUUUCUUCGAGUCCGGCCGUGGCAGCAUCCGUCCAUUCGAAGUGUUCGGUGCGCCGGAGGAGGCGAUAGAGGGGCAGAGCCUUUUCUCCCAAACGGGAGAUGAACCGGCUUAGAGCCGCUACGCACCUAGUUAGUUUUUGUAUUUGCUUGAGGUAUUUUGGGAUAUCCAAUUGUGACAGAGCUCGGAUCUUGGCGGGGUUUGCUUCAAUUCUUCUACCGGAUACAAUGAAGCCCAAAAGCUUUCCGGCUGGUACUCCGGAGACACAUUUUUCCGGGUUGAGCUUAAUGUCAUAUGCUCGGAGAUUGUCAAAUGUCACCCUCAAGUCGUCUACUAGAGUUUCAACGUGUUUGGUCUUGACGACCACAUCGUCUACGUAUGCCUCUACUAUUUUGCCUAUCUGGGUAGCCAGACAUGUCUGAAUCAUGCGCUGAUAUGUUGCGCCGGCAUUUUUGAGUCCGAAGGGCAUUGUUUUGAAGCAGAAUGGCCCAUAUGGAGUAAUGAAUGCCGUUGCGGCCUGGUCUUUUUCCGCCAUCUUGAUUUGAUGGUAUCCGGAGUAUGCGUCGAGGAAGCACAAUGAAUCGUGCCCUGCGGUAGCAUUGAUGAUUUGGUCGAUGCGAGGGAGAGGGAAAGGGUCCUUUGGACAGGCCUUGUUAAGGUCUUUGAAAUCGACGUAGAGGAGCCAGGAUUUGUCCUUUUUUGGUACCAUUACUAGGUUGGCUAGCCAGUCCGGAUGUUUUAUAUCUCUGAUGAAUCUGGCUUCUAAGAGUUUGGCUAGCUCCUCUCCCAUUGCCUGUCUUUUGGGUUCGGAAAAUCGCCGAAGAGCUUGUUUGACUGGCUUGAAUCCUUUUAGUAUAUUUAGGCUGUGCUCUGCUAGCCUGCGUGGGAUUCCUGGCAUGUCUGAAGGGUGCCAGGAAAAAAUGUCCCAAUUUUCCCGGAGGAAUUCUUGUAGUGCGGCUUCUACAUCAGGAUUUAAUUGUGCCCCAAUGGAGGUCGUCUUUGUGGGGUCCGUUGGAUGGACCUGAAAUUUGACUAUUUCGUCUACUGGUUUAAAAGAGAUGGACUUGGAGCUCUUAUCGAGUAUCACAUCGUCCCUAUCCACCAUGGAGCACAGUGCAGUUAGUUCCUCUGCCGCUAGGGCUUCGGAUAAUGCCUCUAGGGCUAGUGCGGCUGUCUUAUUUUCAGCGCAGAGUGCUGUAUCUGGAUUACUGGCCAGAGUGAUUAUUCCGUUGGGUCCGGGCAUUUUGAGCUUCAUGUACCCGUAAUGGGGUAUAGCUUGGAAGAUUGUGAAUGCCUCUCGCCCUAACAAAGCGUGAUAUCCGCUGCCGAAUGGGGCCACUUGGAACGUGACCUCUUCGGACCUGUAAUUGUCCGGCGAGCCGAACACUACAUCUAGUGUGAUUUUUCCUGUGCAGCGUACUUCUCGACUAGGGAUUAUUCCCCUGAAGGUUGUGCUGCUUCGCUCAAUGCGGCUCCAGUCAAUUUCCAUUUUUUGAAGGGUUUCCUCAUAGAUGAGGUUUAAUCCGCUGCCGCCAUCCAUGAGUACCUUGGUAAGAGGAAAGUCGUCCACUAUCGGACUGAGGACUAAUGCGGCUGGUGCUCUAGCUGUUCGGAAUUAGGUUCGUCGCUGGAAUUGAAGGUGAUAGCCAUGUCGCUCCAUGGAUUUGUUGUUGCUACUUGGUAGACUUCGGCGAGGCUGCGGAUUGUUCGUUUCCGCAUGUUAUUUGAUGCGAAAGUCUCGAAGAAUGUUAAUACCGUACUGGUACUGCUGGGCUGGUUGCCCGGGGCUAAAAAGCCCUCGCCACUUUUGGCCACCUCCCGUAGUAUCCAACAUGCUCGAAGGCUAUGUGUUGGAGUGGCGCCCUCCGUACUGUGGAUUUUGCAGGGUCCGUUGAGCCAUCUCUCCAGUACGGUUCCGUACCCUUUAGGGGGUUUUUGCUUUUUGGUUUUUAACCCAGGUGCUUGAGUAUGACACACCCUUUUAUUUCGGACUGGGGUUGUAUUCAGGGCCGGAUUGUCCCAAAACCUAGUUUCGGUUUUCCAGGCACUCUCCAUGCAAUGGUCGCUAGGUCGGCGAAGCGUGUAACUUCGCGAUGACUGAUGCGUUUAUGAUUCCCUUGUCCAUGCAAUUGUUGUAGAAGAUUGAAAUUGCGCUUUCUUCACGGCAGUCCUUUAUCCUGUUCAUAACCAAGAGGAAUCUGGCCCAGUAAUGAUGUACUGUUUCAUCGGGCUCUUGCCGUAUUUGAGAUAGAUCGCUUAUGUUUGGGUGGGCGGGUGGAAUUAAGUUCGGAACCCCGCCCGAUCUGAGGCUCAAAGGCCAAGAAGCUUCCGGAUUCGGAAGCUUGGUUUGCUGAAUGCUUUCCAACAAAUCUGGUUCGAUGCCUGACUUUAGGUUCAGUAUUUGAUUAGCGUCCGUCCCUCCGCGGGAAUCCAGCAUGGAGGGAUCGGGAAUCCGGACAUAGUUGGUUUUUAACAUAGAAGAAGAGUCGCCGCAUUGUUCCUCUACCACAACAACGUGGUGGGUAACCUGGGGAGAGUUAAUUUCUCUUAGAUCGGUUUUAAGCCCAAUCUGAUCGUAGUCGGUAGCGACUCCGAGGGCGGCGAUGCGAUCCAAGAGCUCGUUUACGGAGGAGAGCUCAAUCGGAUCUAGCUGCUCAGCGAAUUCCGAGCUGACGUGAAGAUCGCUUUUAAUGACCUGAGAGGUCAUUGUCGGAGCGGUGGCCGAACAGGCGGUCAUAAGAAAACCGCCUAGCCAGAUAGUCUGGCCGGCGGCCAAAGCUCCCUUGACGAUGGUGCCGUCUUUAAAGACGGGGAAAGGCAUCCUUCCUGAUGGUGAUGGCACAGAGGACCUCUCAAUGAAAGCACCAAUGUCGGUGUCAAAACCGGCGGAUCUCGGGUAGGGGGUCCCGAACUGUGCGUCUAGGCGUAUGGUAACAGGAGACAAGGGACACGAUGUUUUACCCAGGUUCGGGCCCUCUUGAUGGAGGUAAAACCCUACGUCCUGCUUGAUUAAUAUUGAUGAUGUGUGUUGCAAGAGUGGAUCUACCACAAGAUCAAGGAGGCUAAACCCUAGAAGCUAGCCUAUGGUAUGAUUGUUGUUCGUCCUAUGGACUAAAGCCAUCCGGUUUAUAUAGACACCGGAGAGGGCUAGGGUUACACAAAGUCGGUUACAAUGGUAGGAUAUCUACAUAUCCGUAUCGCCAAGCUUGCCUUACACGCCAAGGAAAGUCCCAUCCGGACACGGGACGAAGUCUUCAAUCUCGUAUCUUCAUAAUCUUGGAGUCCGGCCGACCAUGAUAGUUCGGCUAUCCGACACCCCCUAGUCCGGGACUCCCUCAGAGGGUGAAAAGGUUAGAGGCUGACAUGGAAAUUUGGGAGGCUUGAAGAGCAAAUGAUAGGUAGCACAGCAAAGUGAUAGAACGAAGCAACUAGCAUAGCAAUGAUAGUAGUGAGAUCCAGGAUAGCGGUCAUCUUGCCUGAAAUCCCGCAAGGAAAGAGAACGAGUCCAUGAAGAAGAUGAACGGAUGAAACACAAACAGAAACUCAAAUAGAAACUCAAACGACAUCAACCCUGCUAGCCCAGGCUGUCGACCUGGAACCUAUCCCCUGAUUGAAGAAGAAGCAGAAUAAGAACUCCAAAACAAGCAAGCAUCGCACUCGCGUCAAGAUCACCGCAUAAACCUGUACCUGCAACUGUUGUUGUAGUAAUCUGUGAGCCACGAGGACUCAGCAAUCCCAUUACCAUAGGUAUCAAGACUAGCGAGGCUUAAUUGGAAAGGAAGGGUAAAGUGGUGAGGUUUUGCAGCAGCGAUUAAGCAUGAUAUGGUGGCUAACAUACGCAAAUAAGAGCGAGAAGAGAACAAGCGGAACGGUCGUGAUGCUAGCAAUGAUCAAGAAGUGAUCCUGAACUCCUACUUACGUCAAACAUAACACAGAAACCAUGUUCACUUCCCGGACUCCGCUGAAAAGAGACCAUCACGGCUACACACGCGGUUGAUGCAUUUUAAUUCGAAUCAGGUCAAGUUAUGUAUAACCGGACAUUAACAAAUUCCCAUCUGCCCAUAACCGCAGGCACGACUUUCGAAAGUUUAUACCCUGCAGGGGUGUCCCAACUUAGCCCACGAUAAGCUCUCGCGAUCAACGAAGGAUAUACCUUCUCCCAGGAAGACCCGAUCAGACUUGGAAUCCCGGUUUACAAGACAUUUCGACAAUGGUAAAACAAGACCAGCAUAGCCGCCCGAUGUGCCGACAAAUCCCGAUAGGAGCUGCACAUAUCUCGUUCUCAGGGCACACCGGAUAAGUCAAGCUACGAGUAAAACCAGACCUCGAGUUUCCCCGAGGGGGACCUGCAGGCUGCUCGGUUCGGAUCAACACUCGAAGGAGCACUGGCCCGAUGGGGGGGGGGCUAAAAUAAAGAUGACCCUUGGGCUCCGGACACCCAAGGAAAAAAGGGCUAGGUGAGGCAAAUUAAAUGGUAAAACCAAGGUUGGGCCUUGCUGGAGGAGUUUUUUUGAAAGCGAACUGUCAAGGGGGUCCCAUAAAUCACCCAACCGCGUAAGGAACGCAAAAUCCGGGAACAUAACACCGGUAUAACGGAAACUAGGGCGGCAAGAGUGGAACAAAGCACCAGGCAUAAUGCCGAGUCUUCCACCCUUUACCAAGUAAUGCAUUAAUUAAAUAAGAGAUAUUGUGAUAUCCCAACAUAAUCCUGUCCGUCAUGGAGCAAUCUUAAACUUCACCUGCAACUAACAAUGCUAUAAGAGGGGCUGAGCAAAAGCGGUAAUAUAGCCAAACAAUGGUUUGCUAGGAAGGGUGAAAAGGUUAGAGGCUGGCAUGGCAAUUUGGGAGGCUUGAAGAGCAAAUGAUAGGUAGCGCAGCAAAGCGAUAGAACGAAGCAACUAGCAUAGCAAUGAUAGUAGUGAGAUCCAGGGUAGCGGUCAUCUUGCCUGAAAUCCCGCAAGGAAAAAGAACGAGUCCAUGAAGAAGAUAAACGGAUGAAGCCGAACCAAGCGUAGACGAACGAAUCCUCACGAUCGCAACGAAACGGGAACUAUCAAGAAGAAGCACACAACAUAGUAAACACACCACACAUAGACAAGACAUGAUGCACAACCAAGCAUGAUGCAUGACAAGCUACAUGAAGCUACUCAUGGCAAGAUAUGAAGCAAACAAGAGCAACACAUCAAAGCAAGUUUAAAUGAGGCCGGAAGCAACAUUUAACAUGCAAAUUUCGAAAUUGGUCCAGAUCUGAAUAAACCUUAUGUUCAAGUUGUUAAACAGCAAGUUAAGAUGCACCAUGAUGAUCUACACGAAAUUCUAGUCAAGUUACAUAUAAAGUUCAUUAGAGUUGGAGCUACGGCCUAGAAGAUAUGAGCAAAACAAGUUAAACAUAGCAUUGAUGCAAAAUGCAUACAAACAUCAAGAAAGCACCUCAAAACAAGGAUUCAACAUGAUAACAUGAAACUACAUGCAAUUCUAAGCAAGUUCAAAACAGCAUGCUACAGCACCCCAACAUGAGAACAAAAGGCAUGGACAUGAUGUACAGGUAAUGCAUGACAAAACAUGAACACUAAGUUAUCUCCAUAAAUCACUAGAACAUGCUCAAAAAGACAUGGCAAGAUUACAUAUAAUAACAGUUUCAGACUUUGCAGAAAUAACAUCAGGUUGCAAUGUUUAGAGGUAUCAAACAACAUGUUACAGGAAUUUAACAUGGCAAACAGAGGCAUUGCAUGAUACUACUAAAUGCGUAGAACAAAAGUCUUUUACUGACCAUAAGCCAAAAAGGAUCAGAAGAUAUGAUGGCACCCAUUUAGAAAUGGCAAGUUAUAUGACAGAUUCAUACAUGGCAGGAACAACGAUAAGUAGGCACCUUGGUGAGAUUGUACCACUCACCACAGAUCAUUACAUGGCAUUACAAGGCAACCAACAGCAAGAAGAAAUGUUUAUGAAGCUAAUCAUGGCAAGAACAAGUUUAUAGGGUGCAUGGAUCACAAGAAAAGCUCAUGGCAAAACUGAACUUCACGUUAACAGACUGACAACAACAUUAUUUAGCAACUUUGGAGCAUGAUAACAAAAAUCUACAGCAGGCUAUAAAUGCAACCAGGGGAAUUGAUGGGUAGAGCAUGACAUGUAUAACAAAAGAUCCUUAGUGAACAUCUCCAGCUUAUGCAUAGAAUGACUUGUAGCAGCAGGUUUACAUAGCAUCAUAAAAUGACAGAUUCAGCCUAGCAAAACAGCAACAACAAGUACCCUACUUAACAAGCUCUAUGCACUCACUACAAGACUCACAAAAAUACAUGGAAAGCACCCCUGUAAAGAUGGCAUGACAUAGUUCAAAACACAUGUAGAGCUCAUGCUCAUAGAAUGCACACACAAAAUGCAACAAAAAUGACAAAUGAGCAUGUUCUGUUAACAGACAGUAGACAACAUCUUAUAGCACUCUUGCAACAAUGAUUCAGGCAUCAAGAUGAACUCAACCAAACAUGGCACAAUGGAAUUAAAUGUAGAGCAUCUCACAAUGAACAUUUUGAUAUAAUAUAUGCAUGAAACAGAGCUAUGGAUGCAGAGUUAUGAUGCGAUGAACAGGGGUAUAAAAUGCAAAAAUAACUCGGGACAUAGCAGAAUUUAGGAGGGUCAACCUCGCAGAAUGGAUCUGGAUCUGGGGGCUCGGGUCGAGGCGGGACGGGCUUGCCGAAGUUGGCGCUAGGGUGGCCGGAGCUUCACCGGAGGAGGGCCGGCGAGGGGAGGCGCGGGGUGCCGGCGUUGGGGAAGGCGGCGACCGGGGGCGGCGACCGGAGAAGGGAAGGGGCGGCGGCGCGGGCUCGGGAGCUCCUCUCCCUGGAUCUCAGCGCGGAGGGAUCCGGGGCUGGAAUGGGCUCCGGCGGCGGCGGCGCUCGCGAUGGCGGCGGAGGACAGGCGGCGGGGCAACGGGGAACCUGGCGAGGGGAGGCGCGGCAGGCGGCGCGAGACCCUGCGAGGCUCGGAGGCGGGGACCCAGAGGGGCGCGGCGGCGCAGGGAGGCAGGGGGGCCACGCGGCGCCCUCUAGUUGGCUGCGCGCGGCGGCGCGGACGUGUCUGGCCGGGGGCGGACGUGUCCGGGCGCGGAGGAAGAAGGAGGCUAGGGUUUUAGGGAGGAUUCAUCCGCGAAUUUGGACGGGGAGGGCAUAUUUAUAGAUUCUGGGAGCUAGGAGAGUCCAAAUGAGGUGCGGUUUUUGCCCACAUGAUCGUGAGUGAACGACCGAAAGCUUGGAGGGGGUUAGGAUGGGUUUUGGGCCACUUUGGAGGGGUGUUGGGCUGCAAAGAGAGAGGGGCUUUUACGGUUACCCGGUUAACCGUUGGAGUAUCAAACAACCUCCAAAUGGCACGAAACUUGACAGGCGGUCUACCGGUGCUAUGCCAAGGCCGCUUGGCAAGACUCGGUCCAUUUCGAGAAUGUUUAACAACCGCUCACAACGAGAGACAAAAGGGGGACGCCGGAGGACAUAGGAGUGCCGGAUGGCAAAACGGACAACGGGGAAACUGCUCGGAUGCAUCAGACGAACACGUAUGCACUGCACAUGAUGACAUGAUAAAAUGCAACAUGCAAGCAAAUGACAUGGCAACACCGACGAAUAACUGGCAGACACCUGGCGCAUCGAAUCCGGGGUGUUACAACACUCCUCCACUAACAAGAGAUCUCGUCCCAAGAUCUUAGGACUGAGACAAAAGGGAAAAGGGGUGAGGUGAAACAAAAACUCAGGAGAAGAAGCAAAGAAUCGAGAGCACUCGAGAAGUAGCGAGGAACGGCGAGAAUGAUGAGAAGCGAAAGCUCACGGAAUCAGAUAGACUAUGAAACCACUCCGGUUAGAGCGAGAUAAGAAACGAAUAAGACUGAAAGGAUUUAGGCAGCACUCCGGCUGAAAAUGGAAGGAAUAGAACCCGAGCUUGAGAGGACGGAAUGAUACUUGAUGAAGACAUGACACAAAACCUCCGGAAAGAAUUGAAAGAGUUGAAUGAAAAGAACGAAGAAGAAAAUGACAACUUGAGCCACGAAUGAAAUUGAAAGCAUCUUUAGAAGUUAGGUUUAGACGGAGUUGUUGAGAAAAUCAACAACGAAAAUAAUAAGCUUGUUGUGGUCUUAUGGUAAACUCUCAAGAUCAUAAGAUGAUAACCGGCCACAAACGAAAAUGAUUGGAUAGCUGAGAAGAAGGAAGAAAUGCAAAACUCCAUUUCAAAAGAAAAUAAAGAAUUAUUUGCACCUCGAGACGCAAGAAGAAAGAUUCUUGAACUCCACCAACAAGAAUCUUGAUGAACUCUUUGGAGAAUGAAUUAAAUUAUGACGAUCCACCAUGAAGAACUCCGGUAACAAAAAGGAUGAUGAGAUAGAAUGAAGGAAGAAAGAAUAAGAUUAAGCCUUGCGACGAUUUAAAUGGAGGUUCCAACGAAAUGGCCGAGGAAAUUGAACUCUGGAAAAGAAAAGAUGAAAACACUUGGAACUAGAAUUUAUUCAACAAGAACAAACUCCGAAGGAAGGGAUUAAUCACUUGGAUGAAAUAAGAAUAAGAUUUAUUGUAUGCUUAUCCUUCAUCAAAUUAAAUUGAUGACAAACAACGGAUUUGGCAUACUACUUAUUCUUCUUGAAAAAGAUUAAGGGGAAUGUGGCACAAAACUUGAGAGAGUCUUCAUGAACCACCGAUAGGAUUGGAAAGAACGAAUGAAUAUACGUGAAAAUAACGGAAAUAAAUCUUGAACGAACCACCGUAAGAAAUCAAAAAUGACUAAUGAAAGAGAAUGAAUCACCCGGAAGAAUUAGAAGAACCAAUAUGCUAGAGGGGAUUUAGAUGCAAGAGAACAAAGAGAUCAUGAGCUGAUUAAAGAACACUUGAACGAAGCACCGGGAUAAAUAGAGAACGAUAGCUGGAAUGUGAGGACGAAGAAUUCUUCUGGAAUGAUGGCCUCCGGUGAAAAGAAACAGAAAUCAACUCCCGAAAUACUCCGGAUAGGUGAGAAAAGGAAUAUCUGACAAAUGGAAUAAUAUGAGAGGAUAACAUGAAGCUAGAACCGAGAAUCUUCAGGAGGACAGACAAGAUUUAGUGGACAAACUCUUCUUCGAUCUUCAAAUGACGACGAGAAACAACACCAAAAUACUGAGAUACUCCGGUAGAAUGGAAAGCGAAGAGGUUGAGCCAACAAUGAAAAUAAUUUGAACUUGAUCUUGGAAAAUAUCUGACUGAUGAAAUUCAUUCCUACGUCAAGUCUGAAAAGAAUUUGGAAUAGCUCCGGAAUAAUUAGAAGAGUCAGGUAAGAUCCUGGGAAAUGACUUGUGGGUUAUGGGCCCACUAAAAGAAAACAAUGUUGGAAAGGAUUGUUGAAGAGAUAGAUGAUGCCCCGGAACAAUUGAAAUAUUUGAAUGAGGUGACAACCUCGAAUUAAUUGGAACACAGAUGAAUCUCCUGAUAUGUCUUCCGAACUCCGGAAGGAUAAACCGGCGAGAGGUGAAAAAACAGGGAAAACACUUGAUCCAAGGGAAAAAUAUAAUCACUAUCGAAAAUUGGAAUUGAAUCCACCGGAGAAGAGAUGAAGAAUGUCGAAACGAGAAUUCACCGGUUGAAAUAAUUGAGGGAAGAUUGAAGAGGCUCCACACGAAUGAAAUAGCUUCUCGAAUAAAGGCUCAGACUCUGGGAAGAGAAAGGGAUGGGAGGGCGGGAAAACAAAGGCAACUUGGAAGGGGAAAUCGACGAAUAUCUUGAAGAGAAAACACCGGUUGAAAUCACUGAGGAAAGAAGGCAAAGACUUCGCACGAGUAGGAUGGAUACUCGAUUAUGGACUCCGGCUCCAAGAAAUAAAAAUGGUUGGGCGGGUGGGAAAAAGAAAACAACUGAGGAUUGAACUUGGCAAAGACGAAGAGGCUCGAGUCAACUUGACAAGAAAUGCACCGGAUGAAAAGAGAUGAGAACCAACGAACGAAAACUAACCGCGUGAUCCUAAAGAAAAUUUGAAGGGGAAGAGGAGUAAUUCAAAACACCUACAUCAAGAUUCCUCACCAGAGCGACGAAGGGACUGAGGAGUAAAAAGAAUUCCUACUCUCCGAUAUAACUAGACUCUGAAAACAGUUUUCUUCUAGACUCGACAACGGCCAAACUACACGAUCAAUCAAGGGGGCUCCUAGGGUCGGUCGAGGCUCUGAUACCAACUUGUCACGCCCAAUAUGCGAUACUAUCCUAAAGAGAAUCAAAGGUCCCACCAAGUCUAGAACCGCAUAUUGAUACGCUUUUGCAAGGUGGAUAUCAUUACAUGAACAUUACAUAAUUGAUGGGGAUACAUACAAAAGACAUACAAUGCCACACGAAUACAACAUCAUCUUAUAUAAGAGCAACAUCCGACUACGGAUGAAACACAAACAGAAACUCAAACGACAUCCACCCUGCUAGCCCAGGCUGCCGACCUAGAACCUAUCCCCUGAUCGAAGAAGAAGCAGAAGAAGAACUCCAAAACAAGCAAGCAUCGCACUCGCGUCAAGAUCAUCACAUAAACAUGUACCUGCAACUGUUGUUGUAGUAAUCUGUGAGCCACGAGGACUCAGCAAUCCCAUUACCAUGGGUAUCAAGACUAGCGAAGCUUAAUGGGAAAGGAAGGGUAAAGUGGUGAGGUUGCAGCAACGAUUAAGCAUGAUAUGGUGGCUAACAUACGCAAAUAAGAGCGAGAAGAGAACAAGCGGAACAGUCGUGAAGCUAGCAAUGAUCAAGAGGUGAUCCUGUACUCCUACUUACGUAAAAAAUAACACAGAAACCAUGUUCACUUCCCGGACUCCGCCGAAAAGAGACCAUCACGGCUACACACGCGGUUGACGCGUUUUAAUUCGAAUCAGGUGUCAAGUUAUCUACAACCGGACAUUAACAAAUUCCCAUCUUCCCAUAACCGCGGGCACGGCUUUCGAAAGUUUAUACCCUGCAGGGGUGUCCCAACUUAGCCCAUGAUAAGCUCUCGUGAUCAACGAAGGAUAUACCUUCUCCCAGGAAGACCCGAUCAGACUCGGAAUCCCGGUUUACAAGACAUUUCGACAAUGGUAAAACAAGACCAGCAAAGCCGCCCGAUAUGCUGACAAAUCCCGAUAGGAGUUGCACAUAUCUCGUUCUCAGGGCACACUGGAUAAGUCAAGCUACGAGUAAAACCAGACCUCGAGUUUCCCCGAGGGGGCCCUGCAGGCUGCUCGCUUCGGACCAACACUCGAAGGAGCACUGGCCCGGGGGGGCUAAAAUAAAGAUGACCCUUGGGCUCCGGAAACCCAAGGGAAAAAGGGCUAGGUGAGGCAAAUGGUAAAACCAAGGUUGGGCCUUGCUGGAGGAGUUUUAUUCAAAGCGAACUAUCAAGGGGGUCCCAUAAAUCACUCAACCGCGUAAGGAACGCAAAAUCCGGGAACAUAACACCGGUAUAACAGAAACUAGGGCAGCAAGAGUGGAACAAAGCACUAGGCAUAAGGCCGAGUCUUCCACCCUUUACCAAGUAUAUAGAUGCAUUAAUUAAAUAAGAGAUAUUGUGAUAUCCCAACAUAAUCCUAUCCGUCAUGGAGCAAUCUUCAACUUCACCUGCAACUAACAAUGCUAUAAGAGGGGCUGAGCAAAAGCGGUAACAUAGCCAAACAAUGGUUUGCUAGGAAGGGUGAAAAGGUUAGAGGCUGACAUGGCAAUUUUGGAGGCUUGAAGAGCAAAUGAUAGGUAGCGCAACAAAGCUAUAGAAUGAAGCAACUAGCAUAGCAAUGAUAGUAGUGAGAUCCAGGGUAGCGAUCAUCUUGCCUGAAAUCCCGCAAGGAAGAAAAAUGAGUCCAUGAAGAAGAUGAACGGAUGAAGCCGAACCAAGCGUAGACGAACGAAUCCUCACGAUCGCAACGAAACGGGAACUAUCGAGAAGAAGCACACAACAUAGUAAACACCACACAUAGACAAGACAGGAUGCACAACCAAGCAUGAUGCAUGACAAGGGUACAUGAAGAUACUCAUGGUAAGAGAUGAAGCAAACAAGAGCAACACAUCAAAGCAAGUUUAAAUGAGGCCGAAAGCAACAUAUAACAAUUCCGGUAAGUCCUCACAUGCAAAUUUCGAAAUUGGUCCAGAUCUGAAUAAACCUUAUGUUCAAGUUGUUAAACAGAAAGUUAAGAUGCACCAUGAUGAUCUACAUGAAAUUCUAGUCAAGUUACAUAUAAAGUUCAUUAGAUUUGGAGCUACGGCCUAGAAGAUAUGAGCAAAACAAGUUAAACAUAGUAUUGAUGCAAAAUGCAUACAAACAUCAAGCAAGCACGUCAAAACAAGGAUUCAACAUGAUAACAUGAAACUACAUGCAAUUCUAAGAAAGUUUCAUAUAGAGCACACUCAAAACGGAGCAACGGUUCAACACAUGCACUCUAUACAAGUUUAAAGGACAAGUUGUCCAAAACAGCAACUAGGUAUAUUGCAAGCAUCAAAACAACAUGCUACAGCACCCCCAACAUGAGAACAAAAGGCAUGGACAUGAUGUACAGGUAAUGCAUGACAAUACAUGAGCACUGAGCUAUCUCCAGAAAUCAAUAGAACAUGCUCAAAAAGACAUGGCAAGAUUGCAUAUAAUAACAGUUUCAGACUUUGCAGAAAUAACAUCAGGUUGCAAUGUUUAGAGCUAUCAAACAUCAUGUUACAGGAAUUUAACAUGGCAAACAGAGGCAUGGCAUGAUACUACUAAAUGCAUAUAACAAAAGUCUUUUACUGACCAUAAGCCAAAAAGGAUCAGAAGAUAUGAUGGCACCCAUGUAAACAUGGCAAGUGAUAUGACAGAUUCAUACAUGGCAGGAACAACGAUAAGUAGGCAUGUUGGUGAGCUUGUACCACUCACCAUCGAGCAUUACAUGGCAUGACAAGGCAACCAACAUCAAUAAGACAUGUUUAUGAAGCUAAGCAUGGCAAGAACAAGUUUAUAGGGUGCAUGGAUCACUAGCAAAGCUCAUGGCAAAACUGAACAUCAUGUUAACAGACUGACAGGAACAUUAUUUAGCAACUUUGGAGCAUGAUAACAAAAAUCUACAGCAAACUAUAAAUGCAACCAGGGGCAUGGAUGGAUAGAGCAUGAUAUGUAUAACAAAACAUCCUUAGUUAACAUCUCCAGGUUAUGCAUAGAAUGACUUGUAGCAGCAGGUUUACAUAGCAUCACAAAAUGACAGAUUCAGCCUAGCAAAACAGCAACAGCAAGUAUCCUACUUAACAAGCUUGAUGCACUCACUACAAGACUCACAAAAAUACAUGGCAAGAACCCCUGUAAAGAUGGCAUGACAUAGUUCAAAACACAUGUAGAGCUCAUGCUCAUAGGACGCACACACAAAAUGCAACAAAAAUGACAAAUGAGCAUGUUCUAUUAACAGAUAGCAGACAACAUCUUAUAGCACUCUUGCAACGAUGAUUCAGGCAUCAAGAUGAACUCAAAAAAACAUGGCACAAUGGAAUGAAAUGUAGAGCAUCUCAUGAUGAACAUUUUGAUAUAUUAUAUGCAUGAAACGGAGCUAUGGAUGCAGAGUUAUGAUGCGAUGAAGAGGGGCAUAAAAUGCAAAAAUAACUCUGGACUUAGCAGAAUUUAGGGGGGUCAACCUCGCGGAAUGGAUCUGGAUCUGGGGGCUCGGGUCGAGGCGGGCCAGGAUCGCCGGAGUUGGGGCCAGGGUGGCCGGAGCUUCACCGGAGGAGGGCCGGCGAGGGGAGGCGCGGGGCGCCGGCGUUGAGGAGGAAGGCGGCGACCGGGGGCGGCGACCGGAGAAGGCAAGGGGCGGCGGCGCGGGCUCGGGAGCUCCUCUCCCUGGAGCUCGGCGCGGAGGGAGCCGGGUCUGGAAUGGGCUUCGACGGCGGCGGCGCUCACGAUGGCGGCGGGACAGGCGGCGGGGCGACGGGGAACCUGGCGAGGGGAGGCGCGGGAGGCGGCGCGGGACCNNNNNNNNNNNNNNNNNNNNNNNNNNNNNNNNNNNNNNNNNNNNNNNNNNNNNNNNNNNNNNNNNNNNNNNNNNNNNNNNNNNNNNNNNNNNNNNNNNNNNNNNNNNNNNNNNNNNNNNNNNNNNNNNNNNNNNNNNNNNNNNNNNNNNNNNNNNNNNNNNNNNNNNNNNNNNNNNNNNNNNNNNNNNNNNNNNNNNNNNNNNNNNNNNNNNNNNNNNNNNNNNNNNNNNNNNNNNNNNNNNNNNNNNNNNNNNNNNNNNNNNNNNNNNNNNNNNNNNNNNNNNNNNNNNNNNNNNNNNNNNNNNNNNNNNNNNNNNNNNNNNNNNNNNNNNNNNNNNNACCGGGCGAGGCUCGGCGGCGGGGACCCGGAGGGGCGUGGCGGCGCAGGGAGGCAGGGGGGCCACGCGGUGCCCUCUGGUUGGCUUGGCGCGGCGGCACGGACGUGUCCGGCCGGGGGCGGACGUGUCUGGCUGGGGGCGGACGUGUCCGGGUGCGGAGGAAGAAGAAGGCUAGGGUUUCGGGGGGAUUCAUCCGCCAAUUUGGACGGGGAGGGCAUAUUUAUAGAUUCUGGGAGCUAGGAGAGUCCAAAUGAGGUGCGGUUUUCGCCCACACGAUCGUGAUCGAACGACCGAGAGCAUGGAGGGGGUUAGGAUGGGUUUUGGGCCACUUUGUAGGGUUGUUGGGCUGCAAAGAGAGAGGGGCUUUUACGGUUACCUGGUUAACCGUUGGAGUAUCAAACGACCACCAAAUGGCACGAAACUUGACAGGCGGUCUACCGGUGCUAUACCAAGGCCGCUUGGCAAGACUCGGUCCAUUCCGAGAACGUUUAACACCCGCUCACAACAAGAAACAAAAGGGGGACGCCGGAGGACAUAGGAGUGCCGGAUUGCAAAAUGGACAACGGGGAAACUGCUCGGAUGCAUCAGACGAACACAUCGUAUGAUUCGAUGUUGACGGGUUUAAACCCUUCUAGGAAUUCAUGACCCAUUACUUCAUCAGUGAAGCAGAGGGGGUGUGCGGCGCCUCUGUGCCGGGCUAUGUCACGACACAGUCCGACUAAGUCUGGUCGGUUAUGUUCGGCCCGGCCAGACUUAUUAUUAUGUAUCUGGCAUGACGGUCAUCGUCGUGUGCUAUGGCGCGCGUCCGUGAUCUGUAGAUCGAUCUUGGUUGUCCUGCGUUGUUUUCCAAUAUGUCUCGCAGGUCCUGCGUAUUGCCCCGGGCCAUAGUGAACUGGCGUGGGGGUGCGGGCUAGUAUUCGGUCUGAUACGCCGUUUUAUCCUAGCCACGAGGUGGCCGGUCAGCCUCGUCUUGUGCUGGUAGUGUAGGCUCUGCGGCCUCCUCCCCUAGCUGAGGUAGCAACUUGUGCUUUGUGUAACCCUUGGUGGGGGGCCCCAGUCCGUAUUCCUCGGCGGCCAGGACCUCGGUCCAUCUGUCUGCGAGCAGAUCUUGAUCAGCUUGGAGCUGCUGCUUCUUUUUCAGGCUUCUUGGAGUGGCUAUAAGCCGGCGCUUAAAGUGCUCCCGCUCCAUUGGAACUUCGGGUACACCGAAUUCAUCAUCUCCGAGGCUCACCUCAUCUUCGGAGGGAGGCAUAUAGUUGUCAUCCUCCACGUAUCCAUCCGUCGCCUAUUCCUCGGGGCUGACCUGCCCGUGUUCCUGUUCGGCCUGUUCAAAGGUAGGAUGAUCAGGAUUGUAUUCCUCUUCGGCACCAUCCGGGUUGUUUUCUUCUCCUGUGUCGGUAUUGCUGUGGCGGGGCUUAGAGCGGCACCGAUGACGCCCAUGCUUUGGUUUCUUCCCUAAGGGGUUAUCUUCUGUUGCCUCAUCGCCAUUGUUUUCUUUGGGGGUGUCCACCAUAUAUAUAUAUAUAUAUAUAUAUAUAUAUAUAUAUAUAUAUAUAUAUAUAUAUAUAUAUAUAUAUAUAUAUAUAUAUAUCAUACGAAGAGGUAGCUGUCCAGCGCCCUGUGGGCAGUGGUUCCCGUUCUUCUCCCGCAUCGUCGUCUAUACCGUCGAUGUCUUCGGAGACGAGGUCAAGCACGUCGAUCAAAUCGUCGACAGUGGCUAUUAAGUGGGUGGUGGGUGGGUAACGAAUUUCUUCGUCGCUUGCUUCCCAGUCGAGCCAGACAUAGUUCGGCCAGGAAUCUCCUAACAGAGAGAGACCUUAAUGAAUUUAGCACUUCGCCAAAGGGGGAGUGCAGAAAGAUAUCCGUGGCGGUGAACUCCAUUACUGGAGCCCAAUCGGACUCGAUGGACCCGGGCGCGCGCGGUUCGGAACCCACAUCCGGACAUAGGUCCGGGGGUCCGGUGACGCAGAUUCCCUUAACGGCGGAGUGUGUGUUCGGCUCUACUGCCGAAGAGCAUGCGGCCUCCGGGGCGGGGUCCAUCCACCCGUCCUCGGACAACGCGAUCUGCCCCGAAUUUAGGUCCGGAGCAGCUGCAGGGGCGAUAUCCUGAAUACUGUCCGACAGCAGAUUUAAGUCGUGCUCAUCGUGACUGUUCGGCGCUCCUGAUAUGGGCCCGAAUUCGUCAAAGAUCAAGUCUCCGCGGAUAUCGGCCGUGUAAUUCAAGUUGCCGAACCUGACCUGAUGGCCAGGGGCGUAGCUAUCGAUCUGCUCCAGAUGGCCAAGCAAGUUGGCCCGCGGUGCGAAGCCGCCGAACACGAAGAUCUGUCCGGGGAGAAAAGUCUCGCCCUGGACUGUGUUGUUGAAGGUUGAGGGAGCCAUCGAGCCUUACAGCGACGACACAGAGAAACUCUCAAUGAAAGCACCAAUGUCGGUGUCAAGACAGGCGGAUCUCGUGUAGGGGGUCCCGAACUAUGCGUCUAAGGCUAAUGGUAACAGGAAACCGGGGACACGAUGUUUACCCAGGUUUGGGCCCUCUCGAUGGAGGUAAUACCCUACUUCCUGCUUGAUUGAUCUUGAUGAUCAUGAGUAUUAUAAGAGUUGAUCCACCACGAGAUCGUAGAGGCUAAACCCUAAGCUAUUCUAUGGUAUGAUUGUUGUUGUCCUACGGGCUAAACCCUCCGGUUUAUAUAGACACCGGAGGGGGCUAGGGUUACACAUAGUCGGUUAUAGAGAAGGAUAUCUAUCAUCCAAAUCACCAAGCUUGCCUUCCACGCAAAGGAGAGUCCCAUCCGGACUUGGGACGAAGUCUUCAAUCUUGUAUCUUCAUAGUCCAACAGUUCGUCCAAAGUAUAUAGUCCGGCUGUCCGGAUACCCCCUUAUCCAGGACUCCCUCAAGGGGCGGGGGGACAUCUUAGCGCGAGCAAAUGAAAGUGUGCAGCUUAUGUGGUGAGACAGCUUAGACUAGUGAACCACUUUUCUGAUAUAUCUGGCUAUUUUAAGACUGAACCGAGACAGGAUUUUAGUUCAUUCACUACUAGGCCGACUUGCAUAUAAACCCUUCUUUCCCAAUACCCCACAAUCCAAUAGCAUGACACACCCUAGGUUGGGAAUAGAUCUAAGCUAUGAAUAUUCCUGGGAAGAUGAACUGAAUACUGCAGAACUAUAGAUGCAGACUACCAACAAAGCUUCACUAAGUAGCAACACCACUGGAAAAAAUAGCACCAUAUAGCAUCUCUAAUAGCACGCUAUAGCGUAUUGAGAAUUGCCUCGCUAAAUAUAUCGGUGUAUAAUGUCUUGCAAAUAGCACGCUAUAGCGCGAUAUAGCACGCUAAUAACAUAUUUUUUUAGGUCGCCGCUAUUUUGCUGUAGCGCGUUAUUUUUUUCAUUGAGCAACACCCAGGGUGCUAGUUUCAUUCAUCACAACUCACAAGUAAUGUUGUGUCGUGGUGCGGUUAUAUAGAGAGCCGAACAUGCAAUAGGUCAUAUAUAGCUCCAUGCCAGCCAAGUUACCGUCAAGGAUGUGCCCGCUAUAUCAUGACCCACGGUGAUCCAGAAGGGGCACUAGGGUUCCCCUCACCACCUCAAACCUCCCUGUGCGCACAGAGAGAGAGAGAGAGAUGAUACAAGUGCUUAAAUCCGGAUUUGACUAACCGCCGAAGGGACUAAAAUAAGGAAAACGAUAUAGAUCAACUGGCUGAUAACACCGAACGCAUCAGCCGCCUCCCAGGACAUGCGUGCCUCUUCUUCCGCGACCUUAUCUCUUUCCAUCCACCUACCAUCUUGUUUCUUCCCCAAUCUCCUGCCCACGACUCUCACAAAUUGCUUCAAGGUUGACCGGUGGAGAAUCUGCUGCUGCAAUGGCCUACGAGAUGCGUCCAUGGUAUUGAUUCGCUUGCCAGCAUGGGGAUGCCCUCAGGAAGAGAAAAGGAACGAAAACACUAACGACCAUACGUGUGGCAGUUUUGCAGCUCGCCCACACGCGUGGAUCGCCGUCCCGUCGAGUUUGCACGAAUCUUGACACAAUGAGGCACAAUUCACGUGCCACGUAGGACGGGGCUGGUGUGUGGGCGUUGGAGAGUUCGCCCACACACCCACAGCACGCGGUUUGGCAGCUGCACUGUGUGGGCGAACUAGUUUCUGCCCACACAGCCAACACCUAGUUCACGAGCCUAUGGGCGAGCUGAUUUUUGUCCACACGACACUCGUACGUUAUUGGACAGCAAAUGCAGUUACGCGUACAUGGCAACUAGGUAAACACACAUGGCAACUAUGAUUUCUUGCAAGACAACAACUGCAGUUGCGCGUAUGUGGCAACCAGAUAAAGACACAUGGCAACUUUGAUUAACCAUACAUGGCAACUAUGGUUGGACCACACGUGGCAACUAGGUAAACACAUAUGGCAACUACUGUUUGACCAUAUGUACCAAGUAGUUGUUGGAAAUAUGAGCAAUUUACCGAAUGAUUUUAUUAAUAAAAAUACUAGAUAAAGCAUAACUAAAAUAGCAAAUAUAAAUCAAGUCAUGCAAUCUGACAAAGAGAAGGUAAACAUCGUCUGCAUAUAUGAACUUAAGGUAAACAUAUCUAGAACAGACACUAGAUGAAGUUGCUUAUAUGAAACAGAACCUAACAUACGUAGGGUGGAAACUAGAGCCAAGAACUGUAGGAGGACUUCUAACAGAAAGGAGAAGAACACGUACGGCACAGCAGCAGCAGAAGCGCUGGACUUGGGGUCGGUGUCCUCGCCUGCCAUGUCGUCGAGGAGGUCGUGGACGUCGGGGAAGAAGUCGUCGUCGGGGAAGUAGUCGUCGGCGACCGGAUCGUCCGUGAUGAAGCAGCCAGUAGUCGCGCUGAGCGCUCCCCAAAAACCUUAUCACCCUUCUCCCGUACAGGACUCAAAAGGUGCGAUCUCGGAGGCCUACUGUCCCGACGUGCGGUGCAUGCCGCAAGCCGGGAUGAGGAAGACAGCAGUAGCGCAGAGGUUGGAACUCUGUGGCGAGAGGAAGAGGACCUCCUGAUGUGUCUCUCGGGAGAGGAGCGACCUCUCUUAUAUAGGCAUAGCAGAGGGACGCGAACAGGCUGCGCCGGGAGGUGAAGCAACGGAGGGAGACGAAGUGAACAGGUAGCACAAGAAGAGGUGCGCCGUUCGUAUUCAUUAUCCACUACCGCAAAAACUUUUCAGCUCCCAGGUGACCUUUCGUAUACCCGUAGUGCGUGGCAAAAAUUUAGACAUCGGCUCGGCUCAUUCCCGCAACCCGCGGCGCGUCGUGGCGAGGCGGGCGGCGGAGGAGGAGCGCGCGUGGAUGUCCCUCUUGUUCUCAUGCUCAUACAAGUGGGGAAAGAACCUCCCUUAUAAGGAGUUCCAAUUCCCACUCAACUAGCAAUGUGGGACUAAACUUUAGUAGUAUCCCUUGCCUUGCACAAAUGGGCUAAGUGGGCCUCUAGGAUUUAUUAGGAAUUUCUGAAAUAGUUAUUGGGCUGCCCCAAUAUAGACUAAAUUCCAGCAAUCUCCCACCAGAUCCUAGAGGCACACAGAAAUUUUCCUUUGGUUCCAAAACACUGUUUUAUAUACCGGUACUGCAAUAGAGACUGUUAAGUUGAACUUCCACCUAGAACUCUAUGCUACACUAGUAAGCAACUUGAACAGUGGACUGGGCCUUGAACUGCAAGUUUUCUGCGAAUCUAGCUUUACAUAAAGCCUUGACCGAUACGUGGCUACCGUGGGUCUUCCCCGCGGAUGGAGCUUAUGCGUCAUACUCCGUGACCUUUCAUGAGUUUACUAGAGAGAACCCUACUCUCAUAGAUUGCGACGUUUGACAAUCAGACUCAUAUAGGUGUGUUCUUCAAAAGAUGUUCUGCAGGAUAACAUCUCUGCUUAAAUAAGCCACUUAGAACACAUUAAGAUAUACAUCAACCUGCCAUGCAGAUUAGGAGAGUAUUGCAUCUUCAUGGAGUGGUAUUGUGAAUAGUAGGGAUACUCUCCUCUCAGUUGACCAACAGCUUGUCUUCCACAUCUAAUUCACGGGAUCUCCGAUCACAAAGAAUAGGUUACCACAGUGAACAACUCAUAUUGUGGGUCUCAUACCCAUCUCCCUCGACGCAUUAUCUAUUACAUUACGCGAUAGACCCUUAGUAAAAGGAUCUGCCAGAUUUUUAGACGUUUGGAUAUAAUCCAACGCAAUAACUCCGGAGUUUUUCAUUUUCCUAACAGACUUUAACCUUCUAUGAACGUGUCUUGAUGACUUCAUGUUAUCCUUUGAGCUGCUCACUUUCGUGAUCACAGUUUGAUUGUCGCAGUUCAUAAGGACACCUGGUAUAGGUCUCUCAACAACCGGCAAGUCAUUCAAGAGCCGAAGAAGCCAAUCUGCUUCAACCGUAGCUGUAUCUAGUGCUAUGAGUUCUGCUUCCAUUGUUGACCUCGUUAAGAUGGUCUGCUUGCAAGACUUCAAGAAACAGCGCCACCUCCAUGAGUGAAUACAUAACUGCUCGUGGACUUUAUCUCAUCAGCAUCUGAGAUGCAGUUUGAGUCACUAUACCCUUCAAGCACCUUUGGGUGCCCAGUGUAGUGAAUUCCAUAAUUCGUUGUGCCUUUCAAAUAAUGCAAAACUCUCUCUAGAGCUUUCCAAUGCACAUCUCCUGGUUUUGAAACAAACCAACUCAGUUUGCUAACAGCAAAAGAGAUGUCAGGUCUUGUAGCACUGGCUAAGUACAUAAGAGAGCCAAUAAUCUAAGAAUACUUUAAUUGAUCUCUAGCAAUUCUUCGAUUCUUUUGAAGCAGCACGCUAGCAUCAUAUGGUGUUGGAGAGGGCUUGCAGUCACUAUAGCCAAAGCGACUCAAGAUCUUUUCCACAUAGUGAGAUUGAAGCAAUGUAAUCCCACCAUCAUCAUCUCUCAACAACUUGAUGUUCAGAAUGACAUCAGCCACUCCUAAAUCCUUCAUCUCAAAACUGCGAGAUAGGAAAUCCUUGACCUCCUUAAUAACAUUCAGAUUUGUUCCGAAAAUCAGUAUGUCAUCAACAUACAAGCAAAGCAUAACUCCCUCGCCCCCACCAUGGCGAUAGUACACACAUUUAUCAGCUUCGUUCACAAUAAAGCCUGCAGCUGUUAAAGUUCUUUCGAACUUCUCAUGCCACUGUUUGGGUGCUUGCUUGAGUCCAUACAAAGACUUCAGCAACUUGCACACUUUUCCUUCAUGUUCAUCUAUUACAAAUCCAUCUGGUUGUUCCAUAUAAAUUUCCUCAUCCAACUCUCCAUUUAGGAAAGCAGUCUUAACAUCCAUUGAUGAACGAGAAGACCACGUGAGGCAGCUAGUGAAAGUAGAACUCGAAUAGUGGACAAUCGAGCCACAGGUGAGUAAGUAUCAAAGAAGUCUUCACCUUCCUUUUGGGUAUAACCCUUAGCCACGAGCCGAGCCUUGUACUUUUCGAUAGUACAAUCAGGCCUAAACUUCUUCUUGAAUACCCAUUUGCAUCCUAUAUGUUUGCACCCAUAAGGAUGAUCAGUUAUCUCCCAAGUUUCAUUCGCCAAGAUAGAAUCCAUCUCGCUACGAACUGCUUCCUUCCAGUAGUCAGCAUCUUCAGAUGCAUAGGCCUCUGAAAUAGAACUGGGAGUGUCAUCUAUGAGAUACACAAGAAAAUCAUCACCAAAGGACUUUGCAGUCCUCUGUCUCUUGCUCCUAGUAGGAACUUCAUUGUUCUCCUCCACAGGACUUCCAAAGUGUUCCAUCGAAAUGGCAGUUUCGGUAACUGUAACUGGUUCCUGAUUCGAUGAACUAGGCAUCUCCUGAUUAGAUGAGGUAGCCAUAUCCUUCAUGGGAAAGAUAUCUUCAAAGAAAGUCGCAUCAUUCGACUCCAUGAUCGUACCGACAUGCAUGUCAGGUACCUCAGAUUUUACAACCAAGAAUCUAUAGCCAAUGCUAUGAAAAGCAUAUCCCAGGAAAACACAGUCCACAGUCUCUGGUCCAAGCUUCCGCUUCUUUGGAAUUGGAACAUUGACUUUCGCCAAACAACCCCAUGUUCGUAGAUAAGAGAGUCUUAACCUUUUCUUCUCCCAUUCCUUGAAUGGAGUUAUCUCUUUGUUCUUUGUGGAACUCGGUUUAGGACAUGACAUGCAGUCAAUAUCGCCUCCCCCCACCAUGCCUUGGAGAGACCCGAUGUGUCUAACAUGGCGUUAACCAAAUCAGUUAGAGUACGGUUCUUUCUUUCGGCCACCCCAUUUGACUGAGGUGAAUAGGGAGGCGUCCUCUCAUGGAUCAUAUCAUGUUCCGCACAAAAAGCAUCAAAUUCAUUGGAAAAAUACUCUCCACCAUGGUCGGACCUAAGCCUCUUGAUUUUUUUCGAUCAAGUUGGUUUUCCACUUCAGCUUUAUAGAUCUUGAAAAAGUUCAAAGUCUCAUCCUUAGAUUUCAGAAGAUACACACGACAGUAUCUAGUGGAGUCUUCAAUUAGCGUCAUGAAAUAUUUCUUUCCACCUUUUGUCAACACACCAUUCAUUUCACAUAGAUCUGAAUGUAUGAGCUCUAGUGGUGCAAGAUUUCUCAUUUCCGCAGUCGUGUGAGACUUACGAGGUUGCUUAGCUUUCACACACACUUGACACUUAGAUCCCUUGACAGUGGUGAAACUAGGGAUUAAGUUCAACUUCGCUAGUCGCGACAUGCAACCAAAGUUAACAUGACAAAGACGUGAAUGCCACAUAUUUGAUUCACUAUUGUUACAAAUAUGAUUAACAACUUUAUUGCAAACGUCUGAUAAAGAUAAACGAAACAGGCCUCCUGACUCAUAGCCUUUACCAACAAAGGUUCCAUACUUGGAUAUUACGAAUUUAUUCGACUCAAAGACAAGCUUGUAGCCAUCUCUACACAGAAGAGAUCCGCUAACAAGAUUUUUAUUGACGGAGGGGACAUAAUGUACGUUCUUCAGCCGCACGAUCUUCCCCGAAGUAAACGUUAGAUCGACCGUGCCAACACCACGAACAGAAGCACUUGAACCGUUGCCCAUCAGCAUGGUUGAAGUCCCUAUGGUCUGAUAAGACGAAAACAUGGAAAUAUCACCGCAUACAUGCACAUUAGCACCCGUGUCAAUCAACCUGUCAGGAGAAUGACAUACUGAAAGAAUAGUGGGAAAUAUACCAUACCCAUCAUCCUUCAUGUCAGUGUCUCCAAUGACAACAUUAGCGGUCUUGCCGCCUUUCCCAGGAUGACUCUUGUCAUAGCGAUUAGGGCAACUAGGAGCCCAAUGAUCAGGAUCUCCACACACAUGACAGGCACCUUUCUUCUUGCCAUUCUUCUUCUUGAAGUUCGUGUGUUGCACAGCCUUGUUCUUCCCAUCAAACUUUGCUUUACCAUCAAACUUGCCCUUGUUCUUGAACUUGUGGGGCUGAAAGUUCUGCUUCUGUACCACAUUGGCACUAGAUCCUCCCUCAAUACCUCGAGCACGUGUAUCCUUUGCUCUCGCCUUUUCUUCCACAUCAAGAGUACCAAUGAGAUCCGGAACGGAAAACUCCUGUCUCUUAUGUUUCAGUAAGGUAGCAAAGUUCCUCCAUGAAGGAGGAAGCUUAGUGAUGAUACCCCCGGCAACAGACUUGUUCGGUAGCAUGCAAUUGAAGUGCUCAAGUUUUCUAGCAAAUGAUUGUAUCUCAUGAGCCUGCUCAACCACGGAGCGCUCUUCAGUCAUCCUGUAAUCAUAGAAUUGCUCCAUGAUGUACAGCUCAGUGCCGGCAUCCGAGACCCCAAACUUGGCCUCGAGUGCGUCCCACAUAUCUUUUCCAUUAUCAAUUGACGCAUAAGCAUCAACUAUGUUCUCUCCAAGAAAACUCAAGAGCGUAACCUUAAACAAGGUAUCCAUUUUCUGAAAAGCUUGUGCCUGUUGGGCAUCUUGUUCUCCUUCAGGUUUGCCAAGAGUGGCGUCAUAGCAACUCAUGGUUUAAAACCAUAAGACUGCUCUCACGCGCCACCUCUUAUAGUGGAUACCCUCAAACAUAGGAGGUCUCAUGGAAGCAGCAAAACCACUUGGGGUAAAUUGCCUAUAAUAAGGUUUUUGGAUUGUUGAAAAUAUGAGCAAUUUACCAAAUGAUUUUAUUAACAAAAAUACUAGAUAAAGCAUGACUAAAAUAGCAAAUAUAAAGCAAGUCAUGCAAUCUGACAGAGAGAAGGUAAACAUCGGCUGCAUAUAUGAACUUGAGGUAAACACAUCUAGAACAGACACUAGAUGAAGUUGCUUAUACGAAACAGAACCUAACAUAUGUAGGGCAGAAACUAGAGCCAAGAACUGUAGGAGGACUUCUAACAAAAAGGAGAAGAACACGUAUGACACAGCAGCAGCAGAAGCGCUAGACUUGGGAUCAGUGUCCUCGCCUGCCAUGUCGUCGAGGAGGUCGUGGACGUCGGGGAAGUAGUCGUCGGUGACCGAAUCGUCCGUGAUGAAGCAGCCAGUAGUCACGCUGAGCGCUCCCCAAAAACCUUAUCACCCUUCUCCCGUACAGGACUCAAAAGGUUCGGUCUCGGAGGCCUACUGUCCCAACGUGCGGUGCACGCCGCAAGCCGGGAUGAGAAAGACAGCAGUAGCGCAGAGGUUGGAACUGUGUGGCGAGAGGAAGAGGACCUUCUGAUGUGUCUCUCGGGAGAGGAGCGACCUCUCUUAUAUAGACAUCGGCUCGGCUCAUUCCCGCAACCCACGGUGCGUCGUGACGAGGCGUGGCAUGGCGAGGCGGGCGGCGGAGGAGGAGCGCGCGUGGAUGUCCCUCUUGUUCUCAUGCUCAUACACGUGGGAAAAGAACCUCCCUUAUAAGGAGGUCCAAUUCCCAUUCAACUAGCAAUGUGGGACUAAACUUUAGUGGUAUCCCUUGCCUUGCACAAAUGGGCUAAGUGGGCCUCUAGAAUUUAUUAGGAAUUUAUGAAAUAGUUAUUGGGCUGCCCCAAUAUAGACUAAAUUCCAGCAGUAGUUAAUCACACACGGCAACUAUGGUUUGAUUACACGCGGCAACUACCAUAUAUUAGAUAUGGCAACUAUAGUUAACCAAAACAGAUAGAGUUGCCAUACUUUUACAACUACAAUCGCCAUUCCCGGAUAACUAUAUCUGUCAUCCCGGAUGCCAACUAAAUCAUCAUCUCGCAGACACCUAACGUAGCUACGCCUCGAUGUGUGGGUAUUUUUUACUCGUGCCACACGCGCGGGAUGAAGAUGAGUAGUACUUUAUUGUGCGUGUGGCACGAAGUAACUGCGUCCACACGUGUGGGCAAUUCUCAUGUUCGCCCACACUCAACCAGUGUAGGUUGCCUCCUGCUCACGGCACACACGAUGUAAGGGCGGAUGGCUAGUAUGCCACACGUGUGGCAGUUAUUGUCGUCCAAAAAGAAAUAAACUGAGAGGCAACAAAACCGAGGGUAUGUCCACAGAACUGCACGAUAAACGUGAUUAGCCAUCUCAAAACCGAUGUCAACAAAAGCUGGCAGUUCCUUAGAGGAUUCAUAACUUUUGGACUCUAUUCAUAUCAUCAUUGUAGGUAACAGAGUAACUGGGUUAAUUGUGUUUUGUAGAUAAGAAAUUCACAUGAUUUAUCCUUGUUGAUAGAAAGAAAGCUAGUUUAAGAUGAAAAGGAAGUGCUCGCGGAUGUGAAUGUGAACACAAUGAAGCAUGCCUCCUUUGCAAUCAAUUUAUCAAAUCUGUUGUGCAAAUUUUCUGUCAGUGGCCCUUCUAUGUUGAAACAUGGUUUAAGCUCGGUCCAACGCAUAUUGAGUUAAGUUCCAUCAAGAUCAAUGCUCUGAUUGGUGGAGUAACGUCGCUACUGGGUACCAAAAGAAUGCAACUACUGCUGCCAUUUUUUCCUGACAUAUAUGGAACAAACGAAACCAUUGUAUUUUUCAGAACUCCAUCGCCAACCAUGAUGUCGCUGCCAGUCAGAGAUCAACUUUGACGGUGCCCCAUAUCAGUAGGUUUAAUCUCUGCAGGUUAAGCUCUCUCAUUGUCGUACAGUCAGCGUCUAAUGAAGACUGAACCCCUUUCUUGUUCUCUUGAAUUAUUACAUGUAUCUUCCUAGUCUAUAAUGGAAAGGACAAGUACCUGUCAGUUUAUCUUAUCUUCAAAAAAAGAUGAAAAGGAAUUGAAGGAAGUCAGCUAACUUUAUCUGUUUGAUUAAUGCUAGUAAACAUUGUUCAUGACACCUUUUUCUGAUCUUGGCACGCACUACACUGUGCAGAGCGCGAUCAUUUGCAUGAUUUUGUCGUUGUGUGCAACACACACAAGACACCAAGGGCCGGAAAGGUUCCUUCACCUAUUCGAGGGAGGAAGCGCAGCGAACGUGGAACCACACAAUCAAUGUAGAUGCACGCCAAAGAUUUACACCGGUUCGGGCCGCGCGUACGCAUAACACUGUACUCCUUUUUUGCGUAUAUGUGGGAUGCACGGAGAGCUACAAGUUUGUCCCAAGACGGAAAUUGCUAACUACUGCCUCAACUAUCUCAGAGCAUCUCUAGCAGACCCCGUAUAAUGCUCCGACCGUAAAAUAACCGCAAAAAAUACGGGUCGCGUGAAAAAAAAACUGCCCGAUCAGACCUCGUAUCGGGCCGCGACCUAAAAAAAAUUGUGGGGCGCGGCAAAAAUUUGCCCUCAACCUUUAGAUUUACGGGGUGGGAGGCCGACCCGAGCUCGCCCCCUAUUCGUAGCGAGAUUUGGCGCGAGGGAAAUUUCCGCGCGUCCGUUCCUGCUUCUCACCCCCUUCGCCGCCAUUGCCCCGCCUCGGCCCGCUCCGGUCCAUCUUCCCUGGCCAUUCUUCGCCGCCAUGAAGCCUCCAGCCGCCCCCGUCAUCGUGGAUGUCGCACCCGCGCAAUCCCCUCCGGCAGAUCUCGUCGCUGGCCAUGUCGCCCCCGCCAUCUCUCAAGGCACCACCGUGCCUGUUCGCAAGCGGCAGGGCAAUGUGGUCAUGCAGGGCGGAAAUCCUACUAUCCCCACCGGGAAGGCAAGGGCGCCAGGCGCCGCCACCUCUGCGCGAUCUGCCUGACCGUGCCGGAGAAGAAGGGCAAGGUUUCGACCGUGAAGCACAAGAAGUCUCCUAUGAAAAGGCCGGCGACUUCAUCCUCUUCCUCCGCCGUGGCAAGAGGUACCCCAACGAUGCCCUUCAAAGGUGUUGCUUCAACCGCAAGCGAGGUGUUCGACGAAAUGGUCGGAAGGUAUGCUUCUUUGAUUUCUUCUACUUGCUUUGGUUUUCGCCAUUGCGGUAGCGCGUGACUUAAUGACACUCACUGUAGCGCCGAUUCGAACGAUGCCACUGCCAAGUUCGUCAACUUGUUGGACACCAACAACAACAGGAGUUGGAACCAGUGUUGCUGAUGCUUUAAGUGCGCCCGGCGAUGCUUUCGUUGCCGGAGUUGGAACAAAGUGCCGGUGAUGGACUCGGAGGCGGCGAUGGCAUCGAUGGCGGUACUGCGGAGUGAAGAUCAUGACGACGGGUGAAAAGCGACCAAGAUGAUGAUGGAUGUGGUCAUUGCUUUUGCAUGAUGUCCUUUUGUGUUUGUCGUAGAAAACUAUGCUUUUAUUUGCGUGCGAACUAUGUUUUAUUCUUCGAGUUUGAACUCAAUCGUCGGAAUCGUUGUCAAAUUGGCUACUCUGGGUUUUCAAUUGGCAGGCCGAUGCGGCCUGUGAAUAUACUGUUUAACGGGUCGGCUACGCGGUGUCUGCUCGGCCGCAGCCUGCGUCGGCCCGCAAAACCGUGUUUCACGACCAGCAAACUAGUUUUGCGGGUCGGCAUUUUAUGGGGUCUACUAGAGAUGCCUUAAUGUAGUAGUCAGGUCCUCCUUUUAUGACUCAAGGGCAUAAGGGCUAUAGUGAUCUAUACCUGACUCUGACAGAAUAGGACAAAUGCAUUAAAUGAUCCGUUGGGUGUCAUCCUCUUUUGGCCUCCUGUAACAAACGCUUUUGGCCUCAAUAGUUCUUUCAAGUUCGUACAUUGACAGGCUUGUUUCACAAAUUUUACUGAUUCCUAAUAUUGUUUUGACAGGUCGUUGCGAUUACUGUAUUCUUCCUUCUGGUGUUUGCAUUUUAUGCCUUCUUUGCACCAUUUCUGGGAACGCAAGUCCCUGAGUAUGUUGCGGUAGGCAUUUAUACUCCCAUGGUAAGUCUUAAAAAGUCUCAUUGUUUUUUAUGUCUUUUUGAUCAUCUGCAGAGAGUUAUCUUGUGGUAUCAUGAAACAUCAUUUCCACUCUUCGCAUGCAUUGACAGUCUUCAUCCUUUAGAUCGGGUGCACAAGUUUUAAUCCUGCUGAUCCUGGUAUCAUGGUAAGGUUUGAGGAUGGUUGUGUUGAUGUACCUGCCAACAAUGAUGGAUUGGCAGGCAUAAACUUGCCCCAGAAAGCAAACAACGCUAUUUGAACACACUCCCCAAGAUCUACUUGCGGAAGCUCUCUAGAUGGCCAUCCUAAUCAAAGAGGUACAUCUGUAGGGGAAGCAAACAUACAUGUGAGCUCACAACUACCAAAGAAAAGAUCAAGAUGUUUCCACUUUGGUGGGCUCGUGUGUGCUUUAUUUGUUAAGGAGGACUGCCGGAAGUCUGAUGAAUCAGAGAAACAAGCUAUUGGCGAAGAAGCUCUGUUUUGCACAUUAUGCAAUGCUGAGGUAUGCUUCUUUAGCUUUUGGCUAUGCAGCAUGCAGCCGAAUAGUCAAUUUGGAGCAUAGGCACAUUGCGCUCUUUUUUUAAGUUAAUUUUUUUAUUGACUUUUACUGCUUGAAAACAUCCAUAAUUUUGUGUAGAUGCACAUAUGGAAGUGUAGUAUAACUUUGCAAAAUUUCAUCAAUUUACGUGUUUGUACGUGACAUAUAAAAAAAAUAGACAAAUACGUAUUACCUAUAUUAUUGUUUCGUUUAUACAAUAAUAUUAUUAUGGUUGCACAUUAUUUUUACCUUCUGGAAGUGCAACUAUUACUGUUUAAGAUCCAUGAAUUAACUUCUUAGCUGUUGGGCCUGUCAUUGGCUUACUACUUACCUAUAGUGCUUGCAUGUUGGACCUAAUGUAUACUAAGCAUUACUCACCGGUUCUUACUUUUUAGAACAAGUCUUGUUAGCCGAUAAUUAACUGAAUUCUGAUAUUAUUAUGUCCAGGGUAUAUUCACACUUCUGUCAUUAGUGGCAUGCAUACCUUUAGGAGAACUUUUCUUCUUCCACAUGAUAUUGAUCAGAAAGGUUUGCCUCACACCUCAUACUUGAAAUGUACUCCAUCUGUAAACUAAUAUAAGAGCAUUUAGAUCAAUGUUUUAAAUAGCGGGCUAUGGAAAAUAGCGGCGGGCCUCCAAAUCAGCUAUAGCGGGCUAUUUGUGAAGGCGACCAUUUAGCGGCACCCUGCUGAAACGGCCGUAACUGGCUAUAGCGGAGCUAUAGCCGGCUAUUUAAAACUAUGAUUUAGAUCACUUCCUUAGUGAUCUAAAUGCUCUUAUAUCCGUUUACAGAGGGAGUAAUACAUAGUGGGAUGUUUAUCUUGCUUUCUUAGCUAGGUUCCUUCUUUAAUUCUCUAUCAGGGGAUCUCAACCUAUGGUUAUGUGGUUGCAAUGAGAGCUAUGAGUGAGGGGAUUCCAGAGGACGAGGAGGGAGCAAAUAUCAUCUAUUCCUCCUCAAAUUCAGCAACAACUGGAUUCAGUGCUGGAAGUUCUCCUGGCCUUCACCACAAGGGUGCUAGGUGUACACCUCCAAGAAUAAUUAUGAUCAGGUAAGCUGCCUAUGUAAAUUGCAAGAUUUUUGAAAGUUUAAUCAUGACUCUCAGCUGGAAAAAAAUUAUUUAUAUUGUUUGAGACAAUUGUAAGACAAUUGUAAGACUACUGAAUUUAGUUGUGCUGAAACUUUCAACCAGGAUGCAGUGAUUCCACAUUUGGACCCUGGGAUGGUUCCUUCAACCGUUGAUCCUGAUGCUGCUGGAUACGCUGAAAGAGCAAACAAAGCCAAGAAGCCAUUCACGAUCGGUGCGCGGAUCCUUGCAAAGCUGGACAUAAACGAGGUGACGAAAGUUCAGGAAAAACCUUGGGCACCAUCCUCUGUUUUCCCACCAAUAGAUGUCCGCCAUGGACAUGAAGCUGAUAUUAGCUCCAGUGGCAAUGCCAGCGUCAAGAGUUGUAUGAGUAUUGAUUACAGCGGUACAUAGGAAUUGAGGAGUGAGAUGAGGCCGUCUCCUCUAAAUACCUCAUAUCCAUAGAGUCUUGCAAGCCAGGAUGCUAUGAGACUGGCACACAGACUGCAAGCAGUUUAAGCAGCCUGGUCCACAUCCACAAGCUUACCCCUCAUGCUAAUUUUUGUGCAGCACCUCAUCCUGGUCCACCUCCUGAAAGGCCUGCGCCAGGGAUUACAAGGCCACCUGUUCCUACCACAUACAUAAGUAACAAAGCCAUGUUCCAAUCGGCCAUAUCAUAUGUGAGAGAGAACCGAAGAGUCUCUAUUGUCUGGGAUCAAGAGGCUGGUCAGUACGUGUCAAUGCCCAUGCAAACAACAGGAAAUAGACCCGGAGUUGAGCUGCCUGUAAGAAACCCAAGUUUCUUGGCGAAUCCAAGUGAAGAACCAGGAAACAACCAGGAAACCAUGGGAGAAAUCUUGCAGAUGCGACCACAACUCAUCAUCGAUUCCUUCGGGCCAGCCGGCUGAGAGAUUGAUGUACACAUGCCAAUCAGUAUUCUUUGGUGGGCCAAUCUUGAGUACCGCCAAAAUAAAUGCAGAAAGGAAUGAGGCUAGCACAAGAGUGUGUCCUGAGGGAAGCAGAGAUCCCAACUCCCACCAGCGGGACAUCCGUGGCGAGAAGCUCGGACAUGCUCAUGCCCGUUGUUUGAGCCUAGGAAUUUCUAGAAGAACCUGCUUUGUUGGCAAGUGACUUUUACCUUCUGUUUUACUGUUCUCUAUGUCGUCUGCUCAAGUGCCACCAUGACGGUGGGGGUGAAAAUACAAAGAACUGCUGAAACGGUUGCUCCUUCGGGGCAGCAAUGAUACAGAGACGUUCAUGAUCUUUAGAGCUUUAUAGUGAGCAAGGAUGGCGCUAACUUUGUUUGAUGUUUACGAACUGACUGAUAUAUGUUGUUGUUUUUUCUUUCACGUGCGUUAGGAGUUCAGUUGUUUGAUGCGCUUGAUAGGUAGUAGAAGAGUGGAUUAAACUGUUCUUGAUGUGUAGAACCUUUUGAUUUGCAGCUGACUUUGUUCACAUUGCGGACUUUGGAGUGUUCCCUUAGCUACUAUGGUAAUCGUUACUCACAUGUGAAAGCAUCAUCUCCAACUGUCUUAGUGUUUGAUUGUUUCUCUUUCAGUUGUGUUGAAGGAAUGAAUUUGAUCCAAGUGAUAUUGUUUUUCUGUGCCGUUGUUCAUCUGUCAAACGUCUGUGAUUACGCUUGAACAAGUAUUGUAUUGUAUCAUGAAUUCAUGACUAAUGUAGUAGCAGAAGUUAAACAUAGCUUCAUGCAUCCGUAGGUUAUGGAUACUCCAAGGAAGCAUCAUCAGGUGCACGAGCAGCCUGUACAAUCCGACAUCUUGAUCGAAGCAACAUCCUUCCCAAUACCUCGCAAUCCGAUUACGCUUCACCUCAUGCGGUAAACAUAUCUUGAAUCCAUAUACCAUCGGAGAAGAACACAAUGGAGGAUGUAGAUAAUACUAUUGGUGGCUAGGGUGUUUAUUCUAUUGCAUGUGGUGGCCAGGAUGUUUGUGCUAUGCAUUGCAGGACAUGUUGUACCCUGGGGGAUAUAUAUAGAGAGCUAGGGAUAUAAUGGCCAUGUGUAGACCUCGCUAUAAACCAGAAUGUACAACCCGUUGGUACAAACCUGAAUGUCCUGGCUUGUAGAGAUCCCAACCACCUCCAUCCAUGACAUAAUUGAUUCACCAACUGGCAUUGAGACACCCUCACAAAAGGCAAAAGGAAAAUCCAAGAGGCAAUAAAAUCAGAGGAUACUUCCNNNNNNNNNNCGGCGAUGCUUUCGUUGCCGGAGUUGGAACAAAGUGCCGGUGAUGGACUCGGAGGCGGCGAUGGCAUCGAUGGCGGUACUGCGGAGUGAAGAUCAUGACGACGGGUGAAAAGCGACCAAGAUGAUGAUGGAUGUGGUCAUUGCUUUUGCAUGAUGUCCUUUUGUGUUUGUCGUAGAAAACUAUGCUUUUAUUUGCGUGCGAACUAUGUUUUAUUCUUCGAGUUUGAACUCAAUCGUCGGAAUCGUUGUCAAAUUGGCUACUCUGGGUUUUCAAUUGGCAGGCCGAUGCGGCCUGUGAAUAUACUGUUUAACGGGUCGGCUACGCGGUGUCUGCUCGGCCGCAGCCUGCGUCGGCCCGCAAAACCGUGUUUCACGACCAGCAAACUAGUUUUGCGGGUCGGCAUUUUAUGGGGUCUACUAGAGAUGCCUUAAUGUAGUAGUCAGGUCCUCCUUUUAUGACUCAAGGGCAUAAGGGCUAUAGUGAUCUAUACCUGACUCUGACAGAAUAGGACAAAUGCAUUAAAUGAUCCGUUGGGUGUCAUCCUCUUUUGGCCUCCUGUAACAAACGCUUUUGGCCUCAAUAGUUCUUUCAAGUUCGUACAUUGACAGGCUUGUUUCACAAAUUUUACUGAUUCCUAAUAUUGUUUUGACAGGUCGUUGCGAUUACUGUAUUCUUCCUUCUGGUGUUUGCAUUUUAUGCCUUCUUUGCACCAUUUCUGGGAACGCAAGUCCCUGAGUAUGUUGCGGUAGGCAUUUAUACUCCCAUGGUAAGUCUUAAAAAGUCUCAUUGUUUUUUAUGUCUUUUUGAUCAUCUGCAGAGAGUUAUCUUGUGGUAUCAUGAAACAUCAUUUCCACUCUUCGCAUGCAUUGACAGUCUUCAUCCUUUAGAUCGGGUGCACAAGUUUUAAUCCUGCUGAUCCUGGUAUCAUGGUAAGGUUUGAGGAUGGUUGUGUUGAUGUACCUGCCAACAAUGAUGGAUUGGCAGGCAUAAACUUGCCCCAGAAAGCAAACAACGCUAUUUGAACACACUCCCCAAGAUCUACUUGCGGAAGCUCUCUAGAUGGCCAUCCUAAUCAAAGAGGUACAUCUGUAGGGGAAGCAAACAUACAUGUGAGCUCACAACUACCAAAGAAAAGAUCAAGAUGUUUCCACUUUGGUGGGCUCGUGUGUGCUUUAUUUGUUAAGGAGGACUGCCGGAAGUCUGAUGAAUCAGAGAAACAAGCUAUUGGCGAAGAAGCUCUGUUUUGCACAUUAUGCAAUGCUGAGGUAUGCUUCUUUAGCUUUUGGCUAUGCAGCAUGCAGCCGAAUAGUCAAUUUGGAGCAUAGGCACAUUGCGCUCUUUUUUUAAGUUAAUUUUUUUAUUGACUUUUACUGCUUGAAAACAUCCAUAAUUUUGUGUAGAUGCACAUAUGGAAGUGUAGUAUAACUUUGCAAAAUUUCAUCAAUUUACGUGUUUGUACGUGACAUAUAAAAAAAAUAGACAAAUACGUAUUACCUAUAUUAUUGUUUCGUUUAUACAAUAAUAUUAUUAUGGUUGCACAUUAUUUUUACCUUCUGGAAGUGCAACUAUUACUGUUUAAGAUCCAUGAAUUAACUUCUUAGCUGUUGGGCCUGUCAUUGGCUUACUACUUACCUAUAGUGCUUGCAUGUUGGACCUAAUGUAUACUAAGCAUUACUCACCGGUUCUUACUUUUUAGAACAAGUCUUGUUAGCCGAUAAUUAACUGAAUUCUGAUAUUAUUAUGUCCAGGGUAUAUUCACACUUCUGUCAUUAGUGGCAUGCAUACCUUUAGGAGAACUUUUCUUCUUCCACAUGAUAUUGAUCAGAAAGGUUUGCCUCACACCUCAUACUUGAAAUGUACUCCAUCUGUAAACUAAUAUAAGAGCAUUUAGAUCAAUGUUUUAAAUAGCGGGCUAUGGAAAAUAGCGGCGGGCCUCCAAAUCAGCUAUAGCGGGCUAUUUGUGAAGGCGACCAUUUAGCGGCACCCUGCUGAAANNNNNNNNNNCUUGAACAAGUAUUGUAUUGUAUCAUGAAUUCAUGACUAAUGUAGUAGCAGAAGUUAAACAUAGCUUCAUGCAUCCGUAGGUUAUGGAUACUCCAAGGAAGCAUCAUCAGGUGCACGAGCAGCCUGUACAAUCCGACAUCUUGAUCGAAGCAACAUCCUUCCCAAUACCUCGCAAUCCGAUUACGCUUCACCUCAUGCGGUAAACAUAUCUUGAAUCCAUAUACCAUCGGAGAAGAACACAAUGGAGGAUGUAGAUAAUACUAUUGGUGGCUAGGGUGUUUAUUCUAUUGCAUGUGGUGGCCAGGAUGUUUGUGCUAUGCAUUGCAGGACAUGUUGUACCCUGGGGGAUAUAUAUAGAGAGCUAGGGAUAUAAUGGCCAUGUGUAGACCUCGCUAUAAACCAGAAUGUACAACCCGUUGGUACAAACCUGAAUGUCCUGGCUUGUAGAGAUCCCAACCACCUCCAUCCAUGACAUAAUUGAUUCACCAACUGGCAUUGAGACACCCUCACAAAAGGCAAAAGGAAAAUCCAAGAGGCAAUAAAAUCAGAGGAUACUUCCGUAGAACCCCACGGCAAGAAUGUUUAGCCGUCUCAAAACUGAUGUGAACAAUAGAUGACGGUAGCAUCCACAACCCUUGGGGCUACACCUCUAUACAUCUCUCCUAUAGAAGAAACACCGACCUAUCUUCAGAACACGCUUUCCAACCUAAUUUUUGGUAUCAUCACCGUAGUAUAAUAGAGUAAUUGAGUUUAAGUGGGGGGUUUUUAUAUAAGGAGAAAUUUAUAUAAUUUUUCCUUGUUGAUAGAAAGAAAGCUAGUUUAAGAUGAAAAGGAAGUGCUCGUGGAUGUGGAUGUGAGCAAAAUGAUGCAUGCCCCCUUUGCAAUCAAUCUGUUGAAUCUUUUGGGCAUAUUUUCUGUCGAUGCCUCUUCUCCGUCGAAACCUGAUUUAAGCUCAGCCUAACGCGCAUUGACUUAAGCUCUAUCAAGAAAAACGCCCUUGGAAUCAUCAAUGAGUAGUGGAUCAACGUCGCUACUAUGAACCAAAAAAAGAUCAGAAGGAAGUAAGAUAACUUUAUGUUUGAUUAAUGUUAGUAAACAUUGUUCAUGGCACCUUUUCAUGAUCUUCGCAUGCACUGCACAUAGUGUGACCCUUUCCAUACACUUGUUGAAACAAAUUGAUGCCUAAAAUAUUAAUCAAACAUUGUCACCCCCUUCGCCGCCAUUGCCCCGCCUCGGCCCGCUCCGGUCCAUCUUCCCUGGCCAUUCUUCGCCGCCAUGAAGCCUCCAGCCGCCCCCGUCAUCGUGGAUGUCGCACCCGCGCAAUCCCCUCCGGCAGAUCUCGUCGCUGGCCAUGUCGCCCCCGCCAUCUCUCAAGGCACCACCGUGCCUGUUCGCAAGCGGCAGGGCAAUGUGGUCAUGCAGGGCGGAAAUCCUACUAUCCCCACCGGGAAGGCAAGGGCGCCAGGCGCCGCCACCUCUGCGCGAUCUGCCUGACCGUGCCGGAGAAGAAGGGCAAGGUUUCGACCGUGAAGCACAAGAAGUCUCCUAUGAAAAGGCCGGCGACUUCAUCCUCUUCCUCCGCCGUGGCAAGAGGUACCCCGACGAUGCCCUUCAAAGGUGUUGCUUCCACCGCAAGCGAGGUGUUCGACGAAAUGGUCGGAAGGUAUGCUUCUUUGAUUUCUUCUACUUGCUUUGGUUUUCGCCAUUGCGGUAGCGCGUGACUUAAUGACACUCACUGUAGCGCCGAUUCGAACGAUGCCACUGCCAAGUUCGUCAACUUGUUGGACACCAACAACAACAGGAGUUGGAACCAGUGUUGCUGAUGCUUUAAGUGCGCUCGGCGAUGCUUUCGUUGCCGGAGUUGGAACAAAGUGCCGGUGAUGGACUCGGAGGCGGCGAUGGCAUCGAUGGCGGUACUGCGGAGUGAAGAUCAUGACGACGGGUGAAAAGCGACCAAGAUGAUGAUGGAUGUGGUCAUUGCUUUUGCAUGAUGUCCUUUUGUGUUUGUCGUAGAAAACUAUGCUUUUAUUUGCGUGCGAACUAUGUUUUAUUCUUCGAGUUUGAACUCAAUCGUCGGAAUCGUUGUCAAAUUGGCUACUCUGGGUUUUCAAUUGGCAGGCCGAUGCGGCCUGUGAAUAUACUGUUUAACGGGUCGGCUACGCGGUGUCUGCUCGGCCGCAGCCUGCGUCGGCCCGCAAAACCGUGUUUCACGACCAGCAAACUAGUUUUGCGGGUCGGCAUUUUAUGGGGUCUACUAGAGAUGCCUUAAUGUAGUAGUCAGGUCCUCCUUUUAUGACUCAAGGGCAUAAGGGCUAUAGUGAUCUAUACCUGACUCUGACAGAAUAGGACAAAUGCAUUAAAUGAUCCGUUGGGUGUCAUCCUCUUUUGGCCUCCUGUAACAAACGCUUUUGGCCUCAAUAGUUCUUUCAAGUUCGUACAUUGACAGGCUUGUUUCACAAAUUUUACUGAUUCCUAAUAUUGUUUUGACAGGUCGUUGCGAUUACUGUAUUCUUCCUUCUGGUGUUUGCAUUUUAUGCCUUCUUUGCACCAUUUCUGGGAACGCAAGUCCCUGAGUAUGUUGCGGUAGGCAUUUAUACUCCCAUGGUAAGUCUUAAAAAGUCUCAUUGUUUUUUAUGUCUUUUUGAUCAUCUGCAGAGAGUUAUCUUGUGGUAUCAUGAAACAUCAUUUCCACUCUUCGCAUGCAUUGACAGUCUUCAUCCUUUAGAUCGGGUGCACAAGUUUUAAUCCUGCUGAUCCUGGUAUCAUGGUAAGGUUUGAGGAUGGUUGUGUUGAUGUACCUGCCAACAAUGAUGGAUUGGCAGGCAUAAACUUGCCCCAGAAAGCAAACAACGCUAUUUGAACACACUCCCCAAGAUCUACUUGCGGAAGCUCUCUAGAUGGCCAUCCUAAUCAAAGAGGUACAUCUGUAGGGGAAGCAAACAUACAUGUGAGCUCACAACUACCAAAGAAAAGAUCAAGAUGUUUCCACUUUGGUGGGCUCGUGUGUGCUUUAUUUGUUAAGGAGGACUGCCGGAAGUCUGAUGAAUCAGAGAAACAAGCUAUUGGCGAAGAAGCUCUGUUUUGCACAUUAUGCAAUGCUGAGGUAUGCUUCUUUAGCUUUUGGCUAUGCAGCAUGCAGCCGAAUAGUCAAUUUGGAGCAUAGGCACAUUGCGCUCUUUUUUUAAGUUAAUUUUUUUAUUGACUUUUACUGCUUGAAAACAUCCAUAAUUUUGUGUAGAUGCACAUAUGGAAGUGUAGUAUAACUUUGCAAAAUUUCAUCAAUUUACGUGUUUGUACGUGACAUAUAAAAAAAAUAGACAAAUACGUAUUACCUAUAUUAUUGUUUCGUUUAUACAAUAAUAUUAUUAUGGUUGCACAUUAUUUUUACCUUCUGGAAGUGCAACUAUUACUGUUUAAGAUCCAUGAAUUAACUUCUUAGCUGUUGGGCCUGUCAUUGGCUUACUACUUACCUAUAGUGCUUGCAUGUUGGACCUAAUGUAUACUAAGCAUUACUCACCGGUUCUUACUUUUUAGAACAAGUCUUGUUAGCCGAUAAUUAACUGAAUUCUGAUAUUAUUAUGUCCAGGGUAUAUUCACACUUCUGUCAUUAGUGGCAUGCAUACCUUUAGGAGAACUUUUCUUCUUCCACAUGAUAUUGAUCAGAAAGGUUUGCCUCACACCUCAUACUUGAAAUGUACUCCAUCUGUAAACUAAUAUAAGAGCAUUUAGAUCAAUGUUUUAAAUAGCGGGCUAUGGAAAAUAGCGGCGGGCCUCCAAAUCAGCUAUAGCGGGCUAUUUGUGAAGGCGACCAUUUAGCGGCACCCUGCUGAAAAGGCCGUAACUGGCUAUAGCGGAGCUAUAGCCGGCUAUUUAAAACUAUGAUUUAGAUCACUUCAUUAGUGAUCUAAAUGCUCUUAUAUCCGUUUACAGAGGGAGUAAUACAUAGUGGGAUGUUUAUCUUGCUUUCUUAGCUAGGUUCCUUCUUUAAUUCUCUAUGAGGGGAUCUCAACCUAUGGUUAUGUGGUUGCAAUGAGAGCUAUGAGUGAGGGGAUUCCAGAGGACGAGGAGGGAGCAAAUAUCAUCUAUUCCUCCUCAAAUUCAGCAACAACUGGAUUCAGUGCUGGAAGUUCUCCUGGCCUUCACCACAAGGGUGCUAGGUGUACACCUCCAAGAAUAAUUAUGAUCAGGUAAGCUGCCUAUGUAAAUUGCAAGAUUUUUGAAAGUUUAAUCAUGACUCUCAGCUGGAAAAAAAUUAUUUAUAUUGUUUGAGACAAUUGUAAGACAAUUGUAAGACUACUGAAUUUAGUUGUGCUGAAACUUUCAACCAGGAUGCAGUGAUUCCACAUUUGGACCCUGGGAUGGUUCCUUCAACCGUUGAUCCUGAUGCUGCUGGAUACGCUGAAAGAGCAAACAAAGCCAAGAAGCCAUUCACGAUCGGUGCGCGGAUCCUUGCAAAGCUGGACAUAAACGAGGUGACGAAAGUUCAGGAAAAACCUUGGGCACCAUCCUCUGUUUUCCCACCAAUAGAUGUCCGCCAUGGACAUGAAGCUGAUAUUAGCUCCAGUGGCAAUGCCAGCGUCAAGAGUUGUAUGAGUAUUGAUUACAGCGGUACAUAGGAAUUGAGGAGUGAGAUGAGGCCGUCUCCUCUAAAUACCUCAUAUCCAUAGAGUCUUGCAAGCCAGGAUGCUAUGAGACUGGCACACAGACUGCAAGCAGUUUAAGCAGCCUGGUCCACAUCCACAAGCUUACCCCUCAUGCUAAUUUUUGUGCAGCACCUCAUCCUGGUCCACCUCCUGAAAGGCCUGCGCCAGGGAUUACAAGGCCACCUGUUCCUACCACAUACAUAAGUAACAAAUCCAUGUUCCAAUCGGCCAUAUCAUAUGUGAGAGAGAACCGAAGAGUCUCUAUUGUCUGGGAUCAAGAGGCUGGUCAGUACGUGUCAAUGCCCAUGCAAACAACAGGAAAUAGACCCGGAGUUGAGCUGCCUGUAAGAAACCCAAGUUUCUUGGCGAAUCCAAGUGAAGAACCAGGAAACAACCAGGAAACCAUGGGAGAAAUCUUGCAGAUGCGACCACAACUCAUCAUCGAUUCCUUCGGGCCAGCCGGCUGAGAGAUUGAUGUACACAUGCCAAUCAGUAUUCUUUGGUGGGCCAAUCUUGAGUACCGCCAAAAUAAAUGCAGAAAGGAAUGAGGCUAGCACAAGAGUGUGUCCUGAGGGAAGCAGAGAUCCCAACUCCCACCAGCGGGACAUCCGUGGCGAGAAGCUCGGACAUGCUCAUGCCCGUUGUUUGAGCCUAGGAAUUUCUAGAAGAACCUGCUUUGUUGGCAAGUGACUUUUACCUUCUGUUUUACUGUUCUCUAUGUCGUCUGCUCAAGUGCCACCAUGACGGUGGGGGUGAAAAUACAAAGAACUGCUGAAACGGUUGCUCCUUCGGGGCAGCAAUGAUACAGAGACGUUCAUGAUCUUUAGAGCUUUAUAGUGAGCAAGGAUGGCGCUAACUUUGUUUGAUGUUUACGAACUGACUGAUAUAUGUUGUUGUUUUUUCUUUCACGUGCGUUAGGAGUUCAGUUGUUUGAUGCGCUUGAUAGGUAGUAGAAGAGUGGAUUAAACUGUUCUUGAUGUGUAGAACCUUUUGAUUUGCAGCUGACUUUGUUCACAUUGCGGACUUUGGAGUGUUCCCUUAGCUACUAUGGUAAUCGUUACUCACAUGUGAAAGCAUCAUCUCCAACUGUCUUAGUGUUUGAUUGUUUCUCUUUCAGUUGUGUUGAAGGAAUGAAUUUGAUCCAAGUGAUAUUGUUUUUCUGUGCCGUUGUUCAUCUGUCAAACGUCUGUGAUUACACUUGAACAAGUAUUGUAUUGUAUCAUGAAUUCAUGACUAAUGUAGUAGCAGAAGUUAAACAUAGCUUCAUGCAUCCGUAGGUUAUGGAUACUCCAAGGAAGCAUCAUCAGGUGCACGAGCAGCCUGUACAAUCCGACAUCUUGAUCGAAGCAACAUCCUUCCCAAUACCUCGCAAUCCGAUUACGCUUCACCUCAUGCGGUAAACAUAUCUUGAAUCCAUAUACCAUCGGAGAAGAACACAAUGGAGGAUGUAGAUAAUACUAUUGGUGGCUAGGGUGUUUAUUCUAUUGCAUGUGGUGGCCAGGAUGUUUGUGCUAUGCAUUGCAGGACAUGUUGUACCCUGGGGGAUAUAUAUAGAGAGCUAGGGAUAUAAUGGCCAUGUGUAGACCUCGCUAUAAACCAGAAUGUACAACCCGUUGGUACAAACCUGAAUGUCCUGGCUUGUAGAGAUCCCAACCACCUCCAUCCAUGACAUAAUUGAUUCACCAACUGGCAUUGAGACACCCUCACAAAAGGCAAAAGGAAAAUCCAAGAGGCAAUAAAAUCAGAGGAUACUUCCAUAGAACCCCACGGCAAGAAUGUUUAGCCGUCUCAAAACUGAUGUGAACAAUAGAUGACGGUAGCAUCCACAACCCUUGGGGCUACACCUCUAUACAUCUCUCCUAUAGAAGAAACACCGACCUAUCUUCAGAACACGCUUUCCAACCUAAUUUUUGGUAUCAUCACCGUAGUAUAAUAGAGUAAUUGAGUUUAAGUGGGGGUUUUUUAUAUAAGGAGAAACUUAUAUAAUUUUUCCUUGUUGAUAGAAAGAAAGCUAGUUUAAGAUGAAAAGGAAGUGCUCGUGGAUGUGGAUGUGAGCAAAAUGAUGCAUGCCCCCUUUGCAAUCAAUCUGUUGAAUCUUUUGGGCAUAUUUUCUGUCGAUGCCUCUUCUCCGUCGAAACCUGAUUUAAGCUCAGCCUAACGCGCAUUGACUUAAGCUCUAUCAAGAAAAACGCCCUUGGAAUCAUCAAUGAGUAGUGGAUCAACGUCGCUACUAUGAACCAAAAAAAGAUCAGAAGGAAGUAAGAUAACUUUAUGUUUGAUUAAUGUUAGUAAACAUUGUUCAUGGCACCUUUUCAUGAUCUUCGCAUGCACUGCACAUAGUGUGACCCUUUCCAUACACUUGUUGAAACAAAUUGAUGCCUAAAAUACUGUCCUUUACUCUUCAUUAUUUUACAACAUACUUCAGAGUAAAAAAGGUGUUGAUGAAUGAAAUGACUACAAGUAGUAAACCUUAAUUUUUUUGCAUCCAUAAAAAAAUCGUUUGAUUAACCAUAGAGCACUUAUUUUAUGUUGAGUACAAUUUCCAAACUAUCCCACAAACUUCAGAAUGCUUGAGCGUUUGAUACCCUGGAAUCAUGAAAUGAAGACUCGGAAGAAUUUACGGGUUGCAAUUGACUGGCGAAUGGCAGUGGUUAAGGUGGAAGGAGCGCCGGUGUAGCUGGCAACAAGUGGUGGAGGAACAUAUUGUUGGGGUGGGGCCAGCGACGCUCUAACAUGCAAGGCAUCGAUUGCGGGGGUUGAGAUGAGAAAGAGAGCUCGUGCGCCGGUGCAUGAAAGACAAGCUGGGCACAGGAGGAAGGUUUGCUAGGCUUGCUUGCAGACCGAGUCAAACUCAAUCUUUGACCAAGCCGAGUCCAAGUCCAACUUUGAAGGCUUAGAUGAGCUUGGCAACGCCGAGACAAAAGCUAGUUCAGCGGCUUGUUUCCAACCCAAGGAGCAGCCUCUAAGGGCAUCUUCAGCCGUUCGGCCCCCCAGGGCGCCUAAAUAGAGCGGCCUGGGGGCGUGCCGGCGCUAGUUCGGCCCCUGGGGACGACCUAACUCCCAGUCACGCCCCCACGCGCCGGCCCCAGGAUGCGGGAAAUUCAAACUUGGUCGUUCCCGCUUUCAAAAGACGCCGCAAAUCCGGCGAUUGAACGUAGUCUAGCGUCACAAAAAACAGAGGGCCGCCGUGCGCACCGAUUCACUCGGCUUGGUCGGCUCCAGGCGUUGGCGGAGUCGGCGUGCGCGGGCUCAUCGGUGUCGGACCUGCUUCGUCGCAGGGCUGCGUCGGCGCGGCUUCGGCACUGCUGGGCGGCGAUGUAGAGACGCCGUCCGGGCUUGGCGUCCGUGUGGUCGUGGGCGUCAUCGGCGUUGCCGUCGGCAGGUCGUUCAGGAUGAGGCCGCGCUGCACCAGGUACCACGCCUUAAGCUUCUCGUCGUUGCUCUGGAGCAUGUCCGCCCCGCUCAUCAGAAAAGUCAUGUCGGUGUUCCUCUUCUUCGCGGCGACGUUCGUCCGGAGUAGGUCGAGCUUGAUGGCGUUGUUCUUCAUAAGCGACGACCACCGCGCCUCGGUCUUCUCUUCGCGUAGGACGGCCCGGGCCUGGGCAUCGGCGAGGCAAUGCUCGAUGGACUCCUGCACUCGUGUGGUAGCCGCGUCGGCGCUUUUCCCCUUCUUUGCCAUCUUGUGGCCGUCCGGCCGUCCCUCUGACGCGCUCGGGGUUGUCGCGUCUGGCUUGUAUGUCUCCUUGGCCUUGUCGAGGGCACGCCGGACUUCCGCCCACUUCUCGCACUUGUCAAUGCGCUUGUAGACGUGGAAGUGCUUGAAGUCGGCGUCUUGGUUGUCGCCCCGAUACAUGGCAAACAUACGCAGCAGCUGCGCGGAGAGACAAACAGUUGGUGGGCGGCGGGCGUAGGGGACGAAGAUAUGCGGGCGAACGGCGUGCGUACCUGAUCCUCAAUGCUGGCGCCGCUCUCCGGGCGAGCCGCGACCUCCUCGAUGAUUCCAUGCCAUUUGUUGCACGCCAACUGGAUACGCCCCCAAUGGUUCGCCAUCGCCUUGGAGCCGCGCUGCAUGUACACGCCUUUGAAGUAGGGGUCGACGAGCUUCCGCUCGUCGAACUCGGCCUUAAUGCGGUCCCAGUACGUGUCCAAGCUCUGGUUCGCGCCGGUGGUCGGGUCGAGGCAGGCGACUUUCCAUGCUUCGGCGAGGCAUUCCUCCUCCUUGGACGUCCACUUGAUGUGCGGUUCGCCUGACCUAGCCGCCCGCUUCUUCUUCUUCUGGCGCCCCUUCGUCGGAACAGGAGCCGGUUCAUCCUCCUCCUCCUCCUCCUCGGGUUCCUGCGCGUCGUCGCCGUAGACGUAGCCGAGCUCGGCCUCCAUGUCGCCGUUGAGGUCCACUACCUCGUCCUGGGUGGCGAACCUAGGAGACUCGGCGGCCGCGGUCGAUCCUGUCGCGAUGAUGUCGUCCAUGUCGGCUCCCGUGUCGUCGGCGUCGCUGAGGUGCGAGAAGGGUAGCGGUCCGCGAUAGAGAUGGGGCGUCGGUGUGGACGCGUAGGAGGCGGGCGGCGAGUAGUUGUAUGGAGGAUACUGCACGCCGACGAAGGCGGGCGAGGGCGUGCGCGUAGCGGGGUGACCAUGAGGUAAGGUCACGUUUGGGUUGAACCCGCCGUGCGCGUCGCCGUCGGCGUAGCCGGGCGACGAUGAACCCCAUGGAGAUCCGGCGCCUUGCUGUCCCCAGGGCGCGUACGUACUGGGCGUGGCUGACGACGGGUGGAUUCAUCCCCGCCUGGUCGACCGAUGAGGAAGACGCCGCCGCGCGCGCCUCGUUGUCGCGGGCCUUCUUGGCUAUGGCCCUGUUCCGCCUGUCGGCGGUGACUGCUUUGCGCCGCUGAACUUCCACCGUCCACUCGGCGUUCGACAGGCCCGGUGGCUUCGAUGGCGGCGCCCUCGGCUUCCUCUGCUUCGGCUGGACCACAGCGCCAGUCGCGGUUGCCGCCGCGCGCGGCAUGGCGUACUUCUUCGGCGGCAUGGCGUGCUUCUUCGCGGCGAGCGGGAGAGGGUUUGGCGGGAGAAAGGGAUAGAAUGGCGGGAGGAAGGUGAGCGAGCGGGAGAGAUGCGAGGGAAAAGCGUCAAGAAACGGCGGGAAAAGACCCUCGGGUCGCUUCCAGGGUGGGCCCACGCGCCUUUUUCGCUUGCGCCGGCUCCCCAAGCGCCCCCCAGGGCGCCGGGUUCGGUCUGGGUCCGCCGGCACUAGUUUUGGCCCGAGCCGGCGAAAAACGGGCUUCUGGGGGCGCGACUGGGGCCUUUUUUUGGCGCCGGCGCGGCAAAAUUGCCUGGGGAGGGCCUGUUGGGGGCGCGGCUGGAGAUGCCCUAACCAGACAGUAAGUGUUUAACAUCCUUUUUUCACACCGUGGACUUGUUACGGCAGCUACAUUUUCUCUAAUGCCUCUCAAUCCAUUCACAAUACAUCUUGAAUUCAUAUGGUAUAGGAGAAGAACAAAGAAGGGUGUAGAUUAUACCAUGGUGGUCAGGGUGCUUAUUGUUUCAUCUAUUGCAAGAAAUGUUGGAUCUUGGGGGAUAUAUGUAGAGAGAUCUGGGCACGUAAUUUCCAUGUGAAGACCUAGCGAAAUUAUAUCUAGCCUGCAGGUACAAACUUGAAUGUCAUGGAUUGUACAUGUCUCAACCACCCACAGCCAACAAUACAAGUUCAUGGGCGCACACGUGCCUGCACACACACACACAAACAGACACACACACACACACACACACACACACACACGCACACACGCACGCACGCACAUCAUGCAUCAUAAUGUGAGGAUUCUUCCUUGCGUGACAAAGGAUGUUAGUCAUCCGAAAACUGGUACAAAAAUAUAUGAUGCUUGUGAAGAUCAACUGUACAUUGCUACAAUAAACAUGAAAUACAGUUUAUAAAAAUUGAAAAGGUAAAGUUUAGAUACACGCGACCAGAACGCACUUAUUAAUAAUGAUAUCAAUAUAUUAUAAACCAUCGCAGAUGAGACAGUUGAUUGAAAACCCACCUCCAGGCUCUAGCCAUGACAGAAUAAAUAUUUUGCUUAUGAGCACUGGGUUGCCCUUACUUUAAGAAAAAGGAAAAAACAGAGAGACAACAAAAACUGAUGAUACUUCAUCAGAAUUGCACAAAAAAAGCUCGGUUAGUCAUCUCAAAACGGAUGUCAACAACAGAUGACGGUUCCUUAGAGCAUCAAUUCACAACCUUGGAGCUAAACCUCUAUAUAUCUCUCAUGUAAAAAGACAUAUCUCUACAACUCCCUUUUAGUCUUCUUUAACACCGCCGAUAUCACAACCGUACCAAUAACACUACUGACCACGGCGGAGUGCCUACGUGCGAGGGAAUGGCUCCCACAGCAGGAUUGACUGUGGUUGACCGAGUUUUUUGGAGUGUACUUGGGGAGGAGCUGAUGGACGGGGUGGGAGCGGGCGGUGGAGUGAAGAUGUCCGACGGCGCUGUAGAUGGACGGUGGGUCGGAAUGAGAGCUCACGCAUUGGUACAGAGACGAGUCUGGAAGCGUGCAGUCCGAGUCAAACUUGAGCUUUGACCAAGCCGAGUUCAAGCUUAGUUUUGUGAGGUUUGACGAGUUUGGAAGCUCGACUUGGCUUGUUUCCACCCCUAGCAAUAGCCUUAAGCUAGAUACGCAUCAGUUGGGUGCCUUCUUUUACACGGCGGAUGUGUGAUGGAUGCUACAUAUUUUCCAAUACAUCACAAUCCAGUUACCAUUUACCACACAUGGAUAAUAUGUCUUUGUAUCCAUAUACCAUGGAAGAAGAACAAAGAAGAAUGUAGAUCAUAUUGUGGUGGCCAGCAUGCGAAUUGUCUCAUGCAUUGCAAAUGCAAGAGAUGAUGUAUCUUGGGGAAAAUAUAGAGUUGGGCAUGUAAUGGCCAUGUGGUAUAGCUAGAAAUUAUGUAUCCUCUAGAUACACACAUGAAUGUCCUGACAUGGAGAGCUCCCAACCAGCUUCAGCCAGUAAUGAUAGAAUCAGUUCGUUUAUGAGCAUCACGAUGCCCUCACAUCACGGGAAAAGUCUUGAGACACAACAUUCACUCAGAGUGUUUCUUUAUAACCGCACAAUAAGCAUAACUCCAACGCAAAUCACCAAAAUGGGCACACCAAAUGUCUGCGGACAAUGUCCAGACGUGUCCGUGGAUAGUCAUAGGGGCUGUUGCCACCAAAUGGAGUCACAACUUGUUCGGCUAAAUUCAAACAAAUAUUGAACAAAAGGAAAUUCAGGGAAGCCCGGUGAUAUUUGUUAAAUUUUGAUGUAUUACAACCGGAAGGACGAAAAUCACCAAAGUUUCAACUAAACCGUAAAAAACUGAAACUAUGCGAGAUACCAAAGGAUGACCUCAUACGCAUGGAUUUUGAGACCUCCGACACCUCCAUCUUCUUCGGCGUCAUCGUCACCGCCGUCUGAGCCGUCCUCCUCUUUCUAGUGGCGGGAGCACUGCCAAUCGUCGCGGCAACCCUCAUUAGCCAUUGUUGCUCGCUCGCGGUGCAGCCGCUUGGCGUACUUUGCCUCGGCAGAGCCUUGGCCUCCUACGCCUGGCGGUGACGAUGGGCCACAGUCGCGGAAUACGCCCCGCGCUGCCAGCAUUUUCAGCUAGCCUUGGCCUGGCGGCGACUUGAACAACCUCACAUGGGGAGGUAGUUAUUGAUCUAGCGCAGCGGUCCUGGACCGGUCGAUGGCCUAGGCCACCGCAAGCAUGGGUUGGGGUCCGGUGCAGGGGCGGGCCCACUUCAAUUCAUGGGUAUUCAGUUGAAUACCCGUUAUUUUUGUCAAAAGAUUUCAUAUAUAUAGUGUAUAUUACACACAGAUUUUUUUUUGAGGGAAUAUAUUACACACAGCUAUGAAAAAAGAAGUAAACCGAGGCAAUAUGUGAGGCUAACAAGCCUUCAGCCCACGUUCUGGGUGCGCUGGCUGGUUCCCUCCCUUCCCACCCCACAUGGCCCAGUAGCCCGCGACAGUAACUCCUUCCACGCUCGCAGCCCAUUCAAAAAUAACUGCAGCCUGCGUUAUUUCGCUGAACUCAAUUGAUCAAAUGAACCGUCGGGCCGCCUCCCGAAAUCCCCAAUUCUGAUCGCACCUCAUCCUCCUAUGCGACCACGCGCAGCGGCGCAUCCAGCCAUGGCACAGGCGCACAAUGGCAUGGGCAGGUGUGGUCGUGGCGCGGUGCAGACAUCUCGCAUCCAGCAUGGGCGUUUGAAGUCCAAAUUUUCCUACCUCGGCACUCCGGAUCAGGAUAAAUGGCCUCGGCCGCAUUCUGCUUGCGAGGUAGCGUCCACAUCCCCCACACAUACAAACAGUAAGUUAUUGUCUAAUUGGCUUUCUGUUUCAGCAUAUUGAAAUUUCAGAUUUGUUUGCACUUACACAAAAGAAACUGAGAUUUUAGAAGUUAUUAAGUAGUCUAAUACAUUAAUAUUGUUUGCAAUUUGCGAUGAAAAUUUGCAAUUCGAGAAUCUGUUUGAAUUAUGAAUUCGUAACAACAAACAUUACUUUAAAAAAUUAGCACUCUGAAACUUGAGGUUUAAAAAAAUCAAACCUUUCAAAUUUUGAAUACACGCUCUUAAAAUCUUGGGCCCGCCCCUGGUCCGGUGGGAACUAGAUUGAUGCGAUUUGGAUGCCUUGGAGGCCACCAUGGAGGACGUCGUCAUUGUUUAAGACGAGCCACCGCCAACGAGGAAGUAGAUGUGGCGGCUGCAUGCAUUGGCCAUCACUCACCGGGAAGAGCGCCUCGUCCUUCUUCAUGACCACCGGGUGCCACUGGCACCCGGAGUGCCGAUGGGGCAGGGAAGGCGACACCACCUCUUUGCCUUAGCGGAGAUAGCUACCUGACGACUCCUCCUUGACGUGUACUCCCUCCGUUUCAAAAUACUUGACUUCCAUUUGUCGAAAAAUGGAUGUAUCUAUAUACUAAAUCAUGUCUAGAUACAUCUAUAUUUUGACAAAUGGAAGGCAUGCAUUGUGGAACGGAGGGAGUAGUACGGAUGGCGGCUCCUCCUUAACAUGGCGUACAAUUUGGAUGCCGUAGUUGGGCGAGGACAGUAGCAUGGGUGGUGUCAGACCACGGUCGGAUCGCGAUUGCUCGAGUAAUAGCUAGAGCUACCGCGCGUACUCCUUGUCCAUCUGUGUGGACUCCGUGAGGACCCGCGGCUGCUACUGCUCGUCGUCCGUGGAGAGCACCUCUGUCUUGAUCGUAGGAGCCAUCGACGCCAACUGGCCCAAAGACCGUGGGCGGCGGAGCCAUGAUCCGGACUCCGGAGCUCAUGCUACAUAUGGAGGGCCCGCGGAGAAUGAGUUGCUGUAGCCGGACUUGCUCCGCGGUAGCAGCUGGUUGUGGAGAUCUGCUGAGGAGAGGAGGGGAAAGGAGUAGCGACAGUGUCAUUUGGUCCACUCCGUCGACCGGCUUAGCCUGGGCAGGCAGACCGACGGUACUUCAAUGCGGGUGCAAAUGGGUGAAGUAGGCUUCUCGGUCGCUGCGUCGGUGUGAAUGUCGACAUUGAAGUUACCCUUAGCCAUCUCAAAACUGAUAUCAACAAUAGAGAAUAUUUCCAUAGAUGAAACGUGAAAUAUAAUUAUACAAAUUAGGAAAAAAGAGUACGAUACACAAGACCAGAAUACUUUGGUAGUGAUACCAAUAUAUUAAAAAACCAUUGCUCUUCAAGAUCAGUGCUUGAAGCCUUGCAAAGCUGGAUAGAAACAAUGCACUAAAAGCUGUAGCCAAAACACGGGCACCAUCCUUGUUGGGUUUCACCCAAUACAGACCACAUGGAAAAUCACACAAACACACAUGAGUUUAAAUGCUAGCUAGAAUAAUCCGAAUAAUUCCAACAUGAAAAACUUUGCCAAAGACAUGUCCCAUCUCUUUCUUUCUUUAUUGGAACUCAUGAAUUAGUUGUAGGCAAUGCCGGAGUGCUGGUAGUUGCCUCCAGAAGAGAAGACGUUGAAUGUGGGCCAGGAUUGGCCUUUUGAUGUUUUGAGGGAUGCAUGUACUGAGGUGCACAUAAUGUUAUUGUUGAUUAUUUGGCGUGCCUGGCAGCUACAUAAUUACAUGGUUAAAUUUUUUUAGAAAGUUAAUUCGCCAACUGAAGUUACUUGAAUGUUUAGCUGUUGACAAUGUUACUUACUCCCUCCAUUUUUAUAUACAAGGUCACUAUAGACUAUACAUUUUGCAUCUACACAAGGCCACCAAUAGUAAUCGAGGCAAAGUUCAUGAUAUUUUCUCGUACUAACAACUUGUUUAAUACUUGCAUGCAUGUAGUCAUAAUGACAGUCAGCUACUUUCUCCACUCAGUUUCUUUGCAUACAUGUGGAGUAUUAAUGAUCCCAGUAAACAAGAAGAAAAGUUGACUUGUAAAGCAAACAUUAAAUUUUACAUUGGUACCUGUAAUCUGAGUUUGUGGCCUUGUAUAUAAAAAUGGAGGGAGUAUAUCCUACAAAAGGAUGGCAGGGAUCCAAUAGAAGAUAAAGCAUCGGUUUCAGUCCCGGACAAAACGUGGUUACCUCGACCAUUUCAGGUGCAGGAAGCUGAAUAUUGCCCUAUUCCGCCUCAGAAUUAGAUACCCAUCACUUCAGAUGGCUCAUUCACGGAGCAGACAUGUGUUUUGGCUCCGGAGCAGUUGCGUGGGACUCUUCAGGCAAGGUGUUAUUUUCAUGCUGGUAGGAGUUAAAUCAUUGUGUUGAUGCUUUUGAAUCUGAAACUUCGACAAUGUUCGAUGGUGUUCGGCCGUCAGUUCAGCAUACUGAUACUGAUCUUGAGCUGGUUGUUUAGUCAAUUUGUAUAGUUCUCAUUCAGUGUGUACAAUCCUGCUCCGAGAAUAGAUCUCGUAUGGGCCAAACUACAGAAGAAAUCAAGUGUAUGUUGAGGGAAUAUGGGCAGUUUUUUUUUCAAAACAAACUUUGCCCUAAUCCGAAUACGGUUUCAAAUUUGUUACUCUACUUCUUAGCGUCGUUUGCUAGGGAGAGCCAAUGCACUAAUGUGUUUUCUUCUUGCAACGAUAACUUUCGAUCUAUUGCAGUGUCUCCCACGUGUGUGGCGGAUUUAAUCGCUCCUGAUUGUUAUCCUAUCGUAUGUUCGUGAGUACUAUCGCAUCAUGACAACCUGCACACAACCUUUUGUUCUGUCAAGCCUCCUAGUCGAGCAUGUCAACAACGACAAUACUUGUACCAGAAGUUAAAGUUAGUUUCAGAGUCUCUGUCUGUAAAAGCACCCUCGCAGUCUAGGUUCAACUACCAUGAUCCACACACACACAACGUUUGGCUUUCUUUAAUUUUCAGAUGAGCAUGUUGGUAGUAGCUACACCUUUCCCAAUACCUCGCAUUCCACUUAUACUACUCUAUUCACCUCGGGUGGGGUGAACAGAUACUGAAUCCAUGUGCCGCCAUGGGAGAAGAACAAAGGUGAGUGUAGAUCAUGCAUGUCGUGGUGUCUGGGAUGAUGAUCAUCCCAUGCAAUGCAAAGAUCAUAUGCCUUGGGAGAUACAAUAUAGAGAGAGCGUUGGGCAUGUAAUGCGAUGACCUUGUGUAGAGCGAGCUGAGAAUUAACUACUCCCUCCGUUCCAAAAUAGAUGACUCAACUUUGUACUAACUUUAGUACAAAGUUGGGUCAUCUAUUUUGGAACGGAGGGAGUAGCAUGCAGGUACAAAUAUCUGAGUGCCCUUGAUUAUACUUCACAUGCUUGCGGAGUCCUCAACCAUCUCGAUUGGUUUGCUUAAUUACUCGAGCAUUUGGACGCACUCACAAAAAAGAAAAGAAAAUGGAAGCGGCACAUGCUGAGCAUGCUGCCUUAGAGCCAUAAAAUGUAGAAUAAAUGUAGAGCCCUUCUAAUAUGAGCUACUUCUAAACUGCCUUAGGCUGGUCACAAUGGGAGUAACAGAGAUAGUAAUAUAACGCACCCAAUGCAAAUUUGCUUAUGUGGCAAUAGUUAAUAAGAAGAGUGGUGCUUAGAGUAACAUAGUAUGUUACUGUAACAUAGCGCUUCACAAAGAUAAAUGAGUCUACAAGUUAAUAAAUGCAAUCAUUUAUGUUACUAUUUCUUACUUUGCACUAUGAACGUAGUAAAAUACCCUAGUGUCAUAUGCAUGACACUAGUCUAAGUUAUUCCCACUAUGACUAGCCUUAGUCACGAAAGAUAUUUUCAUUUUGCAUUCGCUAGAACUUGGUAUGAUUGCAUUUUAUCCGAACCCCGAUUCAGACCACGUGGAUAAUUUUUUUCUUGAAAAAGAUAAUAUAUUAAUAUCAUGAAUUUACCAAUUACACCCGGCCUCGGCACCAACAAUAUGUCUCAAAGACAUCCAAAACGCACAUAGCCUGAAAAGAGAAAAAAAGGCCUCGUCACAGUGAUCAACUCCUCUCAGCAGCAUCACAUAAACCGCCAUCAUAGACAAAACCCGGAAAACAUAAAAAUUCUCCAAAAACGAUGCCUUCAAGAACGGAACAGUGCACAAGCGUCGUCGUCGCCCGAUCCAACAUCUUAGGUUUUCCCCCUCGAGAAAAUCCGAGCUCUCAAAACAAUAACUUCAGCAAGACAAUUGCUAGGCACAACCAAUGAAGUUCAUACCUUAGCUUUCACCCUGAAAAUCACGAUUCGGCACCCGAAGUGCGACACCAAAAACAAAAUCCUAUAAUGUUGCCGCCCCCACUUGUCACUGCUGAUUUUGAAAGUUAUCAAACACUUGGCUGACUUCCUCGCUUUCUAGGCCCCUCCGCCUUAACGAACCUCCGAUUUCAGCCACCAUGAUUUUCUCGACUGAUAUCUAUGUCAUGAAAAUCGAUAUACCCACAUGUCCCAUGGUGUCAACAAACAAUAGAGCUUCACAUCGUGCCCUAAGGGAGCCGCGGAGGCUGAUAUGGACGCGCACGACCGGAAUCUAUCCGAUCCAUAUAUCCUUGGGCAAGGUUACCAACAACAGUUCCAGAACAGGUCGAUGGCCAGAUAAAAUAUACUUGCUUCACAACUUGAAAAUUUGGACAGAAAACAAGAAUUACUCAUGUGCUCACAUAGCUCAAUUAAAUGAGCUGAAUUUGGGUGGAGGCUAAUGAUUUGGGAUAUUUGAGAGGAUGGCAAAGGUUCAUCCCAUUUGGAAACUCCAUGAAGGUACUUCCUUCACAAAGUUACAAUCUGGUCAAAAACUUUGAAAAAUUUCGCAGGGAGCUAGGAUGACUGGAUUGAGCUCAUCUUUGGUAUCCAUGGGUGAUUUAUCAAUAUUAAUCACCCUGCCAAAUUGCAGCUCAAAUUUAAUUAAGAAUAAAUCACUUCCCUUGCAAAAUUUCAGAGAAGGCAGAAACUUGCAUUGGAUCAUGUGCCAAAUUUUUGAUCUGUGGAACAUGAGAUAAAGAUGGAACUAGUGAUUAUAUAGCAAUGACAAGCUCCACAAUUUAUGUGGGAAUUUUCUACGUUAUAAAAAUAAUAGUUCCUUUAUAAAACGGCAGAAAUGCAAUAUUGGCAUUAAAUAGGAAAAGGCAAUUUUCCAUAAUUAGUUAUGGCCAAUAUAAUUACCAGAGCUUGGAUUAGGCAUAAUUAUUAACUCCAACAAUUGACAUGAAUUUAGGAGAUGCCAAGCUAUGCCUUUGGAUUUUAUUCCUCAGAAAGGCAAGAAAAGGAAUAAAUCACAAUUCAAAAAUAUUGCAUGGGAUUUGGCAAUAUUUUUGCAUAUCCAAGGUUGAAAAGGAUAAGAGGGUCUCUGGGAAUAGAUGGGCUGAUCAACAGAUCAAGGAAAUGAUGGCUCCUUUCUAAUCCCAAAGGCCACAUUCAAACCCAAAAAUUUGGAAUUAGGGUUUGAGAGGCUUUUAGAUGAUGCAGCUGAGGUCUUGCCCACUGAAAAAGAUAUGAGCAAGGUUUUGAAAGGUUGGAAAUGACAAGAAUUCUCAGGGUCGUCAGCAAAACUCAGGAGAAAGAUCUUGAAAAUGAGUGCCAGGAAGGAAUAACAACACAAAAAUUGAUAACCCAAUUUUGGAGCUGUUACAUCCUUCGGGCCAGCCAUCUGAGAGAUUGAUGUACACUACAGACCAAUCAAUAUUCUUUGGUGGGCCAAUCCCGAGCACCACCAUCAUAAAUGCAGAAAGGAAUGAGGCUGGCACAAGAGCGCGCGCUGAGGGAAGUAGAGAUCCCAGCUCUCACCAGCGGGACAUCCGUGGCGAGAAGGCUCGGACAAGCUCCUUCACGUUGUUUGAGCCUAGGAAUUUCUAGAAGAACCUGCUUGUUGGCAACUGACCUUGACCGGCUGUUUUACUCUUCUCUACUAUGUCGUCUGCUCAAGUGCCACCACCAUGACAGUGGGGGCGAUGUUGAUGCACUGCACCCCAUGCAGAGUCAGGGAACUGCUGAAAUAGUUGACCUGGGGUUUCAACGAUACAU